This 192212-nucleotide long non-coding RNA is filed under the name Gossypium barbadense (sea-island cotton). RNAcentral describes it as "long non-coding RNA (GBAR_LNC015597)". The stretch from base 69656 to 69800 matches the Rfam family "MIR7502 microRNA precursor family". Lineage: Eukaryota; Viridiplantae; Streptophyta; Magnoliopsida; Malvales; Malvaceae. The record is from RNAcentral.
GUCAUUAAGGUGGUAUUAAGGUUUCAUUGAAAAAUUUUAAGUUUGGAUAGUAAUUAAUUAAAAAGGACUAAAUUGUAAAAGAUGUAAAAUUUGAUCACUUUCUUAUUUUAGUGAUUAAAUGGCUUAAUGAAUGAAAGUAUAUGGGCCAAUAUGGUAAAUAUACCAUAUUAUAAAUGAGUGGCCAGUUAAAGCAUGAAAUAAGUUGAAAAUGCAUGUAUAUUGAAGGGUAAAUUAGUAAUUUAAUAAAGAAAUAAUUAGAAAAAAAGGGUAAAAGUUGAUUAUCAUCUUCGAAAUUGAAACUCCACCGAAUUUGAAUGUAUAAAACUCCAUGGAAGAUGUGCAAGGUUCGGCUAUGGCUUUAUCUAUGCAUGGUAAGCCGUUUUUCACCCGUUUCUUUAAAUUUUUAUGUUUUUGAUAUCGUUGCAACUAGGUUCAGCGAGCCCAUACCUUCGAUUUUGAAACUGUUAAAGAUUUUAAUGUUUCCAUUGAUGAAAAUUGUGAUUUUAGAUGUUAAAUGAUGAAUUUAAAUUGUUGUUUGAUAUUUAAAAGUAUUUUAUUAAGUGAUUUUUAUGAAUUUUCUGAUUAGGGACUAAAUUGUUAAAUUAAUAAAAGUACAAGGAUUUAAUGUAAAAUUGCUGCAUAAAUGGGCUUUUUUGGAUACCAUAAACAUUUUAAUAAGCUGAAUUUUGGGUAAAAUGGUUAAUUUGCAUGUUUUGGGCUAGGGACUAAAUUGAAUAAAAGUAAAACUUUAGGGGUAAUUUUGUAAAAAAUGUCAAAAUGACUAAAUUGCAUAAAAUGAUUUUUUUUAUUUUCUAAAUUAAUAUAUUUAAUGAAAUUAUUAAUUUAGAUCAAGAUCGGGUGGAAAAUUGAGGAAAAUGAAAAAUUACCAAAAUGCCUCUAAACUUUGGAAUUUCUGCAAUUUAGCCAGGUAAGUUCCUAUGAACUUUAUUAUGUAUAAUUUUGAUUUAAAUUGAAUUUUAAUAUGUGAUUAAAUCAAUAUAUAUAUGUUAGUAUGCAAUUUAUCGUGAUAUGAAACAACAUAAAUUCAAUAACGUACGACGAUUACCGAUCCCCGUUUAAACCUUAGGAAUUUGUAGGAUACAAAUGACAUGUCAUUUGGGUUUACAAGAUUCGCGUGCUGGUCCUGAACAUCCUACUAAUGGCUGAGGUUCGGCAUGUGUUACGGAUACUCCACAGCUCGUGUGAGAAACAUCGUGUAGCUACGUUCUGACCCACAGUUCGUGUGAGCAGACCCAUUUUCACAGCUGGUGUGAGCAUUUUGAUUCUCAGCUCGUGUGAGCAUACAUGUAUAGGAAUUGACGGAUUACAGUUAUAUGAGUUAGCACACUAUGUGUAAGCUAUCUCGGGUAUCCAACGGUAUUCGAAAUGGUUCAACAGGCAUUAUUCAGAUAAGAAACGAUAAGAGAAUGAUAUGUAUUAUGACAUGUACAUAUAUGAACAUCUUUGAUAUGAUGAUACAUGGAAAUUAUGUAAAUUGAGAUGAGUGACAAACUCAAGUGUUACAUGUUGAAAAUAAAUGGUUAACCAUGUUGAAUUUAUAUGAAAUAUGUUCAAGUAUGCUAACAUGUGUUGUUGUUUGAUGGUUAGGCAUGUGCCAAGCUAUUGGUUGAUUGGUAUUAUGUUUACUUAUAAGUUGCAUUGAAAUGGUUAGUGCCUAAAUGGAACUAUGCUUGUGUUUAUGAAAGUGUGGUAAGGUUUAAAUUAUGUAAUUUCUUAUGAAAUGGUUUAUUAUGUGGUUAAUUCUAAAAGAGCUACGUUUAUAUGCACUAGCUUGUGGCUAUGGUUGAUGAUAUGCUUAUGUCUUGUGUGUUAUGCGUAUGAAAUGGGUGUGGAAAGGUAAUGAAAUAGUAAGUUCAUACCUGAAGUGUAAAAUGAUGAAAAAGGGAAUGAAGAAUUGAAUUGAUGUUGUUAUUUAAGCUAAAGAUAGUAAAUGCAGUGGAAGGUAAUGAAAUGAAAAUAAAAAUAAGAAAAUUUAAAAGGGUUUAAAGUUUUAUAAAAUCCUACUAUGCUAGGGAUGAUAUGUAUAUAUGAUACUGUGGAUUUAGCCACGUCAUGAGUUGUUGAAUAUGGUUUAAGGAAUCCUACAGUAUCGGUAUAAGAUUAUUCUUGAUAUGUAUAAAUUUCAUAUUUGAAAUGGAUUGAUAUGACUAAAGUUUAUACGAGCUUACUAAGAAUUCAUUGCUUAUGUAAUUGUUUUUCCCUUACUUUUCAAAUUAUCGAAAGCUCGAUUGGGUUGGAAGCUUGUCAGAGAUCUAUGGUUAAGGUUAAAAUGGCAUGUACAGGUGAACUUAUGAUUGACGAUUAGUUGAAUGUUAGUUGAUGUGUUUGGCAUUUAUAUGUCAUUUUGAGUGAUAUAACCUUGGUACAUUUGGUGCCUUGUCGAUAUGUGUUAAUUUUAAAAUGUGCUAAAACAUGUUUGAAUGGCCAAAGUGAUAUAUAAUGAAUUGACCUCAACAUGGUCAAGAUAUGGUAUGCUUUGGAAAGGUUUUGAACUAGAUAUGGCAUGAAUCUAAUAUGGUGUGGUGAUUUGGUACAUUUGUUAUAAAUGACCUAUAUUGCUAUCGGUGCUAGUUGUUGAAUGGCAUAUUUGGUACCAUUUGGUGUGUUAUUGAUAGGUUAAUCGAAUGGUAUGUUUUGAUGUAAACUUAGUUUGAAGUUAGUGAACAUUUUUGGAAAAUUUGAGUAUAUGGUUAUACAUGUUUAGGUGUUGAAAUAGAGGUACCCUUUGGGCAUAUUGGUGGUAUGCAAAUGACCCAUAUUUGGCUAGCUUGAUUAUGUAUGGUCUUGAUGCAUUUUGAUGGCUUGUUUAAUUGUGCAAAAGUGAUUGUAGGUACAUGCAUGAAUGAGUGAGAAAAAUGGCUUGGAAAUGACCUAUUUUUCAUCCACACGGGCAGAGACACAGGUGUGUGUCUCACACACGGCCUGGCGACACGGUCAUGUGUCCCCUGUAGCUUUUAAAGGGUUGCAAGUCAGGCUGUUACAUGGCCUAGCAUACGAGCGUUUGGCUUGGCUAUGUGAUCCAAGUCAGUGAGUUACACGGGCACGGACACGGGCAGGGACAUAGCCGUGUGUCCCUACUUCGAAUGUCCACACCGUGUGACCCCUGCAAUUUUGAAAAUUUUCAUUUUUUUCUGAAAAAUUUUAUAAUUUUUGGAUUUAGUCUCGACUUGAUUCUAAUGUGUUUUUUUUGCCUUGAGGGCUCGUAUAAGGGACGAUAUACAUGUUAUGGAUUGAUUUCGCUAUGAUUAAUUAUAUGAACUAUAAUGUUUAAAUUUUUUGUUCAUUUUGAAAAGAAAACUCCAUUAAUACUCCAUAACCUUAUUCUGGCGACGGAUACGGGUUAAAGGUGUUACAACUGACUUUCGGGUCGUGACACUAUCACUAUGAAUAGUGACAAAUUUUGGUUAAUAACCCAUUGACAUAAAUUUUGAAUCACUUGUGACCUUUCAAUUAUAACCAUUGGAACAUUAUAAAUAUUUUGAAAAUUCUCCAAUAGACAUGAGUCAAUUUCACCUCCCAUUGCCAUCCACACAUUGCCUUUAUACCAUGAACCAAAGUUAUACCCCAUACUCAUGGGGUUGUUCACUUGAUGAGAUUUAUAAUUUUAGUUCUAUUAUUAUAACAACAUGAUUUUUGUCGGAGUUACAAAACUCGGUUCAAAGUUGGAUUCCUUGAAUCGAAUCAUUAAUUAUUUCAAAUCAAGAAAUUAGUGAGUCAAAUAUGAGAUUAAUAAAUAGAAUCAUAAAUAAUUAAAUAAAUUACGGUGUUUUAUAAAUAGUACAAAGACUUGAUUGGAAAAAAAGGUUAAUGAGCAAACUUGAUUAAAAGAUAUUAAAAAGGGGUCUUAAUAAGUAAUUAUACUAAGGACUUAGGAGUAAUUAAACCAUUUUAAUAUGUAUGGUAAUGUUAAUGGUUCAUCAUGUAAUCAUUUUCCACUAAAGGAACAACUAAACAUGUUUAAUUAAUUAUUGAAUGGAUUAAUUAAGAAAAUGAAUUGUCAAUUACUUAUAUAUAUGUCCCUUAGUGGGAAAGAGAAGAUGAGAACAUAAUCUUCACCAUCUUUCCCAAAUCAAAACAAAAAGGAAGAAAAGAAAAGAAAGCUUAUUUUUCUUUCAUCGCCGUGAGCUUAAUUGGAAAGGUAAGUGGCUUUUUGUUGUAAUUUUUUUGUAGAUUAUUAGUAUAUUCUAGUAGAUAAUUACCUCCCAAGCCAUGAAUUUAUGAAUUGCUUAGUUUAUUUAGAUGAAACAUUGAUAAAAAAAAGCUUGAGAAUGUUUGAGUUUGAAAGUUUAGAUUCAUGCAAGCUAGUAUGAAUUAAUUUUAUGGUGAAAUAGGUUAAUCUUAUAGUAGAAAGUUCCAAAUUAAGCUUAAGUUAAGCUUAAAUUUAUAUACUUAAUUUUAUGUCAUUAGGGACCAAAUUAAUUAAAUUGAAAGUUGUUAGAAAAUUUUGCUAUAGAAUGGAAGUAAGAGGUCCCUAAUGAUUAAAUUCAAAGUUGAAUUUCAAAUCGAUAAUGAACAUUAAAAUAUAGGAGCAUUUCAAUAAUAGUGUUUAUAGGGUCUGAACCCUAAUUUCUUUUAUGUCUAAACUUUUUGCUUCCGUCAUCUUUCAUUCUCAUCUUUCUCAGAGGUAAUACUUGUUUUUCUUUUUCUUUCUUUCCUUUUACUACAAAAUGGUUAGAACCACUGCACGAGGGAGGGGCUGAGGCCAGAGCAAUCGAAAUAAUAACCUCAAUGGUUCAGCCCCAUUUGGACCCCAAGGUUCCGAUGACACUCCACCACACACAAAGGCUCCGAUGUACGAAUGUAGUACCACAAAAAAUGAAUUACACUGAUACUUAGGGGCCCAGGGCAUCCUCUAUCCAAACUUUGCUUAUGAUUUUCGAUGACCAUUAACUUGUUGCUUGAGCGACAAUACUCGAGGUUAUAUCUUCCUUUUAAUCUUGUUAGAGGCCAGCUUCCACCUAUCACUCCAUCCUUUCUUCUGUGCAGUGCUCAACGAGUAUGGCAUCACUCCUGGGCAACUCUUUGCCAUUUCUUGGUGGACACUGGUGGCUUUCUUUAUAAACUGUAAAAAUCACUAAAUAACUUAACAUAGUUCAAGUUUGAAUGCAAUAUAACAAAUGCUAAUUAAAAUUCCCUAAAAUGCAACAAAAUAUACCUAAGUGCAAACAAUUAGCUAGGUCGAAAGGCAGAAAAUAUAACUAUUUUCAAGAGUUAUCAGUAUCCCCUAGAGGACUCUAUCAUCUAUUGGAUACAUUUCACAACUACUUUCCCCAAGAACAGUUUCAUUAACAUAAACAAAAUAGAUACUUUACAAAAGUUACAAACAUUUACUCUAUCAUCCCAGACAUACCGAUUGGCUAGUACCUAUACGCCUACUGAGUAUAACUCUCCUUUGGCGGAUAGAAUACACCAAGCACUACAACUAACAGAUACAUUUCGUCCACAACACAUUAAAUAAGAUUAAGACUUAAUACUUAUCAUUGAAUAAUACCAUGCAAUGCUACUACAUAAUCAACCUUUUUGUUUGGUGGUCUCACACCUCACUUCAAAAAUACAUAACAUGCAUUACAUGCAACAAAUCUAUAUUCACAUUCUAUUACACUUUUCCACGCCCUUCUUUAUGCUAACCUCAAACCAUAUUUACACAUCAUAACGAAUGUCUUGGUCAAUGCUAUCUUAUACAAAUGCAUGUUUUCCCAUAAUAUUUGGGCUCUUUGUCAUGGUUAACAACUAAUAUGCCCUACCAAUGGAAUCACCCAUAACACCAGGCUGGUUAACAACUAAUAUGCCCUCCCAGUAACCCAGUACAUACGUGAUCUGCCAUAAUUCGGUGUAGCAAAUUAAACUAUUUUUUACACUUAAUAAGCCUGAAUACAAGCAUUUUCAUUACAUUUUAGUUAAGUUUCUUUAUUUUUACCUACAUUCAAUAAAAUGUGUAAAUUGAAUCUUUUAUUGACCUUAAGGCUCGAGUGAGGCCUAAGGGAGAGCUAACAUACUUUGUAAGUGUGCAAGAGACCAUUAGAAGGCAUUUUAAGUCGAUACUAGAUGCUCUGUCACAACACGAGAGGUCUGAUGUCGCAACAUAAGAAACAGAAUGAAAAAAACUCAAGUUUGCCUUUGAUGUCACGAUAUAGGCUGAGGGUGUUGUGACAUACCCUUGCAAAUGGCUACGGAGGAGUAUAUUGGUCACUGUGUCGUGACAUCAACUCUGGGACAGAAAUUAAACACGAAGCAGGGGCAUUUUGGUCGCAGAAUCAAACUUAAAGCUCGGGAACGUCAAUUGAACUAGGGUUAAAGACAACAACCACCUGAAGCCUAUAAAUAGGCUCCUUUGGCACAUGUUAAAGGCACCAUUCCUGUAACCUCAAUUCAGUUUGUAAAAUUUAGUUUAGUUUUCUUUCAUUCUUUCAUUUGUUCUUGUUGGUUUUAAGAUAUCUAAAUUGUAAAAGCAUUCAAACCUUGUGGGUUCGCAAUUAAUCUUAAUACAAUCAGGCUCUUUCAUUUAUUUUAUCUUGUCGAUUUAAUUAGUAUGCUUUCUCUUUAUAUUGAUUUCAUAUUGUGUAUGAAAGCCAUGAGGAACUAAUCCCUCUAUGGGGGAUUAGUGAGUGGAGGUAUAAUCUAUUAACUAUUUUAUAUGCUUACUCAACGAAUCAGUUGUUUGGAAGAGGAAGAACGUUAAACAAACCUUAGGCCUGAAAACCUUGGGAAGUCAUCAAGGUGGGAAUUAACCCAAAAUUGGUAUUUCUCAUUCAUGAACACCUUCAGCCCAAACCAGUUUGGAUUGUGAGGUCAGAAGAUAAGUAGUUCUUGCUGACUCGUUAUGUUAGUAGAAGAUCAGAAGAUCCUACUAGGGUAUCGGCUAGUUGAUUGACGAGGAACCCGAAACGACAGUUGAUGGAAAUUACCGAAACGAGAUAAUCACCCAUAAUCAAGAUUUGAUUUAUUCUCCCUUUCUAUCUCUCGAAGUUUAUUUCCUUUAUGUUAUUUUAUCUUUAUUAUUAUAAAAACCCUAAAAAUCCUUCAUUUAUGUUCAUUAGUAAUAUAGUUUACUUAAAGUACUAAUUAGAUUUAUUAGCGUUUAGGUUAGAAUUAAUUUAGUACUAGCCUCCCUUGGGUACAAUCCUGGAAAUACUUACUAAGUGUUUCAUUGUAAACAAGCUAUAUUACAACCUGAACUAUAUACUUGAGGACAUCGCCUCAAAUUUCACAUAUUUUGUAGUAGUAUUCACACUCUAGACGUUAGUACGUCCGGAGGUAGUCAAUAUGCCAAUCUAGUUAGCAACUAACAUGCCCUACUAAUGGCCAAUCAUCUCUGCCAACCUAGUUACCAACUAACAUGCCCUACCAAUGGCCCAUCAUAUCGAGUUUGAACACCAAGGAAGUCAUAUUUAUUUCUUAUCACUUACAUGCCCAUGCAGAUGGUUACAAGAAACAAGUUACCACGUUCAAAGGAGACAUUUUUACUUGAAUUCGUAACCUUUAACUAUGAUAACCCAGAAAAUAACAGUAUAUAAGGACAUUGAGAAGAAUCAUACAAGCUGGAUACUCACAGAAGGUCUUAAAGAAAUCGGUUACCCCAUGAAGUCUCUCGCUACAACCUUCUCUUACUUCCCUAACACUUACUGGUUCUUCUUUGACGAAUGACUUCCUUUUAUAAGGGGUAUAAGAAUAAAUAAAAAAUAGAAGUAAAAAAACCACCCACUUCACCAGACAUGUUGUUAUUUAUAGCCCAAACAGACCUCACAAUAACCCUACAUGUGCCCAGCAAUUAGAGCUAAUUCAACACCUCUUGGUGGUCGACACGUCAAUCUAUAUACACUCUUUUCUACCAAACACCCCUACUACCACUAAUCAGAGUGGUACACUUUGCCUGUACUUGUAAGCAACAAACUAAACAAGUCAUUCAGCUACCUAAACACAUCAAGCUGGCAUUUACAGUACUAUACUUCAAAUCCAACUAGCAGACGUUACAUACCAAAUAAAACAGACCACUUGGCAGAUACUAACAGAAGGGUCCAUCAACACAAAACUCACCAAGAGAAUCCACUGAUUUGUGGGUUCUCCACAUUGACCACAGCAAGACGUAUAGAUCAGUAACCUAAACUUCCCCAAAAGACAAAUCUUCAACCAAGUCUUUACAAAUUUUCCUAGUUAGCCAAACAAUCCUCCAAUCAUGGCACGACAACUAGCGCUAACUUAACAUGGUGAAUAGGGGGAUAAAUCAACCUUUCUUGGCAUAUAAUUAGCCAACAAUCUGCCCACAAAAACCACCAAUUAGGACUACACUAGGCGGGGUGUUACAACUUCUCCGCUUCAGUGUUAAAAUUUUUUGUCGCUAAUAAAGUUUCUGAUUUGAGAUAUUCUUGAGUCGUUGGUGAUGUGAUAUCUCUCUGAGACACACAUUUCAUAUAUCCUACCAAGAUGGGACCAUUACCUUGGGAAACUAUCCUACGGAAGUCAGGUUUUAGGGUGAUUUUGCUUUAUACGGUUACGGAUGGAAGUCUAUGUAGAGGUCUCAAUCAACGGUCAUUAUAAGGUCAUGAAUUAGAGUACAACGAGGAAACUAGUUGAUGGUCAUUAUAUGGGCAUGGGCUUAAACUUUUCAAAUACCUAGAGAUGUUGCCUUAUAAGUAUCAUAAAGAAGUUUGAGAGUAAAAUCAUAGGGAAAAAUUGUCUUAAUUUUUUUCUCUACUUUCACGCAGUUGAUAUCUUAAACCUUCCUUCUUAUCCGAAGGUCGGCACUACUGUGGCUGUAGAAGGACUCUCAGCUGGGCAGUGGUUGUUGCGGUGUAGUAAAGGUGAUGUUCCUUUAAGGGUGACAACAUUAUCAUUAUUAAACAACCCAUUAAUAAUUGCAACUGUUACCGCGCCGACCCAAGUUUGACCUUUACUGUGCCAGAACAUACACUCUCUACUUGAGAGUCCUCUUGUGUCCACCUUGAUAUCAGCUUUGGGAUAAGAAUGAAAGGUUAAAGAUAACGAUUGCCUGGAAAUAGAGAAGAAAAAUUACGUUGAUUACAUCGGAAAGCCUUUCGAUUUUUCCUAUAAUUAUGGCAUCAACUUAUGUAUGGUAUAUAUAAGGCAUCAUUUACAGGUAUCCAAAAAUCUUGAACUUGUGACCACAUAAUGGCCGUCAACUGGCCCCCGGUUAUACUCAAACUCGUGACCGCAUCACGAGCAAUGACCUCCACUUAGAAUUCAAUCUAUGACUGUAUCAAGCACUAUCACCCCGAAACCUAACUUCCAUAGGAUGGGUUUAUGAGGUAAUAGUCCUAUCCUAGCAUGACAUAUGAAAUGUAUGUGUUCUGAGAUGCGUUAUCGCAUUCACAGCCCCUUCAAAUCUACAUAUAAACUUUCAUGAUUUCACUCUUAAAACACUAAACACUAAACCUUACUUACUAAUCCAAAAAAAACCCUAACCCUAACCUCUAACCUAAAAAAAAGGCUAAGGAGAGAGAGUGUGAAAGCGCAUCUAGUAAGGGGCGCUUUCACACAUUCUCCAAAAUCAACCUAUUUCCCUAAAUUUUUUAAAAAAAAGACCUAUUUGGUCAAUUAAAAAACAAAAUCAACAUAUAUGCACAAUUUAGCCCUUCAUUUAUAAUCUCCCAUACUUUUCUCAAUCAAUGUUUCAAUUUCUCCCUAACUUGGGAAACAAGUAAAAAAGGUUCCCUCACCAUAUUUGGGAUCAAAACACUUCCUCAUUCCUAGGCGUAGAGACAGUUGCAGUGCAUUUAAAUCGGUUAAUAUUGACAUCAUUAAAACAAGACUUAAUGGUAUUUGUAGCCCUCAAAACUUUUUCAAAAAAAUCAAUUAAGCCCCUCUAAACUUUUUGCACCCAAUUGAACCCUUGAACUAAAAAAAUGGCCAAAUAGACCCUUUAGCUAAUGUUGAUUAUUAGUAGUUAACACCAACGCUGACGUGGCCGUUAACAAACACCACAUCAGCACCGUUCAUUAACGUGGUAGUGCCACAUCAUCUCUAAUUGCUGACAUGGUAAUGCCACAUCAUCAACGAAGGUUGGCGUGGUAUUGUCACAUCAACAAAAUAAAAUAAUAUUUUUUAUUUUUAGUCUUUUAACACUCAACAAUUACAAUUUUUUUAUCAAUUUAAUCAUUGCUCUUUAAAAUUACAUAAACAAUUACAAAACAUAUCUUUAAAAUUUCUUUUUUUUUAUAUUUUCAAUAAAAGUAUAAAAAAUUAUGAAAAUGUUAAAAUAUGUUCAAAAUUUUACAAUAAAAUUUCAUUUUAAAUAAUUUUAAAAAUAUAAAAAAUAUAAAAAUUUCAAAAAAUGUGUCAUUUACCUCAUGAAUGGUAGUAAAAUCUCUCUAAACUUUGAGUUAUUUGUUCAGUCCAUAAUAAAUCAAAUUUGAACAAGUUUUUUUAUUAUUUUAAAUUGGAUUAAUAUAUAAAAAAUGUUUUAUAUAAAUUGAUUAUAAAGUAUAUAAAAUAUUAAUAUAAAAUAAUUUUUAAAUAAUGGUACAAACUCUCAAACAAUUGAAAUUAAAAUAAUUAAAAUUAAAGUUAUUUCAAAUCGAUUGAACCGGGUAAACUUGAUUCAUUUAAGUUAGCUACGCUUUUAUUUAAAUGAUUAAAAUAGAUUAAUUCAGUUCCUUAUCGAUUAUGAGAAUUCAUAAUUAAAUCAAUUGUCAUAAUUGACUUCUAGUACACAUUAUUUUUAAUUUUUAAAUAUAUUUAUAAUAUAUAACAAAUAUGAUAUUAUAUAUAGACUUUUUAUCGAAAAACAAACCAACGUCUAUUUGGGUUUCAUACUUUAAAAGAAACCAAAUAAAGAGAAAAUUAAAAAAAAAACUCAGUUUAAUAAGCUUAAUCAUUCAAAUCCACGAAUGUUAAAUCCAUUCAAUAAGAUGAAUUAGGUUCUCUUUAGAUAAAUGGUAAAAUAGGUCCUGCUAAGAUUAAAUACAGCAAUGGUGGUAAAAUUAAUUAUUGUAAUAGUAAGAUUAAAAAUUAUAAUGGGGAGAUUAAAAUCUGUGGUAAUAUAUGUUAGAACCGUAAAAAUAAAAUCUAAUAUAAACUUAAAAUUGAAAACCAGGAUUUAUCAUGUCAAAUCAAUAAUAACAAAUCAAGGAUAAAAUUAAAUACGAAAGCAUACCUGAAUUCAUUAAUUUCUUGAAUUUUACGGAUCUUGGGGUUUGAUCUUUCAAAUUAGCACACAAGAAAUUUCAGAGAAUAUUUGCUCUCUUUUUCCUAAAGAUGGAAGAUUAGAAAAGUUAUCUCCUGUGUAAUUUGUGGAUUAUAAACCUAAUAUAUAACUUUUGCACAUUAACCCUAAUUUCUAAUUAGCCCAUCAUUAACUAGAAAUUAGUUACUAGAGUAUUUGCACAUAUUUGACUCAUACUUUAUUUAAUAAUUAAAGCCCAAUAAACCUUAACCAAAUUAGAUUACUUUUAAUUUGGGCUAACCUAUUAUAAUAGUAAAUAAUAACAUGUAAUUACCCUUAUUAUAUAUGUUAUGUCCAUAUUUUCCAACAAUCUCCCACUUGGACCACAUAUAUAUACUAAUUACUCUAUAAUUACAUGUCAUUAUAUAACUUUAUGAGCUCAAAACCUUACUAUCAUAUCCAAAAGGUAUUUCAAACAAUCUCGUCCAUUAUUCAAGUUAACAUAGAACCAAAGCGACUUUUGUUACAUAUAUCGUAACUAAAUCCAUCCCUGAUCACGUAUAUUAACACAACCAAAUGACAUAGAUCAAGUAUAGAUGUGUAGCAUGGAAAUUACAUGCAAUAUGAUCCAAACAUGUCUAUUCUCUGCUGGUUCUCCUUAAACCUUAGUGAGAUCAAAUUUUACCAAAAUUAACGUAUGAAUAAGCCAAAUAAACUUUAUUUCUGCAGAAAAUAAGCUUAAUAUCCGUAAACUGAAAUAACUGAAAAUGUGUCUAUAACAUAAAAGCAUUUAAAGGUACAAACUCCCACUAAAACCAAACAUCCUCAAAUGACAUUACACCCAUAUGAGCAGUGUGCUCAUGAAAAAUCUUAGGAGUAAUCCCUUAGUAAGCAAGUCCGCAAUCAUGGAGUUUGUCACAAUAUGCUUUAUAGGCACCUAACCACUCUAAACUUUUACUUUAACAACUAGGAACUUAAAGUCUAUGUGUUGUGACUUUGAUGUGCUCUUGUUGUUAUUGGAAUAAAGGACUACCAAUUAUUGUCACAAUUUACACCCUAGUGACAAAAUCUUGCAUUCAUCAAAAUCAGAGUCUAUAUAUCUGAUGAUCUCUAACUUAUCAAACCUCCGAUAUGUGAGCAUGUAAUAUUUUGUUCACUGAAAAUACCUCAUAACCCUCUUGGCUACUAUCCAAUGGUCCAUAUUAGGGUUGCUUAAAUAUCUGCCUAACAUCCCAACAAUAUACGCAAUGUUCGGACGCGUACAUACUUGAGCAUACAUUAGAGUCCCCGCUCUUAAGACAUAGGGAAUCUUAUGCAUUUCCUUAAUCUCAAAAUUAUUCUUUGGUUAUUGGUCAAAACUUAACUUAUUAUUGACAAGAAGUAUGUCAUUAACAUAUAAAACCAAACAUAGAACUUUACUCCCACUGAACUUGUGGUAUAUACAAUUAUCGACCACAUCCAUCUCUAAAUGAAUGAGAUAAUAAUUCAAUAAGUUUUGUAAUACUAUUGAUGAAAAGUCUCCUUAAGCCCAUAAAUGGAGUUCUUUAAUUUGAAAAUCAUUAACUUUGCAUUUUCAGACACAAAGUUUUCUAGUUGCACCAUAUAAAUGUAUGAUUAAUGUUACCAUGAGAAACCAUUAACUUAACAUUCAUCUGAUGCAGCUUAAGGUCAAAAUAUUCCACUGAAGCCAUUAUAACCCUUUCUCUAGUGGACCUUCUUAAUGACAUUCGUUCUUGAGGUUGUUAAGUUUGUUCUUCUAGAAUAAUUACCUCAUAUUGGACAAGGAUUUGUUCAACAUUAUCUUGUUGAGGUUCUGGAUUCACUUGUUGUGCCCCUAAAGGCUUAUAGAAUGUUGUGCUUAAUGAUCAUUAGACUCAUGCAAUUUAAACGAUCCCACCUCUCAAAAUCUCUUUUAACAUCAAGGGUAUUUUUUGCAGUGAAAGGUGCGGGUUGAUCUUCCUUUAGUGCAAGGUCUAUGUCCAAUACAGCCAAGCACUAUAAGUAAAUGUCUUUUCCUUUCCUUGAAGUUAGUCCCAUUAAGCAUGGGUAUAGAAUUUAUAUUAGCAGAUAUUGUGGUAGCAGAAUAUGAACUAGCUAAAUAUAGAACAAAAUAGAUAAAAACAAGCUUACAUGAAUAUUCAUAAUUAAACAAUAAAUUUAAAAUAGUGGCUAAUCUCAUCACAAGAUACCAAACACAACAUUAAUAUCAAGUCUUUGGACAGUAAUAUUAAUAGGAAGCAGUGUCCUUGUUGUAGCAAUCAAACAUUGACAAUAAAUUAUGUCAAACAAUGAAUCAAUCUUUAUACUAACUUAUUGCUCACAUAAAGUACCUUAUAAUUGUCACAUAUUUAUUACCACAAAUGUCGUUGAAAUUCUGCCAAAUAUUAACUUACCUUUGGGUCAAUUAAUAAACAUAUGAAUCACAAAAACAUAUAAUCAUCUUAAUAUUUUAAAUAAACUAACCUACACAAAGAGGUCACUUUGGCUGCAUUUUAUUUCAACUAAUCUAUUUAAAAUAUUAGACAUCCUUAAUUAAAUCCCAAGCCAAAAUAUGAAUUUAUUUUUUUCAAAAUAUUUCAAAUUAAAACCAAAAUAAUUAGAAUAAAGGUAAAUCUCAUCUCAAGAUAUCAAGCACUCCAUUAAUAUUUCUAUCUUUGGACAAAAAUAUUAACUUGUAAGUGAUAUCUUGGUGUAGUAAUCAAACACUGACAAUAAGAACAUGUCGAAUAAUAAAUCUUCCUUUGAGUCAAUUUAUUACACACAUGCAAAACUAAAUAAUCAUCACAUGUUUAUUACCACAGUUGCACAUGUAAUUUUUUUUGAAAUAUUAACCUUCAUUUGGGUCGAUCAAUAUUACUGUAGUUUAAGUUACAUGCACACAAAUUUUUAUAUUUUAAAACAAAAUAAUUUCAAUAAUAGAGUUCACUUUGACAACUUAUUAUUUCAAUUAAGUUAUUUUAAAAAUAUAUAAAUAUAUCAAAUCUCUAGUAUCCUCCCUAUGCUAUGGACUCUUCUUCUACUGGAAGGUUGGUUAGCUGGAUCCGAAUAAUAGGAAUACGUAGAAAGGUUGGAUGGUUACUUUAGUGACGGAAUAAGGCAGCAACCUUUUUCUUAUCUUGAGUUGAUGCUUAAGACAUGAUAGUUGAAGGCUUUCUCCUUGCUUUCAGGGGCUUUUCGCCUGAACCAAAUGAACGGGGCGCUCUUAGGUACUACAGGUUGGGUGAAGACCAGGAAUUUAAUCCAGUAAUUCAAAUUUCUCCUUAUUCAAAUUUAAAAUUUAAAAUUUUCAUAACAGUAAAAGGUCAAAAUUAAUUUUUUAUUAUUUUAUAGAUUCCGAAAUAACCUAAAAUAAGGUUGUCAUAAUAAUGUAAUAAAAAAACCAAAAACCUUAAUCUUUAACUGCAUUUUUUUUGUUCCAAAACCAUAUAUGUCAAAGUCAAACAAAAAUAUAUAGUGAUUCAAGGUCAAAUAAUUAACAAACAUAUGUAUAUUACAAAAAUAAUAUAGUGAUUCAAGGUCAAUCACGGUGAUUGCAAUGAAAUGAAAGUAAAAAAUGAUCAUAAAAGAUAUUAGAUUAAAAUAAGUGAAUAGAUAUAAUAAAACUAAAAAAAUUAUUAAUACCAUAUUUAUAUUCAAUGAUAGACUAAAUUACCUUAUUUAUAUUCAAUAAUACAAAACUUUAAUCAAUGUACAUAAUACUUAUUAGUUAUAUAAUACUGUAUAAUAUUGUAUUAGUUAUAUUUAUAUAUCGUAUAAACCAUGUGUAUUAAUUUUAAGAAAAUGAUUUUAAAGUUAAAACUAAAUUUCUAUAUCAAAUUAUUAAACAAUAAAAUGGUGUGAAUACAAUAUUAAUACAUGUGUUAAUAUCUAUAUAAAUGAAUUAUUAAAGUGUAGUUUAUAUAAAAAUUUGUAAUAAAUAAAAAAUAAUAUUAUGAAUUGGCAUUAUUAAUAAAUUUGUAAUAAAUUUCAACACAUCACUUUAAACAAAAUUUUAUUCAAAAUAAAUUAUAAUAACAAAUUAUGCAAAAAAUAAAUACAACUAUCAACAUAUAAAAAUUUUCUAAAAAAAAUUAACUAAAACAUAAAAGGAAAACAUUUGUUACAUUAUUAGUGAAAAUUUUAAGCUCUAUAAGUAAAAAAAAUUAUAAAAUAUAGUGUAGCCUUUAAGUUUAUGUUAUUAGUUAAAAGAGGAAGCAAUCCCACAUUGUCUAGGUACAAGCUACAAAACUAUUCAUGAGUCUAUAUAAAUAUAUGUUUUGUAAGUUUUAUUUUCACAUUAAUAAGUGACACCAAAAAACAAAAUGGUGAUGUUGCUUUUAGUGAUGAUGUGGUAAAAAGCGCUUCCAGCUAGAAGCGUUUUACUAGUCACACGCGAAAAGUACUUCCAGUUGGAAGCGUUUUAUCAAAAUUGGCUCAUUCUCGUAAUUUUUUUUAAAAAUUAGCCUAUUUUUGUAAUUUUUUUAUAAAAAGGGUUUUAUUUGGUAAUUUAGUCUCAAUAAUAAAAUAAAAAUAAAAUAAUAUUAAUUUUUUACAUAAUGUCUAGAAUUAUUUAUAGUCCCUCCUCAACUCAUAAAUAAAAGGAUAAUGCACUUCAACGCACUCAAAUCUACAUCCUCCUACAUUGCUAACAAUGUUCAUACCAAUUGAAUUAAGACUCAACCAACAUAAAAUAAUAGUUAAAAAAUAUUGAAAUUAUAUAUUAAAUUUAUAUUAAUAUUUUAAAUUUUAAAUUUAUAUAUUAAACUUUUAUUUUUUUUCCUAUAUAUUAAAGUUUUAUUAACGUUUAUGAAUCUUAUGUAUACCUUUUUAAAAUAAUAAAACAUCAAGAAUCAAUAAAAAAAUUAAACCAACGAAUAAAAAGGACCUUGACAAAAAAAGUAAAGACAAACAAAUAAAGCAAACGCAACUUCAAAUUUUGGAUCGGAGCUUAAAGGUCAAAUGGAAAAACUCCAACAUGUUUUACUAAUCUACCUCGCCGGAGAGAUCCAAGCAGUACAUUAAUUUUGGAUGGAUGGUGGCUAUAAUACCGUAAAAUCUUUUAUUUUAUAGUUAUCGUAUUUAAUUUUAUUGUUAUUUUUAUUUUUAACUUUAUCGAAAAUAAAUAUACUGUUUAUCCAAAAAUUUACAUCAAAAAACUGUGAAACACAAAUGCGUUUAAAGACUUAAAUUAUUCCAUUAAUUAGUUAAAAUGUAGAUAGAUUUUCAGUAUUUUUCUCCAACGGGCCAAACGCAGAUUGCUCUCUCUCUUAUGCUCAAAAAGUACAUUGGAUUUCAUCUGCCUUUCUAUUUUUGGUUUUCUGAGGAAAGACCUUUGAAAAUAUUCAAGACAAAGAAACGAUGGUUAAAGGCUAUCAAUGAAUAUAAAUAGCAACUGCAAUUCUACCAAAACGCAACGUUUAGUUUCAUUCCUCAUCUUAUUUUUUUUUUAUUUUUUUUAAUUAACUUUUAUAUGAAUAUGCUGUGAAGUGUAAACGACCGUGGGUGUUGGGGAUGUUGGUGGAUGGCUGUAGGUGUUGCUCAGGAAAAGAAGCUUUCAUAAUUAAAAAAUUUAUUUAUUUUAAUUUGAAUUGAUUCAAAAUUGUAUCAUAUUUAAAAAUUAUUUUAUAUUAAUAUUUUAUAUAUUUUAUAAUUAAAUUUAUAUAAAAUUAUUUUUUAUAUAUACUUAAACUAAUUUUUUUUAAAAACUUGUUCAGAUUUGAUUUAAUAUGGGCCAAAUGAAUACGUUAAAGUUUAGAAAGAUUUUAUUACCAUUCAUAGGGUCAAUAAUAUUUUUUUUUAAAAAAUUAUAUUUUUCAUAUUUUUUAAAUUUAUUUAAAAUGAUUUUUUUUAAAAAAUUGAACAAUUUUUUAUAUUUUAUUGAAAGUAAAAAGAAUUAUUUUUAAAACAUUUAUGUACUGCAAGGAUCAAAUUGAUAAAAAAACUGUAAAUUUUGAGGGCUAAAAGAGUUAUUUUAGUUUUUUUAUAACAACCUCAUCACCAAUUAUAAUGGCAAAAUUGGAGGUACCAAAACUUUUAAAUAAAAAAAUAUAGGAGCUUAAUAUUUCAAAAUUAAAGUAUAGAGUAUAAGAACCUUUGGAAUAUUCAAACCUUUUAGAUAUUAUAUUAUGUAUUUGAAUUUUAAAUUUUUAAAUGGAUGUCAUGUUAUGAAUUGUCAUAUGUAAAUAAGCGUUGCGUUAUUUUAACAAUCAAGACGUGAGUACAAGUGUUCUUAAGCAUAUCUUUCAUCCAAUUUAAAUGUUGCUGAAAAAUUAUGAGUAAAAAUAAGCAUUAUAUAUAAAAUAUAUAUAUCACAUGGUAAAACUAUAACAUAAUGACAAUUUAAGUACUAAAAUAAAAAAAAUAUUUUAAAUAGCAAAAAGAAAGAAAGUUAAAUCGUGACAAACCUGUACAUAUAGGAUUGUCUUAAGAUUUGAUGUGGAACCAUAAAUUUAACCUCAAAUUCAGUUUUAAAUUCCUUGCAUCUAAGAUCUUCAAUUGGUUGAAGUCCAUCACGCGAGUAAUUCAAUAUUAAACAUAUGUGGGUAUUAACCCCUUCCUUCCCUGCCAAGGCCUCCAAAUGUAAUAUUACGAUUGAUGAAUCAUGAAAAGCAAAUCAAUAAGAAAUAACCAACAAAAUAAGGGCUUAUACUUGGUCAUUUUUGUCCCACAAUGCGGGCUUACACUCAACUAAGCAGAGAAUUUUGUUUUAAACUGAAAUAAACAGAAAACCAAAAAUACUCAACGAGCACAAAGGCUCCCAAACCUUAUUUGUAAUUUGUCUGAUUCCACAGACUAAAGUCGAUGAGCAACGGCAGAAACUCAAAAGAAGAAGAAAAAAACACUAGAACCCUAAUAUCAAUACCGGAAUUUACUCUGCUAAACAUCACAUAUUUGACCACAAGCCUAAUUUCUUAAUAUUUGUAGUCCUUGACAUGAAGGCUCUCUGCGGCACCCUCACAAAGCUCUGCAUCACCCUUGUAUGUACCCAAAGUGGCUUCUGAGUUAGCCUUGCACCUAACGAGCAAAGCAUCUUGUGCCUUCUUCACAUUCUCCUCUUUUCCUGCCCAGGUCUUGAGAGUGCUCUGCUGAAGGGCGCGUCCGAAUGAGAAUGAGAGUGACCAUGGUUUCUUGGUCUGGAGCUUGUUCAUGGCAUUAAGGUUUAGGGUAGCCUCCUCCUCACUUUGCCCACCAGACAAGAAUACAAUAGCUGGGACUGCAGCAGGGACAGUUCGCUGCAAGGCACGGACAGUAUACUCAGCAAUAACAUCUGGGGCAACCUUCGGGGAGUCCGAACCAGGGGUCACCAUGUUAGGCUUCAAAAGAGUACCCUCAAGCAUGACAUGGUGGUCAUUUAGAGCCUUGUAGCAGGUAGCAAGAACACGCUCUGUCACUGCAGCACACUUUUGAAUGUCAUGUGAUCCGUCAACAAGAAUUUCAGGUUCGACGAUUGGAACAAGGCCACAUUGCUGGCAGAUGGCAGCAUACAUAGCUAGCCCGUUGGCAUUUUCUUGGAUUGCAAGCUCGGUUGGCUCAUUAGCACUGAUCUUAAGGACAGCACGCCAUUUAGCAAAGCGAGCACCAGCUUCAUAGUACUUCUGGCAUCGCUGUGCAAGGCCAUCCAGACCCUGGGUGAAAGUCUCACGGUUGGUUCCGUUAAGCUCAACGGUACCCUUGUCGACCUUGAUGCCAGGGAGGACACCACCUUCCUUCAAAACAUCAACGAAGGGCUUGCCUGCACAUCAAAUAUCAAUAUCAGAAAUCAACAACCAUCCAUAAGCUCUUAAAAAGGAAUAACACUACCGAGGUUCUUAAUAUUAUCAAAGUAUGUCAUUUUAAUAAUACCCGAAGCGGUUUUUUGAUAAAGGGUUUCCUCGAAGAGAAUAACACCACUGAGGUACUGAAGAGCUCCUGGAGCAGUGAAGAGGAGCUCACGGAGAGCACGCCUGUUUUCUUCAAUAUUUUCUACAUUAAUGCUUGAAAGACGCUUGCCGAUGGUGCCGGUGGAUUCAUCAGCAGCAAGGAUACCCUUUCCAGGGGUGCCAAUGUAAGCAGCGUUUUUAGCCAACUCAUCUACAAUAUUUAAAUAAUUAAAAGAUAAGCCAUCAAUUCACGAUAAAGAACAGAGAUCCGAAUGUUUAAAAAACUUAAGUAGCCUAAGGGUGAAGGAUAAGGUGCACUAUCUCAGAUCCAGAAAGAUAUCAUGAUAUUAUUAAGCACAUCAAGGACUGAUAAUUAAAUUAAAACUUCAAAAAGUAUAUAUUAAAAAAUAUUACGCAGUUAUAAAAAAGGGAUCGGAGAGAUAAUAUCCGAGCAGGUGCAUGCAGAUCUAGAUCUUCAAAUUUUAACCCCAAAAACAAAGACGAACAAAAUUAUAAUUAAUAUUAUUCAUUAAAAAGAGGGAAAAUCUAUUAUGUUCCUUUCGAUUAAAGAGCAGCGAACAAAUGACCAUAGUUAAUACCACUGACAAUCAGAUCGCAAGAAAAAUGAAGCAGGCCCUAAAAGAUCCAAAUCUAUAUACCAAAGAAUAUUGCUUUCAUUAAAGUAUAAAAACCACGAAGUCAACCAGAUAUAUCACUCAAUUAAUUUAGUUAAACGGUAAGUAACAAAGUUUUCUCGUAAAAAUGACAAAACAAUUAACAUAUCAGACCAAAAAUCUAAAGAUCGAAAUAAAAAUGAAAAAACAAAGAUGGAUCAAAGAGAUUAAGAUUGUAAACAUAAAAUCAACGCCGAAGGGGAAAAAAGGAAGUAGAAAGGGAAGGGUAAUUACCGGCGUAUUUGCUAAUGAAGCAAGACAUUAUGGUUGAAUAGAAAAAGGAGGAUUGAAUUGAACAGAAAGAUGUUUUUUGGUGGCAAGGAAAAGAGAGCGAGGGGAAAAGGAAGAGGGGUUAGGGUUUUUAAAAGAGAAGGGUUAGGUUAAACUGGAAAGUAAGAGAGAAAUAGGUGGGGGGUGAUUUGGCUUUCUAGAUAUUCGGGUAUUUUUUCUUUUAUUUUAAUUUGUCGUCUUACUCUUUUCCAAGUUAGCAACCCAUGUACUACUGCCCGUUGGAUCUGUUCCUAACUUAUUCGUCCAUGGUUUUUCUUCUUCUUUCUUCUUUUUGCACUUUUACUCUUUUACCCCUCAAACUCCCAACUAACCUUUUUGCAUCUCUGCUCCACCUAACAUUUUCCAUCCUCGGCUUGGGCUUUUUUCUUCUCUUUAAUUUAUUUUUAUCGAAUUAAUAUUAACUAUUUUUACCAUAACAAACGAUUAAAAACUUAGGGUGAGUUUGGAUGGGCGGUGCGUGUACCUACGGUUAGUGUAAAAACAGCGGUGGCGGUGAGAUUAGACACUGUAGCGAUACUGAAGCGUGAGACAAAAAGUAAACUAAACGCACCGCACCGCACCUAAUCGCCCAUCCAAACCCACCAUUAAAAGUCUGGUCAUUUGAAACAACAAUGCAAUCAAGAAUUCUUUGCUACUCCACUUUCCGCUUUCUGCUUUUCGCUUUGAUUUGAUUUAUAACGAUCUCAUCAAACAAGGACAAAUUUGAGAACCCACACACGAUCAGGCGAAAAAAAAUGAAGUUAUAUUUUAUAUGUAUUUUGAAAAUACAUUAAUCUAAGUAAUUCAGAUUAAAGUUUUAAGGGUAAAUUAUAUCGGGAUUUAUAGGUGAAAGUAUCGUGAAUAUUUUUGUAUUAUUAGUUAUAUGAUAUUAUAUUUUAUAUUAAUAAAUAAAUAAAUUAAUCCAUAUAUAUUAGAUUAAAGAAUAAAUUGAUAUUUCUAUUAAAAAUUUUAUUCAUUUCCGCUGUUAACAAUUGAUGGAAAGUAUAAAUUGUAAAUUAAUAUGAGCACUAUUUAAAUUAAAAGUGAUGAUUUAUCAUCUUACAAAUUUAAUUAUUCACAAGCAUUAUUCAAAUUAAAAGUGAUGAUUUAUCAUCCAAUGAAUACAUUUCCAUGGAACAUGUUUCUCUCAAGGAGUAUGUCCAAUAUGAAGGGUUAUGGCUCUUCAAAUUGUAUUCAUUGAGUGCAUAUAAAUAGAGGCAUUAUGGUGCUUACAAAUAUACAAUUACAAUCAAUCUUAUUUUCAAAAGCUAGAGUAAGAGUUAGGGAAUUCCUCGAUUUUGCUAAUCAAAGGAAAUUCAAAACUUCGUUAUAUCCCAAUAGGACCUUUGUCUUAACCCUCUAGCAACUUUGUGGGGGGGGCAAAUAGUUCUCUUUGGAAAGCGUCAUUCAUGUCUCGAAGUCUACUGUUUAUUUCCAUACAAGUCUCUGGUUCUAUCGUCUCCACUCAAAUAUCCAACAAUCAAAGAGAACUAAUUCUGGAGAUGGCGACUGAGGCUAACACCACAUUCAAAGUGAUGAACCAAGAGUUUGUGAAACUUAACCGAUUUGAUGGUUCAAACUUGGAAGGACAAGAUGUUGUUCCUUCUUACUAUCUUAAAAGUGGCGUACAUUCUGGAUCCAAACCUACAACCCGUGGAAGAUCCCGCUCCCAAUGCAAAUUCUGAGGAAAUUGAGAAGGUGGCUGAACUCAAGAAGAAGCACGAAGAAGACACUUUCACAUGUUUAAGACACAUCCUCAACACCUUGUCUGAUCGAUUGUAUGAUAUUUACAUGUCGAUGCAAUCCUCGGUGGAAAUAUGGAAAGCUCUUGAAGAGAAAUACAACACCAAGAGACAAGGUACUGAUAAAUUUUUAAUGAUGAAGUAUUUCAAAUUCAAAAUACUUGAUAGUAUCCCGAUCAUGGAUCAAGUCCAUGAAUUACAAGUCCUUGUAAGCAGGCUUCGUGACUUGAAAGUUGUUAUUCUAGAAUUAUUACAAGUUGGGGCUAUCAUCUUGAAGUUGCCCUUAUCUUGGAACAAUUAUCGGAAGAAACUUCUACAUAUGGCAGAGGACUUCACUGUGGAGAAAAUACUUAGGCAUUUGCGUAUUGAAGAGGGAACUCAGAAGUGUGAUGCGAUGUAUCUUCCCUAAAGUUCUAAAGUGAACUAUGUGAGCGAGUCUAAGAACUCUCGAAAUGGUAAGCGAAAGGCCAUAUCCGAGACCAAGGACGUGCAAGACAAGAAGAAAAAAACUCGUAAUUAUUAUAAUUGCAAUAAGAAAUGACACUAUAUUAAGGAUUGCAGACUUCUCAGAAAGAAGCAAGAUGCCACAACUUCCAAAUCCAACAUGAACUUAGUGGCCAUGGUUACGGAAGGGAUAAAAAAUUUGGAGAUUGGUAUGAUUACUGAACUCAACAUAGCCAUGACUGAUAAGUUCUGUAAUUGGUGGCUCGACUCUAGAGCUAUUGUCCAUGUGUGUAAUGACCGACAACAAUUCAAGAGUUAUGAACUAAUGGCAAACUGUUAAGUGCUUAUGGGAAACUAUCAAUCUGUUAAAGUGCUUGGUCAAGGGACAGUGGAACUCAACUUCACAUUUGGGAAGAAAUUGACUUUGACUAAUGUGAGAGAAUUUAGUGUCUGCAAGUAUUCUAUGUAACAAGGGAUUCAAGAUUAUCUCGGAAUACAAUAAGUUGUAUUGCUUAAGGAAGAUAUAUAUGUAGGAAAAAGGAUAUUGUAACGAGGGUAUGUUCGAGUUGAGCAUUAAUAUGAAUAAAGUUAAUUCUUCUACUUAUAUUAUUGAAUCUUAUCCUUUGUGGCAUGUGCGUCUAGUACAUUUUAAUUUUAAAACUUUACAAUAUAUGCAAAAGAAUGAUUAUAUAAGUUUAAGUAAUGAUGAGUUUGAGGAUAUAUGUAAAAAAUUUUAUUCAAUCAAAAAUUACCAAGAAGUCAUUUCCUAAUAAGUGUGAAAGGAAUUCACAAGUGUUAGAUUUAAUUCAUUCGGAUGUUUAUGAAUUAAAUGGAACACUAACAAGAGGUGGAAAAUGAUAUUUUAUCACUUUUAUAGACGACUUUUCUAGAUUUACUUAUGUUUAUCUUAUGAGAAGUAAAUAUGAGGCUUUUGAUAUGUUUAAACGUUUUAAAAAUAAAGUUGAGAAUUUGUUUAGUAAGAAAUCAAAGUGCUUCGUAGUGAUAGAGGUGGUGAAUAUUUUUCAAAUGAAUUUAAUAUAUUUUGUGAGGAACAAGGUGUGGUACAUGAGUGUUUUGCGCCUUAUACUCCGCAACAAAAUGAUUUGGCAAAAAGAAAGAACCGUACUUUAGUAGGUAUGGUUAACUCGAUGUUGUUAAAUGCUAAACUUCUAUAUAAUUUAUGAGGUGAAGCAUUACUGACUGCGUCUUAUAUUCUUAACAGAAUACCAUCGAGAAAAUUCAAAGUUAUGGAGGGGUCGGAUGCCAAACUUAGAUUAUUUCAAAGUGUGGGGGUGUUUGGCUUACUAUAGAGUUCCCGACCAAUAGAGAACAAAGUUAGGUCCAAAAGCCGUCAAGGGUGUAUUUGUUGGAUAUGCCCAACACUCUAAGGCUUAUCGUGUUCUUAACUUAUGUCAAAUACGAUAAUUGAAACAAUAGAUGUUGUAUUCAUUGAAAAUAAAGUUUUCAAUGAUUCAACAGAUUCGGAAAAAGAAUAUCAACCAAUGAUCUUAAGUGAUCAAACCAAAAGAAGUCUUUGUGAUAAUAAGGAUACGGAACGGAGGAAAAGUCAAAAAGUGAGAAAAGUAAAGGACUUUGGUCCUGAUUUAAUUUCCUCGCAAUCUCUAGCAUUCCUUGUUGAGGGAAAUAGAGAAUCCGUAAUUAGGAAGAUCCUCAUAAUGUUUAAUGUGGAUGGUGAUCCAUAAUCCUAUAGUGAAGCCAUGACUUUUAAGGAUGCAACAUUUUGGAAAAAGGCGAUCAAUGAUGGAAUGGAUUCAAUAUUAUCCAACAAUACUUGGAUUCCAGUUGAUCUUCCUCAAGGAUCGAAGCCUAUCGGGUGUAAAUGGGUGUUUAAAAUGAAGAAUACUCCAAUAGGGGGUUCUCCAACCUUUAAGGCUAGGUUGGUGGCUAAAGGAUUUAGGCAAAAAGAAGGCCUAGAUUAUUUUGACACUUAUGCACCAAUGGCUAGGAUGACCUUCAUUCGAAUUUUUAUAGCACUUGCAUGUAUCCAUAAGUUACAUGUACAUCAAAUGGAUGUUAAGACGACUUUUUUGAAUGGUGAUCUAGAAGAGGAAGUCUACAUGGAGCAACCAGAAGGUUUUGUGCUUCCUGGGAAUGAACAUAAGGUGUGUAAGUUGAUCGAAUCAUUAUAUGGUUUAAAACAAGCGCCUAUAUAGUGGCAUGAGAAAUUUGACUCGGUUAUCUUGUCAUAUGGCUUUUUACAUAAUGGUGCAGAUAAAUAUAUUUACACUAAAUUCACCGAUAGGUAUAGUGUAAUUAUUUGUCUCUAUGUAGAUUAUUUGUUGAUUUUUGGUAAGAAUAUGGAAGGUGUUCGUGAGACCAAAGAGUAUCUAGCCUCGAAAUUUAAAAUGAAGGAUCUCAAUGAGGUAGAUACAAUUCUAGGUAUAAAGGUGAAAAAGCAUGAAAAAGGCUUUGCACUAAGUCAAUCUCAGUACUUCGAGAAAGUAUUGGAAAAGUUUAAAUACUUGAAUAUCAAGGAUUCAAACGCUUCAUACAAUUCAAACUUCAAGUUAAGUGAGAAUAAUGGUAGGGCUAUAGCGUAACUUGAGUACGCGAGCGCAAUUGGAAGUCUAAUUUAUGCAAUGCAUUGUACUAGACCUGAUAUCACAUUUGUUGUGUGCAAAUUGGCAAGAUUUACAAAUUGUCCAAGUAUCGAUCAUUGGAAAGACAUUUGUAGAAUUUUUGGCUAUCUUAAGAAAACAAAAAAUUUGGGAUUAUUCUAUAGUGAUUAUCUUGCAGUACUAGAAGGUUACUCGGAUGCAAGUUGAAUUACAAGUCUAAGUGAUAAUCAGUCCACAUCGGGAUGGAUUCUUACAAUAGGAGGUGGAGCCAUUAGUUGGGCCUCCAAAAAAUAAACUUGCAUCUCACAUUUAACUAUGGAGGCUAAAUUUAUAGCCUUAGCGGCUACUGGCAAGGAAGCGGAAUGGCUAAGAAAUCUCUUGCUAGAUAUAAAGUUGUGGCCACAACGUAGAUUUGCCAUUUCCAUAUAUUAUGAUAGUGAAUCUACCAUGACUCGAGCGUACAAUAAGGUGUACAAUGGAAAGUCUAGACAUAUAAGUUUGAGACAUGAGUAUGUGAGACAAUUGAUUAAGGACGGUGUGAUAACUGUUACCUAUAUUAAGUCAAUUGACAAUUUAACGGAUCCAUUAACAAAAGGUUUGUCAAAGGAUUUGGUUAAGAGUACCACCACUAAAAUGGGAUUAAAAUCAUUCUAAUUACAUCAUUGAUAAUGGAAACCCUACCUUGUCCCAGCAAAAAUUUAGUUUCAAGGUUCAAAGUGUAAUAACAAGUUAUCGAAUGACAACGUACACUAAGAAUUAGGAUUUAGUGUUUAUAUUUUAGGAGGAUGAGUUUUUUUAAUGGAUAGACAUUAAUUGUCAUGAAAUCCACCUAUAUGGACAUGAAGUGGUGCUGCUUCAACGAGAUUUUCUUUAUGGUUUUCUCUCGUACAUGUUCAUGAAACGAGAUGAGCACAUAGCCAUAACAAUGCUAAAGCAAAUUUAAAUUCUUACUCUAAUAUUUUACGAUUAUGUGUGAAUUUUUUUCGGUAUUAACUUUAAGAGUCGUGGUUCAUGCAACUACCCACCAUUCACUUUGUUGAUACUCUGAGAGUUUGCAUUAAAUGAAUGUUCAAUCUGCGGACACCCUUAUUUAUGCAUAAUUGCUGUUUACUUAUUUUCUGGAAUUAGCAAUCUAGUUGGGGAUUGAUGGAAAGUAUUGUAACGCCCUAAAAUUUGGGCCUAGAAGUAUUGGGCCUUGAGUAAGGGAACAGUUAGGAAACUGUGCACAAAAAUAUGUCUGCUUUAGUGGUUAAGGGUCCUGAGAGGAGUUGGAAAAGUCCUGGGUUCAAACCUAGGCUUUAGCAAAAAUUUUGGUUUUAAGUGGAUAAAACUCUGGAUGCUUGGAUGUAGGCCUUUUAAAUUAUUGUGUUAAAAAAUGUCAUAAGGAAGCAUGUGGUCUAGUCGUUGUGGCGUCAUUCAGGUUACAAGGGAGUUUGGGUUCAAGUUUUGGCUCUUGCAUUUUAUUUUUAGUUUUCUCUUAAAUGAACCUGAACACUGGCACUUAGGCCUUAUUAGUAAUAAUGCUUGUUAUGUGUCACAAAAAAGUUUGUGGUCUAGUGGUAAGUGGUGUGUUCAAGGUUGCAAGGGAGCUCAAGUUCGAGUCUCAUGAUGCACAAGGGAGUAUUUAUUUUAUUUCCUUACAGCAUGAGAAGUGGAGUUUGACCGAAACUCUGUCAAGUGAAGUUUGAAUUGGUCUUGGAGGGUUUUGUGGAGCAAAUCAAUGAGGAGAUUGGGGAGAAAAUUAAGGAAAUUCGAAAAUAGGAGGUUGGUAGGGUGCUGUAGCCGAUUGGUACUCUAAGGCUUAGUGAAAUUCGGCUAAGGGGAAAGGAAGGGAGCAUUUUCGGCACUAGGCAUUUUUUUGUUCAGUUUUGUGGGGUUUUAGAGGAGAGUGUCAAAUUUUUUUUGGGUUUUUUCCAUUCGGGGAUUUCUUUCGGGUUUUGCGUUUUAGCUAUUGAGGUGACCAAAAUUACUGCUAUUUCCUUCCUCUCUACAUUUGCGGAAUAGGUAACUUUCUUUUUGGUCUCAUUUUUCUUUCUCUGUCGAACACCAUAUUCUAUUUUCUCUACUCUCCUAACAGUGCCGCAUGCACUUCUCUUCUAUCUUCCCUCCAUUCUUCUAUUUCUUUCAAAGCUGAACCUACUCAUCGUCUUCUUCUUCUCUGCUUCCCACUCUCCCCAUCCCAACUAAUUUCUUCAAGGCUCUUUUGUGUACUUUCAGUUACCAUCCUUUCUCUAUUGUGUCUGGCCGAAUAUACCUAAGCUUUUCUAAUCGAUUUCAUCAUCAUCAAUUGCGGGUGUUAAAAUCUCGAGAACAGAAAAGAGGAUUCUCAAGUGUGUGGAGGUGUUCCAAAUCUUCCCUUCACCAACCGUUUAAUCGUUGGGGUAAGUUGGUUGGUAGGCCGAAUAUGCUGUGAUUUUGGUGUUGGAUUUUUUCUUAAAUCAAAAUCGCUACUUGAGCAGAUGAUCAUCAAGAACGUGGAAUCGUGCUUUGGCUAAGAAUCUUAGAAGAGUAGGCCAUAUUUCUUAUAAUCGUGGUAGGUGAUGAUUGUUUAAGUAUGGUUUUAAGUACUUGAAAAUAUUGGUUAUUGAAGGGCUAACCAAAUAUUCAAAUCAAUGUAGGUUGGUGCCAAGAGGUGUUUUGCUAGCUUUUGUGAAAAGGUGUGUAAUCAUACUGUCUCUUUUAUGAAUCGGCAAAAGCCGAAAAGCCGAAAAGCCAAAAAGCCGAAAAGCCAAAAAUACGGCGAUUGAGGCAUGCAAAUGCUCGUGUGGUGAAUCGAGCCCAUGAAACAUGGUGUUAGAUUGGACUGGGCUAUGUAGUUCGCAUAGUCGUGAUUUGAUUUGGCCUAAAUGGGCCACACGAGUGUGUGGGCCCACUUGGGCCGAAUAUAGGCCUUGGGCCCAUUUACACUGUUAUGACCAUUUAGGUUAUCUGUGUCACUCGAGACGACUGUAGACCUUCGGAAAGGUUGUUAAAUGAUCGUAAUACCCCUAUAAGGUAAAAUGACCAAAAUACCCCUAUAAGGUAAAAUGACCGUAAUGCUCUUGAAGGAUAAGUGAUUGAUUUGUGCUAUGGUUUAAUUGACUUAACUGUGAACGAUAUGUCUGAUUCUGAGCAUGGCAUACUGCAUGAGGUUGGGAUCUUGCAUUGGAGGAAGUGAUUGAUAUGUGAGGGUAGCACAGGUCGCAUGAGACGACUGUGGACCCAUCGAUGGCUAUAAGCCAAUUGUGCGAUUGGCGCUCUGCUGCAAUUUUGGUUAGUGCUGCAAUCGGUACAUAAGGAGUGUAGGGAUGGGUAGGUCGAUUUAAUCCCCACAGGAGUGUAGGCAUAGACAGUAGAUAGAGUGCAAGGUUGGUAUGGGCAUUUAUACAUUGCAUAUACUGAUUCUGAUAUUGAGAUGGGCUUAGGCCCAGAUAUAUGUUAUAUGUGCCAUUUGAUUUGGGCUCAGGCCCAACCGAGGCUGAUAGGGGCUAAGGCCAUUUGCCACCGUUACCGUAAUGGGCCUACUGUUACUGUUAAGAGCUCAGGCCUAGACUGAUUCUUUUUCUUUAGUGAGGGGAUUACACACUGAGUUUUCAUAAAAUCACCCUGUUUUUAACAUUUUAGGUAAUCCCCAGCGUUAGACGGUUCGGAGUUGCGAGGGACUCGGAGAGGGCCAUACAACUGCACAUGUUUUAUUCUGUUUUGUUCAUUUACUAAAGCACUUUGAUUUUGAUUCGAGUUGUAAUAAGGCCUCUAUAAUUUCUGGAUUCUAAAUUUGGGAUUUGAUGUGAUUGUGAUUUAUAUCUGCUAGAAGUAGAACACGGUUUUCCAAAACAAUAACUAUUUUCUAACACUACAUUUCUGCAACUCAUUUUUUUAAAAUAUCACGUUUUCAUAAAUCAUUUGUUUUAAAUUAAGCUUCCGCAACAAUAAGGUUUUGAAGUUAACAACUUUUCUUUAAUAAACCUCGAUUGAAAAUAAACAAACGCAAAUUGAGGUUUUGUACAAGUUUUAAAUUGCAAGAAGUUUGAAAAAUCAAGGAGGGUUUCCAAUUGAAACAUGGUUUUCAAAAAACACUUCAAUGUGACAUGCCAGAUUUGGGCCUAACUUCUAGGCCGAGUUUGGGGUGUUACAAGUAUAGAUUGCAAAUUAAUAUGAUCACUAUUUAAAAUAAAAGUGAUGAUUUAUCAUCUUACAAAUUUAAUUAUUCAUAAGCAUUAUUCAAAUUAAAAGUUAUGAUUUAUCAUCUAAUGAAUACAUUUCCGUGGGACAUGUUUCUCCCAAGGAGUAUGUCCAAUAUGAAAGGUUGUGGCUCUUCAAAUUGUAUUCAUUUAGUGCAUAUAAAUAGAGGCAUUAUGGUGCUUACAAAUAUACAAUUACAAUCAAUCUUAUUUUUAAAAACUAGAGUAAAAGUUAGGGAAUUCCUCGAUUUUGCUAAUCAAAGGAAAUUCAAAACUUUGUUUUAUCCCGGGAGGACCUUUGUCUUAACCCUCUAGCAACUUUGUGUGGGGCAAAUAGUUCUAUUUGGAAAGAGUCAUUCAUGCCUUGAGGUCUACUGUUUAUUUCCAUACAAGUCUCCGGUUCUAUCGUCUCCACUCAAAUAUCCAACAACAAUUGGCCCAUGUACGUCAGCAUGAGAUACACAUGACAUGUCGUACAUCAUUGUUUGGAUAUUUCGUCAAACAAGUUGGUUUUGAGAUGGAUUAAAUUUUUAAUAGAAAGGACCAAUUUGCUAUUUAAUCUAAUGUGCUGGAACUAGUUUUAUUUUUUUAGUUGAAGGGGCAAAAUGCAAUCCGACUCCUAAUAUAAGGGCCUCCAUGAUAUUUUUACUGGAUUUACACAAGUAUUAGUAAAUUACUUUUUUUGAUAUUUUUACUGGAUUUACACAAGUAUUAGUAAAUUACUUUUUUAUCAUCGACUAUGAAAAAUUAUUCUUUCUCAAAAGAAAAUUUAUAAAAAGUUAUUUAGAAAAAAAUUAUGAAAAAUUAUAAUAUGACAUAGUUAUUUAUAAAUUUGACAUAAUAAUAAAUUUAACACUCAACAUUGAUAUAUUAUGUCAAUUUAGUCUUAAUUUUAAAAAAUGUAACCCCCAACGUUUGCACAUCUUUUGUUACACUUUUGUUUUUAUUUGUGACCUUUUUCACCUAAAAUAUUAAAAAAAGAAAAAUAAAUUUAUGUGCUAAAUUUUAUUGAAAAUAUACCAAAAAUGAAAACAUCCAAAAACUUGAUAUCUUUGGAUUAGAAACUAACAACUAAGAUAACUUGGUCUCCACCGACUCACUUUUCAUUAAUUUCAUAAUAUUCACACUUGAAUUGUUCGGCGUUGAUUUAAGUGAGUUGCUAUUGUUAUUGUCGUUGUUGUUAUUACUAUCUCCAACAAACAUAAAGUACCUCAUCAAUUGUUCAAUUAACUUACUAUUAAAAGAAAAAUGAAAGUCACCUUUGAAAUCAUCAACAUUUAGAGCUGAAGCAAUGAGCCAUGUCCAAGAGUGAAUAAGCUAAAUGACUUGGGGAGUUAGGAGUUCAAACAAAGUCAUGAAUAAACUUGCAUUAUCAGUCAUUGGAUUCAACAUCAAACAACAUAUUUCAUUAAUAAAUAGGAGUAACUAGAGUGCUUCCAUUUUAUCCUUUUAUAACAUUGUCUUUACGUUUAACUUUAUGGUAAAAUGACAUAACAACAAUAUUCAAACAACAGAGCAAACAAACAAGAAAACAAGCAAACCGAAUUUUGAAAAAUACUUUAUUAAAUUCCUCAAAAAUAAAAAGUACUCACUUUGCUAAUUCGACCCAAUUUUAAGUCCAACAACUUCAAAUUAUCUAAAGCUUUGAUUUGCUUCACCAAUGGUGGUGAACUUAAGCUAACAAAAAAUGAACGAUUGUCAUUGAGAAAUAUUAAGUUCUUAGGCGUUUGAAGUAUGAGAAAAGCAACGUAGUUGGGGAUUAUCUAGUUUAAUAAUAAAUAUAAUUUUAAAAAAAAGUAUUUUGUUUUAUUACAAAUUUACACAUUGUGAAUUGAAUUAUAUUUUUUUAGAAAAAGGUAAGAUAGACUAAGGUCAUGUGUAAUUGGAGAUGGCUAAAUUUUUUUUUAAAUUAAUACUAAAUUGACACAAUAUAUAAAUGUUAAAAACUAAAUUUAUAAUUGAGCCGAUUUUUAAAGUUGCCAUGUCAUCUUUUCAUUAUCCAUUUAAUGUCUGGUGAUCAAAAUAGAAAAAUCAAAUAGUUAUUUUGUAACUUUCCAUAGUUGGAUGAAGAAAAAAACUUAUUAAUAGUUGGGAUUAGUAAGGGUGUUCAAACGGUCAAAAUGAAUUACUCAAAAUUUUGAAACCAAACUAAAGUUGUUUGAAAUUUACUAACCAAACCGAAAUAAUUUUUGGUUAAUUCGAUCAGUUAACUGAAUAACUGGAAUUUGUACAUGUCUUUUUUAUUCUAACAAAAUUGAAACAUGACAAAAAAUUUACAAUGACAAUGUUUUUUUUAUUUGUUUUAGUGCAAAAAAUUUUAAAUGAAAGAAAAAACAACAAAUAACCCAAUGAAAAUGAUAUGGGAAAAAGAAUAAAAGGACUUCAUCUUGAAUAUUGAAAAGAAAGAUUGUUGAAUCUUAAAGUUAAAAGAAAAAAGUUGGAAGAAGAAUUGAAUGAUGAACAAAACCAAAAUGUUUACGGUUUGUUUAAUUAUUUUAGAGUUUUUUUCAAAUUUAAUUUCAUUUUAUAAUAUUUUUUUACCUAUUUUAUGAAUAUUUGUAAUAUUGGGUCUAUAAUGAAAGUCUCAUAGAUAUAUAAUGUAUAUUAUUAAUUUUGGUUAAUUAGUUAAUUUAGUUAAUUAUAAUAAGUGCUCUUAUUCGAUUCGAUAAUAAAUCCAAGUAAGAGAUGUUACAUUCCAAUUUUAUUCACUGCUAUAACCUUUGAUCACUUAAUUCCACUUUUGAUAUGAGCAUCAGGGCCCAAUCUCAAGCCCAUGGGCAUGAUGGGCUUAGUUUAUCGCAAGGCCUAAUAACCCGGUUUAAAUCAAAGCAGAGGAAAGUCAAAUUAAAUGUACUAGCCCAAAAGUUGGUGACAAAAGGCUUUCAAGAAUUAAAAUUUGAAGGUUCAAAUAGCCGAGACUUUAUGAGGCCCAAGAUUGCAGGCCCAAGUGGGGAACCUAGACGAAAAGUUUAAAUAAGCUUAUGAGAGCUUAAUAUGUGAAGAGUGCAACCCAAACACAUACCCUUUUAAGUCCGAGCUCAUUUAGAGUUAUUUUUCUCAUUUGGAAUCACUUAAUUGUAGCGCUCUCACCCGACCUGAUUCACUGAGUCCGAGUUUCGGGUAUUACUAACAGAAAUCUUAAAGAAAUUCUCAAAACCAUUGACAAAAACUCUUUACUGAAGACAUUUCUCAUUAAUUUGAUUAAAAUUUCAUAUUAAAAUAACAAAGGAAAGUAUUUCCAAUUAACAUAUUGUAACGGGCUUGCUAAAAUUUUAUUACAACUCAUAGGUUAUAAAAGACAGAAUCUAAGGGUAUAGUCUUUCUAAAAAUCAACCCUUCUUAUAUGCCCACUGCAUGCAUAGUAUCCCCACUUGCUGCUACUCUGACAUAUUCCCGGCAUUGUCUCCUUAAAUACUUUUGUAACACCUUAUACUCGGCCCAAUCGCUGAGUCUGAGUAUUAGGAUGUCACACCAACAUCACACAUCAUAUACAUUUUGAAUUGUCUCAUUACUAAACUAACAUUCUAUUAAGUUUAGCAUUUGUACGAAUAUUAAGGUAUGCAUACUCUAAUCAUGGUUAAAACAUGAUAAAUAAUCAUCAAAUAAUCCUAUAAUAAUAAUUAAACUUGUAUCGAAACCACUUAGCAAAAUUUUUAAGACAUUUAAGUAGCUAUCGAUACUGAAACUAAGGUAUCGAUAUUUUUCUCAAUUGGUAUCGAUACCUCUUGGAAAAUCGAUACCAAAAUAACAUUCUAUUUCUCGCCUAAAUUCGAAGCACAAGAAAAUAUCGGUACAUUUCAGCAAGUACCAGUUUUAUUACCCCGAGUAUCAAUACUCAUGAUAUGGUGUCGAUACCAAAUUACUAUAUUGACUUUCUGCACAUCAAAAUAUCAUGGAGGUAUUGUUUUUAAAACCUGACUAUCGAUACCUCUACGCUAGACAUAAAAAAUACUACAUGUUUAAACAUUUAGAUCAUUCUAACUUGUAUCAAUACAACAUGCAACUAUUACAUUAUCAGAAAAACAUCAAAACAUCCAUAAUAAUAGUUCAAAGCCUUGAAGAAAUGCCCGAAAAUGCAAAUGAUAUAACAAAGUUUAAAUCCUUGAAAUCUAAAGCAAUAAAUUCAUGAAAACAUCCCAAUUAUCAUGACAAAAACUAGCAAAAAAAAUCUACUACAUUGCCUUUAUUUCCCAAAACAUAAACGAAUGAGUAAACACCUAGGAAAUAAUAUCAAAGUCUUGCUUGGAUAACUCCCUCGGAACCACACCGCUCACAUUGCAACACUACUAAUUUGUAAUGGUUUAAAAAUGAGUGGGUGAGCUUUACCUUCUUAGUGAAUGCUUAGAAUAACUACCAAGCAAACAUGUCAUCAUGCAUUAGUAAACAACUAAAUAGCACAAUUACAACAGUCUCAACUUAGUGUCAUAUUAUACUUGUUCAUGCAAUAUUAGUUGGUUUUUUAACAUGGUAAUCAAGUACUCAUUUACAUAUUAUUCACAUACUUAUUUAGGCAUAUAUCACAAUACAUAGAUUUACAUUUUAAGAUAAUUUGACACUUGAGUUAUGAAAUAUAAAGUGGGCUCUAUCACCACACAUCGAAUAUAAGGAUCUCCAACACACCAAAUGACUCAUAGAGUCAAACAUAUCCCAAAAGUGAAGCAUAUACCUAGCACUCUCCAACACGUCAAUUAUAUCUCGGUGAAUGGAGCUUAGCUCACAUUCCCUUAUCUCUCCAAAUCUAUCACGGUCUUUAAUGCCCCAUAAACACAAAGUACUCACAAUCAUAUGGCAUGCCAACUAUAUCUAACAGUCUCAAAGAUCACAAGGCUAAAAUAUCCGUCAAUAAACACACAUAUUACUUACCAUUUUUUGCACUUUCCACAUUUUAAUCAUAACAUAGUCAUUGUCACAUAGCACGUAUAACAUGCCCACAAUCAAUUAUUUCACAAUAACCAUCAUAAGUUUACUACACAUAUAACAUUUUAAUCCACAAUGUCACAUUACACUCUCAAAUAUAGUCAAGAGUAUGAGGAAGCUUACACUCGAAAUUAAGAGUAGGGGUUUAGACUACUUCUAAAUUCCCAAUUAACGCAAUGAAUUGUGUCCACAAAAAGCGAUUCUAAACACUCACCAAUUAUGCUUUCACCGAGAAGCCUUAAGCUCAAACUACCCUUUCUUGACUUGUAAAUGGUCCUAGCAAAUCUGAAGCUUUGACAUAAUAAAUCACACAACAACACUAUCAACAAUCAGCAAAGGACUCACCUCAAGCAAUCAAAAACAUAAGUCUAAGCUAAGUUCUCAAGUAACUGAAACCUUCGACAUAGCAAACUUAAAUUCCAAAUAUCUCGUUAUAUACUUAAUUUUUUUCCUAAAACUGAUUCCGUUAAUCUAAUUAUUCACAUACGACAGAUUCUUAACCUUUAAACAACACAAAACUACUCAAUUCAUGGUAUCAAAAUUUUUGACAUGUUUAUGGAAAUUUUCAUGAAAUUAAUUUAAAACCCAAGAAAUAUUUAACGAAACUUCAAAUUUUAGAAACCUUCUAAUCAUCAAAACUAAUUGAAAAAUACUUUGAAACCAUAUUUUUACCCAAAAUCUCAAAAUCCACCAUUAACGACCAAAUUUUUUGCUUUUAUUUAAAACAUGUGAUUCGAUAGCUAAAAACUAAGUUUUAAAGACUAGAUAACAUUAAAAACUAACUAGUGGUUACCUUUGAUAGAAGAAAAAUGAGCUUUUGGUUGAAAACCCAAAAAACUCACAAACUUGACAAUAGAGAAAACUAUGUUGUUUUUGAGUGUUUUUCUUAGAAUUCUAUGAUGAUUUAAUGAUGUGAGGGUGAAAGAAAUAAAUUGAAUUAGGAUUUGAAGAACAAAAUCAAAUGGAAGAGGCUAGGGAGAUCAAGGGACGACACAGCAAGAUGAAAAGAAACUAUCGUGAAAAUAAAACUGUAGAUGGGGGAUAUUAGGUUGAUUUCAAAUUUUGGUUUAACUACUUCAUAAACACACAUAAUUUAACCCCUUUUACAAAUCAGUCCUUAUUUCAAAAUUAAGUAUUUUGAACAUCAUUUUCAAAAAUUGAUUUAAUUUUCAAAAUGCCAUAGACAAAAAUAUUUUCGAGCACAUGGUAACAAAAUUCUCGAGCUCAUUAAAGCUAAAAUCCCUAAAAUAUCCUUAAAACUCCUAGGACCAAUUUUAGGGUGUGACAACUUACAAGAACGCGUCAAUACUUGAACCAUAAAUAUAACACCAGUAAGUUCAGAGGAACUUAGUGAGUUAUGAACACAUAUUACCUUUCAACUUUUCUUGAUAAGUUCUUCAUUUUGAAUAUUUGGACCUUCCACAUCUGUCUUUGGUGAAUACCUUCACAGUGUCAGUUGUAUACUAUCAUACUUAUACGCCAUUUACCAUUCGUACUAUAUUCUCAUUCAUUCUACUACUUGACUGACUUCAGGUUUUGACAGUUGGAACUACCUUCUCUUUCUCUUCAAAUAACUUCCAACAAUGAAUCUCGAACAGAUAAUCAUAUAAACUAUCCUUGGCGGAUACCACUUAUUGUUCAUACUUUUAGCAGAUAUCAAAACAUCAAAAUAUCACAUAACAUGAGAAUAAGAAUAACAUACUUUUCAAAUAAUUGAUAAUCAUAACCAAACAACAUACUUUUCAUAAAAAUAGUUGAUUUAGAAUCACUUGUAUAAUUUGUUUUGACAGAUUUAGUCUCUUGUUUUUGAAUACUUAAGGUAUUCGCAUAAAACACAAAUCAAAUAAUAAUAUUUUAUUUAGGCAUUAUUAAUGAUAUAUAUAGCUUGUAUCAGGUUAGACCCACACCUGAAUUCGUAUGACUCGAUAAUAAUAAUUUCAUUUUCUGACUCUAAGAAAGGAGAUCAACCCUUGAAUCUUAGUUAAAAUAUUAAUACCAUGUCAAUAUAUUGACAUUUUUAAUAAUAUUUUCAAAUAAAUGAUUAAGUUGAAUCAUUUACUUAAUCAAUGGUUCCAAUGAAGGAUGGAGUAUAGAUCAGGGGUUUCAAAUAAACAUUUCAUGUGCGAACAAGAAAUACCCUUGUUAGAAUCUUUCAUAAAUGAGAAUAAAGAAAGAAAUAAUCUAAUCGAAUGAUUUACCAAUACUUAUGAAAGAAAAAUAAUAAAAGAAAAGGGUUUAUUACAAAUAAAAUAAUAAAAUAAUAAAAGAAAAGGGUUUAUUACAAAUAAAAGGGUUUAUUACAAAUCUAAUCGAGGGUAAGGAGGCUCAACGAUUCUUGUGGUGAUUAGAUUAAAUAGAAGGGUUCUUAACUAACAAAUAAAAUGAUAAAAGAAAAUUGAUAUAUUAGAAAAGAUUAACAAUAAAACCUUUCAAGAAAAUUGAGAUAUGAAGUUUGAAUAAUAAAAAGGUUUAUUGCAAAAGAGAGGAGGAGAAAAGAAAGAAAAUAAUGAAAAAUGAUGGUGGUUGAUGGCGCUGGUACGGUGACGGUGCGAUGAUGGUGGUGACGAUGGAGGUCUAGUGGUGGAGAUGUAGUGGUGAAAUGGUGGUGUGAUUGGCUAAGAGUGGGGGAGAUGUGGAAGAAUUAAGGAAAAAAGAUUUGUUUAGAAGGUCAAAUGGAAGAGAAAUGAAAAGAAUAGGAGAAAGGAGGUGGGGUGGCCAAAGAAUGGAUGAGAUAAUCAAAAUGAAAAAAAUAGUGAGAAUGAAACUUGUAUAGGUUCAUUGGACGACAUUCUAUGGUAAGGGAGACAAAAUGAUAAGUCGGGGGGGCAAAAGAAUGAAAAAGAGAUCAUGGGAGUGAAAAAGGGGUUUAAUGAAGGAAGGUUGACUCACACACAAGGAAAGAAAGCUCUGCUUGCAUGGUAACAAAGGUGGACGACAAGGAGGGUUUUUCCCAUGUAAAAGUUUCCAAAACAAAAACAAAUAGAGAAUAAGGAAACUUGAACCUACGACCCUUAGGAAAUUUAUUUAAGCUCCUAACUACUAAGCCAUUUAAUUCUUUGUUCACGCUCUUACAACAAUUAUUUUAAAAACAUGGUGUGACCUUUACUAAGGUUUGAAACAAAUUUGCACCAAAUAGAAAUUAAUGAGAAGGAAGGUAUUCAAACUCAGAUCAUCAAUGACAGCUCCACCACUACUUAAUCACUAUAAUUGUUACUUAUCUAUUGAUAAAUGUGCCAACAUCUAAAAAAUAUUUUGGGCAUGACCACUCUCGGUUCAUUAACCCAAUUUCUACUAACUCAGUUUUUGAGAUGUAACAGGUAUAGUAUUUCUAAACAUCAAACCUUCCUAUACGCCCACUGCAUGCUUAAUAUCCCCACUUGCUACUACUCUGACAUAAUUCUAGCAUCGUCUCCUCAAGUACUUACACUGACGCGUCAAUACCUAAAACAUAAAUAUAACACAGUAAGUUCAGAGGAACUUAAUGAGUUUUGAACAUAUCAUAACUUUUAACUUUUCUUGAUAAGUUCUUCAUUUUAAAUAUUUGGACUUUCCACAUCUGUCUUCAGUGAACACCUUCACAGUGUCAGUUGUAUACUAUCGUACUUAUAAGCCACUUUCGUACUAUAUUCUCAUUCAUUCUACUACUUGACUGACUUCAGGUCUUGACAGUUGGAACUACCUUCUCUUUCUCUUCAAAUAACUUCUAAAAAUGAAUCUCGAAUAGAGAAUCAUAUAAACUAUCCUUGGCAGAUACCACUUACUGUUCAUACUUUUGGCGGAUACUUAUACUUAUAGUGAACAUAUCUGACAAAUAACCGCUCAGAAUAAGAUAUAUUACUAUACCAAUACAAUGAAAGUCAAAUUACUUAGAAUUCCACAUUAUUAGCAUAAUUAUUCAAAUUGGUGGACUCUUUCAUCAAAUUCGCCCAUAUACUAAUCUGACAAAUAACAACGACGGAUACCCUCUUCUAACAUGUUUAAUCAUACUUCUUUUCAAGAACUUUCCUUAAGAGUUAAUCGAUUUUAUCACAAAACCUUUCACUUUAGAGCUUCAGUUAGAUCAUAUCCUUUUUAUACACUUACCAAAAUACGCCAUUAAGGCCAAACAGAGUAUGCCAAAAAUGUGACAUACAGAUUACACCACAAAGGCAUUAUACAUAGUAUGUUACAAAUCUAAUAGAAUGCCAAAAAGGCCAUAUUAUAAUGUCACAAAGGCUAACAAAAUGUGCCAUAAAGGCCAAAUUAGAGUAAGCCAUAAAUGCUAGUAGUAUGCCACCUAGGCAUCCAAUAACUACCAUGUUUCCUAAACUCACAUCACGUGAGGUUUGCCCAUCAUUGCCUUGGGACAUAAAAAACCCUAGUCGAUAAAUGUGGCUUAUUUUCCCUUUUCAGAAUGUGCCAUGGCCAUAGACUUUCUUCAAAAUUUACAUGUUAGAGUUCAUGUUUACUGUCCCGAUGGACUUCAUCGUAUGCCAUCGCAGUGACCAAACUCACAACUCAACCUCUCUACACUCAUAGACACCCCCAUUUCCCAAACAAUUUCAAUCAUAUAUUACACAUUCAAGUAGACUAAAUCAUCUUUUUAACUAAAGAAUACUUCAUUACAUACUACACACAUCAUCAUCACAAUCAUAUCUCAUAGUACACAUUCCGAACACAUACACUUAGUUGCUCCAGAAAACCAUAUUCACUCAUCCACAUGGUUCAUUAUGUUCUAGACUCACAGGGACCAAUAUCAAAGAUACAUACUUAUUAUCAAAAAUCAUUCAUUUACACACUCAUCAUUUCUGAUACAUCAAUCAAAGAACACUUGUCUACAAAAAAUUUCUUGAAUAGAUAUUACGAACUCACCUAAGACUCACCUACUACAACUAUCAACUUCAAACUCGGGCAUCCAAUUCGAACUAGCAACAAUUGCUUACAGAACCUGAAUUCAUCAUUAAACCUAUUUACAAAUAGAUUGCUAACAUUUCAAUUACAGAAAAUCUUCAUGCAGGGCUUCUCAUUCGUAAUUUACUACCCAUAUACUUCAUAGCAUCCUUAUUCUUAACAUGCAAAGUUACUAGACUUACCAGGAGAUGGAACGCCUCCGUCUCAUUCAAGAAUCCUUAGCUUCCAGAUCACAUAAGAAAAGGAACAAAAAAUAACAUUUAAUACUUAUGAAAAGAAAGAAUCAAAGAAUUACUCUAAAGGAAAUAGAAAACCCUCUCACGAACCUUUCUUAUACAUAUAUAUAAUCCACUCUCAUUUAGUGGAAUUUGACAAUUGUCCCAAAAUUUUAGAAUAUUCCCUUAAUAAUGUCCUAUGGAAUCUAAAGGAAACAUAAAUAAAAGUCUUUUUCAAAUGCCAUUUUUCUAAUCUGUUUAGUUGGUUUAUAACCAUAUUUAGUUACUGAGACUUGCCCUUCACAGUACUGGAACAAACUAGGCAUAAUAUACAUUUGGUAGUGACAUACACAAAGCUUACUUUUCCUAUAUAUUGCAUUCAUUCUUUACUAAAAAACACACCAAAGAUUGAAUCUUGAUAUACUUCCCUAAGUGAAUACUCAAUUCACCUGAAACAUUAGUUCACCAGAAGCUACCAUUUGGCGAACUAAGUUCCGGAGUGCGCUAGAAUAGAUAUAUUUUCAUCUAUGCACCUAAAAUUUGGGUUAUCCAAAUUUGGGGUGUGACAUUAAUUAUUAUUUUGGCCUUUAUUGUGUUUAACCUAAUGCUAAUGGUUUAAUUGUGUCUUUAAAGUUAUCUAAAUGUUAAUAAUGAUGUAAUUUGACCAGUUACUCAUAUCCAUUAAGCAAUGGUCGAAUUGUAGAUGCCUUUAGUUAUAAUCCUUUUAUGUGUUUUAAAAGUCUUAAGAGAUAAUAGUUGAAAUUUAAUUCAAAAUAUUUUGGAUAGAUGCCAUUUCUUAUCCAUCAAAGCUCAAACUUUUGAUGACUCUUGGCUGUCUAUGUCUCUGUAAAUAACCAUCCUCUUUCAUUUGUAAUCACUUUUUGAUCUAUUAAAUCUAUAACACUCUUUGAGAGUUUUCUUUCAAGAAUUCAGUGCUAAUUAUUUUUAGUAGAAAAUUUCAACUUCAAGUUUUUUGAAUUGUUGGUGGAAAGUUGUAACGACACGACAGUGGUGUCAGAAACUUCAGUUCCGAAUUGUCAUUUCUAUGAACUGUGUUCAUGAAUUUAAUAUUGACAAGGCUAGAAGAGAAGUAUAUUAAAUUUUGGUCUAAUAAUUUAUUUAAUUGAUAGUUAAUUAAUAUGAAAGUGUAACGAUCAUAAGGUUAGUGGUAUCGAAAAAUGUGGUUCUAGGACUCCCUUUUUGUAGACCGAGAUUGUAAAUAUUUUUAUUAAAUAUUUGUGGAGCUAUAUUAUAGGUGAAUUGAAAUUUGGAUAAGUAAUUUUAUUGAAUUAGUGAUUAAUCAAGGUAUAAGAAUUAAUUAAUAAAAGUUUAGUUAUUAGAGAUUUUUAAUUAGGAAUAAGGAGCAGGGAUUAAUAAGGCAAUUAUACCUUAUUAUUUAUAGUGGACGGUUGUGGCAUGUUUUUCCAAGAAAUUUGUUUAAAAAUUUUAAGUAAAUUAAAAUUAAAGAAAAAACAUAAAAUGACAUAUAAUCUGUAUAUGAUAGUUAGGAGGGGGAAGAAAUGAAAAAUGAUUACUUUUAAAAUGUUAAAUAUCAUGAUGGUGGGGGUGCAUGAAAGGCUAUUGGUGGACGAAUAAACCAAGGUGGAGAAAGAAAGAAAGGAUAAAAUUUUCAUUUCACCUCAAUUGGCUUUGAUUUUUAUUACUCGGGGCCGAUUCGAAUGGAGGAGCUAAGGGGAGAUUCGGCUACAUGGCAGAUGAAAUGAAGCAAUUAGGUUGUUUAUGUGAGAGUUUAAAGCUCGCUAACAAGGAGGAAGGAGGACCAAUUAGUAAUGGGAAGGCCAAGGAUUUGGUAGUUAAAUUCGGCCACGAAAAUUUUUUCUGAUUUUUCUUAAAAAUCCUUUAUUAUUUCCAUGCUUGAAAAUCUUAACAAUUUUACAAGGAUGAUUUGAUGUUAGUUACAUGGAAAAAAAAUUUCGUUGCAAAUUACAUGGUUGCUAUUGUUUUGUAUUGGUUAAACUCGUUUAUUUCAGAUUUAGUUGCUGUCCAAUUAGUGCAAAAAUUUCCUGUUGCUCAAGCAAAGUAGAUGUUGUUGCUGUUUAUUUUUAUACUUUUAAUGCUCUAUUUAAGCACCGAAAUUGAAGUGCUUAAAUGCUAUAAAUUGAAGUGUUUAACUACUGUAAAUUGAAGUGUUUAGUUGCUGAAAAUUGAGAUGUUUUAUCGCUGUAAUUGAGGUGUAUAAGUGUUAUUAAUUGGGAUUUUAAAGUGUUGUAAGUUGAGGUUUUUAAAUGUUGUAAAUUGAAGUGUUUAAGUGCUGCAAAUUGAGGUGUACAAAUGAGUUUGAAAUUAGUUAUUGCACUGCAUUUUUGUUGAUUAAAUGCUAUCCAAAAUAAGUUAUAAAAAAUCCGUUUAAUGUUAUUUUAAAACAUGCUAUGUUGUCGUUGUAAGCUGUCCAAAUAUUCGUUUAUGAUGUCCAAAUGAUCACAAAUAUAAGUCAUAUUAUUGAUGUAAAAGAAUUCGUUGUAGUGAUGCAAUUUAAGUUGCUUGAAUGUUACAAAUGUAGGUUGGCUAAAUGUGCUUUCAUGUUAAUUUAUUACUCUGUCCUGUUGUUGUUUAUGAUGGUACAAAGAAAGACAGAAUAAGAGUGUUUAUGGUUGAUUAACUACCCUACAUGGUUGUUGUCUCAUGCUGCCCAAAUUGGGACAAAAAUAGAGGUGUCAUUGCUGAUUAAGUGCUCUAUAAGUUUGUUAAUUUUGUGCUGUCCAACAUGGGAAAAAUUAAUGGUGGUGAAGUUGAGUUGAAUAUACAAUUGGUAUAUUUGCGAUGUUGUGGAUGUGGUUUGAGUUGCUAAGAAAUGAAAUGACUAUAAAUUAAAUAAAAUGGUAUGAAUUGUUGUAAGGAUGAUAGUUGGUUGAGAAGCUUGUAAUGCUUGAUAGUAUUGCUUGUAUUAUUAAAUCUGAAUGGUGUCUCUUCGUGCCAAUUAAGGCAAGGUAAUAGAAUUGGUUUUGGUAUAGAAUGUAUAGAUGAAUUGUUGAAGAAUUUGGUUAGUUCUUAUAGGUCUAUUGGACUACCUAAAGGUCACUAUUAGGGAAUGUUUUGAGUUUGAGCAUGAAAUUUGAACUUAUUGGACCAAUGAUGCACUACAUGUCCGUGUAACACCCCCAACUUGAGUCCGUUGCCGGAUUAGAGUUACGGGGCAUUACAGAUCAAAACCCAACUCAAAAAUUUUUUUAUUAUAAAUUAUACUAACUCAACCCCAAAAUUUCAUUCCAUAUAUAUACAUAUAUAUAAACACAUAACCAAUUAAAAUCAAACAUGCAUCAUAAAUCAAAUUACAUAUACUAACCAUGUCUCAAAAUUUCAACCAUAUCAUUAUCAUUUACCUAAUCAAAAUUUAUUAUCAUUCAAAUUCUUAAAACAUUUCCAAACAUAUAUGAUUAUAUAUCAAAAUCCAAGCAUAUAUCCAAACAUUUAUUUGUACACAUAUUUCAUUUCAAGUUACUAACUAUACUACAUAUUACAACAUAGGUGGUCUACCCUAUUUGGACAAUUAUUAUACAUCAAUUUGAACAACAUUUAUAUACCAAACUAGAUAGCAUUUUCACACCAAAAUUUGGACAGCAUAUAUACAAAAUUUGGACUGCAUUUCUACAUCAAAAUUUGACAGCAUAUGCAUAUAUAAUUGGACUGCAUUUGUACAUCAAAAUUUGACAGCAUAUACAUUCAUUUACUCUAUCAAUAAGCCAAACGUAAUUAAUCACCAACAUUUACAAGCAUACUUCAAUUUAUAAAUCAUCCCCUAUAUUCACUUAACUACUAAAUCCAACCAAAUCAUAUAUAUUUCAUAUAUAAUACAUAACCUAGACACUUAACUUAACAUUACUUAUCUUAAUGAAUAUAACAACUUAAUUACCGAAACACUUGAAUGAAAUCACCAUGCACAUAUAUAUACAUUACCAUAUAAAUACUAACCAUAAAAUACUAAUCCAUGAUUAAAGUAUGCUUAAACCAUAAUUCAGCCCAAAACCGAACACAAACAAGAAAAUUAAGCCAUUUUCGCAUGGCUUAAUAUUACAUAAUCUAAAUUCAAGCAUUUCAGCUACGCUAUACAUGCCAUAGGAUCGAAUUCAAAAUUUACAAAAUACUGAGAGGAGUCGAUAGUGUGAUAAUCUUCUUUGACGAUCCCCGAGCUCGUAACCAACUUACAAAAUCUAUAAAAAUGAAGAACAACAUACACACAGUAAGCUAUUUAAGCUUAGUAAGUCAUAAGCAAACAUUAUUUAUUUUAACAUUAAUAUUAAACCAACCAAAUCAAAUAUAAAUAAACAUUUAACUUUAAUAGCUUAAUGCACAAAUACUCCAAUUAUUGUAUAAUUAUCAAAAUAUAAUUUAAAAAAAUACAAUAAUAAGCCAAACUACCAAUCACUUAUAAGCACAAACAUGCUCACAUAUUGUUCAUAUAUCAAAUAACUUUGUAUCAUCAAUUGAAUAUACAACUUACCUUAAUUUCAUAGCAUGAUAUAAAUACAUACCUGAACACUAUUAUUGUUUCGAUUUCACAUUCGGUCUUCACUUAACAUUGCCCGUUGAACCGUUCAGAAUUAAAAAGGAUACACGGAUAAUUAAAAAGCUAGUACAAUGCCAACGUCCUAGAUGUGGUCUUACAUGUAAUCACAUAUCGAUGCCACUGUCCCAGACAGGGUCUUACACGAAAACACAAGUCGAUGUCGACGUCCCAGACGUGGUCUUACACGAAAACACAUAUCGGAGUCCUAUGUCAUGACAUAAGUAUCCUAUCUAUUCCUAGGGUUCGUACAGGGCUUUUAGGCGUUGAUUAUCGAUCGAAUAGAACUCGAAAGGAAAUUCCUAUCUUUAUAAUCAUUUUUGGCCAAAACAUAUAAAAAAUAAAUAAUAUAAUUUAUCACUUAUCAUUUAUAUAUUCUUGAAUUUAACAACAUUUAAAUGCUUAUCGACUUACCUCGGAUGUCGUCGAUUGCUAAAUCGGCUACUCGACCACUUUUGUCUUUCCCCGAUCCAAAUUCGAUUUCUUUAAUUCUUGAUCUAAAAAUAUUCAAAUUAAGCUUAUUUAAACACCAUUCUAUUCAAUUUACCCUAAAAGCACAUGAAUGGGAAAAUUACAAUGUUACCCCUAAAAUUUCACACUUUUUACAAUCUAAUCCUUUUUGCUCAAAACAAAAAAUACACAAAUUUUGGCUACACUCCUUAAGGGCCGAAUAUUCCUAGUGUCUAUACAAGCUCAUGCAUUUCAUUUAUUUCACAUUAUAGUCCUUCAAAAAUUUAUUUUCUCAAUUUAGCCCUAAUUACUCAAAUUCACCAAAAAUUCAAAGAUAAAACAUGCUAAGCUAACAAUUAUAUUUCAUAUUUCAUCAACUAGCAUCAUGAAACUCAAACAUUCAUCAGUGGCACAUUUCAAAAUCAUCAAAAAUUCACAAAAUUAAGACAUGGGUUUUGAAGUAUUCAAAGCAACGAUCUCAAAAACGUAACAAUUAUAAAAAAAACAAACAAAAUUCAUACCUCAAUCAAGCUUGCAAGUGCCGAAUAUAUUAAAGCUUUUAAACAAUCUUCUUUGUUCUUAGUUUCGGCCAAAAGAUGGAGAAAUAAUGCUUUAAUUUUAAUAUAUUAAACAUACACUAACAUUAAUAAUUAGUUUACUUUAUUAACCUUUAUAUGAAUAUAUAUAUAUACAUAUAUAUAAGGCUAUACUUGUACUUUGCCACCCACUAACUAUAUUUUGGCCUUAUUACAUCAUAAAUCCUCUAUUUAAUAAAGACAACAACAAACUGGUUCCUUUAGAUUUAACCCCUAAAUUUUCAUUUUACGCGAUUAAGCCAUUUUCUUUAAUCAAUCUCUCAAACGAUAAAAUUAAAACACGAAAAUUUCACACAAUUAAAUUCACACAUCAUAAACACACAAAAUAAUAUUAAAAUAUUUUUUUCUAAUUCAGAUUUGUGGUCCCGAAACUACUGUUCCAAUUAGGGUCAAAAUUAGGCUGUUACAACUCUCCCCCCUUAGGAAUUUUCGUCCCCGAAAAUCUUACCGGUGAAUAGGUUUGGAUAACGUUCUUUCAUUGUAUCUUCUGACUCCCAAGUUGCUUCUUCAACUCCAUGUUUAUGCCAAAGUACUUUGACUAACAAAAUUUUCUUAUUUCGUAAUUCUUGAACCUCAUGAGCCAAAAUGCUAAUCAGUUCUUCUUCAUAUGACAUAUCAGAGUUAAUUUCAAUCUCGGUCGGACUAAUCACAUGUGAAAGAUCGGGUCUGUAUCUACGAAGCAUCGAAACAUAUACAUUUUGAAUAUUUUCUAACUCAGAUGGCAACAAUAAUUUAUAAGCAACCGGCCGGAUACGCUUUAUAAUCUCAUACGGUCCAAUGAAUCUCAGACUUAAUUUACCUUUGUGACCAAAUCUGAGUAUUUUCUUCCACAGUGAGACUUUCAAAAACACUUUGUCCCCGAUCUAAAAUUCUAUAUCUUUUCUUUUCAAAUCCACAUAGGAUUUCUGACGAUCUGAUGUUGAUUUCAGACUGUCCCGAAUCACUUUCACUUUCUAUCCAGUCUCUUUAAUCAAAUCAACCCUGUGUAUCUUAUUUUCACUGAGCUCAGUCCAAUAUAAUGGUGUACGACAUUUACGACCGUACAAAGCCUUGUAAGGUGCCAUUUUGAUACUAGAUUGAAAGCUAUUAUUAUAAGCAAAUUCAAUCAAAGGUAAGUAUCGUUCCCACGUACCUUCAAACUCUAGAAUGCAACAUCUCAACAUAUCCUCAAGUAUCUGAAUGAUUCGCUCGGAUUGACCAUUUGUUUGCGGAUGGAAAGCUGUGCUAAAAUGUAGUUUCGUACCUAAAGCAUCUUGUAAUUUCUUCCAAAACCACGAUGUGAACCUCGGGUCUCUGUCCGAGACAAUAGAAAUAGGUACACCGUGCAAUCUCACAAUUUGUGAAACAUACAAUUCAACAAGUUUAUCAAGUGAAAAAUCAGUACGAACCAGAACAAAGUGAGCCGAUUUUGUUAAUCUAUCAACAAUAACCCAGAUUGCAUCUUUCUUGCUCGGUGACAAUGGUAAACCGGAUACAAAAUCCAUCGUGACUCGGUCCCAUUCCCACUCGGGAAUCAUAAUAGGCUGAAGUAAUCCAGACGGUACUUGAUGUUUGACUUUAACUUGCUGACAAAUUAAACAUUUCGAAACAAAGUCAGAAAUGUCUCGUUUCAUACCGUGCCACCAAUAGUGUUGUUUCAGAUCGUUAUACAUUUUCAAACUACCUGGAUGAAUAGAAAAUCGACUAUUAUGAGCUUCAUUCAAGAUCAUCUGAAUUAACUCUAAACUUUUCGAAACACAUAGUCAAUUUCUAAAUCUCAAACAAUCCUCAGCAUCAACUAAAAACUCUGAAUCAGCUUUUAAAUCACACUGGGCCCGUUUUGCAAUUAAAUCAUCAUUGGCUUUCUGAGCUUCACAAAUUAGUUGAACAAAUAAUGGUUUUGCUUUCAACUCAGCUACUAUCGCACCAUUAUCAGACAUAGCUAUAUGCAUGUUCAUUGCACGCAAAGAAAAUAGUGACUUUCGACUUAGGGCAUCAGCAACAACAUUAGCUUUUCCCGGAUGAUAGUCAAUCACAAGCUCGUAAUCUUUUAGCAAUUCUAACCAUCGGCGCUGUCUCAAAUUUAGAUAUUUCUGAGUCAUCAAAUACUUCUGGCUUUUGUGAUCGGAAUAAACAUGACAUUUUUCGCCAAACAGAUAGUGGCGCCAUAUUUUCAACACAAAUACAAUAGCGACCAAUUCCAGAUCGUGCGUUGGAUAGUUCUUUUCGUGCGACUUUAAUUGUCUCGAGGCAUAGGCUACAACUUUGCCUUCCUGCAUCAAAACACAGCCCAAACCAUUUAAAGAUGCAUCACUAAAAAUAACAAACUCUUUACCUGAUUCUGGCUAAACAAAGACUAGAGCUUCGGUCAAAAGAACUUUCAACUGAUCGAAACUUUUCUGGCACUUUUCUGACCACUCAAACUUAACGUCUUUUUGUAGUAGCUUUGUCAUCGGGGUCGCAAUCAUGGAAGACCCUUUCACGAACCGUCUAUAAUAACCUGCGAGCCCUAGAAAGCUUCGAACUUCAGAGACAUUUCUCGGAGGUUUCCAAUCAAGUAUAGCUAAAAUUUACUCAGAUCAACCCGAAUACCCGAUGCUGAUACAACAUGACCUAGAAAACUGACUUCGCGUAACCAGAACUCACAUUUACUGAAAUUUGCAUACAACUAUUUAUCUCGUAAAGUUUGUAACACAAGUCUCAAAUGUUCGGCAUGCUCAGUUUCGUCACGAGAGUAGAUCAAAAUAUCAUCUAUAACUACUACCACAAACCGGUCCAGAUACUGUCUAAAGAUCCGAUUCAUCAAAUCCAUGAAAAUAGCAGGUGCGUUAGUAAGUCCGAAAGGCAUAACCAAGAAUUCAUAAUGUUCGUACCUCAUUCGAAAAGCUGUCUUUGGCACAUCAGAGUCUUUAACUCGCAACUGAUAGUAACCUGGUCUCAAAUCUAUCUUCGAAAACACUGAAGCCCCUUUUAGCUGAUCAAGCAAAUCAUCAAUACGCGAUAACGGAUAUUUAUUCUUUAUAGUCUCCUUAUUGAGUUGCCGGUAAUCAAUACACAUUCUCAUCGUUCCGUCUUUCAUUUUCACAAAUAGAAUUGGUGCACCCCAAGGAGAGAAACUCGGUCGUGCAAAACCUUUAUCUAUCAACUCUUGCAACUGUGCUUUCAACUCUUUUAAUUCAGUCGGUGCCAUACGGUACGGAGCUAUCAAAAUUGGAGUCGUCCCUGGUACUAACUCAAUACCAAACUCUACUUCUCGUGUAGGUGGCAAACCCGACAAUUCUUCGGGAAACACAUCUGAAUACUCACACACAACUGAUAGAGAUUCAAUCUUCUUUUCGGUCACUUUACUAUCAAGAACAUAUGCAAGAUAAGCUUCACACCCUUUCUUCACAUACUUUUGAGCCAACAUCGAGGAUAUCACUGCUGGUAAACCAUUCAGAUCAUUAGAUUCAAUCCGAAUAAUCUCGUCAUUUAGGCACCUUAAAUCGAUAGUCUUUCUUUUGCAGUUAACCACAGCAUCGUGUAAAGUCAACCAGUCCAUACCCAAAAUUAUAUCGAACUCGUCAAAUGGUAACAACAUCAAAUCAGCCAGAAAACACAAAUCUCGAAUCAUCAAGGGACAAUUCUUACACAUUUUGUCGACCAAAAGACACCAGCUUAGGGGGUUUGAUACUUUAAUUACAAACUCAGUAGACUCAACAGGUAGAGUCUUACUGAAUACUAAGGUCUCACACACAUAAGAAUGAGUCGAACCAGGAUCAAUCAACGCAAUAACAUUGGUAUCAUAAAGAGUGAAAAUACCAGUAAUGACGUCUGGGGAUGAAGCCUCCUCACGUGCGCGAAUGGCAUAGUCUCUAGCAGGUGCGCGUGCCUCGGAUCUAAUAGCUGUAUCUUUAGUCCCCCUCUGACUGCCACUCAUAUUACCCGCGUUUCUGGGUGGUCUACCCCUAGUUGCAGUGUUACCCGAUCUCGUAUUCUGUACCUGAUUUUGAUCCGAUAACUCUGGGCACUCACGAAUGAAAUGAUCCUUCGAUUCACAUUUAAAACAGGCUCGAUCAUGCAAUCUGCAACUGCCAAAAUGUCGUUUACCGCAAUGUUCACACUCGGGUUGAUUUGAUCUGACAUUACCCACACUCGCUACUGAAGUAGCUCUCGAGCUCACAGGCGGUCUUUCCCGAUCCUAUCGUGAAUACCCCGCAACAGUCCUUGAACGGCUAGUAUCAUCUCGAAACUUCCUUGAGGUCGACUGAAAUGACUUACAAAAUGAUCUUUUACGGGAAUCUCUAGCUUCAAAGUCAGCUUUUCUCUUCUCUUUUCCGAGCUCCCCGGCUUUACAAGCUCGUUCAACAAGUACCACGAACUCUUUGAUCUCAAGUAUGCCAACUAACAAUUUAAUAUCUUCAUUCAGCCCAUCUUCAAAUCUUUUACACAUAAUAGCUUCAGUCGAAACACACUCUCGGGCAUACCUACUAAGUCUCACAAAUUUUCGCUCAUAUUCUGUCACUGUCAUCUGACCCUGUUUCAAUUUAAGAAAUUCCUUGCGUUUCUGAUCAAUGAAUCUCUCGCUGAUGUAUUUCUUACGGAACUCAGUCUGAAAAAAUUCCCAGGUCACUCACUCUUUCGAAACCACCUAUACUAGCGUAUUCCACCAGUGAUAUGCAGUGUCCCGUAGCAAAGAUAUGGCACAUUUCAAGCACUCAUCAGGGGUGCAAGAUAACUCAUCAAACACUCGAAUAGUAUUAUCGAGCCAGAAUUUAUCUUGCUCAGCAUCAUCAUCAUCAGUGGCUCUGAACUCUUCGGCCCCAUGUUUUCGAAUUUUAUCAACAAGAGGCUUAAGUAAUCUCAUCGGAUCACUCACUUGAGGUAUAAUAGGAACAGAAGAUGGAUUAAUCAGGGGUAGAGGUUGUUGUGCAGCCGAAUUAGUCCGGAUAUAUUGAGUAAACCAGUCGUUCAUCAUUUGGUAGAAGCCUUGUUUAGCCUCUCCCUCCUGGUUACUCCAGGUCGGUCUAGAAUCUACCGGCUCUGUCCCUUACACGAGAGCAGGCGCUAUACUCUCAACAUCAUCAGCUACGGCUCGAUCGGGAUCCAUUACUAUACCAAAACACAUUUUUAGAUGUCAGAAGUCAUCACACCAUCUCAGUAUAAAAAUAUGGCAUGUAUAGCUAGACUCAUACAUACUACGUUAGUCCUAGAAUCGACUAAACCGUAGCUCUGAUACCAAUCAAAUGUAACACCCCAACUCGAGUUCGUCGCCGGAUUAAAGUUACGAGGCAUUACAGAUCAAAACCCAACUCAAAGUUAUUUUUUUUAUAAAUUAUACUAACUCAACCACGAAAUUUCAUUCCAUAUAUAUACAUAUAUAUAUAAACACAUAACCAAUUAAAAUCAAACAUGCAUCAUAUAUCAAAUUACAUAUACUAACCAUGUCUCAAAAUUUCAACCAUAUCAUUAUCAUUUACCUAAUCAAAAUUUAUUAUCAUUCAAAUUCUUAAAACAUUUCCAAACAUAUAUGAUUAUAUAUCAAAAUCCAAGCAUAUAUCCAAACAUUUAUUUGUACACAUAUAUCAUUUCAAGUUACUAACUAUACUACAUGUUACAACAUAGGUGGUCUACCCUAUUUGGACAAUUAUUAUACAUCAAUUUGAACAGCAUUUAUAUACCAAACUAGAUAGCAUUUGCACACCAAAAUUUAGACAGCAUAUAUACAAAAUUUGGACUGCAUUUAUACAUCAAAAUUUGACAGCAUAUGCAUAUAUAAUUGGACUGCAUUUAUACAUCAAAAUUUGACAGCAUAUACAUAAAUAAUUGGACUGCAUUUGUACAUCAAAAUUUGACAGCAUAUACAUACAUAAUUGGACUGCAUUUGUACAUCAAAAUUUGACAGCAUAUACAUAUAUAAUUGGACUGCAUUUAUACAUCAAAAUUUGAUAGCAUAUACAUAUAUAAUUGGACUGCAUUUGUACAUCAAAAUUUGACAUCAUAUACAUUCAUUUACUCUAUCAAUAAGCCAAACGUAAUUAAUCACCAACAUUUACAAGCAUACUUCAAUUUAUAACUCAUCCCCUAUAUUCACUUAACUACUAAAUCCAACCAAAUCAUAUAUAUUUCAUAUAUAAUACAUAACCUAGACACUUAACUUAACAUUACUUAUCUUAAUGAAUAUAACAACUUAAUUACCGAAACACUUGAAUGAAAUCACCAUGCACAUAUAUAUACAUUACCAUAUAAAUACUAACCAUAAAAUACUAAUCCAUGAUUAAAGUAUGCUUAAACCAUAAUUCAGCCCAAAACCGAACACAAACAAGAAAAUUAAGCCAUUUUCGCAUGGCUUAAUAUUACAAAAUCUAAAUUCAAGCAUUUCAGCUACGCUAUACAUGCCAUAGGAUCGAAUUCAAAAUUUACAAAAUACCGAGAGGAGUCGAUAGUGUGAUAAUCUUUUCUGACGAUCCCCGAGCUCGUAACUAACUUCCAAAAUUUAUAAAAAUGAAGAACAACAUACACACAGUAAGCUAUUUAAGCUUAGUAAGUCAUAAGCAAACAUUAUUUAUUUUAACAUUAAUAUUAAACCAACCAAAUCAAAUAUAAAUAAACAUUUAACUUUAAUAGCUUAAUGCACAAAUACUCCAAUUAUUGUAUAAUUAUCAAAAUAUAAUUUAAAAACUACAAUAAUAAGCCAAACUACCAAUCACUUAUAAGCACAAACAUGCUCACAUAUUGUUCAUAUAUCAAAUAACUUUGUAUCAUCAAUUGAAUAUACAACUUACCUUAAUUUCAUAGCAUGAUAUAAAUACAUACCUGAACACUAUUAUUGUUUCGAUUUCACAUUCGGUCUUCACUUAACAUUGCCCGUUGAACCGUUCGGAAUUAAAAAGGAUACACGGAUAAUUAAAAAGCUAGUACAAUGCCAACGUCCUAGAUGUGGUCUUACAUGUAAUCACAUAUCGAUGCCACUGUCCCAGACAGGGUCUUACACGAAAACACAAGUCGAUGUCGACGUCCCAGAAGUGGUCUUACACGAAAACACAUAUCGGAGUCCUAUGUCAUGACAUAAGUAUCCUAUCUAUUCCUAGGGUUCGUACAGGGCUUUAGGCGUUGAUUAUCGAUCGAAUCGAACUCGAAAAAAAAUUCCUAUCUUAAUAAUCAUUUUCGACCAAAACAUAUAACAAAUAAAUAAUUUAAUUUAUCACUUAUCAUUUAUAUAUUCUUGAAUUUAACAACAUUUAAAUGCUUAUCGACUUACCUGUGAUGUCGUCGACUGCUAAAUCGGCUACUCGACCACUUUUGUCUUUCCCCGAUCCAAAUUCAAUUUCUUUAAUUCUUGAUCUAAAAAUAUUCAAAUUAAGCUUAUUUAAACACCAUUCUAUUCAAUUUACCCUAAAAACACAUGAAUGGGCAAAUUACAAUUUUGCCCCUAAAAUUUCACACUUUUUACAAUUUAAUCCUUUUUGCUCAAAACACAAAAUACACAAAUUUUGACUACACUCUUUAAGGGCCGAAUAUUCCUAGUGUCUAUACAAGCUCAUGCAUUUCAUUUAUUUCACAUUAUAGUCCUUCAAAAUUUUAUUUUCUCAAUUUAGCCCUAAUUACUCAAAUUCACCAAAAAUUCAAAGACAAAACAUGUUAAUCUAACAAUUAUAUUUCAUAUUUCAUCAACUAAAAUCAUGAAACUCAAACAGUCAUCAAUGGCACAUUUCAAAAUCAUCAACAAUUUACAAAAUUAAGACAUGGGUUUUGAAGUAUUUAAAGCAACGAUCUCAAAAACGUAAAAAUUAUAAAAAAACAAAAUUCAUACCUCAAUCAAGCUUGCAAGUGCCGAAUAUAUUAAAGCUUUUAAACAAUAUUCUUUGUUCUUAGUUUCGGCCAAAAGAUGGAGAAAUAAUGCUUUAAUUUUAAUAUAUUAAACAUACACUAACAUUAAUAAUUAGUUUACUUUAUUAACCUUUAUAUAUAUACAUAUAUAUAUAUAUAAGGCUAUACUUGUACUUUUCCACCCACUAACUAUAUUUUGGCCUUAUUACAUCAUAAAUCCUCUAUUUAAUAAAGACAACAACAAAUUGGUUCCUUUAGAUUUAACCCCUAAAUUUUCAUUUUACGCGAUUAAGCCAUUUUCUUUAAUCAAUCUCUCAAACGACAAAAUUAAAACACGAAAAUUUUACACAAUUAAAUUCACACAUCAUAAACACACAAAAUAAUAUUAAAAUAUUUUUUUAAUUCAGAUUUGUGGUCCCGAAACCACUGUUCCGAUUAGGGUCAAAAUUGGGCUGUUACAGUCGGUGUGACUCUUGUUUUGAACAAUUGCUUUAUUAUCUUGAAAAUGUUACAAUUUAAUCCUUGUUUAUUCUCGAAACAUCCGUAAGCUAGAUUUUAAACCUGUUUUUGUUUGUAAAGCAUGAUUUAUGUCAAUGCAAAUGAUUAUUCAAUGAUUAAUUGAAUUUUGGAGUUUACAGGUCACAAAUUUGGAGAUGAUUAUGUGACAACUAGUUGGUAUGACUAUAAAUGCAAAUACUGAAGGAUUAUGUUCUUAUAAUAUAAUUUAACUUAUUAAGCUGCUUACAAACCUUUUUUAUUUUAUUUUAUUUAUGUCUUUUUAUAGUCUACUUCAUGUUAUAAUAUUAGUUAUAGAAAUGCCACUGAGUUGAUUACUUAGUGUUUAAUUUGAUUUCCAUAUGCAAGUUGGGUUCAAUCGUGUGUACUCAUGGUUAUUAGCAUCCAACAAAAAAUCUCACACUCAUAGAAUGGGUGAAAUUUUUUGUUAGUCUGGUCAGUAUGUACUUAUAGGGUUUUAUGUGAUAUUAAGCUUAGUUGGCAAAAUAUUUCAUACUUUGAAAUAUUCUAUAAAUUGACAUACAUAAUAGUUGUUAAUGGUAUGUACUAUGUAUAUGUUUUAGUGUUGAUGUUGCUAUGUGAGUUCUUAGAUGAGGUUAUAAUGUUUUUAAUUUGAAUCAAUAUAUAUUUAAUAAGGAUGCAUGAAAUGAAAUGAAUAAAGAAGUUAAUAGUUGAGAUAUUGGUAUAUUAAACAGGACAUGGCUUUGGGUCUAAAUGUAUGAUUUGAAUUCAUUCUAGAACGAUUGAUGUUAGUUGCUCCGACAACAAAUGUGAUAUCUCAUUUCUCAGACCCAACGAUUGGGUCAGGUAAUGGGGUGUUACAAAAGUUCUUCAACUUUUGGGUUUUCAAGUUUAUACUUGGAAGGUUAAUUUUCAUUCUUUACCAUUAGUUUUUUUAUUGAAAUGUAGUUCUUUAGGGGGACAAUCUUCCAUCAUACUCCUUUUCCAAUUCUAUUUCGUUCUUUUAUAUUGUGUUACUAAUUUCACAUUGUAAUCUUUGUUUCAUUUCUUUAUGUUAGCCUUGGGUUCCAUUAGAUUCAAACAACCAUUUAAAGUCAAAGUUGUGUUUAUCUUUCCAUUUUUAUUUAAAAUCGCCUACAUCUUGUCUCAUUAUUUCUUUAAAACAUUUUCAUUUUAUCUUAUUUAUCCUUUGUUUAAUCUUAUAAUUUGUUUCCUUUCAUAUUAGCACCAAGAGCUUGAAAUAACAAAUCCUUGUUCUUGGGCACCUACGAACCUUAUCCGUACUACUCAACCUUAUCCUUUCCCAUUCUUGUCUUUCAUCUUUGCUUUAAUUAUUUUGUAACACCCCACAUCCAACCCGAACAGCAGAUUCAAAUGUAAGAUGUCACAUCUAUUGCCGAGACAAUUCAAACUACUUCAUUAUGUCGUGCUAAGUAAUUGAGUUUAAAACAUUUUUAAUAAAAUCAUGGUAAAUGAACAGAUUUGAUUUUAUGACUUUAAAUUCAUACUGAAAUCAUUUAAAAUUGGUUCUUAUAGGUUCAAAGUUGUCUAGGAUAAAAAAUGGGCCUCGAAAGGUUAAAAGGUUCAAAAUAGUACAGUGACCUUGUACAAGACACUAUGGUAUCAAUACAAGUUCCCAAUUGCAUUGAUUCAAGUCUCUAGUUCUAUAGCUUUUUGCAUUUUGACCUACUUGUUGCGAUACAAGAAGGCCUAACUACUAAUACAACUAUCCCAUGACUCUAAUAUUACCUUAAAACUCACUAGUUUUGACGCCCACACACUCCAAUAUCAAUACCUUAACUUAUAGGGCUCAAGAAUCUAGUUUAAAACAUCAUAUACAAUUAUCAAAACACCUCUAAACAUAGUAGCAUAAUCAUACUUCAAGAAUAACCAUUUACAAUUUCUCUAAUCAUUAUAUAAGACUCACACAAUCUCCUAGAUUUAGGUUCAUGUCAUUUACUUAUCAAUUUCAAAUUAAACAUUACAAGGGAUUUAUUGAGCUGAGAUAUGCCUUUGGUUGCCAACAAACCUCAAAGAAAUUCAAACUCACUUGGUACUUACGCAUGCAAAACAAACAUAUCUGCAUACUGAGCAUUAAAAUCUUAAUGGUACUAACACAAUUUGAUUUCAAUACACAAAAGUAUCAAGUAAAGAAGUAUAUUAUAUUAACAUUAUAUUAUGUCACUAAACCAAGUACGAAAUUGUUCAACAAUGAUCAUAUAUUUGCAUAUCAUUAUAUCAAUUCACCCUCAGGGUAUUUAACUUGCAUAAUCAAUGGUCUUUCAUGUAUCAUUUCUCAUUGUCAUUAUGUAAUCUGUAAUCACAGGUCAUUAUACUAAUGUACCAUUUCAUCAAACACGUAUCCAAUUUCUGAUGCACCUUUAGGGUAUUUUCAUCAACAUAUUCUUAUGAUCAUUCGCAUAUCAUUUUUCCUAGUUUUCGUUAUAUAUACACAUAACAGAUUGAAAAAUAGGAAUUCACCUUUAGGGUAUUCAAAAUAAUGUUACCUCUAUAUAUACACCUAACACAAUGUCACAUAUAUCUUAUUAAUCAAGUUUCAUUUAUGUAUAUCAACCCUUUUUAACUAUAUGCAAAGUCAAGUACAAAUACUUGAAUUAAUCCAUCAAUAUAUGUUCACGAUCCUCUAAAAAUUAAAGCUAAUGAUAUGUAGAAUUCAUAUAUCAAUAUAUGCUCACCACCCUUUUAAGAAUUGGAGCUAAUGAUAUGUACUCAACCUAUCCAGAAUUAGAGUAUUGCUCUUGACCCCUUUGGAAAUUGGAGCCAAUGUUUUGUACUCGACCCCUCUAGGAAUUAGAGUAUCAUUCUCUACCCCUUCGAGAAUUGGGGAACUCAGCUCCCAUCCUCUGGGAAUUAGAAAUUAAAUAAAAUGCGCUUAGCACUAAAAUGUUCUCAAACAAAUCGAAUCCUAAAAUAUACAAACUAUACUCGUAUCUCUAUUCGACAUCGUUAAUAUGACUUUCCUAAUGUCAUUUAACCUUAUAACAUAAUUCAAUAUGGUUCACUUCAUAAUAUCAAAUAUAACUCAUCCAAGAUCAUAAUGAAACCUUUAUACACUUACUAACAACUUACGUUACAUGUUCAAAUCAACAAAGCAAUAGCACACAUUCUUGUCAACAAUCACCACUAAUGCAAUAUAUAUACAUUCAAUUAUAUAUAUGUUUGAUUAGUUGUAACUUUAUGUAAAUAAUACAAAUUAUAUUAGCACGAGUUGAAUAUGUUACUCAUGUUUUACCAACAAUUUUAUUUAAUUACUAUUUGAUUAAAUAUGCUUAACUAUUGAAUAUUAUUUAUAGAGUUAAACUUAACUUUUAAUUGGUAUAUAUGAUAAUUAAUAGAUAAAAUAUUUUAUCUAUUUCGUGCUUAAAAUUUUAUUCAAAUUAAAACUCAAAUUUAAAUAAUUUUUUUAAAUUGAUCUACCAUACUUAAAUUAUAAAUUUAUUUAUUAAAUCUAGAUUAUUAAAUUAUAAGUUGAGCUUUACGUAGACAUUUUUAAAUACUUAAAUUAUAAAUUUAACUAUUAAAUAUUAAAUAUUAAAUUAUAAGUUGAGCUUUACGUCAACAUCUUUUUAAUAUUUAAAUUAUAAAUUAACUAUUAAACCUAAAAUAUUAAAUUUUAAGUUGAGCUUUAUAUUAAUAUUCUUUUAGCUAACUAUUAAUUAUAAAUUAAGUUAUAAUUAAAUAUUAUUAUUUAAUCAAUGGUAAUGAUAAAUACAAUGAUUAUAAAUUAUAAAUGAAUUUUUUUAAGAUUUUAAGAUGUCAAUUUAGUAAUAUGAUGAAAAAAUAAAGAUAUUUUUAUUGAUUCAAAAUUUUUUUCAAACUCGUGCUUUUAUUUUGGAUAGUUUUAAAUGAAAGACAAACAUGGUAAGUUGAAUAUCUCAUUUUAAUUUUUUUUUCAAAAUUUUUAAUAAAAUAAAAUCAACGUAAUAUUGUGAUAAUGAGCUACCUACCUACUUAUUGUUGGCGAUCGACUCGAUUAAGCAACGAACAAAUAAAAAUAGCGGAAGAAAUUGAGAAAGUAAAUACACAAAUUUAAUGUGAAAAAACCCCUCCAAAGAGGAUAAAAUGUAACAUCCCAAAAACCGGGUUUGAAGAAAUUGAGUUUUGAACCCCAAAGUGGUUACGUUCUGAGUUUGAGUUUGGAUUUUGAAAUUUUGACAAGAGAAUUUGAUUUGGUUUAGUGGUUAAAUGUUCUGGUUAUGUAUGUGACAUUUUGGGUUCGAAUCCCAUCUUUUGAAAUUUUGCUAUUUUGACUAAACUCUAUCUUUGGACAUAUGGGUUAUAGGUUAAUUUCGAUCAAAUGAUGACAAGAAUGAGUUUGCUGGUUUAAUGGUUAAGCUUUUGUAUACCCUUUGGUCUUGUGUUCGGAUCUCCGCGAAAGUAAUAUGAAUUUUUUUUUUUAUUUUGCUGCCUCGUGAGGUAAUUUUGGUAGGUUUUAAAUUAAUCUAAGUCUCUCAACUUCUUUUUUUCCUACUAUAUUUUUUUUGUUCUUUUUUUUCUUAACUAUUGUUCUUUUCUCUUCUCUUUUAUUUGUCAAGUUCUUCCACCGAUGAUUUUCUGUUGAAUCGUUAUGGCAUCGGUUCUUGUAACUUCCUUACACUGUUCAUCUAUAAUCAGUCGUGUAAGUAUUCUUUGUCAAGUUCUAGCGUGAGUUUGUUGUUGGAUGGAGUUGCGAUUUAUUUUCUGUGAGGAAAAUGUUGACUUGCGUAACUCUUUGUUAGGCGAAGGUCUCAAGUUUAACGUUCUCUCGAUGACUUAAGGUAUUCAAAAUUGUAGUUCGACUAUUGGUGUUGGGAUCACUUUGGCUGCUUCUACAUUGAAUUUGUAUCAGGUGGGUAACCUAAAACCCAAAUUUAUGCAAUUUGUGAAUGCCAGAAAUCAUGGUCUUCGACACCACACGACCGUGUGUUAGGCCGUGUGGUAGGCUGUGUGUGUCACAUGGCCAACACGGCCAAGGACACGGGCGUGUGUCCAAGCCGUGUGUAAGAAUUUAGGGAUUAAGUCACAUGGGUGUAUAGUAGGUCAUGUGAUAGACCGUGUAACUCACUAUUUUAGGUCACAUGACCAUGUGAUAGGUCGAGUGUCAGGCUGUAUGUGACAAUAAAGGGGUUACACGGACGUGUGCUAGGUUGUGUGGACCACACGGGCCAGCUACCCAGGCCGUGUGGAUCCUCAUGAGCGUUUAGGUCAAGAUUCUAAAAUUUUCCUUAGGGCCGUGAUCGUCGUUCGGAUCGAACGUAGGCCUUCUAGAGGGUCCGUAUGAUCUGUAUUAAGCUACAAACCUCAGUAUUUAUUGAUCUAUUAGUGUAUAAUCUACUAUAUAUAUGUGUGUCCACUCUGAUAUAAGUUAAGUAAUGAUGACUUUCUAAUGUAUAAUGUGCCUCUGUUUAGAUGUGUUAAGGUAUGUGCCUUAUCUAAGUAUGUUUCGUAUUCUACUAAGUUUGUUGGUGUACCUUAGCGUCGCUCUGUUGCUUAAGAAUAUGUGAUAUCUGAAUAUGUUAAAUUAAUUGGCACUAAUUCUGAUGCUGAUUUGUAACCAUGCAUGUGACUUUAUGGAAAAUCUGAUAUGAUCUGUUAAAGUUUAAUAAAUUUAUUUUACAAAUCAUGGACUUCCAUGCCUAUUGAUUCUGUUGUUGUACAAUAGCAUGACCUACAUGUUUAUCACUCUUUUUUUGUGUGUACAUGCCAUGAUACAUUGCAUAGGAUUUGGGAUGAUGUUAAAGAAGUAAGAUUCUGUACUGGCAGUUUAAUGAUCUACGUAUUUAGUGGCUUGACCAUAUAUAUUCGAUUUGGUAGUUUAAAUGCAUAUUGAUAAGCCAUUGUUGUCAGGCAACCUGGGGUGAUGGGUCAUCAUUGCUGGGUAACCCGAGAUGACUUUAAUGGUGUGUUUUGAGUGGUUGAUUUCAUAGUGGAACUCUAAUUUAGUGUAUAGUGGAGUUGGGUAGGACGUUUUUUAAAAAAUCUACAUUAUUUUUUUUUGCAAAUACUGCAUUGGCAUAGACUCACAUCCUCGUUUUUGUUCUGUUAUGUUCGUAUCUAUUCUGUUAUGUUCUUUUUGUUCUGUUGGACUAUCAUUUUUAUAAUAUCAUUGAUAUUCUGAUCUGUAUCGUUCUAGGUAUAUGAUUUGUUUCAUUCUGGUUAUAUGAUCACUAUUAAGUUCUCUGCGUUACUUCGAAUUAUAUGUUGUGUUUUAUUGAUUUGUAUUUGGGGUUGGUUUUACAUUGUGCUUUGUAGCUGACCCUUUUUGUUUUAUUCUUGUUUGUUUAGGUAAAUGUCUGAUUUAGGAUCGGACGGUGUGUGGAGCUCAGAUUAUUUUUACCCUAAUGUAAAUAUGUUUUAAUCUUUUUUGGUUUGUAAUUUGUUUCUUAACUCGCCUUGCUUUUUGCUAAUCUAGUUAGUAACUGAUAAUUUCUAUCGCGAAACUAUAAAAUCACUUAAGUCAAGUAAAAUGGAUUUCGAUUUUCAAAGUUAAGACCCUAAAAAUAUUUUCGUUACACAUCAAGUGAUAGUUUGAGUGUUUUCUAAAAUAUUGCCGAAACUAGAUUUUAGUGUGUUCCUGUAACCCCUCCAAAUUUGGUCUAAACUUUCAGGCCGGGUUUGGGGUGUUACAUUUUAUGGUAUCAAAGCCAAAUUUACAAAACUCGACUGUGGUUUUCGAGUUUAGAACUCUUUUCAAAAAAUGUUUUAAGUAAUUGAAACUUUUGACUGACUUUGUUUAAGGUUUUUUAAAAGUAUGUGUUCAGAUUUUGAUUAUUUUUGAGUCUAUAAAUAGAAAAUCCAAGACUCUGAUGUCGAUCCUGUAACUAUCUCUACCUUAGCUAAAACUGUGGAAAUUCUGUAAAAAUCUCUAUUAAAGCUUCAGACUUAGUAUUGUUAAUAAACCUAAGCUAUCUCAUAAAAUUCUGAAACUAUAGACUAGUAUAAUGCAUACACAUAGCCUUGUUGUGUGAGGGUGUGUUAGAUAUAGCUGAGCGACUCAAGUUGAGUCCUUUACUCGGGGUAAGGAGCCCAAUUUGACAAUUUAUGAAUCUGGUAGGACGCGGGAGUCUGAGGGAGGUAAUUAGGGACCUACGGUGCCUCGGGUUGUGUUUAGUGACUUGCAAAGGUCGAUGAGACUCAAAUUGAGUCUAUGGGUCGAGAGUCUGUGAUUGAGCGACUCCAAGAUAAGAGAGUGCGUGCUAUUGAUUUGAACUUGUGACUAAAGAAUCAAUAGCAAUUUUUGUGAUGUGUUUUUGUGAUAAUUUACGUUGAUGUAUAGAGAGUUGUUAGAAAUAGCAUUUGGUUUUGUAUUGAAUCUAAGCUGUGCAGUGUCAGCAUGGUGGUUUGUUUGGAUAAGUACAUUGCAAAUUUUUUGGUUUAAGGACUGAUGAGACUAUAGGAAUUUUGGCGAUGAAAUUCUUUUAAGGGGGAGAGAGUUGUAACAUCCCAAAAACCAAGUUAGAAGAAAUUGAGUUUUGAAAUCUAGAGUAGUUACGUUCUGAGUUUGAGUUAGGAUUUUGAAAUUUUGACAAGUUAAUUUAAUUUGAUUCAGUGGUUAAAUGUUCUGGUUAUGUAUGCAAGGUUUUGGGUUCGAAUAUCAACUCUUGAAAUUUUACUAUUCAGACUAAACCCUAUCUUUGGACAUAUGGGUUAUAAGUUAUUUUUGAUCAAAUGAUGACAAGAAUGAGCAUGCUGGUUCAAUGGUUAAGCUUCUGUAUACCCUCUGAUCUUGUGUUUGGAUCACCGCAAAUGCAAUAUGAAAAUGUUUUUAUUUUUCUGCCUCAUGCGAUAGUUUUGGUUGGUUUCAAUUAACCAAAGUCUCUCAACUUAUUUUUUCCUACUACAUUCUUUCUAUUCUUUUUGUUCUUGACUAUCAUUUUUUUUGCUUCUAUUUUAUUUGUCAAGUCCUUCCACCGACUAUAACAGGCUAUUUUUAGUGAAAUUGAAACAGUGGUUUUGAGACCAAAAAUCUGAAGUAAAAAUAUUUAUUUUAUUAUUAUUUUAGUAUCUACGGUAUGCUAGUAGUGUCGUAUAAAAAUUUCGUUAAGAAAUUUUAUCGUUUGCAUGCUUAAUUAAGUAAAAAGGACUAAAUCGUAAAAGGUACAAAAGUAGAGUUCUAAUACUUAAAAGUAUCUAUUAGCUAUGAAAUUAAAUUUUUAGGGGAUUUAUGUGGUAAUUAGACCAUUGUUAUUAUGAGUGGACAUUUAUAGACAUGAAUUAGGUGAUUUUAAAGUUGAAAUGCAAGGUUAUUUAUGUAAAUUAAUAAAUAAGUUAAGUAAAAAUAUCAUAAACAAAAGCUAUCAUCUUUUUUUUUAUUCCUCCACCAAAAAUAAGCUAGGAAAAUACCAUUAAAGAAGUUUGAAGGUUCGGCUAUGUCUUAUGGUUGCAUGUAAGUGAUUAUUGAUCUCGCUUUUAAUGAUUUUUAUGUUUUUGGGAUCAUUGUAACUUAAUCUAGCUAGACCAGGGACUAAUUUGAAAAGUUGUUAAAGGAUUAGGGUUAUUCCAUGAAUGUGUUUGUGUGAUUCUUGAAAAUUUAUGGAAGAAAAUUAAUCCUUGUUGUUAAAUAAACACUUUUGUACAGUAAUUUUUGAUGAAAUUAUCAUUUAGGGACUUAUGUGUAAAAGUAGUAAAACAUCAUGAAGAAAUUGUGAAUUGAUGAGUGGUUUGGGUUGAUAUGAGUCCCUAUGUAAAUCGGCAAGCAUGAUAUAAUGAUGAAAUUGCAUAAAUGUUAAUUUAUGAGCUUAAGGAUUAAAUUGUAGAAAAAGUUAAAAUAAUAGAGGCGAAAAGGUAAUUUUGCAAAAGUAUGAAUUUUGGAUUGAAUUUAAUAGAAUGAAUAUUAUAUGUAUUGAAUUUUCUUAUUUAGAUCAAGUUAAGCCUCAUAUAGGUCUAGAUCGAGGGAAAGAUAAAGUCGUAGAUUAGUGAUCCUAUUUCGUCAUCUUUGCAUUCGAGGUAAGUUCGUGUGUUAAAAUAGUGUUUUAAUGUUAUUUGAUUUAAAUGUUAUUAUGCUAUUCAUCAUGAUGGAAAUCCAACAAUGUUACGAUGACUAUCGAGUCCCAUUUGAACCUUAGGAAUAUAUAGAAUACAAAUGAUAUGUCAUUAGGGUUACCAUGUUUCGGGUGUUAGUCUUGAAUGUCCUAUCGAUGGCUGAGUUUCAGCAUUUGUUACAGAUACCCGUCAGUUUGUGUGAGCAGCAUCGUGUAGCUAUAUUUUGACUGUCAGCUUGUGUGAGUAGACCCAUUUAUGGCUCGAACGAGCACCGAUGUAAAGAAAAAGGAAAGGAAAUGGUUUCGACCAUGUGUUAGCACACUUUGUGUGAGUUUCCCGUGUAUCCGAUAUUAUUCUAAGUGGUUCAACAGGCAUGAAAAGGGAAAGAAUGAUAAAUGUUCCAAUGGCUAAGUUAAGAACUUAUGAAAAGGUAUGAAUUAUUGAUAAUUAAAGCAUCUAUAACUAUGUUUAUGAAAACUAUGAAUUUAAGUAUGCUAUGUUCAUAAAACUUAUCUUACCAUGAGAUGAUUUUUCUAAGUUAUGUGUUUAAUCGCUAACUUGUGUUGUUGAUGAUGCUUAGAUUUGUGCUAAGCUAUGUUGGAUUGAUUCAUGUCUAUUUUUAAGAUUAUGCAUUGAAAUGGUAAGCUUUGUUCAUGAUUUACGAACUUACUAAGCAUUAUAUGCUUACAAUGUUGUUCUUUUCUAUGUUUUAUAAAUUAUCAGAAGCUCGAUCAGUUUGGUAGCUCAUCAAAGACCUAUUUACACAAUCCAGAGUUUAUAUUGGUAGAUUUUGAUGUUUUGGUCAUGGUUAUAAUGGCAUGUAUAGGUGAAUUGUAUUUGAUGAACUAGUUGUUAUGUUUGGCUUGUAAAUAUGGUAAUUUGGUUGGUAUGCUUUUGUCACUUUGAUGCUAUAAUGGUUCAUGUUUAUAUGGUCAAAUUGAUGCAUGGUUUUAUGAACAAAGUGAUAGGUGUUGGCAUGUUUGUAGUGUGGUCAAUUGUGGUCAGUUUUGGUAUGAAAAUAGGUUAGAUAUGAAUGCUAGAUGAAUGGUCAAUUUAACAUAUUUUUGGAUAGAUUUGAUAAAUUGUGAUUGAGGUGCCUUAAUGACAUAUAGGUUGUAUGGAUUUAUGGUCUUAUUAUGCAUGUUUUGACAUGUUUCGGUACCUUGUUCAUAGAAGCAUUUGGCUUGUAGGUACUUGUUGGAAAUGGGUGAAAGGAAUGGCUAGAUUUUGGCCUAUUUCUUGUCCACACAGCCCUUCGACACAGUCAUGUGUCCGCUGUAGGUUUCAAAGGGUUGUAAGUCAGACAGUUAUACGGCCUAGCACACGAACGUGUGAGAACAUUUUGAGAGUUAAACGGCCUGGCACACGGGGUGUGGCUUGGCCAUGUGACCCAAGCCAGAGAGUUACACGGGCUGGGACAUGGCCGUGUGUCCCUAUUUCGAUUGUUACACGGCCUGAGACACGGGCAUGUGUCUCAGCCGUGUGAGGCAUAUGGCUUGGCCACACGGCUGUGUGACCCCUGCGGUGUAAAUUUUUCCAACUUUUUCCUUAAUGUUUCAUAUGUUCCCAGUUUAGUCCUGAAUUGUUUCUAAAGUAUUUCUAAGGCCUCGGGGGCUCGAAUAAGGGAUGAUAUGCAUGUGUUUGAAUGAAUUAGGCUAUGAUUUAUCUAAUGUUUGGAAAUGAAUGUUUUAAGUUAUGUUUUACAGUAAUGCGCCGUAACUCUAUUCUGACAACGGAUACGGGUUAGGGGUGUUACAUAGACGAUUUUCUAUUGAAUCAUUGUGGCAUAGGUUCUUCUAACUUCCUUGCGCUAUUCAUCUGUAAUCAGUCGUGUAAGUAUUCUCUGUCAAGUUCUUGCGUGAGUUUGUUGUUGGACGGGGUUGUAAUUCAUUUUAUGUGAUGAAAAUGUUGACUUGCGUAACUCUUUGUUAGGCGAAGGUCUCGAGUUUAACGUUCUCUCGACAGCUUAAGGUCUGCAAAAUUGCAGUUCCAUUAUUGGUUUCGAGAUCACUCUGUCUACUUUUACAUCAAAUCUGUACCAGGUAGGUAACCGAAAACUCAAAUUUUUACAAUUUGUGGAAGUCAAAAAACAUGACUUUCGACCACACACGGCAUUGUGGUAAACUAUGUAGGCACUCUUUUGGCAAACAUGACCAGGGACAUUGGCAUGUUUCUAGGCCGUGCUCGAGACUUUUUUGCAUUAGUGACACACAAGCAAAGACACGGGCAUGUGUUCAGGCCAUGUGAGAGAAUUUGGAGAUUAAGUCACACGGGCGUGUACCAGGUCAUGUGAUAGACUAUGUAACUCACUAUUUUAGGUCACAUAGCCAUGUGUCAGGCCAAGUGUCAGGCUAUGUGUAACAAUAAAGGGCCACACGAGUGCGUGCUAGGCCGUGUUGACUAUAAAGGCCAGCUACCCAGGUCGUGUGUAUCCACAGGAGCAUGUGAGUCAAGAUUCUGAAAUUUUCCUUAGGGUUGUGAUCAUCAUUCGAUUCAAGCGUAGGCCUUCUAUAGAGUCUAUAUUAGAGGUGCUCAUGGGCCGGGCUGGGCCGGGUUCGGGCUGGGCCCAUAAAAAAUUUCAGCCCGGGUCCUAGGCCCGGGCCUUGCCCGAAGUAUGGGCCUAAAAUUUUGCCUAGCCCGGCUCGGGAAAAAAAUCAUAAGCCCGGGCCCAGCCCGACCCUUUUUUUUAAUAAAUACCAAAAAUUUAUUUUAAAAAUUUAAAAAAUAUUUUAAAAAUAUUUUAAAAUUAAAAAAAAUUUAAAAAGUAUUUUAAAAAGUAUUUUAAAAUUAAAAAAUAAUAAAAAAAGUAUUUUAAAAAUAUUUUAAAAUUAAAAAAAUUAAAAAAUAAAUAUAUUUAUUAUACCGGGCUAGGCCGGGCUCGGGCAAAAAAAGUGGUGCCCGAGGCUCGGCCCAUUUUCUAAACGGGCCUCGUUUUUUACCCAAGCCCAUAUUUCGGGCCUAUAUUUUUACCCAAACCCUUCCAUAUUUCGGGCGAGCCGUCGGGCCGGGCCGGGCCAUGAGCACGUCUAGUCCAUAUGAUCUGUAUUAAGCUAUAAACCUCAAUAUUUUUUGAUAUGGUAGUAUAUAAUCUACUAUCUGUAUGUAUGUCUAGUUUGAUAUAAUUUAAGUAAUGAUGACUUGCUAAUGUAUAAUGUGCCUCUAUUUAGAUGCGUUAUGGUAUGUGCCUUAUCCAGGUAUGUUUUGUAUUCUACUAAGUUUGUUGGUGUACCUCUCUAUCACUCUGUUGAUGAAGAAUAUGUGAUAUCUGAAUAUGUUAAAUUAAUUGGCACUGAUUCUGGUUCUGAUUUGUAACCAUGCAUGUGACUUCAUGGCAAAUCUAAUAUGAUCUGUUGAAGUUUGAUAAAUUUGUUUUACAAAGCAUGGACUCACAUGCCUACUGAUUCUAUUGUUGUAUGAUAGCAUGACCUACAUGCUUAUUACUCUGAUUCUGUGUGUACAUGCCAUGACACAUUACGUGGGAUGUAGGAUAAAGUUAAAGAAGGAAGAUGUUGUACUGGCAGUUUAAUGGUCUGCGCAUUUAGUAGCUUGACCACGUAUAUUUGAUUUGGUAAUUUAACUGCAUAUUGAUAAGCCAUUGUUGCUGGGAAAACCAUGGUGGCGGGUCACCGUUUUGGGCAACCCGGGAUGACUUUAGCGGUGUGUUUUGGGUGGAUGAGUUUGUGGGAGAACUCUAAUUUGGUGUAUAGUGGAGUUGAGUAGGACGUCUCUGAAAAAUCUGCAUUAUGUUUUUCUGCAAAUAUUGCAUUGGCUUAGACUCACAUCCUAGGCUCUGUUCUAUUCUAUUCUUUUCUGUUAUGUUCUGUUUUGGUCUUUUUGUUUUGUUGGACUAUCAUUAUUAAAAUAUUGUUGAUAUUUUGAUAUGUUGUGUUCUAGGUAUAUGAUCUGUUUUGUUCUGGUUAUAUGAUCACUAUUAAGUUCUCUAUGUUACCUCAAAUUAUAUGUUGUGUUCUAUUGAUUUGUUUUGGGGCUGGCUUUAUGCUUUGCUUUGUAGCUCACCCCUUUUGUCUUAUUCUUGUCCUUUCAAGUAAAUUUUUGAUUUAGGAUCAGAUGGUGUGUGGAGCUCGAAUUAUUUUACGUUGAUGUAAAUACAUUUUAAUUUUUUUGGGUUUGUAAUAUGUUUCUUAACUUGCCUUAAUUUUUUCUAAUCUCGUCAGUAACUGAUAAUUUCUAACGUGAAACUACAAAAUCACUUAAGUCGACUAAAACGGAUUUUGAUUUUCAAAGUUAAAACCCCGAAAAGAUUUUCGUUACACAUCAAGUAACAGUUUGGGUGUUUUCUUAAUUAUUGUUGAACCCAGGUUUCAGGGUGUUUGUGUAACCCCUCCAAAUUUGGUCUAAACUUCUAUGCUAGUUUUGAGGUGUUACAUAAAAAAUCAUGUUAAAAGAUAAUUUUACUAUAUUGGAAAAAUAACAAAGAGUACAAAAGAUGGAGAUAAAAAAACAAAACCCAAAAAUAAAAAACCCUUAAAACAUAAACACAAAAUUCUCCAAAAGUGUUAUGAGUUAUAAUCUUUUAAUGGGUGUGUUUGCUAAGGUUGUAAAAGACCCUACUUAUAGGCUAAAUUUGUAGGUCAAAUAAAUUAUGCUAAUAAAUGCUAAAUAUAUUAUACUAAUACAUACUAAAUCUUGUAGAAUUAAAAUAUAUUUUGUUUAACUUGAUUUGCAAACAAUCUCUUAUUUAAUAGGAAUUUGGGUCACACAACUCUAACAAUCUCCUCCUUGACACGAAUUCUCACAACGCUAUCAUUUCCAAAGCCUAUCACGGGCCUAUCUUGAAUUAUACAAUGAAUUAACUAAGUUGAAUAUGUGCUUAGAAGCUGGAAGACUUCUAGCCUUCAACUUGUGCACUGUCAAAUCAAAACUAACCCGGGUUUGAUUUUCACGAACACAGUGCCUUAACUUUUCAAAACAUGCAUCCAAAAGAGAACCUCUCUUCAAUGAAAUGGUCAUACAUUUUUCCCUCCUAUGACCAAGUUGCCUCUGCUCCAAACGAGUUGACUUCGACUCCGUAAUGGACAAGGGACGUCCGAUUUUAUCGGUCACUAUAGAACCUUCUAGAAUAUAAAGGUUGUUGGUCCUUUUAUCUUUAACAAAACGAGAACCCCACGAGACGCCUUAAUGUUGCUCGACUCGAUGUUGAUUCUGCAACCUUUCGAGUCUAAAAUACUCAAAAAGAUGAGAUUCUUUCAUAAAUCAAGUACAUAUUUGACAUCUGAGAGUGACCUAAUCAUCCCAUCCUGCAUCAUAAUUUUAAUAGUACUAAUAUCGAUUGCCUUACUGGAUAAAUAGUUUCCCAUGUACACAACUCCAUCUUCAACCGAACUAGGAUCUACUUAGAUGUAAUCUUGAAGCUAUCGCUCGUUGACAUUAACAAAAAAUCAUCACCGCUUUCGUUAGCCGAAUUAACACUAGCUACAUCUUCCUCGUUACUCUCAGCAGCCCUUUUAUUUCACAGUUUAUAACAAUCUACUUUGACGUAACCUAACUUCUUACAAUAGUGACACAUUUUUUCUCAUUUCUUUGAUGCUACCAAAAUGAAAGCUUGCCUAUCUACCUUGCUAUCUGAACCAAAAUCAUCGUCGACUUUGUCUUUACUCAACAAAUGACCCUUCACAUCUUUGAACGAAAGUUUUUCUCUGCCAUAAAUCAGGGCCUCCUUGAAAUACUUGUAUGAAGAGGGUAAAGAGCACAGUAAUAGCAUAGUCUGAUCUUCAUCGUCAAUCUUAACCUCAACAUUUUAUAAAUCAUUCAAAAGAGUAAUAAAUUGACUAAUGUGAUCUCUAAGAAGCUCACAUUCGUUCAUGCAAAACGUAAAUAGACAUUUCAACACUAAACGGUUAGCCAGAUACUUAGUCGCAUAAAGAAUUUCUAAUCUUUUCCACAAGCCGGAUGAGGUUUUCUCCAUUAAUACCUCAUACAAUACCUUAUUCGAGAGGCACAACUAGAUUGCAAGCAGGGACUUUUCAUCAAUAUCUUCUUAUUUUGUUUCAUCUAGAUUCUCAAUUUUUUCUCGGUAACGACCUUUUAUAGGCCAGUCUGAACUAGAAUUGUCAUCAUCCUAACUUCCCACAGAUUGAAAUUUGUGACACCAUCGAACUUCUUAAUGUCAAACCUUGUUGCUAUCAUAUCUGAAUAGGCUGCUCUACGAAAAUUAAACUUUGAUACCACUUGUUGGGGAUCGACCCGAUUAAGCAACAAACAAGUAAAACUAGUGGAAGAAAUUGAGAAAUUGAACACACAAAUUUAGCAUGGAAAAACCCCUUCAAAGAGAAUAAAAAACCACGGGAAAAAAUAAAUUUACUAUAAUGGGAAAAGAAUGAAGAGUACAAAAGAUGGAGAUAAAAAAAACUAAGCUCCGAAACCCGAAAACAAAGAACCCUCAAAACGUUAACACAAAAUUCUCUAAAAGUGUUAUGAGUUCUAAUAUUUUAAUGGGUGUGUUUUCUGAGGUUGUAAAAGAACAUAUUUAUAAGUGAAAUUCGCAGGUCAAAUAAAUUAUACUAAUAAAUGCUAAAUAUAUUAUAUUAAAAAAUACUAAAUCUUCUAGAAAGAAAAUAUAUUUUGUUUAACUUGACUUGCAAGUAAUAUCUUAUUUAACAGGAAUUUAGGUCACACGACUCUAACACUUAUUCUAACAUUUUUAUUGAAAAUUUUAUAUUAAAUAAAAAAUUAAAAUAAUUAUCAAACAUAAAAUAUUUUCAUCUUGAAUGAAAUGAAAAUUUCUAGUUUAUACCCUAAGUAACGGAAGUGAAGAUUUUAAUAUAAAAAUGUAGACAAAAUGGUCCAAAUUUUCUUUGCAAAUAAAUUUUAUAAGCGAUUAUACAAAAAUAAAAAUAUUAGAAAUAUAGGUUUAUUGUUAUUUGCACAAAUAGAUGCCCGGAACCAUUUAUUCAAUUAUAAACUAAAAAAAAAAUUCUAUUUUUAAAAUUUUAAGAUAUAUAGAAAACACAAAAAUUAACAAUGUUAUCUAGAAAAAGUAUAAAUUUAGUUAAUGAUUUCAAAAUUUAAAUAACAAUUAGGAUACUAACUAAAUUCAAAGAUUUAAAUAUAAAAUAACUCAUUAUAUAAUAGGAUUUUAGUUAUGUAGACUUAUUUAAAAAUAUUAUUUUCGACACUUAAAAAAGUAUUAUUUUCGGAUCACCAAUGUAGUUAUUUGAGGAGCGAGCCGAAUUGUGACUUCCAAUUUGAUUCGCGUUGGUUGGCAAAGGCACAUGCAUCUGCAACCAAAGCAUCAAAGUCAAAACUUGGAGGGAAAAUAUUUGGUAUAUUAUUAUUGAAAUUAUAAUCGCAUCUCAUAUAUUCAUAACCGACUGAAAAGCACAUUAGCGUGGAACCAACGCAGAUUGAGCUUAAAAAAAAUUGGUGUGGUCCAAUACAUACUCUCAUCUUGUGAGUAUAGUUUUUUUCUUUUAAAAAAAGUUUAUUGAUAAUUUAAUGUUUAAAACAAAUCUUCUGUCUUCUAAAACAUGAGCCUAUCAGCUAUCAUGAUAACUGCAAUGAAAUAUUUAUUAUUAAUUUAAAUGCGGCGUGCUCCCACCAUCUUUUUUCAAUAUUACUAGAGUAUGUCAGGUUUUUUUUUUAAAAAAAAUUAUAUAAAUAGUAAUAUAAUUAUUAGUGUAUUUCUAUUUUAGUCAUUUAAAUUUAACUUCGUUUUUUUUGUUAUAGUUACUAAUUAAAUUUUAUAUUUUAGUCACUCUUUUAUUAAAUCAUUGACAAAAUAGAAACAAGCUAAUAGUUAAAUAACUAUUUAUACUUUAGAAUAUAUUGAAAAAAAUAAUAAAUUAUCAAUCUAUGACACAACUAACACUAUUUAUGAAUUUAUAACAAAAACUAUGGUAAAAAUACCACAAGGGCCCUUAUACUAGGUGUGAGAUUGCAUUUUGCCCCCUCUACUCAAAAAAGGGCAAAUUAGUCCCUAUACAUUAGAUCAAAUAGCAAACUUAUCAUUUCUGUUAAAAUUUUCAUCCAUUUAUACUGUUAAAAACUAACAUAGUUAACAGAAUAACCAAAUAGAGACACAUGGCAUGCCACAUGUACCUCGUGCUAACAUACAUGGACUAGUUUUUAAUAGUAGAUAUGGAUGAAAGUUUUAACAAAAAGGGUCAAUUUACUCUUUAAUCUAACGUACAAGACUAAUUUGCCAAGUUUUUACUAGAAGGGACAGAAUGCAAUCCAACUCUUAGUACAAGAGCCUCCAUGGUACUUUUAUCCCAAAACUACAUUAACCCAAUAAAUCACACACUCAUUAUAUGAUUUUUCUAUAGGCAAAUGAUUUUCGUACAAAAUACUACUGUACAAAAUGUGUGGAACCCAAUUUUUGAGUGUUUUUGUGAUAAAAACACCCUUGAUCAAAAUUGAAAUUUUAUACCUCUCUUAUCAAGAUAAAUAAUCAUUAGUCAUAUUUUAACGUGAAAAAUGGACUAAGCUCCCACUAAUUUAUUAUCUUCUAACAUGCAAAACACUUUUUGCAAUUUAUAUCCCUUCCUAAGGAAUAUAUAUAUUUAACUAAGAAAAAAAAAGGUUUUCCCUUCCCAAUUUCCAAUCGUUAGCCCCUUAUCCCCUCAUCUUACUCUGUUUUUUAAAGGGGAAAAUAUUUAACUGAAAUAUUAUUCAUCUGUGAAUUGCUUACAAAAUAAAUUUUCAAUUGUCUUUAAUUGCAAAUAAUAUUCUUCUUCUUCUUAUCUAUAUUUUUAUUGGCAAAAAUAUUUCAAAUAUUUAUUUUCUAAAAAGAAAAUCCUUAUCUGACUAUUUUUUCUUAAGGUGUAUCUGAACAAUGAAUGAUCAAAAUCAAAUGAAGAAGUUUUAUGUGAUUUUUCGUGGGAAGAAACCAUGCAUUUGUAGUUCAUGGAAUGAAUGUGCUUCUAAUGUUUAUAGAGUAAAGAGAAGCAUUUACAAGUCAUUCAAAAUUCAGAUGGCUGCAGUUGAAGUAUUCAAGAUGUUCUUAAGAUUGAAUCGGAGGAGGACGAUGAGGAGAGGUCAAGCUUUGAACUUUCUGUAGCAAUUCGAUUUUCAGUGGUGUAUGAAAAUGCUAUCUCAAAAUCUCAUUUCCAUAAAUCGAGUCUUUACAUAUAAAAUAAGAAUAUUUACAGAGUUAUUAUAAAACAUAUUGAAUUUCAAUUAAGUAAUUUAGCCAAAAAAAAGUAGCUAAUUAAAUAUCAGGGACCAAAUUAUAAAAGUCCAAUUGAUAGUGAUUUUUAAUUAACAAAAGACUUGAGGACCUAGAUAACAAUUAUCUAAAUGACCAAAAUGGUUAUUUAACCAUUGUCUAUCAUGAAUUAGUGGAUGAUGAUUUAGAAUUCCACUUUGUUUAGCUAAUGGUUAAUUAAGUAUAAUAAAACAAUAAUUUAGCUAAUUAACAAAGCUUAAUUAGAAAAAAAUCCAAGUAUAAAAAGGAAGAUAAUGGGAAGAAAGAUGAGAAUGCUCAUCUUCUUCCACCGUCCAAAAGAAUAUAGAAAUAGGAGAAAGUUUCAAGCUUUCACCCAUUCGGCCAUGUCCAAUAUUCAUAGAUAAUAAGUUAUUUUUCAUGUAAUUUUUAUAGAUUUAUGAUCAUGGGAGUUUAAUUUAGGUAGCCCAUGUAUCAAUUUGUUCAAUUUUUGAAAUUUUAGCAAGUUACCAUUGUUGAUAAAUUGAUGAAUUAGACUUGAAUUUGAUAGAUAUUUAGCUUAUAUUAUGAAAAGGGCUAAAUUGUAAAGCUUAAUAAGCUUGGUUGUUAACUUUGUAACAUUAAGAACCAAAUUGAAUAAAGUGAAAACCUAUCAUGAAACUAUGCUAUGAAUAGAAAGUCUAAGGUCCCUAAUGAGUGAAUGUGAAAUCGGAUUUUAAUUCGAUGCUAAAUAUCAGAAUAUAUGCUUAUCUCAAGUUUAAGUACUAAAUUGAAUAAUGAAAAAUAUGCUUGACCUUAUAUUUGAAUUUGAAUCAAAUGAAUUUUGAUAUUGUUCCUUUAUUAACAAUUGAUUAUAGCUAAAGACGAUGCCAGUCCAUCAAGAGGGAAAGGAAAAUCGAGAGUUGUUGACGAGUGACAUAAGAUUUCGAUUUGUGCUUUUAUGAUUCGAGAUUAAUCAUUUUCUUUGUAUAUUCAUGACAUAUUUCAUGAUUGAGUAUCGAGGUGAGAUAAUAAUGGUCGUUUGAAUUGAUUUUCUAUGAUUGAUGUUAGCUUCAUUGAUUAAACCAAAACCGCCUAGAGGGGGUGAAUUGACUUUUAAAAUUUUGUGGAAGCUAGAAAAAAAAGAUUGUAACGCCCUAGAAUUUUUAUUUUUGUUCUUGCAAAGGUGUGGCACAAUUAUGUAUCUGCUUUAGUGGUUAAGUGUUCUGGCCGUGUGAGAGGUCCCAAGUUCAAGUUAGGACUUGAGCAAAUUUUGGUAUUUUUAUGAAUAAGCUCUAUCUUUGGUCAGUAGGCUUUUAAGUAAAAGUUGACAAAUAAUUAGUAGAAUGGGUCUGUUAGUCUGGUGGAUAAGUGGAGUGUUGUUGUGAAGGAGGUCCUGUGUUCAAUUCUCUGUGAUGGCGUGGAGACAGUAUUUUUGCUCCAGUUUCGACUGAGAGUUGUGUUGGGGCAAAAUUCUUAGUAGUUGUAUUUUAGUGGGUUAAUAAGGAGUGAUUUUAGGAGAUAAUGGGGGAGAGAUUAUCAGAAAAUAAUAUGAUUAUCCUUUUGUUGUAGAAAAAAAGAGUAGAGUUUUAGUUUUCUCUCCAAUUACCUAAACUUUUUUUGACGAUUUCUUCUUCUUUUUUCCCUCUUCUGCUGAUUCUUUCCCCUAGUUGCUGCCGAUAUUUCCAUUAUUUUUCCCCUUCCGUUUCUUUCUUUAUUUUCCAAUUGAUUUGGUUAUUCAUCAUUGGUUACGUGUGUUCGGUAAGUAACAGUUUUGUCUAUUGUUAAUUGUUCUUGGUUAAUCUCUGAAAGGGAGAUUCCUUUUUUAUGUUUAGGAGUUAAUCAAGGGGCUGGUGGUUUUGAAUCGACGCUGUGAUUGUGCGAAGUCGUGGUUACUCAAGUGAAGUAACGGUUUUGUUAGGUUUUUAGUCGAGUUCCUUCCAAAAUUGGUUGAUUAAAAACAAAUUAAGUGAUUAAUCUAGAGAUUUGUUGGUCGAUUUGUAGGUUCUAGAGGCUUAGGAGUGCUUACGCAUUAGAAGCGAUACUAGGUAUGUACCCGAAAUGCAGAAAAUGAGAUUUGGCAAAAAAUUGAAAUUUCUUACUGUCAAGAAAGAAGAGAAAUAAGAGAAAAUGAUGCGAAAAAUUGUGGAGAAAGGAAAUAAGGGUGUUAUAAACUUGAAAAUCAACAUUCUACACUAAAAUAGUUUUGGACAUCAGUAGUAGUCUAACUUUGAAAAAUCAUCAAAAAUAGUGGAAAUUGAGUUAGAGGUUGAAUAAAAUACUAAAUUAAAUUUUAUUGAGUCUAGUUUUUCAUGGAAGAAACUGUGUAAGCAAUGAAAUUGUAAGUUAUGAGAUAUAAAGAAUUUUGUGAGACAAGGUCAAAAUGAGUUUGGGUUCCCGUGUUCUGACUUUGGAAAAAUCAUUAAAAAUUGUAAAAAAAUAAUUAGGGGCUUAAAUUAUUAAUGAGUCUAUUUUCAAGAGAAACAAACAGAAACAUCAUCCGAAUUUCGUACUAAGAGAUAAAUAAUUUUUAGUAAGGAAAGUUUGAAGCUGUCAAACAGUAGAAUCAGGAUAGAUUUGAAGAUUUUACUGUACUGAUUUGAUAAACUAUAAAAUCUAAAAAUUUUAUGGUAGAAAGGUAUUUGAGUCUAGUUUCAAAAACAUCACGCGGAUCUUAAUUUGGAAUUCUGUAGCUCAAGAUAUAAAUAAUUUAUGAACAAUGACUCAAGUAGAUAGCUUUGAAUGAACAUAUAAGUAAAUAGUGAAAACAUAUAUGAAUAUUUAGCUAGCAUGGGUACAUUAAAAGUGGAUCACAAGGCCAAGGCCAAUUUGGGUUGAGUGGGCCACACGUGUAGACCACAUGGGCGUGUGAGCCCAUUUUCGUUGAAUUGAUUGCUAAUGUUACACGGGUCGCCCAAGUCGACUGUGAACCUACUCUAGGGUCGGUAAGUAUCACUUAGACCCCUAAUUGUACGAACUAACUAUUUGAUUUAUAUAUUUGUUGCGCAUGAUGAUAGUAUGCUUGUAUACUGAACUGGUUAUAUGUAUUGAUGUCCUGAGAUAGCAUGUCAUGACUUGUAUGUUGCAUUGCAUGGGGUUGGGUUAAUUAUAUUUGGAGAAAGUGUACUGAAAGGCUCUUAAGCCUAACAUACUGGUUGCUCAGCUUCAAAUAAUUGUUUUGUGUCGCAUUCGGUACUACUUGGAGUGUAGGGAUGGGUGGGUUGAUUUGAUCCUUACAUGGAGUGUUGGGUUGGACGAAGAUGGUGUGUGGAGGUUGGUUGGGUAGGACUUUGUUACUGAAUACGGAGAUGGUGUGUGGAGGUUGGUUGGGUAGGACUGCUACUAAUACUGCGAUGGGCUAAGGCCCUGCUGCAUAUAUUGAUACUAUACUGAGAUAGGCUAAGGCCCAAACUGUUACUGAUACUGAAAAAAGGGCUUAGGCCCAAGACUACUUUAACUGUGCACUGAAAAAGGGCUAAGGCCCUAUUGUUUGUUUUUUGUGGAAUUACACACUGAGUUUUCGUAAACUCACCCCUUUUGUUAAAAUUUGCACAGGUAAUGCCCAGAUCUAGACGGAUUGGUGUGACGUAGGACUCAACGGUGACCACGGUUUUGGACUUUCAUAGUUUUUGACCCAUAUUUACGAUAAUUGGUUUUAUUUCUAUUCUAUAUUUUACUGGCUAAGUUUUUGGGUUGUAAUUGGACUUUUGGAUUUUGGUUUUGGGUUUUAAUUAUCUUUACCUUAUGGAUUACAACUGCUAGUAGUAGGAAGCCUCUGUUUUCAGAAGAAAUAAAUGUUUUCCUAAAAGCACGAUUGUUUAAUCUAUUUUAAAAUCUUCCGCAAAUGAAUAACGUUUUGAAACUAUCGAUUAGAUGAGCAACACAAUUUUGGAACUAAUAAGAUAUUAAGAUAAGGAAUUCAAUUGAAAUGGUUUUAACGUGAUGACACAAUUUUCAAACACCUUAUCGUGUGACAUCGCUAGAUCAGGCCAUAACGUCUGAGCCAGGUUUGGGAUGUUAUAUUUAGUGGUAUCAGAGCCAAGUAGCAAAACUCGGCUGUGGAUUAUGGGUUUUAAAUUUGGUCUUUGAAAAAAUGGUUUUUAAAAGAUUUGAAAUAUUUCUACUGGGUAUGUGGUGCACCAAGUCUCUGGUGCCGAUCUUGUAAGUGUUCUGAAACUGAUACAUGCUAUGAUAUUCUGAAACUGGUAUAUGUUAUGAUAUUUUGAAACUACUGUAGAUAGUAUAUUGUGAAAAUACUCUAGUUGGUGUAUAUUGAGACUGUAGCAAAACUGUUAGAGACUGCGAUUUACGAAAAUCACUCUGAAUUACUCAAACUGUUAACAUAAAACAUCUACUAGUAAAUACUGAAACUGAAACUGAUGCAUUAAAAUUCGUAAUACAGAUAAAUUCGAAUAGACAUGAGCGCACGAGGUAUUUGUAAACGUGGUACUCAAGGUCGAGGUAGAGGCCGUAGGGGGAUCGAUCUGAGUUCUCUUCCCUGGGUAAUAUACUGAAUUUGGACAUGAGUGAGACGCCAAUGUUGCCUGCUACUGAGACUAAGUCUCAUGAUUGUAUGGCUGGGGAUGACACAUUGUCUCAGGCUAUGUUGUGGAUAUUGGAGAGGGUCGCUGGUCCUAAUAUUGGAUCUGGGGGCCGUGGGUCAGUUACGGAACGACUUCAAUUUAAUAGAGCUGAGCUCCUGAGGGGUGUCACUGGGGUUGCCCCUAAUGUAUUCAAGUACUGGAUUGAGGCCACGGAGAGGAUCAUGGAUGACCUAGAUUGCACCUUCGAGCAAAAAUUUAAGGGUGCAGUCUCGCUGUUACAUGAUGAAGCUUAUCAACGGUGGCUUAUUGUUAAGGAGGGCACUCGGCCCGAACGCCUGACCUGGGAGUUCUUUAAGAUCGCCUUCCAGGGGAAGUAUAUGGGAGCUAGUUAUGUUGACACAUGUAGGAGGGAGUUUCUGAAUCUAACAUAGGGAGAUCGAUCAGUGGCUGAGUAUGAGGCUGGAUUCCUACGACUGAGCCGUUAUGCGAGAGGUAUGGUGUGACUGAGUAUGAGCAUUGUGAUCACUUUAAGGAUGACCUCAGAGAUAAUUUGAGAGUCCUGAUAGCUCCACAAAGGGAGCGUAAUUUUUCUUUGCUUAUUGAGAAGGCGAUGAUCACCAUGGAGGUUAAGCGCACUGAGAGCCAAAACCGUGAUAGGGAGAGAGGUAGGAAUAAGAGGGAUUUGGAGCCCUUGAGUUUUGUGCAGAGGCCUAAGAAAAAGGCCAGAGCUGAUGGGCUAGUUAGAACUGGUCCCCUUGUUACUACUACUGGACUGCAGCCAUGUGUCGACCGUGGUAGAUGCCAUUAGGGCGAGUGUUGGAGAAGGACUAGGGCAUGUCUGAGGUGUAGAUCGUUAGAUCAUCGCAUUAGGGAGUGUCCGUUGAGGGUCGAUCAGAUGGAAGCUCAGGGUAAUAGUAUUGCACAGCCACAAAGGGUAGCACAGCAGCCACCUAGAGGUCAUGGUCAGGCUAGGGGUGGUAAUGGUAUGAGACGAGGGCAGAGAGCACCGGGCAGAGGUGCUGGAUAGGAUGAGGCGAGACAGUCAGCCCUAGUUUAUACUACUCAUUUCCAAGAGGAUAGAGAUGCUCCGAACGUUAUCAUAGGUACGUUUCUUAUUUUUGAUGUGCGUUACACUGCAUUGACAAGUAUAGAAUCUACGCAUUCCUAUUUUUCCUGUUCUGUCCCCAAAAAUCAAGGGAUUCCGGUUGAGAGUAGUUCUAGUGAGGUGGCUGUGCUGAGCCCGCUGGGGUAAUCUAUUAGAGUUAGCAAACUGUAAAGGGAUGUUCCUUUAGGGGUUCAAGGGACGGUAUUUUUGGCUGAUUUGUUGGAGCUUCCGCUUGGGGAGUUCGAUAUGAUAUUGGGGUUGGACUGGUUGGUUAAGCAUCAUGUCAGUUUGGACUGUGCGACUAAGAGGGUCGUAUUGAGAACUGAGGAGGGUAAUGAAGUACUUGUGAUUUGGGAACGUUAGAAUUACUUGGCUAACGUGACCUUUGCACUCGUAGCUGAGAAACUGGUUCGCAAGGGAUGUGAGGCGUAUUUGACCUACGUAAGUGUUUCCGCUUCUGGGGACUCUACUAUAAACGACAUUAGAACUGUCAGGGAUUUUCCAAAUGUCUUUCUUGAGAAGCUACUAGGUUUACCUACGAAUCGAGAAAUGGAUUUUAGGAUUGAAUUUUUCCCUCGUACAGCUCUGCUGUCUAUCGCUCCGUAUCGAAUGACACCGAAGGAGCUUACGAAGCUUAAGGCUCAAAUUUAGGAGUUAUUGGAUCAUUGGUUUAUCCGUCUUAGCGUGUCCCCGUGAGGAGCACCGGUACUGUUCGUUAAGAAAAAAGAUGAAUCCAUGAGGAUGUGUAUCGAGUACCGACAACUAAAUAAGUUGACUAUUAUGAAAAAGUAUCCACUUUCGAGGAUUGAUGAUUUGUUUGACUAGUUCAGAGGGGCGUCUAUGUUCUCCAAAAUUGAAUUGCGUUCUGGGUAUCAUUAGUUGAGGGUUAAGGAGGCUGAUGUGCAUAAGACGACAUUUAGGACUCGUUAUGGUCAUUACGUGUUCCUAGUGAUGCCAUUUGGACUGACUAAUACACCGGCAGCUUUCAUGGAUCUGAUGAACUGAGUGUUUUAGCCUUACUUGGAUCGAUUUGUAGUGGUGUUCAUCGAUGACAUAUUGGUUUAUUCGAGGACUGAGGCUGAGCAUGACUAGCACCUUAGGAUUGUUCUUCAGAUUUUGAGGGAAAAAUAGCUUUAUGCUAAGUUCAACAAGUGCGACUUAUGGUUACGUGAAGUAACAUUUCUAGGUCAUGUAGUGUUUGCUGAGGGGAUUUGAGUCAAUCUUUGAAAAAUUGAGGCUGUAUUGGAUUGGAAGCAGCCUAAGAAUGUGUCUGAGAUCAGCAGCUUUUUGGGGCUGGUAGGUUAUUACCGACGGUUUAUGGAAGGAUUUUCACUGAUUGCAGCACCCUUGACUAAGCUGUUACGUAAAGGUGUACCGUUUGAUUGGGCUGAUGCGCAGGAAGAGAACUUUGAGAAGCUUAAGAUUGUACUGACUAAGGCUCUUGUUUUGGUACAGCCUGGACCUGGAAAGGAGUUCAGGUUUACAGUGAUGCAUCACAUGUCAGUUUGGGAUGUGUGUUGAUGUAGGAUGGAAAGGUGGUUGCAUAUGCAUCUCGUCAGCAUAAGACACACUAGGCGAACUAUCCGACGUACAUUUGGAGUUGGCCGCUGUAGUUUUUUCAUUGAAAAUCUGGAGGCAUUAUUUGUGUGGUGAGAAGUGUAUCAUCUACAUUGAUCACAAAAGCCUCAAGUAUCUCAUUACUCAGAAGGAGCUGAAUCUAAGGCAGCGAAGAUGGGUUGAGCUGCUUAAGGAUUACCACUGUACCAUUGAGUACCAUCCUGGCAAGGCCAAUAUGGUGGCCGAUGUGUUGAGCCGUAAGGCUAUGACCGAUCUAAGAGCGAUGUUCGCUCGACUUAGCCUAUUCGACGAUAGAAGUCUGGUGGCAGAGCUUCAGGUCAAAACGACAUGGAUUGAACAGAUUCGAGGUAAAUAGUUGGGGGAUAAGUCUCUUAAGUUGCAUUUUCGUUAGGUUGAGAAUGGUUGCACUACUGAUUUUGGGAUAAACAGUUAUGGGGUACUUUGUUUCCGCGGUCGGAUUUGUGUACCGAAUGAUGAGGAUUUGAGGUAGUCGAUUCUGAGAGAGGCUCAUGGUAGACCCUAUUCUAUGCAUCCUGGCUAGAACAAGAUGUACCGAGAUCUUCGGGAAUUGUACUAGUGGCCAGGGUUGAAGCGAGAGGUUACUAACUUUGUUGCUCGCUGUUUGACUUUUCAGUAGGUUAAGGCUAAGCAUUAGUUACCUUCGGGUUUGCUGCAGCCGGUUAAGAUGCAUUUAUGGAAAUGAGAGCGAGUAACGAUGGACUUCGUUAGUGGGUUGCCUUUAACACCCACUCAGAAAGAUUCAGUGUGGGCCAUCGUGGAUUGAUUGACUAAGUCUGCACACUUCAUCUCAGUUAGGACAAAUUAUUCUUUGUAGAAGUUGGCGAAGCUCUAUAUUUUUGAGAUAGUGAGAAUGCAUGGGGUACCAGUUUUGAUCAUCUUUGAUAGGGAUCUUCGGUUCACGUCUCGGUUUUGGAAAAAGGUGCACGAGACUCUUGGUUCAAGGUUGGACUUCAGUACUACGUUCCAUCCUCAGAUUGAUGGUCAGUCAGAGAGGGUGAUUCAGGUACGAGAGGAUAUGUUGAGGAGUUGUGCUGUUGAUUUUCGAGGCAGUUGCGAGGAUGAUCUACCAUUGGCGGAGUUACCCUAUAAUAAUAGCUUCUAGUCUAACAUCUAGGUGGCACCUUACAAGGCACUAUAUGAUCGUAAGUGUCGUACUCCUUUAUGUUGGACUGAGUUGGGUGAGCGAUGUGUUCUAGGUCCUGAGUUGGUCUUCGAGACAGAGGAUAAUGUUAGAUUGAUUCGGGAUCGUUUGAAAGUGACUUCUGAUAGGUAGAAAUCUUAUGGGAUUUGAAGGGGCGUGAGAUCAAGUAUUCUGUGGAGGACUUCGUUUUUCUCAAGGUCUCACCAUGGAAAAAGGUACUGAGGUUUGGUUGUAAGAUCAAGUUAAGCCCUAGGUUUAUUGGAUCUUACCAUAUCCUGAAGCGAGUGGGACCAGUCAGUUAGAGCUACCUCCGGUAUUAGAUCGUAUCCAUAAUGUGUUCCAUGUCUCUAUGUUGAGGCGUUACUGCUCUGAUCCUACUCAUAUUGCCCCUGUUAAGGAGAUUGAGGUUAGGCCAGACUUGACCUUUGAGGAGGAGCCUGUCCAAAUUCUGGAUUGUGACAUAAAGGUUCUGAGGAGGAAGUCUAUUCCAUUGGUGAAGGUUCUAUCGCGUAAUCAUAGCACUGGGGAGGCCACGUGGGAGCCUGAGGAAGUGAUGCGUCAACAGUAUCCUUAUUUGUUCUGAUCAGGUAAAUUUCGAGCCAGCAAUAUUUUUUUAGGGGGUAGAGUUGUAAUGCCCCAGAAUUUUUAUUUUUGUUCUUGCGAAGGUGUGACACAACUAUGUAUCUGCUUCAGUGGUUAAGUGUUUUGGGUGUGUGAGAGGUCCCAAGUUUAAGCCAGGACUUGGGCAAAUUUUGGUAUUUUUAUGAAUAAGCCCUAUAUUUGGUCAGUAGGUUUUUAAGUAAAAGUUGGCAAAUAAUUAACAGAAUGGGCUUGCUGGUCCGGUGGAUAAGUGAAGUGUUGGUGUGAGGGAGGUCUUGUGUUCAGUUCUCUGUGAUUGCGUGGAGACAAUAUUUUUGCUCCAAUAUCAGCUAAGAGUUGUGUUAGGGCAAAAUUCUGAGUAGUUGUAUUUUAGUGGGUUAAUAGGGAGUGAUUUUAGGAGAUAACGGGGGAGAGAUUAUCAGAAAAUAAUUUUAUUAUCUUUUUGUUACAGAAAAAAGUAGAGUUUUGAUUUUCUCUCCAAUUACCCAAACUUUUUCUGACGUUUUCUUCUUCUUUUUUCCCUCAUCUAUCGAUUCUUUCCCUUAGUUGAUGCUGAAAUUUCCAUUAUUUUUCCCCUUUCAUUUUUUCUUUAUUUUCCAAUUGAUUUGGUUGUUCAUUGUUGGUUGUGUGUGUUCGGUAAGCAACGAUUUUGUCUAUUGUUAAUCGUUCUUGGUUAAUCUUUGAAAGGGGGAUUCCUUUUUAGUGUUUAAGAGUUAAUUAGGGGGCUAAUGGUUUUGAAUCGACACUGUGAUUGUGCGAAGUCAUGGUUACUCAAGCGAGGUAAAGGUUUUGUUAGGUUUUUAGUCGAGUUUCUUCCAAAAUCGAAUGAUUAAAAACGAAUUAAGUGAUUAAUCUAGAGAUUUGUUUGUCGAUUUUUAGGUUCUAGAGGCUUAGGAGUGCUUACGCAUUAAAAACGAUACCAGAUGUGUAGCCGAAACACAGAAAAUGGGAUUUGGCAAAAAGCCAAAAUUGCUUGCUUUCGAGAAGUUAGAUAAAUAAGAGAAAAUGAUGCGAAAAAUUGUAGAGAAAGGAAAUAAGGGUGUUAUAAACUUAGAAAUCAACAUUCUGCAGUAAAAUAGUUUUGGACAGCAGAAGUAGUCUAAUUUUGAAAAAUCAUCAAAAAUUGUGAAAAUUGAGUUAGAGGUUGAAUAAAAUACCAAAUUAAAUUUUAUUGAGUCUAAUUUUUCAUGGAAGAAAUAGUGUAAGCAAUGAAAUUGUAAGUUAUGAGAUAUAAUGAAUUUUGUGAGACAAGGUCAGAAUGGGUUUGGGUUCCCGUGUUCUGACUUUGGAAAAAUCAUCGAAAAUUGUAAAAAAAUAAUUAGGGGCUUAAAUUUAUAUGUUUAAAUCCUUAAUGAGUAUAUUUUCAAGAGAAACAAAUGGAAACAUCAUCCGAAUUCCGUACUAAGAGAUAAAUAAUUUUUAGUAAGGCAAGUUUGAAGCUGUCAAACAACAGAAUCGGGAUAGAUUUGAAGAUUUUACUGUACUUAAGUCAUAAACUAUAAAAUCUAAAAAUUUUAUGGUAGAAAGGUAUUUGAGUCUAGUUUUGAAAACAUCAAGCAGAUCGGAAUUUGGAAUUCUUUAGCUCAAGAUAUAAAUAAUUUAGAGACAAUGACUCAAGUAGGCAUCUUUGAAUGAACAUAUAAGUAAAUAGUGAAAACAUAUAUGAAUAUUUAGCUAGCAUGGGUACAUUAAAAAUGGAUCACACGGCCAAGGCCAAUUUGGGUUGAGUGGGCCAGACGGGAGUGUGGGCCCACACGAGCAGACCACAUUGGCGUGUGAGCCCAUUUUCACUGAAUUGAUUACUAAGGUUGCACGGGUUGCCCAAGUUGACUGUGAACCUACUGUAGGGUCGAUAAGCAUCACUUAGACCCUUAAUUAUAUGAACUGGCUGUUUGAGUUAUAUCUGUGUUGAGCAUUAUGAUAGUAUGCUUGUAUACUGAACUGGUUAUAUGUAUUGAUGUCCUGAGAUAGCAUGUCAUGACUUGUAUGUUGCAUUGCAUGGGGUUGGGUUAAUUAUAUUUGGAGGAAGUGUACUGAAAGGCUCUUAAGCCUAACAUACUAGCAGCUCAGCUGCAAAUUACUAUUUUGUGCUGCAUUCGGUACUACCUGGAGUGUAGGGAUGGGUGGGUUGAUCUAAUCCCCACAUGGAGUGUAGGGUUGGACGGAGAUGGUGUGUAGAGGCUGGUUAGGUAGGACUUUGUUACUCAAUACCGUAUGACUGCUACUGAUACUGUGAUGGGCUAAGGCCCUACUACAUAUUUGAUACUGCAUUGAGAUGGACUAAGGCCCAAACUGUUGCUGAUACUGGAAAAGGGUUUAGGCCCAAGACUACUUUAACUAUGCACUAUGAUUUUCUACUGUUUGUUUUCUAUAGAUUUUACACCGAGUUUUCAUAAACUCACCCCUUUUGUUUAAAUGUGCACAAGUAAUCCCCAAAUCUAGACGGAUCGGUGCAGUAGAGGACUUAGCGGUGACCAUGGUUUUGGACUUUCAUGGUUUUUAACCCAUAUUUACGAUAAUUGGUUUUAUUUCAAUUCUAUUUUUUACUAGCUGAGUUUUUGUGUUGUAAUUGGACUUUUAGACUUUGGUUUUAGGGUUUAGUUAUCUUUACAUUAUGUAUUACAACUGCUAGUAGUAGGAAACCUCUGUUUUCAAAAGAAACAAAUGUUUUUCCUAAACACACGAUUGCUUAAUCUGUUUUAAAAGCUUUCACAAACGAAUAACAUUUAGAAACUAUCGAUUAAAUGAGCAACGCAAUUUUGGAACUAAUAAGAUAUUAAGAUAAGGAAUUCAAUGGAAAUGGUUUUAACGCGACGACGCGAUUUUGAAACACCCUAUCAUGUGACAUCGCUAGAUCCUGCCAUAACAUCUAGGCCGGGUUUGGGGUGUUACAAAGAUGGAACAGAUUAACACAAUGAUUUAGAUUGGUUCGACCCAAAUUGCCUACUCCACUACCUUAACUUUCCACUUUUAAGGAUUUUCCCAAAUUCACUAAUUUGACUAACCUUUAAGGACAAGGUUUAACCUUACAGCUCCCUUCAAGUUUCUACCAAAACAUUAAGAUAAAAACCUCUCAAAAAGAAAUUCAAAUAUGCAAGUAGAGAAUUAAUCCUUACAAGAUUGGAUUAUUUGCCAAUUUAGCACAAAAGAAAUAAUAAAACACUUGAGCUGAAUAAAAAACAAUGAAAGGUCACAAGUGUGUAUAAGAAAAGUAUGAAAACUUUAAGCUUAAAGGUUGAUUAAUUGAAGUUUUUUCUUUAAUCAUCUCUGUUAGUGUUGUAGACCCUUUGGAGGCUGGUUUUUAUACCCUUUAAUUAAUUUCCAACCAUUGUGGUUGUUGGAAUAUUGAAUAGAGUCAUUGGGGAUGAAAAUACCAAUGAAACAAUGCCACCUGCAACAACAGGUAUCGAUACUUUUUCUAUUAGUGUUGAUACCGUAUGCAUUUAAUGUCUAUUUUAGUAACCGUUGAAGCCAUCAAUACCGAUACUAGGGAAUUCUAUCAAUACCAAAUAUAAAGGAUCGAUAUUGUAUCGAUACUUGAUAAGUCCUUUGGAAGUUUGAUUGCCAAUUUUGUAUCGAUACUGUAAAAUGUAUCGAUAAAAGUAUACCACUAUCGAUACUUGAAGAAAUUUAUUGGUACCUAGCAAAAUGAAUGAUACCGUAUCAAUACUCGGUAAAUACUUUUGAAAAUAGAAUGUCAUUUUUGUAUUGAUACGGAAAAAUGUAUCGAUAAAAUUUAAAAUUUAUCGAUACUCAAGAAAAUCUAUCGAUACUUGAUAAAAAAUAUCGGUAAUGUUUCAAUACUUUUUGGUCUAGAGUAGUUUUAACAUGUUUGAAAGUUUUUUUUAACAAGUUGACCAUAAAAUAUUUUCUAAGUAUGAGUUCAACUAUUUUUCUUUUUAGAUGUCAUUUGAAAUGAAUUUUUUGCCAAGUUUUAUUUAAAAUGAUUUUUGUUCAAAACAUAAUAUUUGUUAUAUCAAAAUAAUUUCCGAGUAAAGCUUGGUUUAAUAGUUGAUAUUGAUUAUCGAGAUAGUGGAUUGAAUUGGAUAAAAUGGAAAGUAGUAUUAUUUAGUGAAGACAUUAUGUGUAAUAUGAGAAUGGAUUGAAACAUGCUAUAUGAUAAGAGAUAUUUUUGGGUUGAUGAUGAAUUGAAAUGAGAUUAUGAAUUAAAUGUGAAAUUAUAUAUGAAUUGGAUUAAAUUGAAAUGAAAUGAAAUGGAUUGGUGAUUAGUGAUUGGUGAUUGAAUUGUGAUCGAUUACAGGGUAUGAAAUACAAAUGUGACCGAUUACAGAGUAUGAUAUGCAAAUGUGAAUGAUACAGGGUAUGAAUAUGUUAAGAAAUAUGGUUCUUGCCCAUGUGAACUUAGUAAAAUGUUAGGAUACUAUUAGCAUUCCAAUUGGGUCAUAUGUGUGCUUGUAUGAGAUAUGUGAGAUAUGAAGAUUAUGGUAGAUUAUAUUGAGAUCCAACAUCUGUUGCACAUCAUCGAGUAUUGUUUGUCUCUAUGGAGACUUUGGUGUGGUAGAGGGAUGUAAUUGAAAAUGUUUAAACAUUUUAUGCCUACGAGCUUUGCACUUUGGUGCCUUGGUGUAGUGUAGUUUAAGCUCAUACGAGCUAUCUUGAUGUGAAGUAGUUCAUCUGUGUAUCCAGAUUCGUUUUACUAGGGUCCCAUUGGGUGAACAAUUGAAAUAAAAUCGUGAAAUCGAAAAAUGAAAUAAGCCAAAUUUUGGUAAGCUAUUAUAAUGUAUGAUAUGAAUUGAAUUGGUAUGAACUUGUGAUUUGAUAAUAGUAUAUGAAAUAAUUUGUUGAUAUGAAACUAUAUGUGUGCAUAUAUGUAAUUCACGGUAGAGAAAGUGUAACACCCAAUUUUGGCGGGUUUUGAGAUGGCAAGUGAACAAGAGUAAUCUGAGUGGCGGGAUAUUAUUUUCCCAGUUGAUACUUUUGGUAGACAUAUUGGGCACUUAGUUAAUGAUGGAGUAUCAUGAAAGGAUUGUUCUGUGAAUGCGUUAAGUCGCAAAGAAGACGAGAUUCGUAAGAUGGUUUAGGAUUCUUGGGUAAAUUGGGUUAUCACCAAAGGUAUUGUACGUCAGUUUAUUGAGUUACAUUCUAGUCACGUUCUAAUGGUAUAGUUAGGAAGGAUCGAAAGGGUGAACCAAAUAUAUGUAACUAUUGGAUUUCCUUUUUACAACUGUAAACCAUUUGUAUAGGCAGUCUUGAAAGUUUGUGCCAUGUGUCAAAUAUCAUUAUGAGAACAUGGGUUUUAUAUGUUAUUGUGAGUUUAGGAAGAUGGAGUUUUUCUUCCUUUUUUAAUUUCAAAAUGCUAUGAUGGUUUUAUUUGGGAGUUAAGAAAAGAUCUCUCUUUUGUUAAGCUGAAACUAAGGAUCCAAGCUCAUGAAGAAGGUUAUUUUGCAUCUUGGGUAAGUAUUAAGGUAUGAUAUGUUGACUUCUGAAAGAGUAUGUUUGUUUUGUAGGCAUGGACAGUAAAAUGAGGAAGUAAGGUUUUUCCAUGGGGGAUUAUCUUGGUUUUAGAUGAUUGUAAAAAUUGAAUGAAUGAGCUUUAAUGAUGUUCCUGUGUUCUAUAAGCAAUGAUUGUUGUGGGUUUUGGUUAGAUGUUGAAAAUGGAGUUCCAGUUGCUACUUAUGGGUAUCAAGUGAGUCCCUAGAUUGACUCUUAUAUGUGUAGAAACUUCUAUGCUAAGUGCCCAAAGCAUGUGAUCAAAACUAGUAAAGAAUAAUGUGACAAAUCUGAUAAGAAAAGUAAGAUUUAUGAUCCUAGAAGACUAUGUAUGCCUAUGUCUAAAAAUAAGAACGAGUCUGAUAGGAAGUGCAUAUAUGUCUGGUAAGCAUAAGAUUUUUUUCUCAUGAGUGAGUCGAUGCAUGAUGAAUUGUGUCUAUCUCUAGAGUCAUCUAAAGGGGUUCAUCGAGACUAAAAACAUGAAUCUCUUAAAGGACAAGUCCAUGGGCGUGGUGCUAAAGACCAUAUCGUGUAAGACCGUAACUGGUGGGUUAUGGCAUCAUAUGGAAGAAUUUAAAGAAGAUUAUUACCUAAUGUGGUUCUUUAUGUACCCUAGGACGAUGAAGGGCAAACCUCACUAAGUGUGAGUCUAGGUAAAUCCCUAUCACCCAAAUCACCAAGAGACGAAAAACCUUUGUGGCGAACUUGUUAAAGGAAGCCUUUAUGGCUAUCUCAAAAAAAAAAAAGGAAUGCCUUUGUGGCAUAAUCUAAUGAAUGACCCUUGUGACAAAUAUUUGUAGGAAAAGUAUGUACAAAGAACUUUGUAAGAAUGAUAUGUAUGAAGGAAUGGUAAGUAUGGUAAACUCUGAAAGUUUGAUAUAUAAAUAUGGCCAACCUUGGAGGAACAAUAUGGCAGAAUCUGAAGGAAUGGUUUUGUAUAGUAUGACAAGGUGAAUCCUUCAUAUUAUGGGAUAUGAAAAUUAAAGGUAAAACGUGCCAAAUGUGUUUGGCGAAUCAAGAGUGUUCUGUCUGUAUGGUCCUUUGUAAUAGUAAAGGUUAAAGAAUCAUGAAUGGACAAGACAAAAAACAUGAACAAUGUAACAAUGACGUGAAAAGGCAAGUUAUGAUCGUUGUACAAGGUUUGAAAACUAUGGCAUGAUAAAUAGAAUCUUGGAGACGUAUUUGUCAGAGUUAAGCUAUAAAAAUCUAGAACAAGAAGAUAGAUAUUCUCGAAUAAGACUUGGGUAAAUUAGGGCUUACCCAAUGUAACGCCCCAAAUUUAAGUUUUUAAUUUUUGCAAUGUUUUGUCACAAAUUGCUUGUUUGCUUUAAUGGCUAAGUGAUUUGGGUGUGUAUGGGAGUGUUUGAGAAGCCUGGGUUCAAGUCUUGGCUUUUGCAGAAUUUUUAGUUUUGCUCUUAAUUAAAUCUGAACAUUGGUACUUAGGCCUUAUAAAUAUUAGUGUUGGUUUUAUAUAACAAAAAGAGCUUGUGGUCUGGUGGCAAGAUGGCGUGUUGGGUAACUGUGAGGUUUGAGGUUCAAGUCUUGGGUUGCGCAAUGGAAUAUUUAUUUUGUUGCUUGAGCUGGGUGGGUGGUGGAGUUGGACUAGAAUACUAUUGAGUGGAGUUUGAAUUGGUAAUGGAGAGAGUUGAGGAGGAUUUGAUGGAGAAAAUCAAGAAAGGAUAAGGGGAGAGAUUUGAGGAGAAAAUUUAGGAGUGGGUUGAGAGGAGAGUUUUGCCGUUUGGGGAGUUUUCACCUUGGGAAUUUUGGCUAGGGGUAUGGGUGUGCCAAAUUUGGUCUUUGGCAUUUUGGGUAAUCGGUGUCUUGCGUUGUUUUCUCUGCUUGUCUCGGUUUUGGUCAAUUUCGUAUUGCAGCUUUUGAUUUUUGGCAAGUUUCUUCUCGGGUUUGUACACUUUCCUAUUUCGUUUUCUUUUCCCCCUUCUCUCUGCUGGCCAAAUAUCCUUUUCUUCUUCCCUCUCAUUUUUGCUGCCAAAUUCUCCUUUCUUUUCCCCUUUCCAUCUCUCUCUCUUGGCCGAAUCCCUUUCCUCUCCCCUUUUUUUUCUUUGACUGAAUGUUCUCCUCUCUUUUUCUAUUUUGAUUCUUACCUAGUAUUAUUUUAUUUUGCUUUUGAACUGCGGACUAUCUCAUUUCUUUGUGUGGGGUUUAGCCGAUUGUUAUUUCUCUGUUCGAUCACUCCUUGCACUUAUCUUCUUUUCACCGCAGUUGAUGUUCAAGUGAUGCAAGUAUUGCAGAUUAUCGGUAAGUCGCGAUACUCCUCGCUUUUGUUUUAAUUGGUUGCUUUCCAUUCUUUAUCUUUAAGCCGAAUACCCUCUUGGCCACUAUUAUGGCCUAAUUUAGUCUAUGAAGGUCAUUGUGUGGUAUAGAUUAUCGUUGUAGCAUGUGAUUGCUUUUGGGUUAGCGGUUUCGAACAGUAGGGUUGCCCUCAUACAAGAAAGGUAAAGAUGGUGAUUUUUGGGUUGUGUCUUGUAAAAAAAGAGAGGGUGUUUUACCCUAACAGUUAAGGGACUGACGUUGGAUUAUGUUGAGUCUAGGUUGGUGUACGUGGAGGUUGUGCUCUUUUCGUAAUUAGGUGUGUAAUCACACCCUGUCAACUGCAAAUCAGCAAAAGCCGAAAAGCCAAAAAAGAUGGCGUUGAGACCAUAUGAGCGUGUGAACGCUCGUGUGGUAAACUGAACCCAUGAAACAUGGUGUUGGAUUGUAGAGGCUUCCAUGAGCAUUUUCAUGGGCUUAGGCCGAAAUGGGACACAAAUUACCAAAAUACACCUAUAGGGUAAUAUUAUCGAAAUACCCUCGAAGGGUAAAAUUAUUAAAAUACCCCUAUAGGGUAAAAUUACCAAAAUACCCCUGAAGGGUAAAAUGACCAAAAUAUCCCCGAAAGGUAAAAUGACCAAAAUACCCCAUAGGGUAAACUGACUGAUAUACCCCAAGAUUUGGAAAAUGUGUAUGACUAUUUUUGCUCUAUGGUAUAUGUACAUAUUUUUACUGAAUAUGACAUACUACAUACACGUAUGAUUUAUGACAUGACAUUCUGCAUAGGGUUGGGAUUCUGAUAUAGGGGAAGUAUACUAUACUGGUAGCUUUGCCACAAAUACUGUUACUGGCAGCUUUGCUGCAUUAUUGUUAUUGGCAACUUUGCUACGUUACUGUUACUGGCAGCUCUGUUGCACUAUUAUUUCUGGCAACUUUGCUGCGAUAUUGGUGUGUUCGCUGGGUGGGUCGAUUUUAUCCCUACAUGGUGUAUUGGUGGUAUGGAGUGGUGUGUUGGCUAGAUUGGGAUGGGUUGCAUCACUGCAUUGUAUUGUUUACUGUAUUGGGCUAAGGCCCACGCUGUUACUGUAUUAGGCUAAGGCCCACACUAUUACUGUAAUGGGCUAAGGCCCACACUAUACUGAUAUUGUAUAGGGCUUAGGCCCAGAUUGAUUCUGCAUUUUGCAUAGUGAUUGUUUAGAAGGGGAUUACACAUUGAGUUUUGUAAACUCACCCUCUCCUUUAAUUGUGCAGGUAAUCCUCAGCCAUAGGUCAUUCAAAGCUGCGAGGGACUCGAAGAAGGCCACACAAUCAUUGCUUUUCAUAUUUGCAUUUAUUCUGAUUUAAAUAAUAAGUUGGGUUUUGUUUUUGUAAUAAGGCCUUUAAUUUGGUUUUAAAUUUUAAUUGGGUUUUCACUUACUUAUUUUAUACUGCUAGUUAGUUGAAAAUGAAUUUUCAAAAUAAUUACUGUUUUCAAAGACACGGGCUUUAAAUGUUAGAGUUUUCAAAAUGCUUCCGCGUUUUAAAUCAACUUAAUAUAACAAAAAGCAGUUAACAAGGCAAACAUAUGAUUAAGUGUUUCGUUAGAUAUUUAUAAGAGGUUUCCAAAAUUAUGAAACAAGUUUGUCAACAAGCCAAAAUUUUUUAGAAACACUUCAAUGUGACACACCAGAUACGACCAUAACAUUUAGGCCGGAUGUGUGGUGUUACACCCACUAAGUUCUAUUGAACUUACCUCUGUGUCAUUAUGUCACAGGUAGGCAGAUUAGGGGGCAACACGAAGAGGGACGACACCAGGACUACACCAAGGGAGUGGUGAAAACGGGCUAUAUGCAUAUAGAGCAAAGGGAGCGGCGUGUUCAAGUCUGAUAGAAAUGUUAUGAAUAAGUUACGAAAUUUGUUUAGAAGCCUUGUGGUGUGUGUAAAAUGUGUUUGUAUUAUAAACGCUAUAAUGCCCUCAACCCAAAUCAAUUCACCAGAUCCGGAUCUUAAGUGUUACAUUGCUAUAACAAACUUAUACAUACAUAAAACAUGCAAAUUUUCAAAGAAAUACAUCUUAUUAGUAAUACUGCCCAACAAAGUUGCGUUUGGGUGAACAAUGUGUACAAAACUCAGAGUAUAAUUACCAUCACAUUGGUUUAUAUGAUCCCACUUAUUUAACCUCUAAAUAGUACUAUUGACUUAGAUUAUUUGGCCAACACAAUUGAGUGACCCUAAGGCUAAUAAAAAAAUUUUCAAAACUUGUUUGAAAUGUUUCUAUCAAACUCAAACACGCCCGUGCAACCCUCAUUUUCUAUUCUUAUAUGCCGACUUAGCCACUCCUUUGGGGCAGCACUAGCGUUGUCCCUCCUAACAUCUCUUUUACUUGAGAGAUAACACACAUAGGGGUAAUUUUGAUAGAACUUAGUGAGAAAAACCUCUUUUACCUGAGCCCUUAUUCAAGGAUUUCAUCAUUUGUUUCUCGUUCAUGACUUUGACCCUAUCAAUUGUAUAGACUUCGCCAUAACCUUCCAUAUUGGAUUUUCCUUUAAAGCUAAUCCAUAGUUACCAAAUCACGGACUAUUAUGUACGUCAUUCAUUCAGACUCUUCUUGAAGGCAUUCUCUUCAGAUAGUCAUCAUAAGAACCGUUCUAAAGAUUCUGCCACGAAGGCAUUCCCUUCCAGAGAUAGCCACAGAGCCUUUCUUUUCAGAGUCUCGCCAAAAAGGGUGUCCUUCUAAAAGAGAGAGCCAUAGAGACAUUCUUUUUAUCAAAGAUUGCCACAAAGGCUUCCGUUUAACAGAGAUCGCCACAAAAGCUUUGUUAUCAAAACUACCACAAAGACACUUCUUUAACAGAGAUAGCCACAAAAACAUCUUUUUAGAGAUAGCCACAAAGACAUCCUUUUAGAGAUAGCCACAAAGGCUUACUUAUACAGAAGUUGGUGUUUUUAACAAUAGGUGUUUGCUCAAUUGAUUAAACCGAAAUUGCCAAGAGGGGGUGAAUUGGCCUUUAAAAAUUUAGUGGAAGUAAAGAAAGAGUAUGAAACAAUGAACGUAAAGAUUUAGAGUGGUUCGACCCCAAUUACCUACUCCAGUACCUUAACUUUCCACGGCUAAGGAUUUUCCCAAAUUCACUAAUUUGUUCAACCUUUGAGGACAAGGUUUAACCUUAGAACUCUCUUAAGAUCUCUACCCAAAUCUUAAGAGAAAUCCUCUUAAAGAAUUACAAAGAAGAAAACUAAGAAAUCAUCCUCAUAAGAUCAGAAUGUUUGCCAAUAAAGAAAAAAUAAAAACAGGAAUACACUUGAGCUAAGAAUAACAACAAAAGCUCACAAGUGUGUAAAAGAAAAGUAUGAAAGAAUUGAGCACUAAGGUUGAAUUGAUUGAUAUUUAGGCUUGAUUAUCUCUCUUGUAGUUGUAGGACCAUCAGAAGUUGAUAUUUAUACCUUCUAAUACAUUUCCAAUCAUUGUGGUUGUUGGGAGAAUAAAUCAAGUCGUUGGGAUAGAAAUAUCAAACCAUUAAAUUCACCUGUAACAAUAAGUAUCGAUACUAUAAGCAUUUAAUGUCUGAUUCAAUGACCGUUAAAGUUAGUUUCCAAUGAUACCAAACAAUGAUUUAUCAAUAUCUGGUAAAAAGUAUCGAUACAAUUUUAUGGGUAUCAAUACUUUUUGAUGUUUUUCAAUAGAUCAUGAAAAACAGAAUGCAAAAUUAGUAUUGAUAUAAAUUUGGGUAUCGAUAAAAAUCAAUAGGUAUUGAAAUAAUUUUAAAGGUAUCGAUACUAAUAGUUUGUAUUCAAUUUUUUUGUUCAAAACAAAGAACAGAUUUGGUAUUGAUAAAAAUUAAGGUAUCGAUAAAAAUUGUGUAAGUAUCGAUACAUUUUGGAAAACAUUGAUACUUCUUGUUAGGAGUAGUUUUUCAAUUGAUGUGAAAUGGUUUUGAUUAAAUUCAAGAUUUUAAAUUUAUUUUUUAAAAUUGUCAAAAAUAUUGUAAGUGUUUACAGCAUUUUCUAAGAUGUUUGGAAGUUUUGAAAUAUUAUUUAUGCUUUAAGUUCUUUGUUCAAAAUAAAAACAAAUUUAUAUAUUAAAGAUAUGUUUUUUAUAUCAAAAUAAUUUAACAAAUAAAGCUAGUUCAACAAUCUCCCCCUUUUUGAUAUAACAAAAUAUUUUGGUAAAUUUAUUUUUGAAUUUCUUACUCCCCUUUUUAAAGUUCAAUUUGAGUCAAUGACUUGGUUUUUUUGUGAAAUUGUGAAAACAAGGAUUUGACAAUAAAAAAAUAGUCACUUGAUGCUGGCAUUAAAAGAUUAGUCAUAAAAUCAACCAAAUACCAAUAAUUUACCUUUAUCUUAUUUUCUCCCCUUUUUGUUAUAUUAAAAAUUAACAAAUAAAGCUUAAGAGAGACUUCAUUAGUUCAAUAAAAGAGUAAAUAAUUUGAAAAACAAAUAAAUAACAUAGAUGUUUCAAAAACAAGUCUCACAAUUAAGAUACCAAAAUCAACAUUAAGUUCUAACAUAGAAUUAAGAAAAUAUGCAACAAAGAUGAGUGAAAUGCAUGAGAAAAAGAAAUAUAUGCGUCCUAGUCUUCUUGAGGUGGAGAAGGAGAAGAUAAUUGAUACAUUAUAAAUGAAAUAUUUUCCUUCAUCCUAGACAUCCUAGAGUUUAAUCCAAGAACCUUAUCAUUAACAUGCCUAAAGGCAUCAUCUACCUGAGUGCUGAAACCCCUAAACUCCUCACUCAAGGAGGUAAUUGCGCCAAGGGUGGUGAUAAACAUUUCGUCAGAGAGAGGCUGAGCAGAUGCUUGUGCGAAGGAAGAAGCCGGUGGAGGGUCUUGGUCUUUUUCAAGUUAUUCAUUAUGAAAAUCAUAAGGAACAUGGUGAACAUCUUUAACCCAAGUCUUGGCAGUAGGAUACAGUUUAAAACCAUCUCUAGAAAGGGUAAAAAAGCUAAUAGGUUCGUGUUUAACAGCCAAAGGAGAAUCAACAUUAGUGGGGAUGUUAAGACAUUUGAAAAUGUAUGACAAGAAUUUACCAAAGGGCAGAGAGAGUUUACUCUAGAGCUUUUGAACAAUACAUUUGGUAAUGUCAUUGAAUAAAAUUAAAGCCAAAUCUGUACGCCUAUUGCAGUGAAAAGAAUCAAUCCACCAAUAGUCAGUAGAUCAAAGAACAAUAUGUUUUGAAAUAAGAUGUAAUAUCCAUGUAAUUAUAAAAUGAAAAAUGUGAUCAUGGACAUCUAGCUCGGAUGCAAACGAGUGUCGAACGUUCAAGGCUAGAUUAUAAGAGCCUUUCUCAUUUGACUCACCUCGGGGAGGAAGUUUCAAAAAAAUCACUGAAAUUUUCUAAAGUGAGACGAAUAGGAGUAUUCAUAAGAAAAGAAUUUAUAGCAACAACCAUCUCACUGGAUGGAAAAUUGAUUUUGCCUAAAAAAUCGAUAUCAAGGGUGCAAGAAACAUUAACAUUUUGUUUUAGAACAUAGUGACUAAAAUGGUAAGAGUUUGUUUGGGAAGAUUGUUAAACACUUUGUGAGCAAUAAGUUUGAAUAAUUUUUUUAAGAGUUUGUUUAAAACUAGGCAACCACCUACAUGAAAACACAUGUAAUAGCUUGGUUUUAGUUAAAUCGAAACAGUGGUUUUAGAACCCCAAAUCAAAUGAUUUAGUUGGUUCGGAAAAAAAAUGGUUUGUAUAUGAAAUAUGACUAGUAGACAUGAAUUGUGAUAAAUGACUGUGUUAGUCUGUGUUGAGUUAGGUAGUGCCUCGUAGCCCUAAUCCGACAACGGAUACGGGUUGUGGGUGUUACAACACAUUCGAAAUCAACCCAAAAAUAAAAUUUCCAAUCAACAAUUUAAAAGUAAUUCAACAAAUUUCGUAGUAGAAAAAUAAGAGUUUUACCUUGAAAUUGAUUUGAAAAUUUAAAAAGUGAGAGCAAACUUGAAGAAUUCUUGUAGAAUAUGAUAAUGUAGGUGAUUUGAGUCAAGUUUUUAAAGAGAAAAAAGGAAGAAAUAGAAAUUUUUGAAGAGUGGGUUGAAAGGGUUUUGAAAAUUGGAAAAAAAUAUUUAAGGUUUAGUUGAGAAACAAGUUGUAGGUACCUUAAAAGUUCAACGAGUAUCAAUACUCUUAAAAUAAGUAUUGAUAUCUUUCAAAAAGUAUCGAUAAAAUUGUAUCAGUAUCGGUAUCAAAUGCUGAAACUAUUUUCCAAAGUGCAAAAAAUUUUCUUAACAUGAAUUUUAAGUUCUAACUAGUUCUAUACUAACUUAGGAUGACUUGACAACAAUAUCUGAUGAGUUCAUAUGUUUGAAUAUGCCAAACAUGAGUAUGAUGCAUAUGAAACAUAUAGUAUUGUGAGGUAUGCAAAAAUUGAACAAUUUCAUCAAACAAAGUCUAAUUGACCACAUUCAAAUAUAUUCAAAAUUUUUAUGCUAGACAAUAUUGAUCAAACUAGAUUAAUCAUGCAACAAUUAACUCUCCCUACCUAAUUGUAUAUAGAAGUCAUAAAAAUCAUGCAUAGUUACUUUUGCAAUCAAUUUUAAGUCAUAAAACAUUUCAAAGACAACAAAGUACAAAAAAAUCAUUUGAACACAAAAUUAAGGUAAGGUAGCAAUAUCUAGUUCUCUCCUAAGUGUCCAAAAUCUUUCUUUGUCUAAAGGUUUUGUAAAAAUAUCAACUAAUUGAUUUAAGGUGUCAACAUACUCUAGAACAAUCACUCCUUUUUGGACAUGAUCUCUAAUGAAAUAAUGUCUAAUAUCAAUAUGUUUAGUUCUAGAAUAUUGGAUAGGAUUUUUAGUGAGAAAAAUAACACUAGUAUUCUCACACUUGAUAGGAAUGAUAUCUAUAUGAAUUCCAUAGUCCUUAAGUUGUUUUUUAUCCAUAAAACUUUAGCACAAAAGCUACCGGCAGAAAUAUACUCUGCUUCGGUGGUGGACAAUGCAACACUAUUUUGUUUCUUUGAAACCAAUGAUGUGAGCAUGUUGCCUAAGAAUUGAAAAGUACCAGAGGUGCUCUUCUUAUCUAGUUUGCAUUCUCCAAAAUCUGCAUCUGAGAAUGCAAGCAAGUUAAAAGAUGAGUCUCUAGAAUAACAAGGCCUUAAAUUAAGAGUGUCUCUAAGGUAUCUAAAGAUUUUCUUAAGGGCUUGUAAAUGAGAUUCUUUAGGACAUGGUUAAAAUCUAGCAUACAAACAAACACUAAACAUGAUAUUGGGUCUACUUGCGAUAAGAUAUGUUGGAUGGCCGGUACGCCCUGUGACACAACUAAAAAAUUAUUUCGACGACUAUCAACCAAGGAUCCAUGUAUGAGGAAUGAAUCAGGAUGAAACAAUGGUAAAAAAAUAUACCUUUCAAAACUAAAAAAUGGUGAAUAACGUUGUUGAUAGGAUCCCUUUUGGAGAUGUCGAUUCCAAGCCGCAACAAUAACGUCUCGGCCUCUACGUAUCCACCCAGUCAAAUAAUGAAUAGCAAAAUUCUCUUGAACUUUUUAGAGAGAAUUUUCAAGAAGCUAGACUUUUUUCAUUUUUUUUCUUGGCAACCCUAACACACUAAGGGAUUCCUUUCCUUUUAUUUAGUUUGAUAUCAUAUAUCAGGAAAUAAAAAAUGAGAUUAUUCCCUUAUUAUUAAAUAAACAAAUGAAAAGUCAAGAAAAAUAUUAUAUUCUUUCCAAAAGAAUAUAACUUUCCAUGUCCUUUUAUGUUUUGAUUGAAAUUAUUAUAACUGUUUAUAUUAAUAAUUUUGGUAAAAUAUAUAUAAUUAAUAUAUUGCAUUAAUCAAAUGCAUAUAUUAAAUUUAUUUAUGUUCUCUAUUUGUGUACAAUAAGAUUGUACAUAUAAUGUGUUUAGUAUUUAACUAGCAAAUUAAAUUAAUUCAACAAUUAAUUUAAUUCACGUGACAGCUAAAUACAAUACUAGAUGUAUUUGGGUUUUGUUAGCAUCAACUAUAGGGUAUGAUACUGCAUCUAACAGUCCGUUUUCAGUGAAAUCGGAACAAUGGUUUCAGGACCACAAAUCCUAUGUGAAAAUAUUUAUUUUAUUAUUAUUUUAACUUCUACAACAUAUUAGUAUUACCGUAUAAAAAUUUCAUUAAGAAAUUUUACUGUCUGUAUGUUUGUUUUGAUAAAAAGGACUAAAUUGCAUAACGUGCAAAACUAGAGUUCUAUAGCCUAAAGGCAUUAAAUAGCUAUAGAACCUUAAAGUAUGAGUUCUUAUGUGGAAAUUAGACCAUUCAUGUUGAUAGUGGAAUGUGAUGGAUAGGUUUUAAUGAAAUAUUAAAGGUUUUUAAAGGUUAUUUUUGUAAAUGAACAAUUAAGUAAAUUAAAAGUAAAAUGGUAUCAUCUCCUUCAUCCAUUUAACCUAAAAGCACCGAAAUUUCUUUGAUAAAAGGGGGAGGAAUUGGAUAGGGUAAAAUCUUCAUGCAUGGUAGGUUUUCAAGUCCAUUUUAACAAUUUUUAUGUUUUCGGGAUCGUUGUAGCUUAAUCUAGCUAGCCCGGGGACUAAUUUGCAAAAUUUUUAAAUGUUUAGGGUUUUAACAAGAAUUUAUAUAUAUUUUUAUGAUGUUUGAUCGAAGAAAAUGAAUGUUUUUUGUUAGAUACACAACUUUUGUUAAGAGAUUUUUUAUGAAAUUGUUAAUAAGGGAUUAAAUUGAAAAAUAGAAUUUAUACAUGGUGAAAUUGUGAAAUUAAUGAAAUGUAGGUCUUGCUAGGGACCAUAUGAAAUUCGACUAUGGUGGUUUAAGGAUGAAUUGCAUGAAUUUUCAUUUUAUGAACUAGGGACUAAAUUGAAAUGAAAUUAAAAUUAUUGGGGCAAAAAUGUAAUUUUGCUAAAAUCUAAUUAUUAAAUUGAGCUGAAUUUAUUCGUUUAGAUCAAGAAAAAUAUCGUAUGGCUUUAGAUCGGGGCAAAGAUGAAGUUUCGGAAUAAUCGCCUUCGUAUCUUUGUUUAAUCGUCGAUGUAAGUUUGUGUAAUUAUAUUGCAUUUGUAUGUUCUGUGUUAAUAUAUAUAUGUAUCAUGGAUUGUUAUUAUUAAUCUGUUGCAUAUCCAACAAUGUUACAACGACUAUCAAACCCCAUGUGAGCCUUAGGAAUUCGUAGGAUACAAAUGACAUGUCAUUAGUGUUUACAUGAUUCGGGUGCUAGUCUUGAAUGUCCUACCGAUGACUGAGGUCUGACAUGUGCUGCGGAUACUCCACAACUCGUAUGAGUAGGCCCAUUUUCACAGCUAGUGUGAGCAUUCUGAUUCACAGCUCGUGUGAGAAUACAUGUACAGGAAUUGACGGAUUACAGUUAUAUAAGUUAGCACACUAUGUUUGAGCUAUCUCGGGUAUCCAACAGUAUUCUAAAUGGUUCAACGGGCGUGAUUUGUAAGAGAAUGGUAAGAUUUCGGUACGAACUAAUACAUGAACACAUGUGAAUUACAUUGAAUUUGUGAUGCAUGGUAUAAUGAAAUGUUGAGAUGGAUGAUAUAUGCAUAUGAUACAUUAGACAAUUCAUAGAGUUUAGGUAAAUUUUGAAAUUUUCACAACAGACUCUAACUGAUGUUUCCGACACAUCUGCAUCUGUAACUUUUAACUGAGGAAUGCUGCAUUUCACGAAAAGCUUCAAAUAAUAUCAUUUAAAUAUAAUCAGGAAAUUCUGAUCUAGAAGAUAUAUUCCUAUAUCAUGUCUUCUAGAAUAUUAAUCCUUCAUUCUGAUUGUCCGUCUAUUUACCCGUGAACCAGCAAAAUUUAUUCUCGAAUCUAGAGAUGUACUUGAAUAUAUAUAAAACUUAUCUAACUUUUCCAGUGAAUAAUUCGCCCUGACUAAAAUAAUUGAGUCAAACUUAUCAUUCGAAUAAUAACAUUUUAGAAUAAUUCUUUCUUCUUGUUGUCGUGAUAACCCAGACACAAAGUCUAUCAUGAUUCCUUCAGAAUACCAAUUAGAGAUCAUCACCAACUGUAUUACUGAUAUGAAAUAUGAUGUCCAAUUUUUGGCUUGUUGACAUAAUCUAAGAUUACUUGAGUAGUGAGAACUAUCAUGCGAGGUUAAGCUCGAUCUUUCACCAUCUAUAUUUUUGUCGUUAUCCAUUCCCGUCAUGAAAGUUCAACCAUCAAUAAUGCACUCCAAAACAAAAGAGGAAAAUCGGAUGUAGUUCCAAUAACAACUAGUGCAACAACACAACCUCUAAAAACCUGUGAUCUGUAUCACCGUGCUCCCAUGAUCGAACCAGGAAUUAUAAUCAUAAUAGAUGUAAUUACCUCCGGCCAAUGAAUAUCCUUUAAAGAUGAACCAUGUUUGAUAGAUUAAAUAAUAAGAAUGAUAAGAAAACUGAGAUAAUGAAAUCCAAGAUUUGAAGCUCUACUAAAUUUCUGAAAUUACAACCUAUAUUGAAUGAUAAAGAGAUUGAUGAUACCCCAAAGAAAAUCCAGAAGAAGAAUAUCUCUCAUACGCAUUGGAAUCAAUUGUGGCAGAGAUAACAUAAAUUUGUAUAUAUAUAAUUUAGAUUAUCAAUCAGAAGAAAAAAUAAAAUAAAAUCAUAUGAGUCUUAUCAUUGAAUCUUCCACUGAACAUAAUAGAAUAGAAUGCCAAAGAAAAAUAGAGUAAUGUCAAUUAUUAAUCAACUAGACUAAUAAUACCUCUGUCUAACGUUACAGUUAGCUAACAUUCUCAUAUGAUAAGAAUUACAUCUGAAGAUGAACAAUUGCAUAUGCCUCUGAGGAUAAAAGAUCAUAUAGAAUAUCUAGAGGAGAUCAUUGUAAGAUACUCAACUAUAACAGCUGCAUUCAAAUAUAUUUACAGUUCAAACACUAUCUCACAGAUUACUAAAGUCAUUGAUGAUCUCACAUUUUCUCGUUCCACUAAAGAAAUCAAUUCAGAAGAAAUUUUGGUUAACCCUUUCUUUAGAUACCAUACCUGAAUAAGUCAAUUAUUCAUGAAUAAAUUCUUCUUUAACAACAACUUUACAUAUCCCGAAUGAUCUUCAGAGAAAUCUAAUCUCUUCUAUUACUAUCUUUAUUUCCUAACCAAUCCUUGGCUCUUACAACAUUAUUACUAAUUCAAUUGUUGAAUUCUUUAGCUUCUCUUUUAUCGACUUAAUCAACAUAAAUAUUGUAAAUUCCAUUGUAUAAGACUUUGAGGGUGAGGGUGGAGAUCGUAAAACCACUAAAUUUAAUUCUCAUAUAUACACAUCAAAAACAUAUCUUUCUUUAAUGACAUAACAUUAUGAAUCUUUACUUUUACCUUUAUAUGUUUCUACUCCUCAUUAGCAACCUUUUAAUCAGAUACUUGAGUAUUGCUUUCAGCAUUUUCGGAAUUAGCUUAGUUGAAAAACAUCUUUGUCUAAAAAUGAAACAAACCUCAUCAGAGUCAAGAGAUAUCACGCUAUUACAGGUUAUAUAACAACAUGUAUUUCUAGACAUCAUACAUGCUAUGUUCAGUUCGAGAACCGACUAAACUAUAGCUCCGAUACCACUAAGUGUAACACCCCUAAUCUAUACCCGUCGUCAAAAUAGGGUUACAGAGCAUUACCAUAAAAAUGUAACUCAAAUCAUUCAUUUCCAACCAUUUCAUAAAUCAUCACAUAAUCCAUUCAAACUCAUACAUAUCGUCCCUUAUUCGGGCCCUCGAGGCCUUAAAAACACUUUAGAAACGAUUCAGGACUAAAUCAGAAACAUUUAAAACUUUAUGGAAAAAGAUAGAAAAUUUCACACUAUAGGGGUCACAUAGCUAUGUGGCCAGGCCUUGUGACUCACACGGCUGAGACACAAGCCUGUGUCUUAGGCCGUGAAGGCAUUCGAAGAAGGGACACACGGCUAAGUCUCAGCCUAUAUUAGUGCCCGUGUAAUUCACUAACUUAGGUCACACGGACAAGCCACACAAUCAUGUGCCAGGCCAUGUAACACUCGAACUGCAACCUUUAAAACCUACAAGGAACACACAUGCUCGUGUCAUAGGCCGUGUGGACAAGAUAUAGGCCAAAUUCAAACCAUUUCUUUCACCUAAUUCAAGCACACACCUAUAAGCCAUUUGCAUAUAUAAUCAAGCCUUAAAACUUACCUAAAACAUGCAUAAUAAGACCUAAUCGAAUACCAAAUUCCAUUCAACCAAUAUGCCAUAUAGGCACCUCAAAUGCAAGCAUACAAUUUAUCUAAACAUAUACAUGUACUUAACACAUUAAAUUCAUCAACACUCAAUUCAUUUUCCAUUAUAAAACUCAUCAUAAAUUGACCACAUUUAUACCAUUACGAAUAUUUCAUUUCUACCUCAAAGCAUAACUCCACUUAGUCUCAUAUAAACAUAGAAAAUAUGGUCAUACCAAAUAUACCUAGACAUGUACACAUUUAAGCAUACCAUAUUAGAAUCAUGCCAUAUCAAAAUAACCUUACCAUUUGGACAACUUCUCACAUGCAUCAAAGUCAUCUAAAUGACACCAAUCUAGUCAUUACCAAAUGGUUCCAACAACUAAUAUAUAUACAAACCAUAUUUCAAUCAUAUGCACAUCUAUUCAAAACCUUUCCAAAGCAUACUAUAACUUGACCAUAUUGAGGUCAAUUCAUUACCUACUAUUUUGGCCACUCAAACAUGCAUUAACAUAUUUUCAAAAUGAACCACGUUAAUAAGGCAUCAAAAGUACCAAGGUUACAUCAACCAAAAUGAAAUAUACAUGCCAAAUUCAUCAACUAUUAUAAACCACAAGUCCACCUAUACAUGCCAUUAUGACCUUGAUCAAAACAUCAGAAUCUACCAAUUUAAUCUCUAGAUAGUGUGAUAGGGCUCUGACGAGCUUCCAAACCAGUUGAGCUUCCGAUAAUUUGUAAAGUAAGAGAAAUAUAACUACGUAAGCAAUGAAUGCUUUGUAAGCUCGUAGAACAUGAAACAUAACUUAUCACUUCAAUACUAUAAUACAUAGAUUAACACUAAUACUUUAAACUUGGUAUAAACCUAUUGAACACCAUUCAACUCACAUUUGAGUAUAUUAAUCAGCAUCACAUAUCUUUUUCAUAUAUAACAUAUUGGGACUUAUAAGUCAUAAACAUAAUCAUCAACCUUUUUCAUAAGAUCAUGAAUCAUUCUAGUUACUUACUUUCCCUUCCGUUCUGAAUGCUUAGCAUAAGCAUAAACAACACUAUCAUUUUACGAAUUAUUGUAUUUAUCCAUGCUAUAGGUACAUUCUUUCAUAGAAUAAAUAAGCUUCUCACAUAUAAAUACAUCGUUUAUCAUAUCAAACCUUUUAUAGCAUCAUAAUGCAUCCCAAUUAUGAACUUACCAUUUCAUUCCCUUUUCUUACCCAUUUCAUAUACAUAGUACAGGCAUAAGAAUAAACAUCAAUCAUAACCAUAAGUUUAGCACAAGCCUAAGCACAUCAACAACACAUGUUAGUUCAUUGAAACAUAAUUCAUAUGAAUUUAACAUGGAUAACCAUUAUACUUAAGUAUGAUUCAAUUGGAUUUAUCAUCCAUCAUAACAUAACAUGCUUUUCUUGUAUCUCACUAUUUUAUUGUACUUCAUAAAUACGUGUCUUGGUUCAUAUUGAACACAUACCUUUCCUUUCCUUUUUCAUGCCCAUUGAACCGUUUAGAAUAUCAUUGGAUACGCGGGAUAGCUCACACUUAGUGUGCUAACAUAUAACUAUAUCAUUUCAUUUCCUUUACAUCAUUUGUUACACAAGUUUUAAAAUAUGUCUACUCAUACGAGCUACGAAAUAGGCCUGCUCACACGAGCCAUGGGUCGGAAUGUAAGCUACACGAUGCUGCUCACACGAACUGUGGAGUAUUUGCAGCACAUGCUGGACCUUAGCCAUCAGUAGGACAUUCAAGACCAGCACUCGAAAACAUGGAAACCCUAAUGGCAUGUCAUUUGUAUCUUAUGAAUUCCAAAGACUCAAAUGAGGCUUGAUAAUCGUUGUACGUCGUUGGAUUUCCUUCGUUUCAUGACAUGAUAAAUUGCAUAAUAACAUAUAUAUAUUGAAUCAUUUAAAUUAGAAUCAACACAUUAACAAUCAAUUAAAUCAACAUUUAAGUGAUUAUAGUUCAUACAAACUUACCUAGCUAAAAUGCAGAAAUGUCAAAGUAUAGGGGUUUUUUGGUAAAUUUCUAUUCUUCUCGAUUUUCCACCCGAACUUGAUCUAAAUUACUAAUUUCAUUCAAUUUAUUAAUUUAGAUAGUGAAACCACUCCAUUUUAUGCAAUUUACUCAUUUUUACAUUUUUAUAAAAUUGCGUUUAACAUUUUACUUUUAUUCAAUUUAGUCCCUGAGCCUAAAACAUGCAAAUUAACAAUUUUUAAUGAAAACUCAUGCCAACAGAAUAUUCAUGGCAUCCAAUACAGCCCACAUUUGUAAUAAUUUCACAACAAAUCCUUGUAUUUUUAUUAUUCCAAUAAUUUAGUCCCUAAUCGGUAAAUUCAUCAAAUUUACUUAAGAAAGUACUUAUAAAUAAUAAAAAAUACCUUAAAUUCAUCAUUUAAUAUCUAAAAUCGCAUAGAUUCAUCAAUGACAACAUACAUUAUAUUUAACAAUUUCAAAAUCAAAGGUACAAACUAGCUAGACCUAGUUACAACAAUCUUAAAAACAUCAAAAUUAUUAAAAACAUGUAAGAAUUACUUACCAUGGAUGAGGAAAUCACCAUGGCCAAACCUAAAUUCAUUUCCAUAUACAUUCGGUUGUAUUUGGAGAAGAAAACCAAAAAGAUGAUGAUAAUUUAGCAUUUUGUUUCUUUUAAUUAAUUUAAUUAUAAAAUUACCAUUUUGUCCAUUUAAAUAUCAUCCAAAUUUCAUGAUUUUAGUUUCCCAAAACCAUCCACUAAAUCCUUUAAUGGUUUAAUUACCAUUUAAGUCCCUUUUCCUUUAUUCAAUAAGCCAUUUAAUCACUCCAAAAAAUAGUGAUCAAAUUUUACAUCCUUUACAAAUUAGUCCUUUUUAAUUAAUUAACUAUCGAAACAUUAAAAUUUCUUAAUGAAAAUUUACUAAAACAUUAAUAACACUCUAUAAAUAUUUAUAAAAAUAUUUAUAGCUCAGUUUGUAGAAACGAGGGCCCAAUACCUUAUUUUCUAAAACCACUUGAGCUUAGGGUCUUACCACUUGAGCUUAAUAAAUCAUUUAUAUAACAUUAAUUACCAUAUCAAAAACCUUUUUAAAACCAUAUUUGACUCGUAAAUAUUAAAUAAAAAUAUUUACGAACUUACUUGUCUGAUUUGUGGCCCUGAAACCACUAUUUUCGAUACCAAUAAAAAACAAGCUGUUAUAGAUAUCGAUAACUCCUUACAAAAUGACACCUACAGAAUUGAAAGAGCUAAAAGCACAGCUACAAGAGUUGAUAGAUAGGGGUUUUGCUUGGCCCAGUUUCUCUCAUUAGGGUGCUCCAGUGUUAUUUGUUAAGAAAAAGGAUGGGUCCAUGAGAUUAUGUAUUGACUGUCAAUAGCUAAAUAAAGUCACGAUCAAGAAUUAGUAUUCAUUGCCACGUAUUGAUGAUCUGUUUGAUCAGUUGAAAGGUAUGACAGUGUUUUCAAAGAUUGAUCUUCGUUCUGAUUAUUAUUAGUUGCGAGUUAAAGACUCAGAUGUGCCGAAAACCGCGUUCAAGACCAGGUACGGACAUUAUAAAUUUCUUGUGAUGUCAUUUGGUUUAACUAAUGCACCUACAGUAUUUAUUGAUUUAAUGAAUAGAAUUUUUAGAUCGUAUUUAGAAAGAUUCGAUGUAGUAUUCAUUGAAGAUAUGCUGAUUUAUUCAUGGGAUGAGACAGAGCAUGCUGAGCAUUUGAGAAUUGUUUCGCAAACUUUACGCAAAAAGAAAUUAUUCAUUAAGUUUAGCAAAUAUGAAUUUUGGCUUCGGGAAGUCAGAUUUCUGGGACAUGUUGUAUCAGACGAUGGCAUUAGAGUUGAUCCGAGCAAAAUUUCAGCUGUUGUAGAUUUGAAGCCUUCGAAAAAAGUAUCUAAAGUUAAAAUUUUUCUGGGUUUAACCAGAUAUUAUAAAAGAUUCAUUAAGGGAUUCUCGAUGAUUGCUACACCAUUGAUGAGACUAUUGCAAAAAAUGUUAAGUUUUAGUGGUCUGAAAAAUGUCAGCAAAGCUUCAAUUAGUUAAAAGCAUUGUUAACCGAGGCACCAGUGUUAGUUUAGCUAGAGUCGGGUAAAGAAUUUGUGAUUUAUAGUGAUGCAUCAUUAAACGGUUUAGGUUGUGUUUUGAUGCAAUAGGGCAACGUGAUAGCAUAUGCCUCUAGACAGUUGAAACCGUACGAAAAGAAUUAUCCGACGUACGAUUUAGAGCUUGCAGUGAUUAUUUUUGCUUUGAAGAUAUGGCGACACCAUUUGUACAGAGAAAAAUGUCAUAUCUUCACAGAUCAUAAAAGUCUGAAAUACUUGAUGUCAGAAAAAGAUUUAAAUCUGAAACAGUACAGAUGGCUUGAGUUAUUGAAAGAUUAUGACUUGAUCAUUGAUUAUCAUCCAGGAAAGGCUAACAUUGUUGCUGAUGCUUUGAGUAGAAAAUCUCUAUUUGCUUUGUGAGCUUUGAGCAUGCAGUUGAUGUUGAUUGAUUAUGGUUCGAGCAAGCGGUUGACUUUGAGGAGAAAAUCUUUUUUGUUCAUAACCUUAAAAGAGCUAAAAAUUCAUUUUUAAGAGGGGGAAGCUUUCGGCUAUGGAAAAUCCUUCAUGCAAGGUAAAUUUUCAAUCUCGUUUUUAAUGAUUUUUAUGUUUUCGGAGUCGUUAUAGCUUAAUCUAGCUAGCCCAAGGACUAAUUUGCAAAACUGUUAAAGAUGUAGGGUUUCACCAUGAGUGUUCUUGCAUGAUUUAUGAAGUUUAAUAAAAGAUUAUGAGUCAUUUUAGAUAAAUAAAAAAGUUUUGUAAAGUGAUUUUUGGUGAAAAUGUCAUUUUGGGACUUAUUUGUAAAAGUAGUAAAUUAUCAUGGGUAAAUUGUGAAAUGAUGAUUUCUAUGUGUUCUUAAUAAAUACGGCUAGCAUGAGUUAGGGAUGAGAAUGUUUAGAUUUCAAUUUACGAGUUUAACGACUAAACUGUAAAAAGGUUAAAAUGUUAGGGGUAAAAUUGUUAUUAUGUAUAAAAUAUGGAUUAUGGAUUGAAUUGAAUGUUUGAGAUUUAUUGAAACACUUAAUUGAUUAUAAUUAUUUAUUUAGAUUAAGAUAAAUCUCAACCAGAUCUAAACUGAGGAAAGGCGAAAGUCACGGAUUAGCUCGAUCGUACUUUUACGCUCUAAUUGUCAUCUAAGUUCCUAGUAUUUCUAUACGUAAUUGAAUUUCUACUUGUAUGUUUAUAGUAUAGUUAUGUAAUUAAUUUCUUAUACUUAAUUAUUCCCUAAAUUGCACAUACGUGUCCCUGUUACUACUUUGUUACCCCUAAAUUGCAUAUAUGUGCCCUUGUUUACACUCUGGUAACUUCAAAUCUAGUAAAAUAAGAGUUGCAUUCAAUUCUUGUUAAGUUAAAAGAUUUACUAUGUUCUUACUAAGCUUUAUAAGCUUAUACGAUUUUUUGCAUUGUUUUGUAGAUCGUUGUUGCUGAAUUUUAGACGGAUCGAAUCUUCGCCUCACACUAUCCAUCGAUGUUGAUAAUUCUUGUGCUCCUUAGGGUUGUGGCAUGUAUAUGUGGCUAUAUAGGUUGUUAUGGUACAUUUUCAAAAAAUACUAAACUAAGUUAUUAGGAACUUUACUGAGGUUUUAAAUAGAUAUCUUUUUGGUACAAUUAGAAUGGUAUAAAAGUACACACUUGUGGUUUGAUUUGGCUUGGUGGAGAAUUAAGUUGCUAUACUAGAAAUGGUAUUAAUUGUUGUAUGUUUUAAGAUGAUACGGAACUAGAUGUGUAUGUUGGAAGUAAGGUUAGUUAUGCAUAUAUUUUGAUAAGUUUAUUUGAUUGUGAUUGAGGUGCCUUAUAAGGCACAUUGGUUGAAUGGAUUUUGGAUCUUUUGAAUUGGUUAAAUUAAGCAUGUUUUGGUAGGUUUUUGGUGCAUUGAUCAUAUGUGUAUAUGGCUUGUAGGUACUUGUUAGAAUGGGUGAAAGAAAUGGCUUGAUUUUGGCCAACUUCUUGUCCACACGGCCAAAGACACGGGCAUAUGUCUUAGCUGUGUGUGACACACAGCCAUGCCACACGACCGUGUGUCCCCUAUAGGUUUUAGAGGUUGAAAGUUAGGCAAUUACAUUGCCUAGCACACAACCUGGCACGUGGGCGUGUGAGGCCAUUUCAAUAGUUACAUGGCCUGGCACACGGGCGUGUGGCUUGGCCGUGUGACCUAAGUCAGAGAGUUACACGAGUAUAGACACAAGCUGGGACAUGGUCGUGUGUCCCUAUUUCGAUUGUUACAUGGCCUGAGACAUGGGCGUGUGUCUCAGUCGUGUGAGUCAUAGCCUAGUGACCCUUACAAUUUGAAAUUUUCUAACUUUUUCCUCAAUGUUUCAAAUGUUCCUGAUUUAGUCCUGAAUCGUUUCGAAAGUGAUUCUAAGGCCUCGAGGGAUCGAAUAAGGGAUGAUAUGCAUGUAUAUUAUUAGGUUAUGCUAUUUUUAUUGAAAUGUUUAGAAAUGAAUGAUUUUAAGUUACAUUUAUUUGGUAAUGCUCCGUAACAAUAAUCCGACAACGGAUACGAGUUAGUGGUGUUACGCAUAUUAUCGUAAAUAUACUAAAAUAUAAAUAUUUUCUUUCAUGGAUGGUUCGAAAACUGUUCAAAGUUUUCUUUUCAUUUUUCAUUCACACUUAAAGAAAAUCCUAAUCGAUCCUAUGGCCAUAGGACAUAUCUCUACUCGUCGUUUUUAUUCUUCCUACUCCUGAGCUUGAUGAACUUUUAGUAAUGUGCCUGAGCCACCUCUAGAAGUUUCAUUGUAGGUUCAUUCCUAGUCGCAAAAGGGGUAGAUUCUUUUUUGAGUUCUUUAAUCUGUUCACAUAUGUCUUGGCCUUACUGAGCAAAAAUCUGACCGUCCUUGUGCAUUAUUGCAAACACCUCUUGUGGGCUUAAUGCCAUUUGUUCCAUUGCGAUAAAAUGCUCUGCAAGCUCUGUAUAUACUUCCAUGACCUCUUUGUUUUGCUCUUUUUUGUCUUUAAUUCUUUAGUUAGAUGAAAAAUUUCCUCCUUUAACACCUCCACUUUAGUAGUUUUCUCAUUAAACACCCUCCUCUAAGUUCACUCUUGUUCUCGCACUUUUUGGAGUUUAUUAGCCCAUAAACUUAGAUCUGCCUCCAACCUCUGAAUCUAAGUAAACAAGUCAGAUCUUUCUCGCUGACGUCAUUCUAACUAUAUUCUUAGUUCUUUCUCUCUUCCCUUCAUGUUUUACCGGUGCUGUUGUUGUUGCUGUCUCAUGAUUUCUUACUCCUUUCCUUUACAUAUGCCUAAUGCUGCUCUCGUUGCUGUCUGACCUCUUCAUCUCUCCCCCUCAAACGUAUCUCUAAAUCACGUAUCUUUUUUGUUAGCUCAGCUACGUCAUUUGGGACUUUUCUUUUUCCUUUGAGUUGCACUGACAUAGAGAUUUUGCUUCUUUUUAGGUGCCACUGGAUAUUCAUUUUCGAGGGGGAAUAGUUGAAAAAGGUUUCUGAUUGCAAGCUCAAGGUUUGACCCCACUUAAUUCGUAUCUCUUCUAAUUUCUUUCAAAAUCUCGGGUCCUGAAUCGAAGCUUCCACAUUGUUUAAACCAGCUGUAGUAGGUACACAUUGAUCAUACCCAUAUUGGCUCAAAACCAUCAACGAGGAAUAACUGGUGACUCUACAUAUGCCAAUUAAGGGAACCCACCAAUAACCACCACACCCAAUGAGUACCAUGCUCCGAAUCAUCCAUAGAUCCCUCUAUUCUAUUUCUUUGUAUGUUAAUGCACUAAGGUUCUAAACCCACUCUUCGAUUGAUUGAUUUGGAGGCCAUUUACUUUCCAAAAAUUCCUCUAUAGGCCUGGUCGAAGGAAUAAACACCUAACGAAAACGCUUAUAGAGACACCUAAAAUGGCUUUUCAUCCAUACGAACAAAAACUACACGUCUCCUUUCCUUCUGAUGAAAUUGAGUGAAAUGAUGAUUUCAGGUAAGACUACUGGAGCAAGAUUCACCCCUUUUUCAAUCUAAAACAGAAAAUCAGCUAGCUCCACAGUCACAUAUCCUAGAGCUUUUGGGAACUCAAUCAACCCGUAUACGAAAAAUGCGAACAGUGUCAAAUGUCUAUCAUCGCUAGUCUUUCCCGUAGCAUCUCUAAUGUCAGACCAGGAAAUGCAAUGACCAUUUUUAUCUUUUAAUCUUACUUUCACCGUGUCUAUAGUUAAUUCCCUCAGUUUGACUAAGGGUCCCCAAAAAUCGACGUUCUGCUUCAAUAUAUCUUGAGCGAAUCUCUAAAGUCAUAGUGGAGAAGGGUAGAAUAUUCUUUGAUAGUCGAUACCAUAUCCACUUCAUUGAACGUAAAACACCUAUAAGUGGGAUCCCAGAAACGUACCAUGGCCUUCAAUAGGGCAUCAUCCGAUUUAAUGAACAAAAGUUGGACUACAUCGCCAUACUUGUCCUGGAAGUGUGUUUUCUUAGCCUCAUCCCAUGAUUUUCAUAUUCCCUUUAAUUCAUCUUCGCAAUUCCUUCUACAGUCCAUGCGGACUAUCUAAGGCAGGCUCAAGUCAAAACUAGCUAUUUGGUAAUCGCCUUCUCUGCUAUGAGUAUCCUCUGACAUUCUCGCUUUUAUCCCUAUAUUAUCUACCCCAUGCCGAACAACUGAAUCUUCUCGAAGUGUGUUCAUAUCAAAUAUAGAUGCAACACUGUGUCCAAGGUAUUUAAAUGAUGUAUGAAUUAUUCCAUGGAGAGACAAAGGCACAAGAAAAACAAAGUCAGUAAAAAAAACAAUAAAGUCAAAUGAAGCAUAAAAAAUGCGAAAUUAAAUCAUAAAACAUUGUGAAAAAAUUCAAACACAAAACACACGAAUAAAUGCUCAUGAGGUCCUAUAGGGUAUCAUUGCAAGGGAUAAGGUACAACUCUUACAUUUAGGCUUCAUAUUUAAAAUGGUCAUUACAUGCUGGCUUAUGGCUGACCCUAAUGCACGGGGAACCCAAGGCUUAAAUACAACAUCCAUAGGGAUGCGUUCCUCUUUAAAAAAGGUUGGCCCUUUGGGUGGUAAGACCUCUAUAGCGUACAUGAUAGCAUUUGCUACACGAACAUCUAUGUCCAUAUUAACCUUGAAGUAGUCCUUAACCUUAUGCGGUGGCAUAUUGUGACAUGAAAGCUAAAACUACUCAUCCUAAAUGGGAAAGGCCCGGGCAUAGGAUCGAAAGCAAGAUCCAACAUGACAAUUAUAGCCGCCCCACGACGGUAGAGUUGACAUACACAUUAAUCAAUUUCAUCGGUAAAAGAAUAAAAAAACACAUUGGCAUACAUAUCAAAAUAGGAUAAGUAAAUGAAAUGAAAAAUAUAUCAAUAUUUAACACAUAUUCAACAAUUUAAAGCGACAUUAGACAAUUAUAUAAAUUAAUGCACAAAAAAAUAAAUCUAAUAUGCACAAAUACUAAAAAACCUAGCUCUCAAACCUAAGUAAGUCAGCUCACUAGCAAAAAACCUAGCUCUCAAACCUAAGUAAGUCGGCUCACUAGCGUCCCCAGUGGAGUCACCAAGCUGUCAUAAAGUUGCUUACAUAAGAGUACGGGGGCCUAGUAAGCAAAGCUAGACACGAAGGGCCUAAAUUAAUGUAGAGUUGCCACUAACCAAUUAGGGCUAGGUUGGUUAGCCACUUUAUCGUCUAAAAGUCUAGAAUUAAUACUACGAAAUAAUCCUAAAAGUCUAGACUCGAUCUCAUCACCAAAUUUCGGGUUUGAGAGUACGGUUACGUGUGAGGAAGGUUAUAGCACCCCCAUAACCCCUAUCCGGGGAUAUUCCUACUGGGUUUUGGGAGCUAGGUUUUUUUAUUUAAGCAUAUUAAUGUCUUAAUCUAGAAUAAAAUCUUAUGAAAAUCUUAAAUAAAAACUCUAAAGAAAAUGUCUUCAGUUUUCUUGUAACUCGAUUAAAAUGUGUUUACUAAACUUAUAUAAUUCGAAAUUUAAAUUAGAGGUUUUUAAUUUUAACGGGAACCCUACAGGAUGCCUAAAUAAUUUCUAUUUUAGAAUUCUAAAAAAAAACCUAAAAAUUACCAAUGAAUUAAGAGAAAUAUUAAAAUUCAUCUACAACUUAUUCGAUCUUUUAUUAUUAUUAUUUUCUUAAAAUAUUUAAUUAAUAACAUUGAACCUAUCAAGAUCUUACGAAAAUAUCCUAUGCCGAGUUUAUGAUUUAUCUUACUUUAAAAUUCUUGAUCUAAGGUUUAAAUUCCUCAAAAUCCUAAAAUAAUAUAUAUUAAAUAACAUUUAUUAGCUUUCUUAAAGAGUUUCUAAAAUAAAAUACUUAGAAAGACCUACUAAUGAUUUACAAUUCACCUAUAAAAAUUCUUAGUUUUAAUCUUGAACAAAGUCCUUAAGAAUAUUUACAUAUUAAUUUGAGAUUCUAAAGAAGAAUAUUAUACGAUAUUUAAAAUUAGUUUAAAAUCCUAAUAAAAAAAUCCUACAUAUUAUUUAUAAUUUUUCUAGGAUAAAUGGUAGAUAAAAUCUUAAAGACUAACCUGAGUUCAAAUGUAAACAAAAAAAAAUCUUAUGGUUUCUGUAAAAUACAACCCCUACUUAACUAACUUCAUGCCAACAUUUAUAGGAUGGAAAAAUGACCUAAAUUCCCACUUUUACAAUGAAUAGUAAUAAAAUAGGAAAAAUAAUUAAAUUGGCUAAAGUUAAUGAAAAAUUAAAACUCUUUCAAAAAGGACAAUAAUAAAAAGAAAACUUAAAUAAAUGAAAGAAAUAAGACCUUGGCAUGAUGAUGAUAAUAAUAAAAAUAAUACACCUUAUUCAUAAUACAAUAAAAAAAUCAAAGUAACAUAAACAAAUAAUAUUAAAAUGUAUGUAAGAGGAAUGUGUAAAAAUAAAUAAGUAAAAACAUACAUGAAAAUAAAUAAAGAUGAAAUAAGAAUAAAUAAAAAAAUAUACAGGUGUAAAUAAAUAUAAAACAAUUAAAAUAAAGUGCAUAAUUGACAUCAAAUAUAUGAGGUAAAAACGCAAAUGAAGGGGAAUAUAUAAAUUUAAAUAAUUUAUUAAAUAUGAAAACAAAAUGACAUAACUUGAUUUUGGGAAUAAAAGAUAAAAAAAUGUGGAAGACAGAGGACUGAUGUAACAAAUAAUUUACUUUUAAUUUUGAAAUUUUAGAUUAAAUCGAAGGUUUGAAUAAAGAAAAAGGGUUACGGGUGUAAAUAGGUUAGAGAGUGAGGGCGGCGCUACAAAAAAUGAGGUAUUUUUUUAUAAAUUUAAAAAGUAAGGGGGAUGGGGAUAAAUUACCCAUUUUGGCACCUAUAAAUAGGACAAAAACUAUGCAUUCUUUCAUUUUUAACCUCAUUAAAAAAAACUCUACCACCUUCUAUGUUGGCCAUGGCUCCACCACCGGAGAGCCCAACGACUCUUUGGCUUUCGGUGGUGGAGCCACCAUAUACAGUGAUGUAACGCUGGGGUUUCUGCAAGUGUACACGGUCGUUAUCAAGUAAUAAGUAAGUAUCGAGUUAUCGUCUCCACAGGGAUUGUAUUUGUGCUAAGUCACUUAAUUUGUAAAAUUAUAUUAACAAUUUGGUAAAUAAAAACACAAUAUAGUUGAGAAAUGGUGAUUAAAAUAUAUUAAACUAAAUGAAAUGAUCCCUAAUGCAAAUUAUCCUAAGUAUGCAAACUAUAUGAAUGAAAUAGAUUUUAGUAAAAUUAAACACAAUUUGCAACAAUUAUAACAUAAAUAAACUAGGAUAAUUACUUUAAUUAAACUCAAUUUAUUAUCAACAUGCUUAAUAACAUUCGGAAAAACAUUCCAUGGCAACUCGAUCUUUCAUGAGUUUGGAAACCACAUUAGGUCCUUUCGGAAUCCUUUACUUAGUAAAUACGUAUUUUACUGGUCCUUAUUUACUAACGGUUUCUUAGCAUUCGUGUGAGGUAACAUGGACAUGUUAGGUUUGAAACAAUUCAAUCACGUUAGGAUCUAAAUUGAGCAUGCACAGUUCAAUUAUGUGCCCAUUAGCCGUCAUUUGGUUAGGAUCGCUCAGCUAAUUCAGGUGGAUUUCAAUCACGUAUGAACAAAAUACAGACUUGAUUUUAAUUGAAGACAUGAUCGAUUGAGGCACAAACAUUAUAAGCUUGAAUCAAAUAAAUAUUAUUUAAUCAAAAUAAUCAUCCUAUCUUAUAUAAAAUUAAGCUAUCAUUGUUGUAAAUAAGAAAAAAGAACACAUAGCAAACAUCUUUAAAUUAAAUUUAAAGAAAAGAAAUAUUAAACCCAAUUCAGAGUGGCUGUCACCCAAGACUCUGACUGAUGAGGCUCCUUCACUUUUUUGCGUUGCUCCUUUGCUGAUGGCUCUAAAAGGUGGCCAACCAAGGGUUCUUUAAGAGGCUUAAUUGCUAAAAUCCUUAUGCAAGGAUGAUGAAGGGGAAAGAUAGCUAAAAGAGUUGAGAGAAUGAUGAAUGAGUGAGAGAUGAUGGGAUGCGGGGUCAUUGAAAAAGUGAGAAAUGAGCUCUUAUUUAUAGGUGAGGCAAGGGAGUUAGUUUGCUAAAAAUAGGAGUGUCCAUCCUUUGAAACUUCCUCCAAGAGUGGUCGUCCAUGAAUUGAGGAAAUGUGGCUGAUUUUUCCUUGAUUUUUGGUUAAUUUGAGUGCCACAACAACUCAAGACUAAGACUCAGUCAUCAGCAAAUCUUCUGGAAAAUCUCCAAUUUCUUUAAUUAUUCAAGGACUUUGUAUAAUUAAACCAAAAAAUUGUUUGUGACAUCCAUGUGCAGCUGAAAAUUGGGUUGACUUGGUCUCCAAUUUGGACGGUUUUGCAAUUAGAAGAAAACUCUCAGACCUGUCCAAAACUAUUACAUAGUUUAGAGGACCAAAUAAUAUAAUUUAACCACUUUAAUUAAUCAAUUUACUUAAUUAAUUAAAACUAAAUUUAUUAAUGAAUUAUUAAAAAUGAAUUAUUAAAUAUAACUUUAUAUUUUAUUAUUUAAUUUAAUCAUGCAUGACCCACUUUAUAGCUUAAAAUAUAAUAUGCUCAAAUUAAUAUAAAAUAAGCCAUUUUAUGCAUGAAAACUAUAUAAUUAAGUAUAAAAUCAAAUUUUAAUAAUUUCUAUGUCCUAAUUUCAUAUUUUCGCAUGUUUCAUUAAUUUAUUAAAUAGUUACUUGGUUUUAACAACAAAUUUAAGUAAAAAGGUAAUGAAUUAUAUAGGAAAAAGCCUAUAUAUUUUUCAGUUUACACACCCCAAAACUUAAAUCAUUGCUCGUCCUGAGUAAUGUUCAUGCACAGCACAAGGUCUUGUUAAGGAAAAUUUUUCUAAAGAGUGUAAGUAGCAUCAAUAUUUGUCUCAUAAUCAUGCAUCAAUAUAUUCAUGCUCAUAGACCUUCUUUAUUAACAAGUAACUCAAAUACAAAAAUUUUGAAAAUUUUAUUCUAAGUUUCAAGAUAUGCCAACAUGAGUCAUAGUUUGAAUGUAUGUCAUAGCCAUAGAUAAUAUUUUUCAUUCAACACAAUUUCUCAUCAAUUAAGCAAAACAAUCAUAAGGCUUAUUUAUGAUCUUCAUAUGUUGAACUUAAUACUUCCUCUCCUCUAAUGUAGGUUACUUAAUCAUCAAAUCAAUAGGUCUUUUAUAAGGUUGUAAUGGGGCUCGGUUAAAGGUGGGGAUUUUAAGAGAUGGGACAUUUCGGUUUCAAAAUCUUAACCUUUAACUUGUCUUGGAUUUCUCGAAAUUCAACAUUUUUCUUCAAAUGAACUUGUGGAAUUCCCCCAAACUUAUUUUCAACUCAUACUCAUACAUUUUCUUUGUCUUUGUUGUUUUAUUUUUUUUAAGCAUGAGCACAUACAUCUUUAUGAAAAUUUCCUCAAAUGUUGAUUCCUAAGACAACUUGAGUUAAGAUAGGUGCACAAAAUUAGAAUAAUUUUAAAAAGAUGGUACUGGCUUAUAAUGUAGGUUUAUUACAAUGAACAGACCUUUAAGCUCAAAAUUAUAGUUUCAAGGGUCUAAUAUCAUAAGCUGGGCUUGAAAAGGCUCAAACGGUCCAAAGAAAAAUGGUGCCUAUAUCAUUUUAGAUUUUUAUGUCCCUUAGGAUUUCGCCUCAUGAAAGUUACUAAGUCAAUUCUAAAGAUAUAAACCUUCAUGCAUGUCUAAUCUUAAGAGAAACUAAGUUUUCAUUGCAAACAUUAUCUAAGACUAAGAUCAUAAAAACAUUCCAUUUUUCAUGAUAACAUACAAUCACGCAGAUAAAAUCAUCAUUCAUGCUUGCAUACAAGCUAUCUUAUUAAAAAAAAUUUCUCUAAACAUUCAUUUAUUAAGACAUACUUAUGAAAGAAUGAUUUGAAACAUACUUGAAAAUUUUAAAAAUUUGAGCACUUUGCCUUACCUCCAUUUAAAAAGAAGCAAUGUUCUCAUUGAGAGAAUAAAGUAAUGAAUGAAAACUGAACACUAGGUAGGGUUGUAAAGAAAGAGAGGUGAGUCAUUAAGACUUCUUAAAUACCAAGUCUUUCCUAAUAACCCAAUCCUAGACAUGUUCAUUCCAAUUGCCACAUCACUUAAUUUUUUUCUUUCUAAAGAAGUAUUUAUUCAUGCUUGCUAUGUUUUACUUUACAGAAAUUAAAUCCUAAUUACUAAAUAAAUAAAUUCCUAAAGACCUAAAAACAAUUAAAUAAAUAACAAGACAAUAAUCCCCACUUUUAUUUUUCUGACUCAUUCCCUUUGUCAGUUUGCAUCUUCAGUAUCUUCCGUCCAUGUCUCAAAGAUAGCAUCUGGGAACUCAGAAACAAAAGUGUUAGAGAUAUUCUUAAAAUUACUUUGAAUUGAAUCAUCCCUAAUUUUUGCAUAUUUCCAGUAAGUUGUUGUUUGUGCAUGAACUUGCACAUGUCCAUCAUAAUUGACAGCUCCAAUUUCUUUGAAGUACUUGUAGGAGUCGGCAUUGGAGUUGUAAAUUCUGGUUCAACACUUAGCUUGACUGGUUCUUCUUCUAGCUCAACCCUAGGUUCAGGGUUUUCAGCUAGUUGACGACUAUUUGGUUCCUCAUCAGAUUCUUCUUCUUCAGUAUAUGUAACUGAAUCAGCUUCAGUUUUUAGUUUUAUUUUUUGACUCUUCAGUUUCUGGCUCAGUUGGUUCCUCUUGCUCGCCUUGCUUCAGCUCAUGCAUUCUCUCUACUAACCUUUCAAGAUCAUGACUUGUAAUGCACCAUUGGACAUACUGCCUCUUCAAAUUUGCUUGUGUUUUAACACGGACCCUUAAGCAAAGUGAAGUGAUUAAUGAUGGGAAAUAAGCACUUCCUGCCUUCUUUUUAGCACAAUCGUGAAUCUCCUUGCGGAUAAUUUUCCCAACAUUAAUGGAUUUUUCUAUCAAGAUUGCAUAUAACAAGAGCAUCCGUUCCAUCGAGAUGGUGGAACUGUGUGAGAUAGGCAUAAAACUGUAGCAAACAAAAUAUAACCAUACCUUUGCUACUGGUUUCAAGUAUUCUCUUCGACAAGAAUGACUCCCAUACUUUCUUAUAAUCCAUUGGGAUCCUGAAUUUGUCACAACAUCAAGCACUUGUUGAAGAAAAUCCCAAUUGAUAUUGCUCAUCAUAGGGUAGUACUCAUCUUCUUCAACAUCAGGUAAAUUAAACAAAUCAUUGAUGGACUUAGAAGUAAGAGGUACCUUUUUCUUUUGAACAAUAACUUCAGUAGCAUCUUGCGUAGUCAAACUAGCAUAGAAUUCUUGAACUAGUUCAUCAUCAGAAAGUGAACGAGCAUCACAGAAUCAUUCCCAUUUGAGAGCAUUGAUUAUCUUUCUAAUUGGCAUAGGAACAACCAUCACAUCAUUGCUCUUCAGAUUAAAACCUUUUUUCGGCAUCAUAGGUUGAUGCUUGAAAAUUGAAUCAAAUUGCUCUUUCACUUCUUCAUCAACCACAAUCGGGUUUUCAAGAGUAGUCUUUAUAGUUUAAAAAUAUAAUAUGCUUAAAUUAAUAUAAAAUAAGCCAUUUUAUGCAUGAAAACUAUAUAAUAAAGUAUAAAAUCACAUUUUAAUAAUUUCUAUGUCCUCAUUUCAUAUUUUCGCAUAUUUCAUUAAUUUAUUAAACAAGUACUUGGUUUUAACAACAAAUUUAGGUACAAAGGUAAUGAAUUAUAUAGGAAAAAUCCUAUAUAUUUUUUCAGUUUACAGGUGACUAGAAUCCUCUCUCUUUUUUGUACAAAAUCGAAGUUCUUUUAAAAAAUCACAACUUUUCUUAAAGAUCAAAGCUUUUAUUUCGAAAUAGUUAAAAAAUUGACUAAAAAUACAUAUUUUUAUUUUUAAAAAUCUAAACUUUUCCCAAGAUCAAGACCCUUUUUUUUAACAAAAAACUUUUAUUUUAGAAAAGAAAAAAAUGAGAUUUUGGGGCUCCUAAGGGUGGAGCACUGACGUUCCGGUGACGUCCCCUUCAUUGGAGCCCAAACCCGAUCCCUCAAGAUAUGUAUAUGGAAAAAAAAGAAGAAUAAAAAAAGAAAUACCAUGCUUCUUGUUGUUUUUGUUAUUUUUUUACCUUAAAAAAAGACCAGAAUAUGAAAAGCCCCUCCUUUUUUUUUCAUUUCAUUUCAUGUAUAUAUCAGAUCCCAGGCACGUAUUUAUGAAGUACAAUAAAAUAGUGAGAUACAAGAAAAGCAUGUUAUGUUAUGAUGGAUGAUAAAUCCAAUUGAAUCAUACUUAAGUAUAAUGGUUAUCCAUGUUAAAUUCAUAUGAAUUAUGUUUCAAUGAACUAACAUGUGUUGUUGAUGUGCUUAGGCUUGUGCCAAACUUGUGGUUAUGAUUGAUGUUUAUUCUUAUGCCUGUACUAUGUAUAUGAAAUGGGUAAGAAAAGGGAAUGAAAUGGUAAGUUCAUAAUUGGGAUGCAUUAUGAUGCUAUAAAAGGUUUGAUAUGAUAAACGAUGUAUUUAUAUGUGAGAAGCUUAUUUAUUCUAUGAAAGAAUGUACCUAUAGCAUGGAUAAAUACAAUAAUUCGUAAAAUGAUAGUGCUGUUUAUGCUUAUGCUAAGCAUUCAGAAUGGAAGGGAAAGUAAGUAACUAGAAUGAUUCAUGAUCUUAUGAAAAAGGUUGAUGAUUAUGUAUUAUGACUUAUAAAUCCCAAUAUGUUAUAUAUGAAAAUGAUAUGUGACGUUGAUUAAUAUACUCAAAUGUGAGUUGAAUGGUGUUCAAUAGGUUUAUACCAAGUUUAAAGUAUUAGUGUUAAUCUAUGUAUUAUAGUAUUGAAGUGAUAAGUUAUGUUUCAUGUUCUACGAGCUUAAAAAGCAUUCAUUGCUUACGUAGUUAUAUUUCUCUUACUUUACAAAUUAUCGGAAGCUCAACUGGUUUGGAAGCUCGUCAGAGCCCUAUCACACUAUCUAGAGAUUAAAUUGGUAGAUUCUGAUGUUUUGAUCAAGGUCAUAAUGGCAUGUAUAGGUGGACUUGUGGUUUAUAAUAGUUGAUGAAUUUGGCAUGUAUAUUUCAUUUUGGUUGAUGUAACCUUGGUACUUUUGAUGCCUUAUUGACGUGGUUCAUUUUGAAAAUAUGUUAAUGCAUGUUUGAGUGGCCAAAAUAGUAGGUAAUGAAUUGACCUCAAUAUGGUCAAGUUAUAGUAUGCUUUGGAAAGGUUUUGAAUAGAUGUGCAUAUGAUUGAAAUAUGGUUUGUAUAUAUAUUGGUUGUUGGAACCAUUUGGUAAUGACUAGAUUGGUGUCAUUUAGAUGACUUUGAUGCAUGUGAGAAGUUGUCCAAAUGGUAAGGUUAUUUUGAUAUGGCAUGAUUCUAAUAUGGUAUGCUUAAAUGUGUACAUGUCUAGGUAUAUUUGGUAUGACCAUAUUUUCUAUGUUUAUAUGAGACUAAGUGGAGUUAUGCUUUGAGGUAGAAAUGAAAUAUUCGUAAUGGUAUAAAUGUGGUCAAUUUAUGAUGAGUUUUAUAAUGGAAAAUGAAUUGAGUGUUGAUGAAUUUAAUGUGUUAAGUACAUGUAUAUGUUUAGAUAAAUUGUAUGCUUGCAUUUGAGGUGCCUAUAUGGCAUAUUGGUUGAAUGGAAUUUGGUAUUCGAUUAGGUCUUAUUAUGCAUGUUUUAGGUAAGUUUUAAGGCUUGAUUAUAUAUGCAAAUGGCUUAUAGGUGUGUGCUUGAAUUAGGUGAAAGAAAUGGUUUGAAUUUGGCCUAUAUCUUGUCCACACGGCCUAAGACACGAGCAUGUGUGUCCCUUGUAGGUUUUAAAGGUUGCAUUUCGAGUGUUACAUGACCUAGCACAUGAUUGUGUGGCUUGUCCGUGUGACCUAAGUUAGUGAAUUACACGGGCACUAAUAUAGGCUGAGACUUAGCCGUGUGUCCCUUCUUCGAAUGCCUUCACGGCCUAAGACACAGGCUUGUGUCUCACCCGUGUGAGUCACAAGGCCUGGCCACAUAGCUGUGUGACCCCUAUAGUGUGAAAUUUUCUAUCUUUUUCCAUAAAGUUUUAAAUGUUUCUGAUUUAAUCCUGAAUCGUUUCUAAAGUGUUUUUAAGGCCUCGAGGGCCCGAAUAAGGGACGAUAUGUAUGAGUUUGAAUGGAUUAUGUGAUGAUUUAUGAAAUGGUUGGAAAUGAAUGAUUUGAGUUACAUUUUUAUGGUAAUGCUCUGUAACCCUAUUUUGACAACGGGUAUAGGUUAGGGGUGUUACACUUAGUGGUACCGGAGCUAUAGUUUAGUCGGUUCUCGAACUGAACAUAGCAUGUAUGAUGUCUAGAAAUACAUGUUGUUAUAUAACCUGUAAUAGCGUGAUAUCUCUUGACUCUGAUGAGGUUUGUUUCAUUUUUAGACAAAGAUGUUUUUCAACUAAGCUAAUUCCGAAAAUGCUGAAAGCAAUACUCAAGUAUCUGAUUAAAAGGUUGCUAAUGAGGAGUAGAAACAUAUAAAGGUAAAAGUAAAGAUUCAUAAUGUUAUGUUGUUAAAGAAAGAUAUGUUUUUGAUGUGUAUAUAUGAGAAUUAAAUUUAGUGGUUUUACGAUCUCCACCCUUACCCUCAAAGUCUUAUACAAUGGAAUUUACAAUAUUUAUGUUGAUUAAGUCGGUAAAAGAGAAGCUAAAGAAUUCAACAAUUGAAUUAGUAAUAAUGUUGUAAGAGCCAAGGAUUGGUUAGGAAAUAAAGAUAGUUCUAGAAGAGAUUAGAUUUCUCUGAAGAUCAUUCGGGAUAUGUAAAGUUGUUGUUAAAGAAGAAUUUAUUCACGAAUAAUUGACUUAUUCAGGUAUGGUAUCUAAAGAACGGGUUAACCAAAAUUUCUUCUGAAUUGAUUUCUUUAGUGGAACGAGAUAAUGUGAGAUCAUCAAUGACUUUAGUAAUCUGUGAGAUAGUGUUUGAACUGUAAAUAUAUCUGAAUGCAGCUGUUAUAGUUGAGUAUCUUACAAUGAUCUCCUCUAGAUAUUCUAUAUGAUCUUUUAUCCUCAGAGGCAUAUGCAAUUGUUCAUCUUCAGAUGUAAUUCUUAUCAUAUGAGAAUGUUAGCUAACUGUAACGUUAGACAGAGGUAUUAUUAGUCUAGUUGAUUAAUAAUUGACAUUACUCUAUUUUUCUUUGGCAUUCUAUUCUAUUAUGUUCAGUGGAAGAUUCAAUGAUAAGACUCAUAUGAUUUUAUUUUAUUUUUUCUUCUGAUUGAUAAUCUAAAUUAUAUAUAUACAAAUUUAUGUUAUCUCUGUCACAAUUGAUUCCAAUGCGUAUGAGCGAUGUUCUUCUUCUGGAUUUUCUUUAGGGUAUCAUCAAUCUCUUUAUCAUUCAAUAUAGGUUGUAAUUUCAGAAAUUUAGUAGAGCUUCACAUCUUGGAUUUCAAUAUCUCAGUUUUCUUAUCAUUCUUAUUAUUUAAUCUAUCAAACAUGGUUCAUCUUUAAAGGAUAUUCAUUGGCCGGAGGUAAUUACAUCUAUUAUGAUUAUAAUUCCUGGUUCGAUCAUGGGAGCACGGUGAUACAGAUCACAGGUUUUUAGAGGUUGUGUUGUUGCGCUAGUUGUUAUUGGAACUACAUCCGAUUUUCCUCUUUUGUUUCGGAGUGCAUUAUUGAUGGUUGAACUUUCAUGACGGGAAUGGAUAACGACAAAAAUAUAGAUGGUGAAAGAUCGAGCUUAACCUCGCAUGAUAGUUCUCACUACUCAAGUAAUCUUAGAUUAUGUCAACAAGCCAAAAAUUGGACAUCAUAUUUCAUAUCAGUAAUACAGUUGGUGAUGAUCUCUAAUUGGUAUUCUGAAGGAAUCAUGAUAGACUUUGUGUCUGGGUUAUCACGACAACAAGAAGAAAGAAUUAUUCUAAAAUGUUAUUAUUCGAAUGAUAAGUUUGACUCAAUUAUUUUAGUCAGGGCGGAUUAUUCACUGGAAAAGUUAGAUGAGUUUUAUAUAUAUUCGAGUACAUCUCUAGAUUCGAGAAUAAAUUUUGCUGGUUCACGGGUAAAUAGACGGACAAUCAGAAUGAAGGAUUAAUAUUCUAGAAGACAUGAUACAAGAAUAUAUCUUCUAGAUCAGAAUUUCCCGAUUAUAUUUAAAUGAUAUUAUUUGAAGCUUUUCGUGAAAUGGAGCAUUCCUCAGUUAAAAGUUACAGAUGCAGAUGUGUCGGAAACAUCAGUUAGAGUCUGUUGUGAAAAUUUCAAAAUUUACCUAAACUCUAUGAAUUGUUGGUAAUUUCUCGGUAGAUGUGCCACUAAUGAUAAAGUUAUGACAGGAGAACAUCAUAAUUGUUCAGUUAAAUCUAGAUAUGAGUUUUGAUAUGAGUUCUGAAUCGAGAAGACUUAUGAUUGAUUUAUUUAUUCACUACCAUUAAAAAGGUGGAAGAAAGACUCAACUUGAUGGCUAUUAUCAGGUACGAAAUUUCAAGGGCGAAAUUUUUGUAAGGGCAAAGACUUGUAAUAGCUCGUUUUUCAGUGGUGUCAAAAAUAGUGGUUUUGGGGCCACAAAUCUGACGAGUAAGUUCGUAAAUAUUAUUGUUUAAUAUUUACGAAUAAAAUAUGGUUUUAAAAAGGUUUUUGAUCCGGUACUGAAUGUGAUAUAAAUGAUUUAUUAAGCUCAAGUGGUAAGACCCUAAAGUAAAAUGAUUUUAGAAAAUCAGGUAUUGGGACCUCGUUUCUAUGAACUGAGCUGUAAAUAUUUUUAUAAAUAUUUAUGGAGUGCUAUUAAGGUUUUAUUAAAGUUUUGUUAAGAAAUUUUAAUGUUUUGAUAGUUAAUUAAUUAAAAAUGACUAAUUUGUAAAGGAUGUAAAAUUUGAUUACUAUUUGAUUUGAGUGACUAAAUGGCUUAUUGAAUAAAGGAAAAGGGACUUAAAUUGUAAUUAAACCAUUUAAGGAUUUAGUGGAUGGUUUUGGGCAACUAAAAGCAUGAAAUUUGGAUGAUAUUUAAAUGGACAAAAUGGUAAUUUUAGAACUAAAUUAAUUAAAAGAAACAAAAUGUUAAAUUAUCAUCAUCUUUUUGGUGUAUCUUCCAAAUACAACCGAAUGUUCAUGGAAAUGAAGUCAAGUUCGGCCAUGGUGAUUUCCUCAUGUAUGGUCAGUAAUUCUUACUCGUUUUUAAUCAUUUUGAUGAUUUUGAGAUCGUUGCAAGUAGGUCCAACUAACCCGUACCUUCGAUUUUGAAACUGUUAAAGAUAUUGAAUGUUUACAUUGAUGAAUCUAUGUUAUUUUAGAUAUUAAAUGAUGAAUUUGUGGUUUUGGUUAUUAUUUAUAAGUACUUUGUUAAGUAAUUUUGAUGAAUUUACCGAUUAAGGGCUAAAUUGUUGAAAUAGGAAAAAUACAAGGAUUUUUCUAAAACUAUUACAAAUGUGGGCUGUAUUGGAUGCCAUGAAUAUUUUGUUGGCAUGGGUUUUUAUUAAAAAUGGUUAAUUUGCAUGUUUUAGUCUCAGGGCUUAAAUUGAAUAAAUGUAAAAUGUUAGGGGUAAUUUUGUAAAAAAAUAAAAGUGACUAAAUUGCAUAAAAUGGAGUGAUUUCACUAUCUAAAUUAAUAAAUUUAAUGAAAUUAUUAAUUUAGAUCAAGAUUGAGUGGAAAAUUAAGGAGAAUGGAAAUUUAUCAAAAAGCCCAUGUACUUUGACAUUUCUAAACUUUAGACAGGUAAGUUCAUAUGAACUAUAAUCACUUAAAUGUUGAUUUAAUUGAUUGUUAAUGUGUUGAUUCUGAUGUAAAUGAUUCAAUAUAUAUAUGUUAUUAUGCAAUUUAUCAUGUCAUGAAACGAUGGAAAUCUAACGAAGUACGACGACAUGUCAUUAGGGUUUCCAUGUUUUCAGGUGUUGGUCUUGAAUGUCCUACAGAUGGAUGAGGUUUAGCAUGUGUUGCAGAUACUCCACAGCCUGUGUGAGUAGCAUUGUGUAGCUUACAUUUCGACCCACGGCUCGUGUGAGUAGGCUUAUUUCACAGCUCGUGUGAACGGACCUAUUUCAUAACUCGUGUGAGCAAUGAUGUAAAGGAAAGGAAAUGAUACAGUUAUAUGUUAGCACACUUAGUGCGAGCUAUCCUGCACAUCAAAUGCUAUUUUCAAUGGUUCAACGGGCAUGAAAAGGAAAGGAAAGGAAAGGUAUUUGUUCAAUAUAAACCAAGACAUGUAUUUAUGAAGUACAUGAAAAUGGUGAGAUACAUGAAAAGCAUGUUAUGUUUUGAUGGAUGAUAAAUCCAAUUAAAUUAUGUUAAUUGAUGUAUUAUAGUAUUGAAGUGAUAAGUUAUGUUUCAUGUUCUACGAGCUUACUAAGCAUUCAUUGCUUACGUAGUUAUCUUUCUCUUAUUUCACAGAUUAUCGGAAGCUCAACUGGUUUGGAAGCUCGUCAGAGCCCUAUCACACUAUCUAGAGAUUAAAUUGGUAGACUCUAAUGUUUUGAUCAAGGUAAUAAUGGCAUUUAUAGGUGAACUUGUGCUUUAUAAUAGUUGAUGAAUUUAGCAAGUAUAUGUCAUUUUGAGUGAUGUAACCUUGGUACUUUUGAUGCCUUAUUCAUGUGUGUCAUUUUGACAAUGUGUUAAUCCAUGUUUGAGUGGCCAAAAUAGUUGGUAAUGGAUUGACCUAAACAUGGUGAAGUUAUAGUAUGCUUUGGAAAGGUUUUGAGUAGAUGUGCAUGAUUGAAUAUGGUUUGUAUAUAUGUUGGUUGUUGGUGGAACCAUUUGAUAAUGGCUAGAUUGGUGUCAUUUAGAUGAGUUUAAUGCAUGUGAAAAGUGGUCCAAAUGGUAAGUUUAUUUUGAUAUGGCAUGAUUCUAAUAUGGUAUGCUUAAAUGUGUACAUGUCUAGGUAUGUUUGGCAUGACCAUAUUUGGUAUGUUCAUAUGAGACUAAGUGGAGUUAUGCUUUGUGGUAGAUAUAAACUAUUUGUAAUGGUAUAAAUGUGGUCAAUUUAUGAUGAGUUUUGUAAUGGAAAACGAAUUAAGUGUUGAUGAAUGUAAUGUGUUAAGUAAAUGUAUAUGAUUAGAUAAAUUUUAUGUUUGCAUUUGAGGUGCCUAUAUGGCAUAUUGGUUGAAUGGAAUUUGGUAUUCAAUUUGGUCUUCUUAUGCAUGUUUUAGGUAUGUUUUAAGCCUUGAUUAUAUAUACAAAUUGCUUGUAGGUGUGUGUUUGAAUUGGGUGAAAGAAAUGGCUUGAAUUUGACCUAUUUCUUGUCCACACAGACUAUGACCCGGGCGUGUGUCAUGUGACACGAUAGUGUGUCCCCUGUAGGUUUUAAAGGUUGCAUUUUGAGUGUUACACGACCUGGCACACAGGCGUGUGGCUUGGCCAUGUCACCCAAGUCAAUGUGUAACACCCCAAACCCAGCUUAGACGUUAUGGCCGAAUCUUGAGAUAUCACAUUGAUGUGUUUUUCAAAAAUACAGUUUCAUUGAAAACCCGUUUCAUACUAAUUCACGUUUAUUGAAAACUCAAGUUGUCUUUAGCAGUGUGUUAAUCAUAAUAGUUUGUUACUAUAUUUAUCCCGUCUUUUCUACAACUAGCAGUUUAUAUCAAACUAAAUAAAUAAAAAUCCCAAUUUAAAGUUUAUAACUUUAAAGAGGCCAUUUUAUAUAAAAAUACCCAAAUUCAGUUACUUAUAAAUCAAAAGCUAAAAACAAAAGCUGAUGAGGUUGUGUGGCCAUCAUUGAGUCCCUCGCAGCACUGACCCGCCUACAACUGGGGAUUACCCGUACAGUUAAAUAGAGGGGUGAGUUUACGAAAACUUAGUGUGUAAUCCCCUAACAAGCAAAUAGUUAAUUAAGCAGUAGAUAAAUGCAGUUUGGGCCUGAGCCCGUUACAGUAACAGUCCAAAUCAUUGUGGGCCUAAGCCUUUUCCCGUAACAGUAAACAAUCGGGCUUGAGCCCAUCACAAUGCUAGUAAUCAGUAGGGCCUUUGCCCAAUUUUAGUAAUAGUAUCAGUGGGGCCUUGGCCAAUAACAGUAACAGAUAUCAGUCAUGCAGUGAACAGUAUGUAAUAUCAUUAAUCGAUAUAGUAACAGUACAAAAUCAUUAAUCAGUGCAGAUAUGCAAUUAGAAAUCCUACCCAAUCCAACCUCUACACACCACUCCGUCCCGCCAAACACACCAUGUGGGGAUAAAAUCGACCCACCCAACCAAACACACCAAGAUUAGCACCGGUUGUGGCACUAAACAGUAUUGCAGCAAAGCUGCCAGUAAAAUAAAUGGUAUAUAGCCAUCAGUAGGUCCACAGUCGUCUUGGACGACCCGUGCAACCUUACCAGUACGAUACACUUCCUCCAAAUAUAACAACCCAUCCCUAUGCAAUAUAUCGUGACAUAUAUCAUACGUGUAUGCAAAAUGUCAUACUCAAUCAUAGUCAUACAUAUCAUAGAGCAAAUCAGUCAUACAUAACAUAAGGCCAUAACAGUCAUUUAAUCUCCUAGGGGUAUAACAGUCAUUUUACCCUAUAGGAGUAUUUCGAUCAUUUUACCCUAUGGGGGUAUUUUGGUCAUUUUACACUAUGGGGGAAUUUCGGUAAUUUUACCCUAUAGGGGUAUUUUGGUCAUUUUACCCUAUAAAGGUAUUUCGAUCAUUUUACCCUAUGGGGGUAUUUUGGUUAUUUUACCCUAUAGGGGUAUUUCGAUCAUUUUACCCAAUGAGGGUAUUUCGAUCAUUUUACCCUAUGGGGGUAUUUCAGUCAUUUUAUCCUAAGAGGGUAUUUUAGUCAUUUUACCUAUUUUGGGGUCUCAGUGCAGAUAUCGACCUCCUGAAAGGUACGCAAUCGCCUCGAGCUACCCAGGUAACCUAAAUGGUCAUAACAGUGUAAAUGGGCCUAAGGCCCAUAACUCGGCCUAUGUGGGCCCACACGCUUGUGCGGCCCGUUCAGCCUAGAUUUUGCCACGACUAUGAGAUCUACAUAGCCUAGUCCAAUAUUUGCCACAAAUUGUGGAUUUCAUCCGUGUGGGGCUCACGAGCCCAUUGAGCGCACACGACCCAUUUUGGCCCAACCUGGCCCAUUACAGCCUAAGCCCAUGAAAAUGCUUAUGGAGGCCUCUACAGGCUACCGCCCAUGUUUCGCAGGUUGGGCUUACCACACAAGCGAUCACACGUCUGUGUGGUCUUAAACGCCGUAUUUUUGGCUUUUUGGCUUUUGUCGUUCUACGAUUGCAAUGGGGUGUUUAUGCACCUGUUUAUAAGAAGAUGCGCAGACAGUCCUCGAACGCUUCCGAACCUAUGUUCACCCGUAACACUCGAUUAAUCACUUAUCAAUUGAAUUUAGAAUGAACCCUAUUCAAUAGACAUAACUUUUUGAUCGACAACCACUUACCUUGAUUGAACAACCACUUACCGGAAAAACGUUGGUCACUAGAUCUCGGGGUUAUUACCUGUAAUCCAAUCGAAAUCCCUUAACAAAAAUUAUCUACUAGAACAAUUUAAGCCAAAACGAACCCCAACUUACCAAAAGUACAAAACCGUAGAAUAGGAAUGGUAUACAAAAUUACCGGAGAGCAAGGAAGGAGUCGACACAAUGAGGGUAGAAGAAGGAGAGCAGAUCGACAAGAAGGGAGGAGAAAUGGCCUAGGGAACGAAGAGGUUUUGGUAGAGGGAAAAGAAAAAAAAUGAAAAAGGAGAGAAGAUAAAUUUAGCCACUAGUAGGAUUACUUGGGAAAGGAAACAAGAAGAGGCAAUUGAGAGAGGCAAUAUUCGGCCAAAGAGAGGUUGCCAAACACCCAAGAAACGAAAUAGAAGAAUAUGCAAAAACCCCUCACCACAUUCGGCCUUCAAGCAAAAAGAGGGAAAACACCACACAAAACCGAAAUGAAGAGUAUCCCAAAAUGAACAGUAUACCCCUCUGGCCGAAUUUCUUGAGUACCAAAGUCCACUUCCGGCAAACUUCUACCUCUUCCCUCACUUCCUUUGAUUUUCUCCUAGUAUCUCUCCCCUUAUCCAUCCUUAAAUCACUCCACUGAUUUCUCCUCAACUCCCCCAACAACCCCAUUCAAAUUCUACUCAAACUCCCCUUAGCUGUGUUUCAGUCCAACUCCACCACCUACACGAAUUAGGCAGCAAAAUAAAUACUCCUUUUUUGAUGCGCCACCACUCAAACCUUAUACCUCAUGCACACUCCACAUGCCCCUUACCACUAGACCAAACAACUCAUUUGUAUCAUAUUUUAACCACAAUAAUUUAAGAACCUACUAUCUAGAUCCAAGGAUUUUAUUCACUUAAAAAUAAAAAUUUUGCAUAAGCCAAGGCUUGAACCCCUAACUUCUCAGACACUUCCAAACACUCCUAAAUCACUUAACCACUAAAGCAGACAUUCAUUUAUGUCACUUCCUUGCACAACUAAAUAUUUAUGCGCAGUCUCCUAACUGUUCCCUUAUUCAAAAUCUAUUUCUUCUAGGCCCAAAAUUCUGGGUGUUACACAGUGAUUUACACGGGCACAAACAUUGGCUGGGACAUGGCCAUGUGUCCCUACUUCGAAUGCCCACACAGCCUGAGACACAAGCGUGUGUCUCAGCCGUGUGAGUCAAACGGCCUGGCCACACGGUCAUGUGACCCCUCAAUGUGAAAUUUUCUAUCUUUUUCCAUAAAGUUUUAAAUGUUUUUUAUUUAUUCCCGAUUCAUUUCUAAAGUCUUUCUAAGGCCUCGAGGGCUCGAAUAAGGGAUGAUAUGCAUGUGUUUGAAUGGAUUAUGUUAUAAUUUAUGAAAUGUUACCUGCACUAAUUCAAUAGUAAAUUCAACCUCUCGGAUCGAAGGCAACCCUAGUAACUCUUUUAGAAACACAUUUGGGAAUUCACUUACUACCGAAACCGAUUAAAGUCUCAAUUUCGAAACCCUGGAAUGAACAAUGUAAGCAAGAUAUACUUCACAGCCCUUUUUAACAUGUUUCUGUGCCGUCAAAGCUGAGAUUAUAUUAGAUGUACAAUCUAAUCUGUCGAACUCAAUUUGAACUCGUUUACCAUCCUGACGUUUUAGCACAAUAUGUUUUCUUCUACAAUUCACGAUAGCAUCAUGUAGAGUCAACCAAUCCAUACCCAGGAUCACAUCAAACUCAUUAAAGGGUAACAACAUCAAACUAGCGGGGAAUUUAUAACCCUUAAUUUUUAGUGGACAAGAUCAACAUAAUUGAUAAACUAGAACACACUUACCCAGGGGAUUUGUAACUUUAAUAGUAUACUUAGUGAAUUCAACAGGUAUUUUCUUUUUUUCUACUAAUGUGGUGCAUAUAUACGAAUGAAUUGAUCUAGGAAUAAUCAAUGAAUAUACAUUAAUAUCAAAGAGAGAAAAAGUACCCACAAUAACAUCUAGAGGAGUAGCUUCCUCUCGAGCUCAGAUUGCAUAGGCUCUGGCCAGUGUUCUCGCUUGAGACCGUUCGUUUAUCUCAUUGUUCUUUCCUCGAUCAGGAGUAGUAUUUCUAACAUUUUCAAAUCGUCUAUGCCUUUGAAAAGUUGCUUCAGGCUUAUUUGAUUGAUUCCCAAAAUCAUUUUGCUUCUUCGGACAGUUACAAAGAAAGUGGUCAGUAGACCCAAAACAGAAACAAGCUCUCGAUUUUUAUUGACACCAGAAUGAUUUUCCUCACAUUUCUUACACUUCUAACACCCGUUCCUGGAGAGUUGAAUGACUGGAAAUUGCUUUGUCUAGGUUUCUCUCUAUUAACGAACUCUGAAGGUGUAGCUGAUCGACUGGUGUCAUUUUUAAAUUUCUUCAUUGGAGAUGUUUGAGCUGGUUUGAAUUAUCCCCUUUUGUUAUGGUCUCUAAACUUCGAAUCUGAUUAUCGUUUUCUUUUACAAAUCUCUGUAACCUUCUGAGCCCACUCUGAAAUUCUACUAAUUCCAGUAACUUUAAUGCUGCUACAACCAUACGGAUCUCACCAUUCAACCCCUCUUCAAAUCUAAUACACAUUUCUUCCUCAUUUGAUACGAUGUUACGAGCAUACUUGCUUAACUAUACAAACUCACAUUCAUACUCAGCUGCAAUCCGGUUUCCUUGUUUUAACUCAAGAAACUCUUCCUCUUUCCGGUUGAUGAACAACCAACUAACAAACUUUUUCUUGAAUUCAUUCUGGAAGAAGUCCCAAUUAACUCUAUCAUCCGAUAUCAUUGUGCUCAAAGUAUCCCACCAUAGAUAUGCCUCAUCUUUCAAUAAGGAUCCUGUACACCUCAAGCAAUCUUCAGGAAUACACAAUAACUCCAUAAAAACUCUCUUUGUAUUCAAUAGUAAUACUCGGCUUUUGAAGGAUCAUCAUCUACCGUAUCUCUGAACUCUUUUGCUCCACAUUUCUAAAUUUUAUCUAUAGAUACUCAGUUAACCAUCGCAGGUACAAGGUUUGGAACAUUCAAGGAUGCCGAAGGAGGCACAACAGGGGGUGGAGGUGGCAGAGUUGCGAGAUUUGCUUGUUUGAACUCAUUGAACCAUUGGUUCAUCAUUUUAAGAAUUACAUUUUUCAUCUCAUCACCCACAGAUUAUGGAAUAGGCGCACUAUUGCUUGCCUCAGGAUUCGAAGCUUGAACAUUACUUUCAGCUUCAUUAACUAUAGCUCGAUUUGAUUCAGCUGACAUAUUAAAUCUAUAAGAAAAAAAUGUUAGAAUGGAUCAAAAGCAUCACACUAUCAGAGGGUAUAUGUUGCAUGUAUAUACUAAACUUUACUUUGCUACACUAGUCCUAGAAUCGACUAAACCGUAGCUCUAAUACCACAAAUGUAACACCCCUAACCUAUAUUCGUUAUCGAAUUAGGGUUACGGAGCAUUACCGAAUAAACAUAACUUGAAAUCAUUCAUUUCAGAACAUUUCAAUAAACAUAGAAUAACCUAAUAAUAUACAUGCAUAUUGUCCCUUAUUCGAGCCCUCAAGGCCUUAGAAUCACUUUAGAAAUGAUUUGGGACUAAAUCAAAAAUAUUUGAAACACUAAGGAAAAAGUUAGAAAAAUUCAAACUGUAGGGGUCACACAACUGUGUGGCCAGGUCGUGUGGCUCACACAGGUGAAACGCAUGCCUAUGUCUCAGGCUGUGUAAUAAUCGAAAUAGGGACAGAUGACCGUGUCCUAGCCCGAGUUCGUAUGGGUCACAUGGCCAAGCCACACGCCCAUGGGCUAGGCCGUGUAACUUCCUGAUUUGCAACCUCUAAAACCUAUAGAGGACACACGGUCGUGUUGCAUGGCCAUAUGCCACACACAACUGAGACACACACUCGUGUCUUUGGCCAUGUGGACAAGAAAUUGGCCACAAUCAAGCCAUUUCUUUUACCCAUUCCAACAAGUACCUAUAAGCCAUAUACACAUAUGAUCAAUGCACCAAAAACCUACCAAAACAUGAUUAAUUUAACAAAUUCAAAAGAUCCAAAAUCUAUUCAACCAAUGUGCCUUAUAAGGCACCUCAACCACAAUCAAACAAACUUACCAAAACAUUUGCAUAAUUAACCGUACUUCGAACAUACACAUCUAUUUCCAUAUCAUCUUAAAACAUACAACAAUUAAGACCAUUUCUAGCAUAGCAACUUAAUUCUCCAACAAGCCAAAACAAAUCACAACUGUAUACUUUCAUACCAUUCUAAUUGUACUAAAAAGAUACCUAUUUACAACUUCAGUAAAGUGCCAAACAACUUAGUUUAGUAUUUUGUCAAAAUGUACCAUAACAACCUAUAUAGCCACAUAUACAUGCCACAACCCUAAGGAGCACAAGAACUACCAACAUCGGUGGAUAGUGUGAGUCGAAGAUUUGAUCCGUCCAAAAGUCAGCAAUAACUAUCUACAAAACAAUACACAAAAUCAUAUAAGCUUAUAGAGCUGAGUAAGAACAUAGUAAAUCUUUUAACUUAACAAGAAUUGAAUGCAACUCUUAUUUUACUCGAUUUGAAGUUACCGUAGUGUAAAUAGGGGCACGUAUGUGCAAUUCAAGGAAUAAUUAAGUAUAAUUAAUUAAUUAACUAUAUUGUAAACGUACAAGUAGAAAUUCAAUUACAUAUAGAAAUACUAGGAACUUAGAUGAUAACUAGAGCGUAAAAAUACGAUCGAGCUAAUCUGUGACUUUCGCCUUUCCUCGGUUUAGAUCUAGUUGAGAUUUAUCUUGAUCUAAAUAAAUAAUUAUAUUCGAUUAAGUGUUUCAAUAAAUAUCAGACAUUCAAUUCAGUCCAUAAUCCAUAUUUAUACAUAAUUACUAUUUUGCCCCUAAUAUUUUUACCUUUUUACAAUUUAGUCCUUCAACUUGUAAAUUGAAAUCUAAGCAUUCUCAUCCCUAACUCAUGAUAGAGAAAUUUAUUAUGAACCCAUAUCAACUCAUACAAGUCAUCAUUUCUGAAUUUAACCAUAAUAAUUUACUACUUUUACAAAUAUGCCCCUAAAUGACAUUUUCAACAAAAAUCAUUUUACAAAACUUAUUUAUUUAUCUACAAUGACUCAUAAUCUUUCAUUAAACUUCAUAAAUCAUGCAAGAACAUUCAUGGUGAAACGCUACACCUGUAAUAGUUUUGCAAAUUAGUCCCUAGGCUAGCUAGAUUAAACUACAACUACUCAAAAAACAUAAAAAUCCUUAAAAACGGGCUUGAAAACCUACCUUGCAUGAAGGAUUUUCCAUAGAAGAAGGCCCCCUCUUAACAAUGAAUUUUUAGUGCUUUUAGGGUUAUGAACAAAGAACAUGACAUCAUUUUGUUUUAAUUUACUUAACAUUUUAUCUUAAUGGUCCAUUUACCAAAAUAACCUUUAAAGACUAUAAAUUUCAAUAAAACCUUACCAUAUAAUUUCACUAACUAUCCUAUUGGUUUAAUUACCAUCUACAUCCUUUCACUUUAAAAUUCUAUAGCUAAUUGAUAAUUUUAAAUACUAGAACUGUACUUUUACACCUUUUACAAUUUAGUCCUUUUCACUUAAUUAAGCAUGCAAACGUUAAGAUUUCUUAACGAAAUUUUUAUAUGACUCUACUAACUUAUCGUAGACAUUAAAAUAAUAAUAAAAUAAAUAUUUACUCAUUAGAUUUGUGGUCCCAAAACCACUAUUUCAAUUUCACUAAAAACAAGCUGUUACAAUGUGUCCCAAUUUCAAUCAUUCAUUCAUUCAUUCACUCAUUCACUCAUUUGUUUAUUCAGAAACAUUAUUUUAACAAAAAAAGAAAUAAAAGAAGAAUAAUUAUAUGACAAAUCCAAAUAAAUUUCUAACUUUGGAAAUAAAUGCCAUUUCAAAAAGGACCAAGGUUAGCUCACACCCGCUCAAAAGCCAAGAAGAUGACAGAAGAAGAAUUAGCACGCAUGGCCAAAUUGAAGGAGCAGAUGUAAUAGAUGAUGGAAAUGAUGACUAUAAUGAUGAAUGGUAUGGCCAAGGUAAGAGAAUAAAGUGGGACUUUGGGCAAUUUAAUCCCUCUUUACGGUGAUACAGGAGUAUACUACGAAGAUUUACCACUUCAAAUGCCAGGUGUGACUAUUCAAAUCCCAAGAAUAAACGAGUAGUCGAGAGAAGUGGACAAGGGAAAGUUGAUUAUGGAUGAAAAAGCUCAUAGAUUCAGCCUAAUUGAGGAACUUUUGAAAGCCAUCGAUGGAAUAGAAACCUUAAGAUAUGUAGAAGCAGAAGGCCUGUGUCUGGUACUCAAUUUGGUCGUCCCACCAAAAUUCAAAUUUCCUAGCUUUGAGAAAUUCAAAGGUAGCAGUUGCCCUAUUACUCACAUCGCCAUGUACUAUAGGAAAAUGGUCGCUUACUCUAAAGAUGAGAAACCACUAAUGCACAUAUUUCAAGAUAGUCUAACCGGAUCUAUGGCUCGCUGGUAUGUAAAGUUGGAUAGGAGUCGGAUUCGAAAUUAGAGAGAGAUCCCCACGGGCAUUUAUUGCUCAAAACAAACAUAUUGUAGACAUGGCCCUAGGCCACUUGACUCUGCAGAACAUGGAAAAGAAGUCAAAUGAGAGUUUUAAGGAAUACGUACAAUGGUGGAGGGACCUAACAUUACAAGUACAACCUCCACUCAGAGAAUAGGAGACCAUUGUUAUGUUCAUUGGUACACUAAAAGGCAUAUACUACGAUAGGAUGGUAGGAAAUGCCUCUAAGACCUUCACGAAUAUGGUAUUAUCUGGUGAAAUGAUAGAGAAUGCAUUGAAGUCGGGCAAAAUAGAUGACCCAUUGAGCGCAAAAAAGGGUAUCGUUGGGAAAAAAAGGAAGCAAAAAUGUAAACAAUCACACCAAGCGAAUACCCAUACUCUUACUUUCUGUACCCGAACCCAAUACCUACACGCCCCCAAUACCUUAUUGUAAAUGCUACCAAUACUUCACCAUUUAUAUAUUAUCCACCUGUACCCGUUACAAAUCCCUCCAUAUUAACUAUGCUAACCCGGUCCCCAUAAACCCAAGCUCCAGUAAAGACACCAUGGGAGAGGCCUGUGUUUGAUCCAAUUCCUAUCUCCUACGCGGAACGUUUUUCAAUUCUAGUGGAGAAGCACCUCCUUGUACCUAGACACAAGGAACGAAUGCAACCACCAAUAACAAAGUGGUAUGAUGUCAAUGCUUGAUGUGAGUAUCACCCUGGAAAUCCAGGUCAUACCAUCUAGAACUUAUAAGGGCGAGAAAGAUAAAUUUUCAGUGAGAGAAUACACCAGAUGUUAAGACAAAUCCAUUACCAAACCACGAUCAAAUAAUUAAUACUAUAACUGAAUAAAAUAGACUUCAAAAGAGAAAAGUGAAAGAAAUCACAACCCUAGCCGAGCGUAUCUUUGACAUCUUGAGUAAGUGAAAUCUAAUUAACACUGAGCCACCCACGUCCAUAAUGGGAAUUGAUAUGGAUCAAAUCUGCAAAUUCCACCAAUAAGCACUAGGACACUCGAUCCAAGUUUUCCCAACGUUUAGGGAACAUAUACAGUGUCUCUUGGAUUCUUUCCAGCUAGAGAUACAGAAGGAUGUUAAGACAAAUGAGAUAAAAAAAGUAAGAUGUGUAACCUAUCACCAUCAUAUAUGGAAAGAAAAUCCUUAUUGAAAAAGAGUCUACCUCAAAAGCCGUACAAAAUGACGUGUUGGUUAUUAAGGUUCUCGGCCUUUUUAAGUAUGGAGAUGACCAACGAGUUCCUUGGAUAUAUGAUUAUGAGGUGGUUGGAUCUGAUGCCUCCAACAUCUCAGUACUUUGUCGCAUAACUCGAAACGAGCAUUGUUACAAGCCAAACACAGUGGGGAAAAAACCUCGUGGUAAAGAAGUGAUUUCAAAAACUUAACCAAAAAUUGGCAAUAAAGAAGUCGAUAAGGAAACAAGGGAGGACCGAAUGGGAGAAGUCAAGAAAGAUGAAGUUAACAAAUUUUUCCAUCUGAUAAAGCAUAGUGAGUAUAACAUGGUUAAGCACUUAAACAAAACACCAGCAAGAAUUUCUUUGCUGUCACUAUUUUUGAGUUCGGAGCCACACAGUGAGGCUCUUGUACGAGUUCUAAAACAAGCUUACCUCACUCACAACGUGUCAGUAGAUAAUUUUAGUCACUUAGCAGGGAGCAUUUUGGCCCCAAAUUACAUAUCUUUCAAUGAUGAUGAAAAUACGCCUAGAUGGAAAAGGAACUACCAAGGUACUACACAUCUCAGUAAAGUGUAAAGCCUAUUCCGUGGCUACGGUUCUGAUCGAAAAUGGGUCAUCAAUCAACAUCCUCCCUUUGUCAACAUUGUCCAAGCUGCCCAUGGACAGCUCGUACAUGGCAUCGAGCCCUUUAGUGGUACGAGCUUUUGAUGGCAACAAAAGAAGUGUGAUUGGUGAAAUAGAGAUUCCCUUAUUGGUAGGAGCCAUUAAUUUCGUUAUUCACUUUCAGGUGAUAUAAUACAUUCUUAUGGUAUGUUGUUAGGACGUCCCUAGAUUCAUUCGGCUAGGGUGGUACCAUCAUCCUUGCACCAAAGAUUGAAAUUUGUAGUUGAUCAAAAUUUGUGCAUCGUAUGAGACAAAAAGGACCUGUUGGUAGCUUGCUUUCCAAAUUCUCCUUUCAUAGAAGUGGAUGAUGAUGCAAUAGAGAGUUCUUUCCUGAUCUUUGAUGUGGCCACUGCAUCUUACGUGGCAGAGGGAAUGCGAGCCCCUAAGCCUUAUGUGCCACGAACAACAAACAUCUUAUUUGCCCAGACAGUAGGGAAGGGUUGGCAAAUCCACUUAGGUUUGAGAGACGUACAAGGUAUCUCAGAACCCGUUUUAGUUCCCACUCUAAAAGAUACAAGAGGGUUGAGAUAUAAGCCUACGAAAGAGAAUGUCGAGAGGAUGUGUAAAGAGCAGAGGGCAAAGAGGUUGGCCCGCAUAGCCGAAAAGAAGGACCAGGAAAGGACCCCUAUCAAGUUAAUGAUUAGUGGAGACUGGGUUUGCUAUGACCCUUCUGCCUUGGACAACUGACAGCUCAUACCGUUACCUGCUAUCUUUGAGUCCUCCAAGAUGUAUUUAUUUUUAAGAGUUUUUAUUUCCAAAUUUUAAUAUCAUUCAGUUAAUUUAGUUUCUUUCAAAAAUCCAUGUAAACUUUUCUUUUCUCUUUAUUGAAAUCAGAUUUGGAUCAUGUCCCUAUUCACUUUUAUUCAUUUAAUCGUUUUCAUUCAUAUACCAAUAUACAUAAUCAUAAUUAUUUUAGGGGUAUACAUAAUGAAUUGAUAAAUUAUCUAAAUGACAUCUUUGAAUCAAAUUCUCUUAAUUAUGUUCACUAUAACGAUCAUGAGACGGAAGAGGAAGAAGUUGUACUAGAGGAAUUUUUUAGGAUAGUUGAACAAGAAAAGAAGCUUAUAGAACCCCACUUGGAGGGAACAAAUUUAAUCAAUCUGGGUGAUGAUAAGUUAAAAAAGGAUAUUAGGAUUAAAACCACUUUCUUGCUGGAGCAAAGUCAAUUGUUGGAGGAUCUACUCAUUGAGUUCUUAGAUGUGUUUGCAUGGUCAUACCAAGAUAUGCUGGGUUUGGACACUAAUAUCGUGGAACACAGGCUACCUUUGAAAUUAGAUUGCAAACCUGUAUACCAAAAGUUGAGAAUGAUGGAACCUGAGAUGCUGUUGAAGAUUAAAGAAGAGGUCAAGAAAUAAUUCGAUGCGGGAUUUCUAGAAGUAGCUAAAUACCCAGAGUUGGUGGCGAAUAUUGUACAAGUGCCUAAAAAGGAUGGGAAAUUCAGAAUGUGCUUCGAUAAUAAAGAUUUGAAUCAAGCUAGUCCCAAGGACAAUUUUACGUUACCUGAUAUAGACACACUGGUGGAUAACACUACUAAACAUUAUGUUUUCUCUUUCAUGGAUGGAUUCUUGGGGUAUAAUCAAAUCAAAAUGGUUAUGAAGGACAUGGAAAAGACCACAUUCAUCAUGACGUGAGAAACUUUUUGUUACAAGGUCAUGUUGUUUGGUCUGAAAGAUGCUAGGGCCACGUAUUAAUAAGCAAUGGUGACAUUGUUUCAUGACAUGAUACAUAAAGAGAUUGAAGUUUAUAUGGACAAUAUGAUAGCAAAUUUUGCUAGGGAGGAAAGUUAUAGGAAAACCUCUGCAAACUGUUUGAAAGAUUGAGGAAAUAUAAAUUGAGAUUGAAUCCAACAAAAUGUACUUUCAGGGUAAAGUCAGGGAAUCUGUUGGGUUUCGUAGUGAGUGAAUGGGGAAUUGAAAUAUACCCGGACAAGGUCCAAGCAGUUCAAGAUUUUUCACCCCCUAAAAUUUAAAAUGAAGUAAGAGGUUUCUUGGGAUGGUUAAAUUACGUGUCUCGUUUGAUCUUACAGUUGACGGAUAAAUGUGAUCCCAUCUUAAAUCUCUUACGUAAGGAUAAUGAUGGUGAAUAGAUUGAUGAUUGUCAAAAAGCAUUGAAGAAAGUAAAAGAGUAUUUGGCUAAGCCACCAAUUUUGAUUCCCCUGGUGCCAAGAAGACCUUUGAUUUUGUAUUUGGUAGUGCUGGAUAAUUCUAUAGGUUGUGUUCUGGAGCAAUGAGAAGGUUCAAACAAGAAAGAACACACAAUCUAUUAUCUGACCAACAAGUUCACAGAAUAUGAAGCCAAUUAUCCCUAUCUGGAAAAGAUGUGUUGUGCUUUAGCGUGGACUACGCAUCCACUAAGGCAAUACAUGAUAGGAAGAAGCUAUUAUUGUCAAGAAGAGUUGCUCGUUGGCAAGUGGUAUUGUCCAAGUAUGACAGCGUCUACAUAUCCCAAAAGGCUAUAAAAGGAAGCAUAGUCGCAAAAUUUUUGGCGGAUCGCACAAAAGAGGAAUACGAGCCCAUGAGUUUUGAUUUCUCAGAUGAAGAGAUCUUGUUAAUUUUGAAGCGCGGAGAAGAAAUUUGGAAGGCGUAUUUCGAUGGACCAUCCAACAUGAUUGGGCAUGGGAUUGGGGCAUACUAAUCUCCCCAAGUGGCCAAUAUUUUCUCGCUACAGCUAAAUUGAUGUUCCCCUGUACGAACAUUGUAGCUGAAUACGAGGCAUGCAUUUUCACACUUUAGAUCGCCAUUGAGAAAAAGGUUAGGGUUUUAAAAGUUUUUGGUGACUCAGCAUUAGUUUUUACCAAUUAACAGGAGAAUUGGAAAUAAGGGAUUCCAAAUUGAUUCACUAUCAAACGUAUGUGGAUGGACUGAUGAAAGAGUUUGAUGAUGUCCAAUUUUGUCAUUUGGCAAGAGAAGAAAACCAGUUAGAAGAUACAUUAGCUACUAUAGCUACCAUGUUCAUCGUAAGAUCUGAAAUAGAAGUGUAACCUAUACUGCUAAGGGUCAAAGACUCGCUGGCCCACUGGGCGGGAGUAGAAUCAAGAACGGAUAGGAAACCAUUGUAUGUUGACAUUAAGCAGUAUUUGCAAUACCAGCAAUACCCGGAUUACGCUUCAAAAAAUUAUGAACGAAUAAUUAAGAGGCUGGUCAUGGGUUUCUUCUUGGAUGUUUUUUUGUAGAAAAGAUAAUGUGACCAAACCCUGCUAAGAUGUGCCAACACAGAAGAGGCAAAUUAGAUAAUGAAGGAAAUUCAUGAUGGAGUAUGUGGAGCACAUAGUAACAGACAUAUGACGGCAAGGCAAAUCAUGAGUGCUGGAUAUUUCUAGUUGACGUUGGAACCAGAUUGUUUAAAUUAUGCUUGGAAAUGUCAUAAAUGUCAGAAUUAUGUAGACAAUAUUAACGCUCGUCCAACUAAUCUUCAUGUCUUGGCACCCCAUUGGUCAUUCUCAAUGUUAGGCAUGGAUUUCAUUGGCCCUAUCACAUCUAAAACAUCAAACGAGCAUCGCUUCAUCUUUGUAGUGAUUGAUUAUUUCACCAAAUGGGUCGAAGCUGCUUCAUAAGCCAAUGUAACUUGAUUAGUGAGUAGCGAAUUUCUAAAAAAAGGGGUCAUUUGUUUGUACAGUUUACCAAAAAGAAUCAUCUCAAAAAAUUCCAAGAACUUGAACAACGUCGUGAUAGAAGAGGUUUGCGCACAAUUUAAGAUCAAGCAUCACAAAUCUACGCCAUAUCGUCCAAAAAUGAAUGGGGUAUUCGAGGCCACGAAUAAAAAUAUCUAAAAGAUCAUUUCCAAUACAGCAAAAAUGUAUAGGGAUUGGCAUAAGAAACUCCCUUUUACUCUCCACGCAUACUGCACAUCAGUGAGGACUUCGAUUGAAGUAUCUCUAUUUUCAUUAGUGUAUGACAUGGAGGUCGUUUUACCUAUCGAGGUGCAAAUCCUAUCUCUACGAGUGUUAAGGGAGGUGCGACUAGAGGAGACUGAAUGGGUGCAAGAGAGAUAUGAGUAGUUGAAUUUAAUUGAGGAAAAGAGAUUAGCAGCUUUAUGUCAUGGCCAGUUGUAUUAGCAAAUAAUGAUGAAGACCUAUAAUAAGAAGGUGUGACCAAGGCAGUUUAGAGAAGGGGAUGUAGUACUAAAGAAUAUUCUACCAUAUGUUCAUGAUCAUCGGGGAAAAUGGACACAAAAAUGGGAGGGACCGUAUAUGGUGAAAAAAAAUUUCUCUGGUGGAGCAUUGAUUCUCGUUGAAUUGGAUGGAGACAAGAUGUCGAACCCUAUAAAUUCUAAUGCAGUGAAAAAAUACUUUGCUUAAAAACUAAGCUUGAUCGUUCUUAAAGAGUUACCCACAUAAGUAAUAUUGCCUUUUUCUCUUUUGCUUUUCUUCGUGCAUCACAUUUCAGGUUACAUUUUGCUUUGGAAUCUUACAUUCUCCUUAAGUUUAAUUACUUAAUAAGUUGGCCAUGUUCAAAAUGACAAAUGAAAUUUUUGAAAUAUCCUUCAGUUGAAGAAAAUUCCAUCCUCUGUUAACCACUUUGGGCGAUCUUGUUUGUUUAAAAUUAACCCUUACUGAAGGAUCACCUUCCACGUUGGAGGACAAAUUGUGAGGUUUUGGGUAUGGAUCAAUGAUUUUACAACAUUGUGAGGCGAACAUGAGAUUAUGUGCAAUUCAAAUUGAAAAGAUGGGUGCAUUCCUAAGAAUGGCCUUUCUGAUUAGAUUAACCAUAUUUUGAAAUGAUAAAUGACAUCCUUUUGUUCCCCUCGUCACAUGAAGAAAAUUAUCUCCCUUGCUACCCCAUUUUGAUCCAGAUGUAUCUUCUUUCUGAACCCUAAUUAAAGUCAUCCAUCGAACAUCAUGAAUUGACAAGAAAUAUCAUGAAGAAUGAAAGCAAAAUUUUGAAUUCUUGAUCUUAUUCCAAAAAAAAAGAGAAAAAAAUAGGGAAAGUGAAUAAGAAACAAACAAGAAAAGAAAUAGGAAGGAGUACGAACGAAGAAAAGUGAUGGAAAGAGCAAAAAAAAUUCAAAAUAAUUCCUCAUAGAUUUUAUACUCUUUCACAUAAUUUUAGCCUAGAAAACCUUUCUUUGAUUGACUUUUAACCCUUAGGCCACGUUACAACCAUUAAAAGACCAUUUUGGUCGAAUAUGUUUGUUCAAAUCAAGAAGUUAAUCCUUGGGAAAUAGUGACGUUUUCAAAAGUAUAAAAGAAGAAGAUGAACUCUAGGGUGAAAACUCAGAAAUGAGCAAUCUAAAAAAAUUCUAAAAAAAUAAUAGGGUAUAAGAUGCCCUGGAGGAUAAUGAAGUUUUCAGAAGAAAUUGAUCCUUCAGUACGAGCCCUGAAGUAAUCUAUUUUAGGUUAUUUUAUCCCUUUCUUUGGCUCCCAAACUCGAAUGGACACUAUAACCUUGGAACAAGUCCAUCUCUAGUUGCUUAUGGUCGACUUAAAUUAGGGAAUUAAUCUACUUGGAGAAUGUAAGAGUCUAUAUAAAGAAGAUUUUGCUUAAAUAAAAAAACACGAAAAAGAAGAAAAGGGGAAAAAAUAACCAAAAAACAGAAAAAAUAGAGAGAGAGCAAGAGAAAGGAACUAAUUUAAGACACAAUUUUGCAAAAGAGAAUGGUACAAGGUUCAUUGUCGGAACAACCCAAAGUCAAGAAAAGGAAAUUCAGGUUCACGAGAAUUAACGAGUUGACUCUCGAUGCAAGAAAUUUAUGUUUCAAGGGUAAAUUUAUGAAAUUCGUAGUACCAAGUCUAUUAAGUGAAUUAUCAUCUGAGAAUUUAAUUUACAAGUCAUAAAAUCAAUUUGAAAUUUGUUAAGGUGAUAUCCCAUGGAAUUUUAUUUUCAUGAUAUGUUAUGUAUGGAUAGAGAUUUGAUCUUUUUCAACCUAAAAGCAUGAUUAUCAAAAUAAUGACCUUUUAUGAAAAAUUCAAGAAAAGAAUAAAGGGAAGCAUUCAUUGCAUUUAAAGGCCCAGCUGUGGAGGUCCGUUUACCUUUCAUUGCAUUUAGAGGCCCAGGGGUGGUGGUCCAUUUACUUUUCAUUACAUUUAGAGGCCCAGGUGCAGAGGUCCAUUUACUUUUCAUUACAUUUAGAGGCCUAGGUGUAGAGGCCCAUUUACUUUUCAUUGCAUUGUAUAUGAAGGCACGGGCGUGAGGUCUAUCUACGAUUCUUCUCCAUUCUCAUUUCAAAGAUUUGGUUGUAAGAUCUGAAUUUAUCUUUUUUCACUCUUCAUGUUUCGAUCGUUUGGUAUCUACUUUUCCAGUUUUGGAUAACGUAACAUGUUUUGAUCUGUUUCAGUUUUGGUACUUGCAAAAUCUGUUAUUCCUUGUACUAUGAUGUUGAGUAGGACUUGAUAGUGGUUAGGUGUCUACGUCUUUUUUCGUGGUACAUUUUUUGCUACGCAAGCCAUGAACAAAUACGGGCAAUUGUAGACACUCAUUUUUAUUGGAGCCCAAUUAGAGGCUCACAUGUUCCCUUUAAAUAUUUGUUUUUUUCUUGGGCCAUUUGAAACCCACCCAAUUUUGGUCAAAUGAAGGCAUUUGUUUUUCUUACCUUUUUAUUUCCUUUUCAAGCUUGUCAAGGGCCCAGAUUAUUAUUAUCAUUACCACUAAUAAUAUUAUUAAAUAUUAUUAUUAUCUCUUUUUUAGGGCCCAAGGCCAAGCUAUUACAAUGGUCAGCUGGGUUUUCAAAAACCCUAGCCUUCCCUUUGUCACACAUCACAAACAUCCAAAAUAGUACCAGACCAUUAAUCAACAGAUCAAUGGAAACAUAAAAAAAAAUUACAAAUAAAAAAGGUUGCCGUAUUUAUUGAUCACUUGGCGUUGAGGUAUCCUUUCACGAAAAAGGAUGCAAAAUCAAAAAUAAAACACUGGAUCUUACUGUUGCAAGAAUCUGACAUCGAGAUAAAAGACCGCAAGGGUACAGAGAAUCAAGUUGCAGACCAUCUGUCUCGAUUGGAAGUUAGCAGCAAAGAUGGAAACAUACUUCAAAUUGUCGACGCAUUCCCAGAUGAGAAGUUAUUUGUUGUAGAUGCAACCCCUUGGUAUGCGAAUUUGGUUAAUUAUAUUGUGUGUGGAAAACUCCCAUUAGGUGUCAUAAGCCAUAAAAAAGAAAGAUUUCUUCAUGAAAUAGUCAAGUAUCAUUAGAAUAAGACGUAUUUAUUCAAGGUAUGCAAUGACAAUAUUAUUCAACGUUGUGUUCCAGAAAAGGAGAUGCUUUCAAUCCUUAAGCACUAUCAUGAUCCUUUCAAUCUAGAAAAGAAAAUUGCUAGCGGUUGAAACACUAUUUUGGGAAUAUUAAUCAAAAACAGGCAAAGACCAUUAAAUUGGUUAAAAUUUUUUAAUUUUUAUUGAAUUUAUCAUUAUGUGAUUUUAUUUUAUUUUGUUUUUGUUCAAGUUUGUUUUACUUCUUUUUUUUUGAAAAAUAAUUAGGUAACAUUGUCGAAGCACUUUGACUUUAUUGCCAAUGCAGUUCAUACUAUUGUACUGUCACUUAUGACUCAUCAAGAAUGAGGGCAUAUCAAAAAUUUCAAAUCCCACCGAUCAUCUGAAAUUAUAUCAAGGCCAGGAACAACUCUAUUGUAGCCGCAUUAAGUUAGUUAAGCCCGAUCCCACUCCUAAAAUUUCUAGUGUUCCCACUGAUCAUUCGAGAUUAUAUACUCUCAUUCGAGGAUGAUGACUUAGGGGAUCCAGACAAUCAGUGGCAUCCCCACCCAUUGUGCACGUCUCUGUUGAUGAGAAAGAAGAGGAAUUAAAGGGCAUUGAAGAGUGCAUGCAAUGGAUUGAUAGCCUGGUCGAGGGUGAAUUCAUUGCUAGUCAAGAGGAACAUGCUAUUGAGGUGGAAGUUUUUGUUAGAGAGGAGGAAGUCCUUGUUGCAAAUGUGAAUGAGAAGGACAAGAAAGAAUAUGCUAAGAAAGAAUCUGCUCGAAACAUUGUCAUUGCACCCAAGUUUGUGGGUGCAACUACUGAUAAUUUGGAGCGAGAUGGAGCUAGACCAGCAGAAGCUGCAGAGGAAGCAACCAAUGAUGCACAGGCAGAACUAGAACCUAAAGAGCGAUCUAAGGAUCAUGCGAAGCCCAAAGAAUAGAUGAGAAAGCGCCCCAAUGAAAAAAAGUGCAAGAAAGAGGAGAAAAAGAGGAGGAAGAAGAAACAUCGUGCAGCCACAUCUGUGGCUAAGGAAAAGUGAGUUAGUUUUUUUUAGUUUUUUUAGUUGUAGUGUUCAUGCAUUGCGCGUAGCUGUAAUUUUUAUUUUGUUACUGCACAUUUUCAUUACAUUUCUCUGGUAAUUGCAUUUUAAUUUUAGUGCAUUGAGGAUAAUGCAAACUUUAAGUUUAGGGGAAUGCAUAUGGGGUUUGGAAAUACAGUCACAUUUCAAAAAAAAUUAUUAAGUUUAAUGAAGCAGGCAAGGUUUAUUUGUGGUUAAUGCAAAUGUGUUUGAAAAUUUUUGUUACAUUCAAUCUUAAUUCUUGAAUCAUGUGAAUUAUAAAUGAAUGAGUUGGAUAAAUUUGACUGAAUGUUGUAUCUUCAAUUCUUUGAUGAAUGAUAUAGGUUGCUUUAGUAAUGGAUGACUAGCAGCAUUCCUUGAAUCUUGAAUGAAUCUGCCUUUUACAGCUGCUUAUAUAUAUAUAGUUAUGAAUAAGAGACACUCCAAAGUGGAUGUAUUGUGAAAUGUUAAAGAGGGAACACUCCAAUGCAAGCAUUAGAAAAAUGAAUCUGGCCAAAGGCUGUCGCUGCAUGAGUGUGCGUCGGUGCGACUACGUACUCCCUUGAGUUUGUUGCACUCCAUCGCUACUUCUCAGGAACAAUGGUAUAGUAAUGCAACGAUAUCCCUUAUUCACAAAAAAAAGACAUAUAUUGUACAAUAAAUGUUGUAUUGGUAGAUAGAAUUUAGGAUUUAAAGCAUGAUGUUGGUUUUGAUGAAGUUGCAAUCUUAUUCAUUCAUACUUAUGUAUUUUCGAUGCAAUAUUCUAUCAUCUGAAUUUGACUCAUUCAUUGGAAUUUAGGUGAUUCAAGUUACUAAAAUGAUCAUUUGCCUUAGUGAAUUCUUGUGUAGCCUUGCUAGUUUUUAAUUUACUUGAGGACAAGUAAAAACUCAAGUUUGGAGGGUGUGAUAGUACUAGAAAUAACACAUGUUUUCUCCCUACUUAUUGGUUAAUUUGUUCCCAUCUAGUUAUCUUUAGUACAUAUUUUAGCAUUUUCAGUUCAGUAAAUUACAUUUUAUAACUCAAUGGAUCUUAACCUAUUUAUCCUUAAUUUCGUCAUGUUUUGGUACUGAUGUCACUGCACGAGUAUUUCCAGAUUGCACCAAGAAUUGUCGCCGCACCUACCAGCUAUCUAGAUAAGAAUAAAAAGGAGUGAGCUGGCCAGUCUGGUACAACCAACCUGUAUGUAUAGAGGAUCCAUGAUUCUAAUGAAAGGACACAUGUGUUAUUUGGAUAAAUAUUAAUAUUCACAUGAAAAGAAAAGGGGGAGGUUCUUUUCAUUGGGGAGAUUAUCUUCUUCAACCUAUCUUUUGAAGCUUUUCAGCUAUGGCGGCUUAAGCCUCCUACGGGUGAACCAAUGUGAAAGGGAUGCAGAUUAGCUCUUCCCAAGGAGCCCUGAGUGCAACAUAAGAGGGAGUUGAGAGAUCAAGUCGAGAUUUUCUAGGAAUAGUACUCUCCACUUGUUUCUUUUAUAUUUCUUUUCUAAAUGUUGGUGAUUACUUUUUAUUUCAUGUUUGUGUAGAAGUAUACAUGAUUUCUGGGUUAAAUGUUAUUUUAUUCAAUCUUGUUUCUACUGUUUAAUCUUUGGGCUUGAAUGUUUUUAGCAUGGAAGUGUUAUUACGGUCACUGACAAUGGAAAGUGCAGCGAUAGUUCAAGCUAACAAGCAUGACAGCAGAAGUUCCUUUAGGAUUAGAAGAAUUUAAUUCACUUGUUCUUAAUAGUGUUCCAUUGCCAUCAUCAAAUGGUGUGGCUAAUGUGCAUGUUUAAGUCGUAGAUUAAAUAUAAAAUUUAAGGUUGGUAAGAUAUUCAUUGCAAUUUAAUGCAUCAACAAUCAACUAUCCUUUUAUGCCUUGUGAGCACUUAGUAUUUUGUUGAAUAUUCACGUUGAGGAUCCCAGUUUAUCAUUAUCUUAUUUUAUCUUAUUGUUUUCAAGUUAUUGCUUCGACAACUACUCUUGUAACACUCCUUACCGGAGACCAUUGCAAGAUUCGAGCUCGAGGCAUUACUUUACUUGUCUAAAUUCGUAAAUUUUCCCUGAAACUUGACUCAUAUAUAUUUUUACCAUAAAAUUUUUAUAAUUUUUGGUUCAUCCAAUUAGUACAAUUUAUUAGUUAAAGUCUCCCCUAUUUCACCAUUUGACUGUUCUGACCUCUUGUUACUAAAAAUAAAUUUUAUCAUUAUAUGAUUUUAAUAUGGUACUCUCACUUGUUCCAAAAGAAACUAGACUCAAUAAGGAAUCUAUACAUAUAAAUUACAACUCAUAAAUAUUUUUUACAAUUUUUAAUGAUUUUCUAAACUCAAAAUAGGGGACUCCAAAAAUAGUUCUGACCCUAUUUCACUAAAAUUCACAUAUCUUAAAAUAUAAAUUUCUUUUUUUGACACAGUUAUUUUUCUAUGAAAAUAGACUCAACAGUAUUUGAUUCCAUAUAUAAUUCACCCUCUAAUUCAUUUUAUACCAUCCUAGGUGAUUUUUCAAAGUCACGUCACUGUGCUGUCUAAAUUCUAUUUCUUUGCAAAAUUUUACCCUUUCAUGAUUUCCAUGCAUAAUUUAUCACCUAGACUUUUAUAACUUAACCGUUUUAAUAACCGUUCAUCAAAAAAUACUUACACAUCAUUCUUUAGCAAAAUCAUAAUUACAAACAAGCAAAAUAACUAAAUCCCUAUACAUGCCAUGACUCAAACGUGUUUCAUCAUAAAAUACCGAGUAGUUGUUCUUGAUAGUGUAGACGAUCUCCGACUUCUUUAGGAUCCCUGAAGCAGCUUUGCAAUACUAUAAGAGAAAGAAAAAUAAAAGAAGUAAGCAUUAAGCUUAGUAAGUUUACUAGCAAAUAAAUAACAACAUUCAACAUAUAUGAUUAUACUCGAAUGUCAAGGUCUCUAAUUUACUCUUUAAUUAAUCUCAUUCUCAUUCUCUUGCUUGUUUACUUACUUAACUCGUGAUUAUGACUUACUCUUCCCUUGCGUAAACGUUGAGUAUCAAUUGAUAAUAUCAUAAGUUCUUAACUCUUAUAACUUACCUGAGCUUGUCAUUUAUGCUUUUAACUAAAUUUUCAUGAACCUGAUUUGUUUACUAGCCCGUUUAGCUACAUUGGAAUAAUAAGGAUACUCGGGUCUCUUCUGAUAAUAACAUGCCAAAGCCAUGUCCCAGACAUGGUCUUACAUGGGAUGUUCUCAUAUCGGUGCCCAUGCCAUAUCCCAGACAUGGUCUUACGGGGGACCUCUCAUCUCGGUGCCAACGCCAUGUCCCAGACAUGGUCUUACAUGGGACCUCUCAUCUCGGUCCCAAUGCCAUGUCCCAGACAUGGUCUUACAUGGGACCUCUCAUCUCGGUGCUAAUUCCAUGUCCCAGAAAUAGUCUUACAUGGGACCUCUCAUGAUCUCAAGGAUGCCAACGCCAUGUCCCAGACAUGGUCUUACAUGGGAUCUCUUUACCCAAAUGUCAUGACAUUUGUAUCCAAUACAUUCCUCAUGUUUUAACGGGGCCUUUUAACACUAAUUCUCUAUCAUCUCAUACUUGAGUUAACAUUAGAUAUUUUCAUGAAAUAAAUACAUAAUUGCUGAAAAAUAACAGCAUUAAUUAUAAUUAUCAAAAUAUUGCAUUUAUUUACCGUACACUUACCUCGGUACAAAAUAUAGCCCAAUUCACCAACUCAGUCUUGAAUUUUAUUCUUCCCUUUGUCUAACCUCGAGUUUCGUUCUUCUUGAUCUAAAAUAGCAAAUUUAACUCAUUUAAUACUCACAUUUAUCAAAACAGCCCUCGACUCUAACUUUGUCAAAAUAACGAUUUUGCCCCUAAACUUUUACAUAAUUAUGUUUUUUCCCCAAGGCUCGGAAAUUAAACUUCAUCUCUUAUUCUUAUGUUUUAUAACAUGCUGAACAUUUUUCUCUUCUAUGACAACAUCAAAUUCUCACUCUAACAUGUACUUGUGAACAUUAGGUAUUUUACCCAUUAUGGAGUUUUACUCGUUUUCGCUUAAAGUCGAUUAGCAAAAAUUGUUUAACAUAAUUUCUAGCUUCAUAUUUUACCUUAAAACAUCAAAAUAAACACUUUUCACCUAUGGGUAUUUUUCCAAAUAUAAACCCUAGGUUAAAUUAUUGCUAGAAUAAGCUAAAUUAAGCUACCGGGAUCUCAAAAAUGUAAAGAACAUUAAAAACGGGGCUUGGGAUCACUUACUAUGGAGAUUGGAAGCUUGAAAACCCUAACUAUGGCUUCUCCCCUUGCUAAAUUCGGCCUAAUGAAGAAGAUGAUCAAAAAUUUGCUUUUAAUUUUGUUUUUAAUUCAUUUUAAUAACUAAAUGACUAAAAUGCCCUUAAUGAAAAACUUUGGAAACAUGCCUAACCAUGUCCAUUUUUGUCCAGAAACUUAACCAAUGGCCUAAUUACCAUAUAAAGACCUCCAAUUUAAAAUUUCAUAACAAUUGGACACCUCUAACAUAUAGAACUCAACUUUUGCACUUUUUACAAUUUAGUCCGUUUGACUAAAUUAAGUGCCCAAACGUCAAAAUUUUUGAACGAAAUUUUCACGAAAUCUUUUCGUGAAAUUGUAGGCAAUAAAAAUAAAUUUUUCCUCAUCAGAUUUGUGGUCCCGAAACCACUGUUCUGAUAACCUUAAAUUUGGGCCAUUACAACUCUCACAAUUUAUCUUGUUUUUAUUUAUUUAUUACACUGAAAUUGAAAGACAAAAGACAACCAUCCUUGUGGGAUUGAUAUCCGGCUGACUCAUAUCUAUCUACUAUACCUGCAUCGACCGUGUACACUUGCACAUUAUUGCUGUGACGUUAAACAGCCGAUCAGGUGCCAAAAUGGGUAAUUUAUUCCCAUCCCCCUUACUUUUUAAAUUUAUUAAAAAAACACCCCAUUUUUUGUAGUGCCGCCCUCACUCUCUAGCCUAUUUACACUCGUAACCCUUUUUAUUUAUUCAAACCUUUAAUUUAAUCCGAAAUUUCAAAAUUAAAGGCAAAUUAUUUGCUACAUCAAUCCUCUGUCUUCCACAUUUUUUAUCUUUUAGUCCCAAAAUCAAGCUCUAUCAUUUUGUUUCCAUCUUGAAUAAGUUAUUUACAUUUAUAUCUUCCAUUUCAUUUGCAUUUUUACCUUAUUGAUUUGAUGUCAAUUAUGCACUUUAUUUUAAUUUUUUUUAUAUUUAUUAAAACUUGUAUAAUUUUUAUUUAUUCUUAUUUCAUCUUUAAUUGUUUUCAUGUCUAUUUAUAUUUAUGUUUUUUUUUACAAAUUCCUCUUACAUACAUUUUAAUAUGAUUUGUUUAUAUUACUUUGAUUCUUUUAUUAUAUUAAGAAUAAGGUGUAUUAUUGUUAUUAUUAUCAUCAUCAUAUCAAAGUCUUAUUUCUUUCAUUUAUUUAUGUGUUCCUUUUAUUAUUUCUCUUUUUGAAAGCUAAAUACAAUAAUUCAUGUGGUAGCUAAAUACAAUACCAAAUGUAUUUGGAUUUUGUUCGCUCCAACUAUAGGGUGUGACUCUGUAGGCUAUUGAAAUGUUGGUAGUAAUACUAGAACAUUUCUAAAAUUACAAGCAAAGAGUGGCAUCUAGCAAUGCAUCAUUGCUACCCAAGUUACAAGAAGUCGUGAUUCGACAUAACCUUUCUGUGAUAAUCUUUUCAUGUAUUAUAUCCUUUUAUCCUUAAUAUCUAGAUUGAACAAAAGUCAUGGAAUAAUCACACUUGUAUAGUCCGAUCUCAUAUUUCUUGAUUUUCUGAGUAGACUACAAUAAACAAAUAAUUGUGAUAUCUCAUAUCAACUUACUCGAGCAUGGUCAUGCAGUUCUAGUCUCACUCCAUCAAGAGGCCUAAGGUAUUGCUCCCAUUAUGUAGGGGGGAUAAAUCCUAUAUUGAUCAACCAUAUCCCACUACAUGAAUCAUGGUAUAUCCAACAUCAGUCUUUAUAGCAUAACCUGUUAUGGUAUGCGUUUGACUGUAUCAAAAUAUAUGACUCAUGAUGUUGGGACAAUGAUGAUCUCAAGUCUGAGGAUCAUAUACAUAGCUACCACUAUGAAUAAUAUUUGUUACUAUUACGUAAUAAUCCAAGAAACAAACUCAUAGCAGGUUAAUCUAGUAUGUUGUUCUCUAACACAUACUCAUGUAUUAAUUUUGACAUCCCUAUGUCAAUGACAACACUUUGUCACCAAUCAACUAAACAUUAGUCUCAAUGCAUUAUCCUUGUCCAAGCCCACAAUAAUACUUAACUAAGGACCUUUUUAAGAAUAAUCAUAUUCUUCUUAGGACUUAUUAUUAACCAAUUUACUUAUACACACAGAAAAAGAAACUGAAAAAAUAAUGGCAAUGCCUUAUAUUAACAAACAAGGUCAAACGAGUAUGUGAUUACAAUCAUCUCAUGAUUGGUCUUUAUGCAUACACUAACAAGAUAAAGCAAACAGUCAAUCAUAGAUCUAUAUAGCUUUAAAUCAACACAUUUACCUUCCUCAUCUUUGUCAAGCUUUGUAGAAGAGCUAAUUGGAGUAGCUUGUGGUUUGGGAGUGUCCAUCCCAAACCUCUUGAGCAUUUCCUUGGUUUAUUUAGCUUGAUUGAUGAAGAUGUCAUCCUUUAUUUGCUUGAUUUGGAGUCCCAAAAAUAAAUUUAGUUCUCCCUCAUCUCAAAUUCACAUUGCAUUAGCUUAGAGAAUUCUGGACAAAGAAAACCAUUAGUAGAACCAAAAAUGAUAUCAUUAACAUAAAUUUGAACUACUAAUAAAUCUGUAUUUUCUUUUGAUAAAAAGUGUUGUGUUAACCUUCUCUUUACAAAAACUUAUUUCAAUGAGGAAUUUUGAUAAUAUUUCAUACCAAGCUCUAGGAGCUUAUUUUAAACCAUAUAAGGCUUUUGAAAGUUUGAAAAUAUGAUUUGGAAAUUUUGAAUCUUAAAUAUUGGGUAGUUGUUCAACAUACACUUAUUCAUUUAUAAAACCAUUUAUAAAAGCACUUUUAACAUCCAUUUGAUAUAGUUUAAACUCAUUAAAACAUGCAAAAGCUAAAAGCAAUCUAAUGACUUCCAUCCUAGCUACGGGAGCAUAAGUUUCAUAAUAAUCUAUUCAUUCCUCUUGAGUGUAACCUUCAGCACAAGUCUAGCAUUAUUCCUCACUAUGUUACCACUCCCAUCUAGCUUGUUCAUAAACCUCAUUUAAUACCUAUAGUAGAUUUAUCAAAAUUUCUUUCAACUAAGGUCCAAACUUUACUUCUCUCAAAUUGAUUUAACUCUUCUUUAAUAGCCAAUAUCCAAUAUUCAACAUUUAAUGCUUCUUUGAUAUUUUUAGGCUCAAUGUAUGAGAUAAAUGCAAUAUAGUUACAAGUAUUUCUAAAAGAAGACCUAGUAGUUACCCCUCUGGAUAGAUCUUCUAAAAUCUGACAUCAUUCACAUAGUUGAACUUUCUUGGAUGAGUGACUUCCAUUUCCUCUAUUACAAAAUCCUCUAGAGCAUCUUCUAUUUGUUCUUGAAUCUUCUCACUUGUUGAUUGAUCCACUUUAUCAUUAUUAUUAAAAAAAUUAUGCAUUAUCAUCAUCAAUACAAGAAUCCUUUCUAGGAGGAAGGUUAGAGUCGUAAAAAAUAUCAUGUAUAGACUCUUCUACUACUAUAAUUCUUUUGUUAAAUUCCUUCAUCACUUUUUGCAUCAAAAUUACCAAGGUUGUCUUUUCCAUUAUCUACAACGAAAUACUUGCAUCCCAAAAGAUGAAAAUAGCUAAUGUUAGGUUUUUUAUUUUUGAAAAGUUCAUGUGGAGUUUUCUUUAAAAUAGGCCUAAUCAUCACUCUAUUAUUAAUGUAACAAGCAGUGUUUGUGGCUUCCACCCAAAAAUAUUUUGGUAAAUUAUUUUCACAAAGCAUGGUUAUAGCCCUUUAUUCUAAAAUUCUAUUUUUCCUCUCAAAAAAUCCAUUUUGUUGAGGGGUUCUAGGUGUAGAAAUAUUAGGCUAAUUUCAUUUGAGUUGCAAAAAUUUUCAAAACCAAGAUUUUGAAAUUUGGUUCAAUGGUCAUUUCUAACACUAGUGAUAGAGUAACCUUUUUCAUUUUGAUUCAUUUUUGAAAAUGUGAUGAACUUUUCUAAAGGUUCAUCUUUAGUGCUUAAAAAGAGAAUCCAAGUAAGUCUAGAAUUGUCAUCAACAAGUACAAAAGCAUAUUGUUUUUCACCCAAGCUAGUUGUCCUAAUAGGACCAAACAAGUCUAUGUGAAUUAGUUGAAGAACUCUACUAGUUGAUACAUCAUUAAUAGGUUUAAAGGAAAAUCUUUUAUGUUUACCUUUAACACAUGCAUCUCAAACUUUAUCUAAUUCAAAAUCAAUUUUAGACAAUCAUCUUACUAAGUCAUUUUCAGCUAGUUUACGCAAUAUGCUCAUGCUAGUAUGUUCCAAUUUUCUAUGCCACAAUAGAGAAUUAUUUUCAUUUUUAGCAUCAAGGCAUAUGAUUUAAUCAUGCAAAUCAUCUAAAUGCACCAUAUAUGUAGACACUCAUUUUUGUUUGAGCCCAAUUGGAGGCCCAUUUGUUCCCCUUAAAUAUUUGUUCUCUCUUAGGCCCAUUCGAAGCCCACUCGAUUUUGGUCAAACGAAGGCCUCUGUUUUUCUUUUCUUUUUCUUUCCUUUUUGGGCUUGUCAAGGGCCCAAAUUAUUAUUAUCAUUACUACUAUUAUUAUUAUUAAAUAUUAAUAUUAUCUUUUUUUAGGGCCCAAAGCCCAAGCUGUUUCAAUAGUCAACUAGGGUUCCAGCAACCCUAGCCUCUCAUUUGCACCCAUCACAAACAUCAAAAAUAGUUCCAAACCAUUAAUCAACAGAUCAAUAGAAACAUAAAGAAAUUACAGAUAAACAAGAUUGAAAAAUAGUAUAUAUACAUGAAAUGAAAUGAAAGAAAAAAAAAGGAGGCUUUUCAUAUUCUGGUUUUUUUAAGUAAAAAAAAACAACAAUAACAACAGCAAGCAUGAUAUUUCCUUUUUUGUUCUUCUUUUUUUUUUCCAUAUACAUAUCUUAAGGGAUCAGGUUUGGACUCUAUUGAAGGGGACGUCAGCGGAACGUCGGUCCUCCACCUUUAAGAGCCCAAAAUCCUAUUUUUUUCUUGAUCUUGGGAAAGUUUUGGUUUUUGUUUUUUUUUAAAGAGAAAGUUUAGAUUUUUAAAAAUAAAAAUAUUUAUUUUUAGUCAAAUUGCUUUUCAACUAUUUAGAAAUAAAAGCUUUGAUCUUUAAGAAAAGUUGUGAUUUUUUAAAAGAAAACUUUGAUUUUCUAAAAAAAAAGGGAUUCCGGUCACCGUAUGCGCUAGCUCCACCAUCGAAAAACGAAGAGUCGUUAGGCUCUUCGAUGGUGGAGCCAUGGCCGACACAGAAGGAGGAAAAUAAGGAUGAAGAGUUUUUUUUAAUGAGGUUAAAAAUGAAAUAAUGCAGUUUUUUUUCCUAUUUAUAGAUGCCAAAAUGGGUAAUUUAUUGUCAUCCAUCUUACUUUUUAAAUUUAUAAAGAAAACCUCUUUUUUUUGCAAUGCUACCCUCACUCUCUGGCCUAUUUACACUUGUAACCCUUUUUGUUUAUUCAAACCUUCGAUUUAAUUCAAAAUUUCAAAAUUAAAAGCAAAUUAUUCGCUACAUCUGUCUUCUACCUUCCACAUUUUUUAUCUUUUAAUCCCAAAAUCAAGUUAUGUCAUUUUGUUUCCAUCUUUAAUAAGUUAUUUACAUUUAUAUAUUCUCUUUCAUUUGAAUAUUUUCCUUAUAUAUUUGAUGUCAAUUAUGAACUUUAUUUUAAUUUUUUAUAUUUAUUCACACCUAUAUAAUUUUUAUUUAUUCUUAUUUCAUCUUUAUUUAUUUUCAUGUCUAUUUAUAUUUAUGUUUUUUACACAUUCCUCUUACAUACAUUUUAAUAUUAUUUGUUUUUGUUUAUGUUAAUUUAAUUCUUUAAUUGUAUUAUGAAUAAGGUGUAUUAUUUUAUUAUUAUCAUCAUCAUGUGAAGGUCUUAUUUCUUUCAUUUAUUUAAGUUUUCUUUUUGUUGUUGUCCUUUUUGAAAUAGUUUUAACUUUUUCAUUAACUUUAGCGAAUUUAAUAUUUUUUUUCCUAUUUUAUUACUAUUCAUUUUAAAAGAGGGAACUUUAGGUUAUUUUUCCAUCCUAUAAAUGUUAACAUGAAGUUAUUUAAGUAAGGGUUGCAUUUUAAUGAAACCAUAAGAUUCUUUUUUUACAUUUGAAUUCAGGUUAGUCUUUAAGAUUUUAUCAACCAUUUAUCCUAGAAAAGUUAUAAAUAAUAUGUAGGAUAUUUUUUAUUAGGGUUUUAAACUAAUAUUAAAUAUCAUAUAAUAUUCUUCUUUAGAAUCUCGAAUUAAUAUGUAAAUAUUCUUUAGGACUUUAUUCAAGAUUAAAACUAAGGAUUUUUGUAGGUGAAUUGUAAAUCAUAAGUAGGUCUUUCUAAGUAUUUUAUUUUAGAAACUCUUUAAGAAAGCUAAUAAAUGUUAUUUAAUAUAUAUUAUUUUAGGAUUUUGAUGAAUUUAAACCUUAGAUCAAGAAUUUUAAAGUAAGAUAAAUUAUAAACCUGACAUAGGAUACUUUCGUAAGAUCUUGAUAGGUUCAAUGUUAUUAAUUAAAUCUUUUAAGAAAAUAAUAAUAAAAUAUCAAAUAAGUUGUAGAUGGAUUUUAAUAUUUCUCUUAAUUCAUUGGUAAUUUCUAGGUUUUUUUAACAUUCUAAAAUAGAAUUAAUUUUAGGAAUUGAAGGUAUUUUACUAGAAUUAUUUAGGUAUCCUUUAGAGUUUUCGUUAAAAAUAAAAAUCUCUAAUUUAAGUUUCAAAUUAGAUAAGUUUGGUAAACACAUCUUAAUCGAGUUACUAGUAAACUGGAGGCAUUUUAUUUAGAGUUUUUAUUUAAGAUUUCCAUAAGAUUUUAGUCUACAUUAAGACAUUAAUAUGCUUAAAUAAAAAACUUAGCUCCCAAAACCCCGUAGGACUAUCCUCGGAUAAGUGUUGUGGGGGUGCUAUAACCUUCCUCACACGUAGUCGUACUCCUGAACCCAAAAUUUGAUGAUGAGAUCGAGUCUAGACUUUUAGGAUUUUUCUGUAGUAUUAAUUCUAAACUUUUAGACGAUAGGGUGCUACAUCCAUUAGUGAUGACUCUACAUUAAUGUAGGCCCUCCAUGUCUAACUUUGCUUACUAGGCCCCCGUACUCUUAUGUAGGCAACGUUAUGACAAUAUAUAUUUCUUAUCCUAUGUCCUACAUCCGUUAGACUCAAAAAUGACAUUGAGACCACAAUCACACAAUUGGCUAAUACUAAGUAGAUUAUGAUUAACACCAUUGACAUAGACAAUAUUUUCAAUAAGAACUGAAAAGCUUGUACCGAUAGAGUAGAUCCCUUCUACUUGUUCUUUAGAGUUAUCACCAAAUGUGACUACUCUAUUUUUUUUCUUCAAAUUGGUGAAGUGGCUCUGGUCACCGAUCAUGUGCUUUGAGCAUCUACUAUUAAGGUAUCAUGAGUUUUUGAAUUAAUCCUCCACCUUGAAGCAAUGCUCCUCUUCCUACAAAUAUACAAUUAAGCUUUAAUUUUUGGUACCCAAAUUCUUUUCGGUCCAUAAACAUUAGUUCCUAUAAUUUUAGUCCCUUUAGGUAUCCAUUUUGAAAGAAUGUCUUUAUCUUAAGUACUUAUGAGUCUUUUUGGGACCCAUACACUUUUAAUAAGUUUUCCUUUGUAAAAAUUUUGUUUUGAACUUUCUUCUCUUAAAAAUCUAUGGUCAAACUUUGUUAGAGUGAGUUUUUUCACUCUUAAGCAACUCAAGUUUCUUUUGAUAAUCAUCAUGAACUUUAGACAGAAAAUUAUGCAAGUCAAAAUUCUUUUUUCUCAAAAUCAUUUACACUAGCUUACAUAUUAUUUAUUUUACUUUCAAGUUCCUUUUUUGACUAUGGAGAGUAAAUUACUUUCCUCUUUUAGUUUUGAAAUAGUUUCUCCAUGUUUUGAACCAUUAAUUCAAAGUCCAAACCCAACUCAUCAUAGGCAUCUUGUAACUCAUCAAAAGAAUAAGAAGUUGAAUUGGAUGAGUCAAAGUUACCUUAGAGUCGUCGAUGGCCAUAAGGCAAAGAUUGGUUACUUCUUGAUCUUCAUUGUCAGAUGAAUCCCCAUCACUCGAAGUAGCAACAUGAUCCUUAAGCUUUUGUUUGCUUAACCCUCUUUUCUUCCAUUGAGGACAAUCAAAAUUAAGGUGUCCCGGCUUCUUGCGUUCAUAGCAUAUGAUGGAGUCCUUCUCCUUGGAAGAUUCAAUCUUAACUCCUUCCUUCUUUUGGAAUUUUCUUCCUUUAUUGGACCUCAUAAACCUCUUGAAUCUUCUUGCAAACAUGAUCAUCUCUAAAUCCUCAUCUACAUCAUCACUAGCAUUUCCUUCUUCUAUUGUGGACUUGAAGGCAAUACCAACCUUCUUUUUUUCAACUUUUUCUUCUCCUUUAUUCACUCUUUAGAACUUCAUUUCAUGAGUGAGCAAAAAACCAAUCAGCUCGUCUAAUGAAAGAGUCUCCAAAUUUUUAGCUUUCUCUAUAGUUGUAACUUUGGCAUCCCACGACAUUGGCAAGCUUCUAAGCAUUUUCCACACUACUUCUUUAGUGGGAUAGAACUUUGUAAGAACACCGGUUCACCUUAUAGCGCACUGAAAAAACAUUAAAUCCGGCGAUCACAUCCAGGGAUCCAUGUGUGAGGAACAAAUUGGGGUGAGAAGGUUAUGAACAAUUACCUUUAAUCGUCUAGAAAACCAAAGAUAACUAUUGUGAAACUGAUUACGCAAUUGUAUGUCGAUUCCAAGCCGAUAGAAAAAGUUUCGGCCUCUACGUAACCCACCGGUGUGACGACAAACGAUAAGAACUCUCUUAAACUUUUUCAGAAAGAAUUCACUAUAUAACGGUUGCUAGACCUCACUCUUUUCAUUUCAGGUAUAUUAGGUUUUCUUAAAAACCUUAUAUUUCCUAAUUCGGGAAUAGUUGAUAUUUUAAUAUGAAUCAAAAAUUAUUAUAAUAAUUAACCGAAUAUAAUAAUUAUAAUUACCAUAAUUAUAAUAAUGUUUGACCGAAAAAUUACACCUACAAUAAUUAUAAUAAUAUUCUAUCAUAAAUUAUAAUUCCAAUAAUUAUAACAAGGAUUUCGGUAAAUUAUGUUUAGUUAAAUUUUAUAUAAAUCAAAUUCAUAUAUAUUAAUUUAACCAUGUUCUCAUUAUGUGUACAACAUACUUGUACAUAUAAUUCGUUCGAUAUUUAACUUCUCAAUUAAAUUAAUUCUAUAAUCAAUUUAAUUCAUGUGACAACUAAAAAUAGUACCAAAUAUGUUUGGAUUUCGUUCGUUUUAACCAUAGAAUAUGACCUUGUAGGUUCUUGUAAUGUUAGCAGUAAUACUAGAAUGAUUCUAAUAUUACAAACAAUUAGUGGCAUCUAGCAAUGCAUUAUUGUUACUGAAGUUACAAGCCAUGAUUCAACAUAACCUCUCUAUGAUUAACCCAUCAUGUAUUAAAUCCUUUUCUCAUUUAUAUCUAGAAUGGACACAAGUAUGGAAUAGUCACACUUGCAUAGUUCAUCUAAUGUUUCUGGAUAUCCUGAGUAGACUAUGAUAAACAAAUAAGUACGAUAUCUCAUAUCAACUUAUUCGAGCAUGGUCAUGCACUUAUAGUCUAACUCAAUCAAGUGGCCUAAGAUAUUACUUUCAUUAUGUAUGAGGGACAAAUCCUAUAUUGAUUGUGGUAUAUCCAACUUCAGCCUUUAUAGAACAACCAAUUACGGUGGAUGUUUGACUGUAUCAAAGUAUACGACUCACGAUGUUGGGAUAAUGAUGAUCUCAAGUCUGAGGAUCGUAUACAUAGUAAUCACUAUGAGCAAUGUUGUGACUAUUACAUAAUAAUCCAAGAAACAUACUCAUAGCGGGCCAGUCCAAUAUGUUGUUCUCUAACAAACAUACUCAUGUAUUGAUUUUGACAUCCCAUGUUACUGACAACACUUUGUCAUCAAUAAACUACACAUUAGUCUUAAUGCAUUAUUGUUGUCCAAGCCCAUAAUAAUACUCGACUAAAGACAUUUUAAGAAUAAUCAUAUUAUUCUCAAGAUAUUAUUAUAAAAUAGUUUAGAUGUUUGGUAUGUCAGCAAGUUAAAGCUAAACAUUAGUUACCUUCUAGAUUGUUAUAGCCAGUAAUGAUACCGGAGUGGAAAUGGGAUCGAGUUACGAUGGAUUUCGUAUCAGGUUUACCCUUAUCUCCGAGAAAGAAAGAUGUUAUUUGGGUUAUCGUUGAUCGUUUGACAAAGUCAGCACAUUUUAUUUCGGUACGUACAGAUUUCUCCCUUGAGAGAUUAGUUAGAUUGUUAGAUUGUUAGAUUGCACGGGUUGCCAGUUUCUAUUAUUUCGGAUAAAGAUCUGCGGUUUACAUCACAAUUAUGGAAAAUUUUAUAGGAAGCUCUAGGUAUGUGAUUGGAUUUUAGCACUGCAUUUCAUCCUCAGACCGAUGGUCAGUUUGAGCGAGUAAUUCAGAUUCUUGAAGAUAUGCUUCGUUGCUAUGUAUUAGAGUUUGAAGGCAACUGGGAGAAAUAUUUAUCGUUGGUUGAAUUCGUGUAUAAUAAAAAUUUUUAGUCGAGUAUAAAGAUGGCACUGUAUGAAGCAUUGUAUGGUCGUAAAUGUCAAACUCUAUUAUACUGGACUAAGCUCAAUGAUAAAAAGAUACACGGGGUUGAUUUCAUUCGCGAGACUAAAGAAAAAGUGAAAGUGAUCCAAGAUAAUUUCAACGUAGCUUCAGAUUGAUAGAAAUUAUAUGCGGAUCUUAAAUGUAAAGACAUAGAAUUUCAAGUCAGAGAUAGAGUGUUUCUGAAAGUAUCGCCUUGGAAGAAAUUCCUUCGAUUCGGUCGCAAAAGGAAGUUGAGUCUGCGAUUUAUCGAGCCAUAUGAGAUUACUGAAAGAAUCGAACCUAUCGUGUAUUGAUUAGCUUUACCGUUAGAACUAGAAAAGAUUCAUAAUGACUUUCAUGUGUCUAUGUUAUGACAGAAUCGGUCAGACUCUUUACAUGUUAUCUCCCUGAUCGAUGUCGAAAUUCAGUCUGAUAUGUCGUACAUUGAGGAACCGAUCAGAAUUCUAGCAUGAGAGGAAAAACAAUUGAGAAACAAGAAUAUAGCUUUGGUAAAAGUUCUCUGGUAGCAUCACGAAAUAGUCGAAGCCAUCUAGGAACCUAAAGAAGCUAUGAGAAAGCAAUAUCUGAACCUCUUUUCUGGUAAGAUUUUCAGGGAUGAAAAUCCCUUUAGGAGGGGAGAGUUAUAACAACCUAUUUUCAGUGAAAUCGAAACAGUGGUUUUAGGACCACAAAUUUGAAGUUAAAAAUUUUAUUUUAUUUCCUACAGCAUAAUAGUAGUAUCGUAUAAAAAUAACGUUUAAGAAAUAUUACCGUUUACAUGCUCAAUUUGAUAAAAAAGGACUAAAUCGUGUAAAGUGUAAAAGUUGAAUUCUAAUAUCUAAAGGUAAUAAAUAGCUAUAGAACAUUAAAGUGGGAGUACUUAUAUGGUAAUUAGACCAUUUAAGUUGAUAGUGGAUGUACAUGGUUUGGCAUUUGUGUAAUUAAUAAUGAUUUUAAAGGCUAAUUAUGUAAUUUGGUAAAUAAUGACAAAAUAAAUUAAAACAACAAAUAGGUUAUCACCUUUAACCUUUCUUUCAACCGAAUGUAAAGAAAAAAAUAGCCAUUUUUUAAGCUAAGGUUCGACCAACCCUAAUUUGUCAAUAGGUAAGUGAUUUUUGUCCCCUUUUUAUUGAUUUCUCUAUUUUCAGGAUCAUUUUAGCUUAAUCUAACUACCCCGAGGACUAAUCUGUGAAACUGUUAAACUAUUAGGGUUUUUCCAUUGAUGAACAUACAUGAUUUUUGAUGUUGGUGAUAGAAAAUGGAUGAUUUUUGUUAGAUAAACAACUUUUCUUAAGUGAUUUUUGAUGAAAUUAUUAAUUAGGGAUUUAAUUGAAAAAUAGAAAUUUUACAUGGUGAAAUUAUGAAAUAAAUGAAAUAUAGGGCAUGCCAGGGACCUAAUUGAUAUUCAGUUAUAGUGGGUUAUGGUGGAAUUUCAUGAAUUUCCAUUUUUAUGAAACAGGGACAAAAUUACAAUGAAAUUAAAAGUAUAGGGGCAAAAUGAUAAUUUUUCCAAAAUAUUAUUUUAGGUUAAAUUGAAUGAAAUAUAUUUUGAAUUGAGUUAAAUUUAUCAGUAUAGAUCAAGACAGAUCUUGUACGACUUUAGAUCGGGGCGAAGAGAAAAUCUUAGAUUAAUCGUCUCCAUAUCUACGUAUAGUCAUCAAGGUAAGUUUGUGUGAUUAAAUUGUAAUUAUGUGUUUUAUUUUGAAAUAUGCAUGAAUUGUAAAUUUGCUACAUGUAUACACGGUUGCAUAUCCAACAAUGUACGACUACUGAGCUCAGGUCAUGUCUCAGGAUGUGUGGACAUUCGAAGUAGGGACACAUUGCCGUGUCCCAGCCUGUGUCCGUGCCCGUGUAACUCUUUGACUUGGGUCACACGACUAAGCCAUACGCCCAUGUGUCAGGCCAUUUACCUUUCGAAAUGGCCUCACACACCCAUGUGUCAGGCCGUGUGCUAGGCUAUGUAGCUGCCUGACUUGCAACCCUUUGUAAGCUACAGAGGACACACGGUCAUGUCGUUUGGCCGUGUGUCACACACAGCUGAGACACACGCCCGUGUCUCUAGCCAUAUGGACGAAAAAUAGGCUAUUUCCAAGCCAAUUUUCUCACCCAAACAUGCACAAACCUACAACAAAUUUUCCACAUAUAAUCAAGCAUCCCAAAAUGUUCCAAAUCAUGCAACAUCAAGCUAUCCAAAUAAGAUACAUAUGCAUACAACCAAUAUGCCCAAAAAGGCUCCUCAAUCACAACAAUUAAACUUGUAUAAUCAUAUGCAUAGUUUAGCUAAAAGUUCAACCAACUUAUAACUAAGUUUAUGGCAUAACUUACCACUUUGUUUACCUAUCAAAUUCACACCAAAAGUACUAAAAUUUACCAUUUAACAUUUAGCAUCAUAAGUCAUAUAUGCCAACUGCAUUUUUCAUACCAAAAAGACCAUGUUUAACUUCCAUCAUCUAAGCAUCAUAAAGACUAUAAAAUCAACCAUCAUAAGGUCAUCUAAAUGACACAAAUCUAAUCAUAUCUAAAUGGUUCCAACAAUCAAAAUGUAUACAAACCAUGUUUCAAUCAUGCACAUCUAUUCAAAACCUUUCCAAAGUAUACCAUAUCUUGACCAUGUUGAGGUCAAUUCAUCAUAUAUCACUUUGGCCAUUCAAACAUGCUUUAACAUAUUAUCAAAUUAACACAUAUCAGAAAGGUACCAAAUAUACCAAAGCUGCAUCACUCAAAAUGACAUAUACAUGCCAAACUCAUCAACUAACAUUCAACUAAUCAUCAACCAUAAGUCCACCUAUACAUGUCAUUAUAACCUUAACCAAGACAUAAAAAUCUACCGAUAUAAUCACUAGAUAGUGUGAUAGAUCUCCGACGAUCUUCCAACCCAAUUAAGCUUUGAAUAAUCUAAAAAGUAAUCGAAAAAAACAACUACGUAAGCAAUGAAUGUUGAGUAAGCUUGUAUAAACCAUAAGCAUAACAUUACAUUUCAAUAAUAAAAUUUAUAGGUUAAAUACAAGCCUAUACCAAUGCCUCAAGAUUUAUCCAACCAUAAUUAUUAACUCACAAAUGAAUAAGUUCAUUUAUGUCGCAUAAUUAUUAACCAUACAUAACAUGAUAGGAUUUCAUGAAACACAAUAUAUAAUCAUCAGCCUUUCUAUAAGAUUAUAUAUCUUUCCAUUUACUUUCUUUUCAUUCCGUUCCCAAUGCUUAUCAUAAGCCUAAACAAUAUUAUCAAUUCCCGACUUAGUGUAUUCAUUCAUAGCAUAAGUAAUUUGCUCACAUAUAAUACAUCAUUUAUCACAUUAAACCUUUUAUAACAUCAUAAUACAUCCCAACAUCAUAAUACAUCCCAAUUACAUACUUACCGUUUCUUUUUUCUUUUUCUUACCCGUUUUGUAUGCAUAGUAUAAGCAUAAUCAAUAAACAUCAAUCAUAUCCACAAGCUUGCAUAAGCCUUAGCACAUCAACAGCACAUGUUAGUUCAUUUAAACAUGAUUCAUAUUAAUUUGACAUAGAUAACCAUUAUACUUGACUAUGAUUCAAUUGGACUUAUCAUCCAUCAUAACAUAUCAUGUCUUUCCAUGUAUCACCAUCCCACUGAGUUUUAUAUAAACAUGUCUUAGUUCUUAUUGAACACUUUUGCAUACACAUAUGACAUAAAUAAUACAUUAACCAUAGCCACAAGCUAGUGACUAAACACAUAACUUAACAAUAUCAUCACAUGUUAAGAUAUGGAACGUAACAUAGUAUCAAUUAUACCAUACCUUUCAUAAACAUGAAUGUUCAUACUUUGAUCAUUGCUACAUCAUACCUUCCCAUAUUAAGUCAAUCAAAACCCUUACCAGAGCUCAUACAAAAUGGGUUAAAUUAUGGUCGUAACCGUCCCUUUUCAUAUUCGAUGGUCGUCACUAUCCCUUUUCAUAAUAAAUAGCCGAAGCUAUCCCUUUUCAUAUUCGAUAGCCAAAGCUAUUCCUUUUCAUAUUCGAUGGUUGUCACCAUCCCUUUUCAUAGUUGAUGGUCGUCACCAUCCCUUUUCAUAAUUGAUAGCCAAAGCUAUCCCAUUUCAUAUUCGAUAAUCGAAGCUACCCCUUUUCAUUAGUCGAUGAUUGUCGAUACACCGUUGGAUUUACGUCGUUUCAUAACACGAUAAAUUGUAUAAUAACUUAUAUUUAUUAAUUCAUUCUCAAUAAGAAUCAUAUAAUAACAUUCAAUUUAACCAAAAUUAUACAUAAUACAGUUCAUACGAACUAACCUGGCUAAUUUGUAGAAAUGACAAAGUACAAGGGCAUUUUGGUAAUUUUCCAUUCUCCUCAAUUUUCCACCCUAUCUUGAUCUAAAUUAAUAAUUUCAUUCAAUCAAUUAAGUUAGACUGACACUUUGUAAAUAUUUAUAAAAAUAUUUAUGGCUCGAUUUAUAGAAAUGAGGUCCUGAUGCCUCGUUUUCUAAAACCACUUAACCUGAGGGUCUUACUAUUUGAACUUAAUAAAUCGCUUAUAUAACAAAAAUCACUAUAUCAAAAACCUAUUUUAAAACCAUGUUUGAAUCAUAAUUAUUAAAUAAUAAUAUUCAUAAACUUACUUGUUGGAUUUGGUGGCCGCGAAACUACUAUUUUUGACACCACUAAAAAACGGGUUGUUACAUUAAAAGUUUAAGAAGCACUUAUAAUUGGACCCAAUAGAAGAGAGGACCAAAAACCCAAAAACCCUAGUAUGUUUAACUAGGGUUGCUGCCCCUCUCUGUCCUAGUUAAACUAGGAAGUUGUUUUUCUAUUAAUUAUAUUUUUACUAAUUGAACAAGGGUUUCACUUUCUCCAGAGGAAUUAUUCUCUCUGCAUUCUACCUUCUUUUCUUGUGCUUCUAUAGUUUUUAAAAGAAAAAAUAUAACAUUAGCAAAUCAAGCACCAAAAUGACAAACCAAAAGCAUAGAUCAAGUUUUUCGCAAAGGUAAUCUUGAAAGUUGGUCUUGCAUGUUGAAUUUCAUAUUUUAGAAAUAAAAGAAAAAAAAAAGCCAUGUUUGGUUCAAUGUAAUGGCUAUGCCAUUACAAUUCUAUUCAGUGGGCCUACUACAAAUAGUUGUUUGGUUUAGUGGAAUACCCUAUUACAGGUGUAUUCCAUUACAGGCUUCUGUAGGGAAUAGGGAACACUUCUAUUCCCUCACCUCGCCACCGAAUGGCUCAUUCGUUGUUUAAGAAAUCAAUUCUACCCUCCCCAAUUUCUCACCUAAAAAAUGCUCACUCAGCCUGAUAGACAGCCACUUCCUUACUUCCUUCAACUCCGGCUAGUAGCACUCAUCUCAAUCAUCUCCUUUAGGUAAACAUUUUUCGAACAUCCUUUGUUCCUUUUGUUUUCCACUCUACAAAUUUUUCUUACCCUAAAAUUUUAUUGAUUCUAUCACUUUUCUUCAAGCAUUUUACUUGUCUACUACCCAACACUGAUGGGUUUUAUGUCUCUAACUUCUUGAACAAAAUGGGAUCAAACUCUUCUUUGUCUUAAAACUUCCCUGGUUUUGUUUGUUCAUGGGUGGGGGUGAUGCGUGAUAAUACCAAGGAGAAUUUUAUUGCAUUGAAGGCUUCAGGUUUAGGCCUUUCUAGUUUGAUUCUUGAUACCACCAUUGGAACGUUAGCUCAACUUUAUUCAUUAGAUCUUAGCAAUAACAAAAUCAUUGCUUUGCCCUUAGAUUUUUUUAGUUUAGUCUCACUUAAGAGUCUUAAAGAGACAUGAUCGAUGAUAAUACAAAUAAUUAGAGAGAAAAAAUAAAGAAAAAUCAAAGACAUCAAAAGAGUAAAUGGAGAGCUCUAGGCAGAAUAUUAAAAGAAAAAAAAGAAAGAAGAAAAUAGUAUGAUGGUGGGUAGAAGUAUUAAUGACUAGUGAUAAUGGAAUGGUGGAUAUAUGAUGGUGGGUAGAAGUAUUGAUGACUAGUGAUAAUGGAAUGGUUGGCUAAGAGGCCUGAGAGAGAGAGAUGGAACUUUCUUGAGAUUGAAUUCUAGCUGUUUUAGAAGUAAAAAAAUGGGGUUUCAGUUUCAAUUUAUUCUCCUAUUGGUGACCAUAUGUAUAACUUUGAGUGCUAUGUUAAUUGAUGGAUCAUCAGGUACUGAUGAUGUCUAUAUCUGUUUUCUUCUAAGUUGAUCUUAUCUUUUUAUAGCGGCAGAUUUUUAUCCAUGCUUUUGUUUUCCUUUUUUGAUUGAGAUUUUUCAUGAAAUUUGUACUCAAAAUCCAUUUUAAAGAUCUGGGUUGUUUAAGCUAGUUUCAAUGAUCAAGAACUAGGAUAAUGAAUGAUGAUGUACUUUAAGCUUGUUGUAAAAUUGACACAGUUGAAGUAUUUGAUGGAAUCUGCAUUUCAUGACCACUGAGAAAAGCCAUAUGAUAUUUACAAUUUUCCAUCUAAUUUCAUAUUGUUCUCAGCACUUUCAGACUUGGCUCGCUCAACUUCUAGAUGCUUCAUCAACUCGACUAUCUUUUUUCUCAUAUAUUUGAAUGGUAUCGGCUACUACUUUUUGGUAUGUAUGUAUUUUCUAGCUGAUUUUGCUACUAACAAUCAAAAGAACAACAUAAAUACUCUUGUUUUCUGGAUGAUAAAGAACACCAUGAAUAUAUUUUUUGAUAUGUCUCAAGCAAUACAUUUUUUGCCUUUUGAAGGAAACUGGAUUAAGUUUUAGGGAGUACUACAACAUGUAUAAGUUUACUGACAUUUACAUGUGGUCCAGUAUGCUGUCCCCGAAUUUUUUUUUUUAAACCAUAUUUUUCACUCUCCCCAAAUUUUAUUGCUUAUCAAUUUACAUAUGAAUCUCAUAAGAAUAUUAGAAGAUAAAUUGAGCAAACAUAUUAUGAUAAAAAUAAUAAUAAUGCAUGCAAAAUAAACUUUACUUAAUCUAAUUAUAAGCAUCAUUUGAAAGAUAUUCAUUAAAGUACAAUUUAGAAUAAUUUAUCAAGUCAUAGACCUAUUAAUUAAGAACACCAACUAACAUAUACUCAUUCGAAGAUAUCUAACACUUUAACAUCUUACAAUAAUGGUUCGUUUGCCUUUAAUAGUACAAAAUUAGAGGCGAAAAAGAAUUGGUCUUAAAUUGACAGUAUGGUUGUAAAUGUGUACAAUUGUAAGCUUAUUCCUGGUUACGUUUGGUGUCGUCUCUAGCAACAUACUUAUAGACCAAGGAUUAGAUCAUAUAUUUUAAAUUUUUAUGCACAACUAGAUUAUGUGAAAAGACUUGUACAUGCUAGUGACGAUACCUAUAUUGAACAAGUUAGGCUGAAUAGAGUUAUUUUUUUAAAAUUAUCUAAGAUGUUACAAACUAUAGGAGGAUUGAAUUCAUUAAAAAACAUGCUUGUUGAUGAACAAGUGUCAAUGUUCUUACAUAUCAUUUCUCAUCAUCUUAAAAACUGAGUUGUCAAGCAUCACUUUAAUAGGUCCGGGGAAGCCGUUAGCAUAUCAUUUCACAAUGUUUUAAAUGUUUUCAUAUGCUUACAAGAUGUGUUAUUUAAAUAGGUAGAUCCAAUUACAGCUAAUUCUACAAAGUCAAUGUGGAAAUGGUUUAAGGUAUUGGAGUGAGUUCCAUUUAUAGCUUGUAUAUAAUUCACUUGACUUAGAUUUAAAUAUAGUAUCCUAACUCGAAGUUUUAAACUAUUUCUGUAGAAUUCAUUAGGUGCUUUAUAUGGAACCCACAUCAAUAUUAGGAUUCCAAAAGUUGAUAAACCUAAAUAUCGAACUCGAAAAGGUGACAUAGAAACAAAUAUGUAGGUGUUUGUACACCUAAUAUGCAUUUUUUUAUGUUAUGUUGAUUUCCUCAUGCUAUGUUGAAGGCUAAACUUAAUUUUAAAUUGAGGAUUAGGAGAUUGAAAAGGGAUUGGGAAAUCAUUUAUGACAUACUUAGUGGAAAAGACAAUAGCAGCUUUAGUUGGGACGAGUAUAGACAGCUUGUUGUUGCUAAAGAUGUUGUGUGGAAAUCGUAUAUAAGUGUAAGAAUUAUUUCAUGUCUUUAUUAUCUUGUUUUGAUCAAACUUAAUCUAAUGUGAAUUCUUCCCUUUUUAUAGUCAUAAAGAAGCUGGUCAAUUCAGACAUCGCAGUUUCCCUUAUUAUGACCAACUUACUACCAUCUAUGCAAAAGAUCGAGCCAUUGGGAAAAAUGCUCACACAACCGCUGAUAUUGUUGAAGAAAUAUAUGCUAAGGAUGUAGCUACAGCAAAUAUUCCUAAAGAAAAAAAAAACUACCAUGGAUGUGAAGCUGAUGUUUCUUUGGAUGAGAUGGAUGUCUCAACUACACAAUCACAACCGUUGAGGCCAAACCAACAUGAUUCCAUAUUUUUUGUAACAACUUAUUUUUUAGUGGUGUCAAAAAUAGUGGUUUCGAAACCAUAAUCUCGACGUGUGCGUCCAUAAGUAUUAUUUAUUUAAUAUUUACGAGUUCAUUAGUGUUAUAUUAAAUUUUGGUCUAGUAAUUUUAAUGUUUGGUUAGUUAAUUAAAGAAAAAUGAUUAACUCGUAAAUUUGGUAAAAGUUAAUUAGUAUUGAUUAUUAUUAGCUAAAAUAUUUAAAUAGUUAAAGUGAGAGGAUCUUUAUGGUAAUUAGAUCAUAAUUGGUGAUUGUGCAUGGCAUUAGGUGAAUGUUAUAAUGAAAUUUCAAUUAAAAUAAAGUUAAAAUAAAAGAAAUAAAACUUAAAACAUAAAAAGAAAAAAAAACAUCCACUUCUUUUAUCUCUUGUGACCGAAACCAAGGAAAUGAAAGCUUGAAGCAUUUGGUUUGUUUGGCCAUUGCAUGUAAGUGCUAUUUUUGUCGAUUUCUCAUAAAUUUUAUGUUUUUGAAAUCAUUGUUGCUUAAACUAUCUAGCCUAGGGGCUAAUUUGUGAAGUUGUCAAAGUUUGGAAAAUUUUCCAUUGUUGUUAUUGAAGCUUUUAAAAUGUUAAUGUUUUGAUUGAAAGCUUGAUAGUGAAUUUGAGCUAGUUUGUAAAGUAAUUUGUAUAGAUUUUAAGUUAAAUUAUUUAAAUAAAAGCAUGUGAAAUUUGGAAGGGUUUUAUUGAAAAAUUUCAAAAAUUAAGGACUAUUUUUAGAUGGUUAAAGGUUUGACUAAUUCGGGUAUUUGAGAUAAUUGUGAAAAUAGGCUUGUUUUAAUAUUAGGGAUUAAAUUGAAUAAAGUGUAAAGGUUUGGGGUAAUUGUGAAAAAAUUGUAAAUAGGAAGGAAUAUGUACUAAAUUGAUUAUUAUAUGAAAUUGUAGCUAAUAAAUGAAAUAAAUUAUUUUAUAGAUCAAGAACAAGUAGAUAACUAAGGAAAAGAUAAAGUUGAUGAAUAAUCUCUGAACUUUAUUGUCUUUGCAGUUUAGCCCUAGUAAGUUUGUACGAUUUAGUUUAAAUUAAUUUGAAAUUUUAUAUUAAUGGUGUGUUGUGGUUGUUGAAUAUUUUAGAUAUAAUUGAAAUGUUAUAAUUUGUUGUGAGUCGAGAAAGUAAAUUAUUUAAAUAUUAUUAUUACGAAGGCUUGCCACCUGGUGCCCAAGUUUGUUCUGGAGGGAUGUUAGCCUAUAGGCUAGGCACUUGGUGAUUUAAAUGUAGCAUAAUUGUAUUACGUGAUAUGGGAAUGUUUGAUUGAAUGGUAAAAAUUAUUGGAAAUAUUAAGUUUAUGUGUGAUUUAAAUGCAUGAAGAAUUUUCUAUGAUGUAUAUUGAAAAGGUUGCUAUUUAUGCACAAUGAAAUUCGUAAAGUAUGUGAAGUUAAACGAUAUUGAUAGAUACAAUCAUAAUGGUAAUUUGAAAGUUUGAACUCUAUUUCCAUUUACUAAAAGUAUGUGAUUAUUAAGGGCAUCUUGAACAUGUCAAAUUAAAUUUGAAAAAUAUUGACAUAUUAUUAUGAUCUGUAUGACAUAUUGCAUGUGCAUUGGAAUGGGAUUUUGUAGUUGACAGAGGAGUUCCGUGGAGUACCGACGGCAUAUUAAGUCCGCAUAUAUUUGUAGUCAGUGCACUGCAUUGGGAGUACCAAGGGGAUUGGCGAUUAUAUCGCAUUAUUUUUUAUUUGGCAAUUUCACUACAUUAUUGAUUAUUGGUGGUUUUACCACAUCGAGCUCUACUCAUAUACAUUGGAGUUUGGCAAAUGAAUUUUGGGGAACUCGUGGUGUGUAGCAGAUAGUAUGGGUAGGAUCUCACAUGUGCAUUUGUCAUGAUCUUGUGCAUUUGAAAUUACUAUUGAUAAUGUUUGAUUGUGCUAUUGGUAUCUCUAUGAAAUUGUUUGUAUGAAUGCUUAAUACUUGCUUCUUUAGUCUCAUACUAAGCUUGUUAAACUCACCCCAUUACCUCAACUUCUCAGGAAAUGAUCGAACUUAGGAUUGGAAUUGGCAUGCGGACGUACGGCGGACUUUGAACUUCACUUCGUCAUAUUAUUUUAAUUUAAUUAUAUUUUUAGGUUAUUUUACCUUUAUUAUUCAGUUUUGGAUUGUAAAGUUUCUUUAAACUAUGGUGUGGGACUAUUAUAGACUUUUGGGAUUUUUCAUGCAUGCAUGACACUCAUAUUUGGUAUAGAUGCACGGUUUCUAUAUAUAUAUAGAAAUGGACUAUGCAUGAUAUAUGGCUAAGUUAAUAAUUUGACUAGUAAUGGUACGUUUCCGUUGCUAAGAAGAUAACGAACUGAUUUUUCUAAAGCAAUGUCGACAAUUAGGUUUUAUACAAAUUCACCUUAUUCGCUAAUUUGACUAAAGUAUAGUUAGACUAAGGUGUACGAUGUGGCCUUCACGAUUCCGUCAUAAUGUCUAGGCCUAGUUUGGGAGGUUACAUUUAGUGGUGUUAGAGCCUUAGUUCAAAACCUCGAACUCAAUUUUUAAAUCUUUUUAAGUAAGUUUACAUGCAUGCAUGCAUGCAUACAUGAAAAGGAAAAAUUUUGGGGAAAAACAAACCACAGUGAAUCUGAAAAAUGCUUUAUACAGGAAAAUAUGAAGUCCAAAGAUCCGAUGCCAAGUCCAUAGAAAUAGUAUUGAAACUUUAGGUAGAUUAGAAAGACUAUUGCGUAAAAAUUUAAGGAAAAAAUUAUAAAUUGUGAGUGCGUAAAAGACUAAACAAAGUACUAAAAGCUCUUACUUGUAAAUUGUAUAUUCAUAAAUCCCAUAAAUGAACACACUUGGAAUGUUGACUCGUGGUAGGAGGGGCCGAAGGGACCAACCUCUGAGGACUCCGAUUGAGUCAGUUGCAUCAUUAGGGCCAAAACAAGAUAAUGAACAAAAUAAGGUUAACAAUAAACCCAUUAGUGAGGGUGGGAAUAUGGAAAAUGGGAAUAAUAGUGAUGACUAUGUUGAGAAUGAUCCAAUAACUCAAGCUUUAUUGAGGGACUUGAAUAAGCUUGUUGGGGCUCCAAUAUGAGGUGUUAGUCAUAGGAUAAUUUCUAACAACCCAAUUUUAGUGAAAUCAGAACAGUGGUUUUGGGACCACAAAUUCAAAGAGUAAAAAUUUAUUUUAUUAUUAUUUUAAUAUCUACAGUAUGCUAGUAGAUUCGUAUAAAAAUUUCGUUAAGAAAUUUUGACGUUUGCAUGUUUAAUUAAGUGAAAAGGACUAAAUCGUAAAAAGUGCAAAAGUAGGUUUAUAUUAGUUAAAGGUAUCAAAUGGCUAUAGAAUUUUAAAUUUAUAGGACUUAAAUGGUAAUUAGACCAUUAAUGAGGUUAGUGGAUAUAUGUGGCUUGGUAUUAAGGAAAUUUUGGUGUUAAGUAAAGGUUAAAUUUGUAAAUUAAUAAAAUAAGUUAAAGUAAAAAUAAAACAAACAAAAUGUUAUCUUCCUAAAUUAGUUUAUUCCACCAAAAAUACAUGAAGGAAAAAGUCAUGGAUAGGGUUUGAAGCUUCGGUUACUUCACUAGCUUGCUGGUAUGUGUUUUGAUCCCGUUUUUAAUGAUUUUUAUGUUUUCGGGAUUGUUGUAGCUUAAUCUAACCAGCCCAUCAACUAAUUUGCAAAACUAUUAAAGGUUUAGGGUUUUUCCAUGAAUUUUCUUGCAUGAUUUAUGAAGUUUGAUGAAAGAUUGUGAGUCCUUGUUGCUAAAUAAACAACUUUUGUAAAGUGAUUUUUGAUGAAAUUAUCAUUUAGGGACUUAUUCGCAAAAGUAGUAAAAUAUCAUGAUAAAAUUAUGAAUAGAUGAUUUGUGUCGGUUGAUAUGAGUCCCUAGGUAAAUCGGCAAGCAUGAUAUGUGGGUGAAAUUGCAUAAAUUGUCAUUUACUAGCUUAAGGACUAAAUUGUAAAUAAGUUAAAAUAAUAUGGGAAUGUGUAAUUUUGUAAAAGUAUGGAUUUUGGACUAAAUUGAAUAGAAUAAAUAUUAAAUGGAUUGAAUUUGCUUAUUUAGAUCAAGUUAAGCCUCAUACGGAUCUAGAUCGAGAGAAAGAUAAAGUCUCAGAUUAGUUGAUUCUAUUUUGACAUCCUUAAAAUAGAGUUAAGUUCGUAUGUUUAAAUAAUGUUUUAAUGUUAUUUGAUUUAUAUGCUAUUAUGCUAUUUAUCAUGUCAUGUUAUGAUGGAAAUCUAACGACGUUUCGAUGACUAUCCCGUUUGAACCUAAACAAAUGACAUGUCAUUAAGGUUACCAUGUUUCAGGUGCUGGUCCUGAAUGUCCUACCGAUGGCUGAGUUCUGACAUUUCUUGCGAAUACUCGUCAGCUUGUGUGAACGGUAUCAUGUAGCUACAUUUCGACCGUUGGCUUGUGUGAGCAGACCCAUUUAUGGCUCGAGUUAGCAUUGAUGUAAAAGAAAAGGAAUGGUUUCGACCAUAUAUUAGCACACUUUGUGUGAGCUUCUCGCAUAUCCGAUAUUAUUCUAAGUGGUUCAACGUGCAUGUAAAGGGAAGGAACAGUAAGUCUUCCAAUCAACUCUAUUAUGAACUUAUGGAAAGGUAAGAAUUGAUGUUGAUCAAAGUAUGUAUAACCAUGUUUAUAGAAAAUAUGAAUUCCAAUGUGCUAUACUCAUGAAAUCUAUUUUACCAUGUGAUGAUUUUGGUUAAGUUAUGUGUUUAAGCACUAACUUGUGUUGUUGUUGAUGCAUAGGCUUGUGUCAAGCUACGUUGGAUUGAUUCAUGUCUAUUUUAUAAGAUUUUGCAUUGAAAUGGUAAGCUAUGUUCAUGAUUUACGAACUUACUAAACACUAUAUGCUUACAUUGUUUUCUUUCUUAUGUUUUAUAGAUUAUCGAAAGCUCGAUCGGUUUGGAAGCUCGUCGUAGAUCUAUCACACUAUCUAGAGAUAAUAUCGAUAGUUUUUUUUUUAUGUUUUAGUCAUGGUUAUAAUGGUAUGUAUAAGUGGACUUUUGUUUAAUGAUCUAGUUGUAUGUUUGGAAUGUAUAUAUGGUAUUAUGGUUGGUGUGCUUUUGGCACUUUGAUGCCUUGAUGGUUGGUGUUGAUAUGGCUCAGUGGAUGUAUGUUUUGAAUGACCAAUUUGGUAUGUUAGGAUGUGACUUGGUAUAUGGUCAAUUAUGUUAUGUUUUGGUAGGGAAAUAAGUAGUUGUGUAUGGAUGAUUUAUGGACAAAUAUGCAUAUGCUUAGAUAUUUUUUAUGGUUGUGUUUGAUGUGCCUAUGUGGCAUAUUGGUUGGAUGAAUAAAUAGCCUUUUGAAUUGGUCUUAUUAUGCAUGUUUUGGGAAUGAUUUAAGAUCUUGUUUAUAUGUGCAAAUGACUUGUAGGUACAUGCUUGAAUUGGGUGAAAAAAAUGGCUUGAUUUUUGCUUAUUUCUUGUCUACAUGGCCACAGACACGAGUGUGUCUCUCAGUCGUGUGUGACACACGGCCAUGCGACACGGUCGUGUGUCCCUUAUACGUUUUAAAAGUUGCAAGUCAGGCAAUUACAUGGCCUAGCACAAGGCCUAGCAUACGGGCGUGUGGCUUGGCUGUGUAACCCAAGUCAGAGAGUUACAUUGGCACAGACAUGCGUUGGGACACGACCGUGUGUCCCUAUUUCGAAUGUUACACGGCCUGAGGCAGGGGCGUAUGUCUCAGCCGUGUGGGUCACACGGCCAUGAGACCCUUACUGCUUGAAUUUUUUCUAACUUUUUCCUUAAUGUUUCAUAUGUUCCCGAUUUAGUCCCAAACUAUUUUUAAAGUGUUUCUAAUGCCUUGAUGGCUUGACUAAAGGACAAUGUGCAUGUGUAUGAAUGGAUUAUACUAUGGUUAUUAUAAUUUUUGGAAUUGACUGUUUUUAAGUUACGUUUAUACGGUAAUACUUCGUAACCCAAUUCCAUCGACAGAUACGGGUUAGGGUGUUACACAAUUGCUGAGAGGCUCUGCUCUAGUGGGGCAGAAUUGUUUAAGAGUAUUGCUGGAGCUACUCCUAUAGUGGUUGAGUACUAGAUGGAGGCAACUGAACAGAUUUUGGAGUAUUUGGAUUGCACUCCUAAGUAGAAACUUAAGGGUGUCUUGUCUCUUUUAAGGGAUAACUCAUAUCAGUGGUGGCAAUUAGUGGUUAGGGGUACGCUGUCAUAGCGUAUUAUUGUCCUUAUUUUCAGGAUAUCUUUUAGGGUAAGUAUUUGAGCCCUCACUAUGUGGAGGCCCGAUGAUUGGAUUUUAUUAAACUUAAAUAGAGAGACAAGAUAGUUUCUAAGUAUGAGGCAAAAUUUCUAAGGUUGAUCCGCUAUGCACCUAAUAUGGUGGAGUCUGAGCAGGAAAAGACUUUCUGUUUUCAAGAGGGUCUAAGGUAUGACCUCAAGGUUCAGGUGGCUCCAUAGUAAGAGCAUGUGUUUGAGGCUUUGGUCAAGAAAACCAAGAUUACUAAAGAGAUUAAGCACGUGAAGCACGAGGAGAAUAGGAAACAAGGAGAUCAGCCCAAAAAAGAAACGAGUCUGUAACCCCCCCCCAAAAUUUCUAAUUUCAUUUUUGUGAAAAUAUGACACAAAUAUCUAUCAAAAUUAGUGGUUAUGUGUUCUGGGAGUGUUUGGGAGGUCUCAAGUUCAAGCCUUCGCUUGAGAAAAUUUUGGUAUUUUGCAUGAAUUAAGUCUUACUCUUAUUUAAUAGGCUUUUAUUGGAUUGUUGGGUAAAUUACAUUAGAAUGAGCCUGCUAGUCUGGUGGUUCAAUAGUGUGUUAUUAUGGUGAAGGUCUUGUGUUCGAAUCCCUCUGCAGGCAAGGGUAUUAUUUUUUGCUCAGAUUUUGGGAUUGCGUUGUGUAAUAGAGGGAUUCUGUGUAGUGGAUGUGUAGUGGGAAUUGGGAGAGAAGAUUAAGGAAUUUUGGGGGUUAUCGGGAUUUCAUUAUAUUUUUUUCCCAUAACCAAAUUUUGACUCGCUUUACCAAAAAAACUUUUGUUGGCUAUUCUUCUCCCUCUUCUCUGGCUGAAAUUCUCUGAGUUUUUCAAUCUUUCUCUUCUUUUUCUUCUUCUUGAUUUUUCCCUAAUCCAUUUAUUUUCCUUUGUUUUCCCACGCGAUUAGUGCUCGCUUAGUUUCGAUAAGUGUUUUCUUCAUUUCUAUCAUGAAUCUCUUAACGAAAGAAGUGAUAAUGUUUUUUCUCUACGAUUUGGGCAUAAGGGGAGGCUCGGACUGGUGAAUUCAGUGUUCUCGUCUUAACAAUAGUUAAAUGCAAAGUUAUCAUUAGUGGUAAGUUGGGUUUCUCUUCGUUCUUGGUUUUCAAUUCACUUGUAAAUCCAUUAAAUUGAUGUUGAGUGUCUUAAUUAUAGGCUUUGGAGUGCUCGGGGACUGUUUUAGCAUCAAACAAAAUCAAGUGUGUAGCCGAAACGCAAAAAAAAGGGAUUCAGCGAAAAACUGAAAUUGUUUGUUGUUUGGACAGCAGCAGUGAGCUAAUUUUGAAAAAUCGCCAUAAAUUAUGGAAAUCGAAUUAGAGGAUGAAAAAAAUAUGAAAUUAAAGCUUAUUAAGUUAUUUUCUCAUAGAAGAAACAGUGUAAGUAAAGGAAUUGUAAAUCGUGAGGUAUAAUAAAAUUUGUGAGAAAAGGUCAGAUUGAAUUCGGGUUCCCCUAUUCUGACUUUGGAAAAUCAUCAAAAAUUGUAGAAAAAUAAUUAGGGGUUAAAAUUUACAUGUUUAAAUUAAUAAUGAGUCUAUUCUCAAUAGAAAUAAAUGGAAACAUCAUGCAAAUUUUGCACUAAGAGAUAAUUAAUUUUUAGCAAAGAAGGGACAAAGUUGUUAGACAGUAGAAUAGGGGUAAAUUUGAAGAUUUUGUUGUACUUAUUGGCUGAACCAAAAAUUCUAAAAAGUUUUUGAUAGGAAGGUAUUUGAGUCUAGUUUCAAAAACAUCAAGCGGAUCUUACUUCGAAAUUCUGUAGCUCAAGAUAUAAAUAAUUUAGUAACAGUGACUCAAGUAGAUAGCUUUGAAGAAACAUAUAAGUAAAUAGUGAAAACAUAUAUGAAUAAUUAGCUAGCACGGGUUACAUUAAAAAUGGAUCACAUGGCCAAGGUCAAUUUGGGCCGAGUGGGCCACAUGGGCGUGUGAGCCCAUUUUUCUGAAAAGUUCUGUAAGGUUGCACGGGUCGCCCAAGUCGACUGUGGACCUACUGUAGGGUCGGUAAGCUUUACUUAUACCCCUAUAUGUGUGAUCUAUCUGUCUGAUUUCUAUACCGAGCAUGACUUAUGAUAUCUAAAUGUACGUACUAUUAAUUGCAUAAUGGCAUGACAUAUUUUGUAUGUUGCAUUGCAUUGAGGUGGGUUGAUGAUAUUUGGAGAAAGUGUCUGAAAGUCUAUUAAGUUUGUUAUCUGGAAACUCAGUUGCAACCUUCUGAUUGUGUGUCGCAUUUUGGUACAACAUGGUGUGUAGGGAUGGGUGGGUUGAUUUAAUCCCCACAUGGUGUGUAGGGUUGGACAGAGAUGGUGUGUAGAGAUUGGUGGGUAGGAUUCUAAUUUACUCUAUCUGUAUUCUUUAUCUGAUAUGGGUCAAGGCCCUAAUGUAUUUCUGAGACUGUAUCUGAAUGGGCUAAGCCCAAACUGAUUCCGUGAUGGGCACGGGCCCCAGACUAUAUCUAACUGGAUUCUGUUAAUUAUCUGUAUGCAUGUUUUCUAUGGGGAUUACACACUGAGUUUACAAAAACUUACCCUUUCUCUGUUUAAUCUGUACAGGUAAUCCCCAAACUUGACGGGUCAGUGCAGCAGAGGACUCGACGAUGGCCACACGUAAAUUUUAAACUAUUUUUCGUUAAUGCCUAGAAUUUAUUACUUAUUUGGGAUUUUUGAUGUAUCUUCUGGACUAUGGACUGGUUGGCUUUAAAUUUUGGACUUUAUAUUAUUUUUUAUGGAUUUUUUUUUAAAACUGCAAUUCCAAAAAACACGAUUUUUUUUCUACAAACUAAAGUUUUUCGUUAAUAGAAACGAUUUUCCCUAAAUUAAUUGGUUACAAAAGCUUUUUCUAAGAGACAAGUUUUAAAGCAAAUCAACUAGUUUUUUUUUCAAAUUUGAUAAAAGCUAACUUACUGUAACGGUUUUUAAACUCGACAAUCUUGUCUUCAAAUCCCUUUCCAUGUGACAUCGCUAGAUUCAGCCAUAACAUCGAGGCUGAAUUUUAGGUGUUACAUUUAGUGGUAUCAGAGCCAAGUUGCAAAACUCGGCUGUGGAUUUGGGUUUUAAAACUUGGUUUUAAAAAGAUGAUUUUUAAAUGGUUUAAAAUAUUUUUGACUGUGUAUGUGGUACACCGAUUCUCCGGCGCCGAUUUUGUAAGUGUUCUAAAAACUCUGCUAAGUUUUUGAAAAUAUGAGUAUCAUAUUCUGAAACUAUUAUAGGUAGUACACUGUACUGAGAACACUCUAAAUAGUGUAUACUAAAAACAGUAGCGAAACUAAAAAUUGUAGUAAGACUACGAUUCGUGAUAACAAACUCUAAACUUAUAAUACUAUUUUGCAUAAAAUAUCUACUAAUAGAUAUCAAAACUGUAACCAAUUCAUAAAACUAUUAACACAGGUAAGCUACGAAUUCUACGAUGAGUGCACGAGGUAUCCGGAUAGGGUACUAAAGGCCACAGUAGAGGCCGUAAAGGGGCUCGAGCUGAGUCCUUGUCAUUAGGCAGCAUGCCAAAUCUGGAUAUAGCGAGACACCGGCUUCACCUGCUACAGAGACUAGAUCUCAUGAUCACAUGGCCGGGGACGACACCUUGUCUUAGGCUAUAUUGAUGAUAUUAGAAAGGGUCGCUAGGCCCAACACUAGAUCUGGGGCCAAGGGUCGGUUACGGAACGACUCCGGUCCAAUGGGGCUUAACUAUUCAGGGGUAUCAAUAGAGUCGCCAUGAAAAGAAUCAUGGACAAUCUGGAAUUUACCCCUGAACAGAAAUUAAAAAGGGUUGUUUCCUUGUUUCGCGAUGAAGCAUAUCAAUAGUGGCUGACCGUUAAGGAGGGCACUCAGCCCGAACAGCUGACUUGGGAUUUCUAUAAGUCUACUUUUCAAGGUAAAUAUGUGGGGGAAAGCUGCAUUGACGCUAGAAGACGUGAGUUUCUGAAUCUAACGUAAGGGAAUCGUUUAGUGGCCGAGUAUGAGGCCGAGUUUCUAAGAUUGAGCCGCUAUGCACGAGGCAUAGUGGCGACUGAAUAUGAGAAUUGUGUUCGCUUCGAGGAUGGACUCAGGUAUUGUUUGAGUGUUUUGAUAGCUCCGCAAAGGGAGCGUGACUUUUCAGCACUGGUAGAGAAGGUGAAGAUCGCCGAGGAGGUGAAGCGCGCUAAGUGCCAAAACCAAGAUAAAGAGAGAGGUAAGAAUAAGAGGGAUUCAGAGCCCUUAGGUUCUACGAUGAGGCCUAAGAAAAAGGUCAGAUCUGAUGGGCCAGUUAGAGUUGGGGCCCCUAUUGUACCUACUAGGAUUACGCAUUGUGGGCAUUGUGGAAGACGCCAUCUGAACGAAUGUUGGAGGACGACUAGGGUUUGUUUAAGAUGUGGAUCUACUGAGCACUGUGUUUGAGAGUGUCAGCUAAGGUCCAAUCAAGUGCAAGCUGUGGGUUUUGGUACUGCACAGCCACCAGGGGUAGUUCACCAGCUGCCUAGGGGCUGUGGUCAGGCUAGGAGUGGUAAUGGUAUAGGUAGGGGUAGAGAGCACCGGGUAGAGGUGCUGGACAGGUUGAGGUGAGACAGCCAACCCUAGAUUAUGCUGCUCAUCUCCGAGAGGGUAGAGAUGCUCUGGACGUCAUCACGGGUACGUUUCUUAUUUUUGAUGUUCCUUACACUGCGUUGGUAGAUAUAGGAUCUACGCAUUCCUAUGUUGCCUGCUCUGUUUCCAAAAACCUAGGGAUUCUAGUUGAAAGUACUUCUAGUGAGGUGACUGUGCUGAGCCCGCUGGGGCAAUCUGUUAGAGUUAGCAAACUGUACUAGGAUAUUCCUUUAGAGGUUCAAGGGAUGGUAUUUCUAGCUGAUUUGAUGGUGCUUCCGUUUAGGGAGUUCGAUAUGAUAUUGGGGAUUGACUAGUUGGUCAAGCAUCAUGUCAGUUUGGACUGUGCGACUAAGAGGGUUGUAUUGAGAAAUGAAGGGGGUAAUGAAGUAGUUGUGAUUGGGGAACGUUAGAAUUACUUGGCUAACGUGAUAUCUGCACUGGUAGCUGAGAAACUGGUUUGUAAGGGAUGUGAGGCGUAUUUGGCCUACGUAAGUGUUUUCGCUUCUGGGGACUCUACUGUUAAGGACAUCAGAACUAUGAGGAAUUUUCUAGACGUCUUUCCUGAGAAGCUAUCGGGUUUACCUCUGAAUCGGGAAUGGAUUUUGGGAUUGAGCUUCUCCCUGGUCCAGCUCUAGUGUCUAUCGCUCCCUAUCGAAUGGCACCGAAGGAGCUUACAGAGCUCAAGGCUCAAAUUCAAGAGUUAUUGGAUCGUGGGUUCAUCUGUCCUAGUGUGUCCCCGUGGGGAGCACCGAUACUAUUUGUUAAGAAAAAGGAUGGAUCCAUGAGGAUAUGUAUCGGCUACCGACAACUAAAUAAGUUGACUAUUAAAAACAGGUAUCCACUUCUAUGGAUUGAUGAUUUGUUUGACUAGUUCCGAGGGGCGUCUAUGUUCUCCCAAAUUGACUUACGUUCUGGGUAUCAUCAGUUAAGGGUUAAGGAGGCUGAUGUGCAUAAGACGACAUUUAAGAGUUGUUAUGGUCACUACGAGUUCCUAGUGAUGCUAUUUGGACUGACUAAUGCACCGGCAGCUUUCAUGGAUCUGAUGAACUGAGUGUUUCAACCCUACCUGGAUCAGUUUGCAGUGGUGUUCAUCGAUGACAUAUUGCUUUAUUCGAGGACUGAGGAUGAGCAUGACUAGCACCUUACGAUUUUUCUUCAGAUUUUGAGGGAAAAGUAGCUCUAUGCAAAGUUCAGCAAGUUCGAGUUCUAGUUACAUGAAGUAACAUUCCUGGAACAUGUGCUGUCUGCUGAGGGGAUUAAAGUCGAUCCUCGAAAAAUUGAGGUUGUAUUGGGCUGGAAACAGCCCAAGAAUGUGUCUGAAAUCCAUAACUUUUUGGGGCUGGCAGGUUAUUACUGACGGUUUGUGAAAAGAUUUUCACUGAUCGUAGCACCCUUGACUAAGCUGUUACGUAAAGGUGUACCAUUUGACUGGACUAAUGCACAGCAAGAGAGCUUUAAGAAGCUUAAGACUGUACUGACUAAGGCUCCUGUUUUGGUACAGCCUAAACUUGGAAAGGUGUUCACGAUUUAUAGUGAUGCAUCACAUGUCGGUUUGGGAUGUGUGUUAAUGCAGGAUGGUAAGGUGGUUUCAUAUGUGUCUCGUUAACUUAAGACACACGAGGCGAACUACCUGACACACGAUUUGGAGUUGGUCGUCGUAGUCUUUGCAUUAAAAAUCUAGAGGCAUUAUUUGUACAGUGAGAAGUGUAUUAUCUACACUGAUCAUAAGAGCCUCAAGUAUAUCCUCACUCAGAAGGAGUUAAAUCUUAGGCAGCGUAGAUGGGUUGAGCUACUUAAGGAUUAUGAUUGUACAAUUGAGUACCAUCCCGACAAGGCCAAUGUGGUGGCUGAUGUAUUGAGCUGUAAGGCUAUGACCGAUCUGAGAGGGAUGUUCGCUCAACUUAGCCUAUUCGAUGAUGGAAGUCUAUUGGCAGAACUUUAGGUCAAACCGACAUGGAUUGAACAGAUUUGAGGUAAACAGUUAGGGGAUAAGUCUCUCAGGUUGCAUUUUCGCCAAGUUGAGGAUGGUGGCACUACUGUUUUGCGAUAAACAAUAAUGGGGUACUUUAUUUCCCCGGUCAGAUUUGUGUACCGAAUGAUGAGGACUUAAAGCAGUCGAUUCUGAGAGAGACGCAUGGUAGUCCCUAUACUAUGCAUCCUGGCGGGAACAAGAUGUACCGAGGUCUUCAGGAAUUAUACUGGUGGCCAGGGCUGAAGCGUGAGGUUACCGACUUCAUUGCUUGUUGUUUGACUUGUCAGCAGGUUAAGGCUGAGCAUCAGUUACCUUCGGGUUUGCUGCAGCCAGUUAAGAUACCAUUAUCGAAAUGGGAGCAAGUAUCGAUGGACUUCGUUAGUGGGUUGCCUUUAACACCCACUAAGAAGGAUUAUGUCUGGGUUAUCAUGGAUCGAUUGACCAAGUCUGCUCACUUCAUCUCAGUAAGGACAGACUUUUCUCUUCAAAAAUUAGCUAAGCUCUACAUAUCAAAAAUAAUGAGACUGCUUGGGGUGUACCUAUCUCAAUCAUUUCCAAUCGGGAUCCUCAUUUCACGUCUCAAUUCUGGAAAAAACUUCAUAAGGCUCUAGGUUCAAGAUUAGACUUCAUUACUGCUUUCCUUCCUCAGACAAAUGGUUAGCCGGAGAGGGUGAUUCAGAUAUUGAAGAACAUGUUGAGAAGCUAUGUUAUUGAUUUUUGAGGCAGUUGGGAGGAGAACUUGUCGUUACCAGAGUUUGCCUACAAUAAUAGCUUCCAGCCUAGCAUCCAGAUGGCACCUUACGAGGCAUUGUACGGUCGUAAGUGUCGCACUCCUUUAUGUUGGAUUGAGUUGGACGAGCGACGUGUUCUGGGUCCUGAGUUGGUCUCUGAGACAGAGGAUAAUGUUAGAUUGAUUCGGGAUCGUUUGAAAGCAGCUUCUGAUAGGCAGAAAACGUAUGCAAAUUUAAAGAGGCAUGAGAUCGAGUAUUCUGUGGGGGACUUACUUUUUCUCAAGGUCUCGCCAUGGAAAAAGGUUCUGAGGUUAAGUCACAAGGGCAAGUUGAGCCCUCGGUUUAUUAGACCUUACCGCAUUUUGAAAUGUGUGGGACCUGUCACUUAUCAGUUGGAGCUACCUCCAAAUUUGGACUGCAUUAUAGAUAUUUUUCACGUCUCGAUGUUAAGGCUCUACCGUUCUAAUCCCACGCAUGUUGUUUUUGUUGAGGAGAUUCAGGUUAUGCCAAACAUGACCUUCGAGGUGGAACCGGUUCAGAUUCUGGAGCAUGAUAUAAAGGUCCUUCGAAAAAAGUAUAUUCCCUUAUUGAAGGUUCUGUGGCUUAAUAAUAGCACUGAGGAGGCCACGUAGGAGCCUGAGGAUGUGAUGCGUCAGCAAUAUCCUUAUCUGUUCUGAUAAGGUGAAAUUUCGAUGACGAAAUUUUCUUUAAGGGGGUAAAGUUGUAACGCCCCAAAAUUUCUAAUUUCGUUUUUGUGAAAAUAUGACACAAAUAUCUGUCAGCUUUAGAGGUUAUAUGUUCUUGGAGUGUUUGGGAGGUCCCAAGUUCAAGCAUUCGCUUGGGCAAAUUUUGGCAUUUUGAAUAAAUUAGGCCUUACUCUUAUUUAGUGGGCUUAGAAUGGGUGCUUGUCUGGUGGUUAAAUGGUGUGUUAUUACGGUGAAGGUUUUGUGUUCAAAUCCCUAUGCAGGCAAGGGUAUUAUUUUUUGCUCAGAUUUCGAGAUCGAGUUCUGUAAUAGGGGAAUUCUGAGUAGUGGAUGUGUAGUGAGAAUUAGGGGAGAAGAUUAAGGGAUUUUAGGGGUUAUCGGGAUUUUAUUUUAUUUUUUUCCCAUAGCUGAAUUUUGACUCUCUUUUUUAAAAAAAAUUCUACCGUUUAUUCUUCUCCCUUUCCUCUUGCCAAAAUUCUCUAAGUUUUUCUAUCUUUCUCUUCUAUUUCUUCUUCUUCAUUUUCCCUAAUCCAUUUAUUUUCCUUUGUUUUCGCACACGAUUAGUGCUCGCUUAGUUUCGGUAAUUGUUUCUUUUCAUUUAUAUCAUGAAUAUCAUAACGAAAGAAGUGAUAAUAUUUUUUCUCUGCGAUUUGAGCAUAGGGGGAGGCUCGAACUGUGAAUUUAGUGUUCUCGUCUUAACAAUAGUUAAAUGCAAAGUUAUCCUUGGUGGUAAGUUGGGUUUCUCUUCGUUCUUGGUUGUCAAUUCACUUUUAAAUCCAUUAAAUUGAUGUUGAGUGUCUUGAUUAUAGGCUUUGGAGUGCUCGGGGACUAUUUUAGCAUCAAACAAAAUCAUGUGUGUACCCGAAACGCAAAAAAAAUAGGAUUCAGCGAAAAACCGAAAUUACUUGCUGUUUGGACAGCAGCAGUAGGCUAACUUUGAAAAAUCGCCAUAAAUUGUGGAAAUCAAAUUAGAGAUGAAAAAAAUAUAGAAUUAAAUCUUAUUGAGUUUAGUUUCUCAUAGAAGAAACGGUGUAAGUAAUGGAAUUGUAAAUCGUGAGGUAUAAUAAACUUUGUGAGACAAGGUCAGAUUGAAUUUGGGUUCCCCUAUUUUGACUUUGGAAAAUCAUAAAAAAAUUAGAGAAAAAUAAUUAGGGGUUAAAAUUUACAUGUUUAAAUUAUUAAUGAGUCUAUUUUCAGCAGAAACAAAUGGAAACAUCAUCCAAAUUUUUUUAUUGAGAGAUGAUUAAUUUUUAGCAAAGAAGGAACGAAGCUGUUAGAUAGCAGAACAGGGGUAAAUUUGAGGAUUUUACUGUACUUAUUGGCUAAACCAGAAAUUCUAAAAAUUUUAUGGCAAAAAAUUAUUUGAGUCUAGUUUCAAAGACAUCAAGCGAAUCUUAAUUCAGAAUUCUGUUGCUCAAGAUAUAAAUAAUUUAGUAACAGUGACUCAAGUAGACAGUUUUGAAGGAACAUAUAAGUAAAUAGUGAAAACAUAUAUGAAUAAUUAACUAGCAUGGGUUACAUUAGGAAUGGAUCACGUGGCAAAGGUCAAUUUAGGCCGAGUAGGCCACAUGGGCGUGUGAGCCCAUUUUUCUGAAAAGUUCUGUAAGGUUGUACUGGUUGCCCAAGUCGACUGUGGACCUACUGUUGGGUCGGUAAGCUUUACUUAAACCCUUAUAUAUGUGAUCCGUCUGUCUGAUUUCUAUACCGAGCAUGACUUAUGAUAUCUGAAUGUACGUACUAUUAAUUGCAUAAUGGCAUGACAUAUUUUGUAUGUUGCAGUGCAUCGUGGUGGGUUGAUUAUAUUUGGAGGAACUGUUUGAAAGGCUAGUAAGCCUGUUAUCUGGCAGCUCAGCUGCAACCUUCUAAUAAUGUGCCGCAUUCCGGUACAACAUGGUGUGCAGAGAUGGGUGGGUUAAUUUAAUCCCCACAUGGUGUGUAGGGUUGGACGGAUAUGGUGUGUACAGGCUGGUGGGUAGGAUUCUGAUUUAUUGUAUAUGCAUUCUGUAUUUGAUAUGGGUCAAGGCCCUAAUGUAUUUUUGAGACUUUCUCUAAAUGGGUUAAGGCCCAAACUGAUUUUUUGAUGGGCACGGGCCCCAGACUGUAUCUAACUGAAUUUUGUUGAUUAUCUGUAUGCUUGUUUUCUAUGGGGAUUACACACUGAGUUUGUAAAAACUUACCCUUUCUCUGUUUAAUUUGUAUAGGUAAUCCCUAGACUUGACGGUUCGGUGCAGCGGAGGACUCGACGGUGGCCACACGUAAAUUUUAGACUAUUUUUGUUAAUUCCCAGAAUUUAUUUCUUAUUUGGGGUUUUUGGUGUAUCUUUUGGGCUAUGGACUGGUUCUUUUUAAAUUUGAGACUUUAUAUUGUUUUUUAUGGAUUUUUUUUAAAACUACAACUCUACAAAAUAGGAUUUUUUUCUAAAAACUAAGGUUUUUCGUAAAUAGAAACGAUUUUCCCUAAAUUAAUUGGUUACAAAAGCUUCCGCUAAGAGACAAGUUUUAAAGCAAAUCAACUAGUUUUUUUUUUCGAAUUAGAUAAAAGCUAACUUAUUGUAACGAUUUUUAAACUCGACAAUCUUGUCUUCAAAUCCCUUUCCAUGUGAUAUCGCCAUAUUCAGCCAUAACGUCGAGGCCAGGUUUGGGGUGUUACAGAGCUCUAUUGUCCCAAACCUGCGACCUAUUAAGUAGGCUAGAAAGGCUAGACCACCGCAGUAUAAGGAAGUAGUAGACCCUAAAAAAAGGUAAAUUCAAGUUUGCCAGUAUUUUCAGAGGCGUCAUCCUGGCGAGUGUUGGAUGAGGAUGGGUGCUUGUUUGGUACGUGGUUCGAUAAAGCAUAAGGUUAGGGAUUGUCCUCGUCAUCAAGAUCAGGCGUAAGCUCCUGCUCAGAUUCAAUGCCCAGUUGGGGGUCAAAAUCAGAGAGGUAAUCAAGGUGGUUAGAGGGGUCGUAAUCAGGAUUGAAAUGGGAAUGGUAAUCGGGGUCAUAGAGCACCAUCUCAAGGUGCGAAUUGAGUUGAGGCAAGACAACCUACUUUCUUUUAUGUAGCUAAGCGCCGAUAAGAUAGAGGUACCACUGAUGUCAUAGCAGGUACCUUCAAUAUUUACUCCAUACCUUAUUUUGCUUUGAUUGAUAUAGGAUCUACCCAUUUGUAUAUUGCUUGUAAUGUGGAUGUAAAAUUGGGAAUUGGGAUAAAAGAAACUGAAACCACUGUAAUUAUAUUUAGUCCCUUAGGAUCCUCCAAACUUAUGAAUAGAAUUUAUAAAAGAUGCCCUUUAGAGGUUUAAGGAGAGGUGUUUCUUGCCGAUUUGAUGGAACUUCCUUUUAAUGAAUUUGAUUUAAUUCUGGGAAUGGACUAGUUGGUUGAGCAUCAAGUUCGAUUAGAUUGUGCAUUGAAGAGGGUGACUUUGGCAGUUGAGUUUGGGAAAGAAGUUAUUAUGGUGGGGGGACAUCGAAAUUAUUUAUCAAGUGUGAUCUCUACUUUAGUAGCAGAAAAGAUGGUGCGAAAAGGGUGCGAAGCAUUUUUGACUUAUGUCUGAGAUCCAAGCGUCACUGAUCCUUUAGUUGGAAGUCUUCGUACAGUGAGGGAAUUUCCCAAUGUAUUUCCCGAGGAACUGUCAAGGCUACCUUCAGAAAGGGAAGUGGAAUUUGAAAUUGAGUUGUUGCCAGGAACAACAUUGGUGUCCAUCGCUCCCUAUUGCAUGGCACUAGAAAAGCUUAAGGAGUUGAAGAUGCAGCUGCAAAAACUGUUGGAUAGGGGUUUUAUUAGACCCAGUGUUUCACCAUGGGGCGCACCGAUUUUAUUUGUAAAAGAGAAAGAUAAAAUGUUACGAUUGUGCAUUGAUUACCGGCAAUUGAAUAAAUUAACUAUCAAGAAUAAGUACCCUUUCCCAAGGAUUGAUGAACUAUUCGAUUAGUUCAGAGGUACAACUGUCUUUUCCAAAAUUGACCUAAGAUCUAGGUAUUACCAACUCAAAGUGAAAGAAUCUGAUAUCCCAAAGCCGCUUUUAGGACUCGUUAUAGACAUUACGAGUUCCUUUUCAUGCCUUUUGAGUUUACUAAUGUACUAGUGGCUUUCAUAGACCAUAUGAAUCGUGUUUUUCAGUCUUUCCUUGAUUAGUUCGUCAUGGUACAUCAUUGUGUACUCUAAGACAGAGGCCGAGCAUGAUGAGCAUUUGAGAGUGGUUUUAUAGAUACUUUAUGAAAAGAAACUUUUUGCUAAACUUAGAAAGUGUAAAUUUUGGUUAAAGGAAGUGGUGUUUUUGGGUCACGUGGUAUUGGUUGAGGGUAUUCACGUCGAUCCCAAAAAGGUUAAAGCUAUCCUAUAUUAAAGGCAAUCGAAGAAUAAUUUGGAAAUUCAGAGUUUUCUGGGUCUUGCUGGGUAUUAUCGAAGGUUUGUUGAGGGUUUUUCCUUUAUAGUAGCCCCAUUGACUAAGUUGUUGAGGAAGAAUGCUCCUUUUAAGUAGGGAGACAAAUAGCAGGCCAGUUUUGAAAAGUUGAAAUCAGUGUUAACAGAAGCUCCUGUUUUAAUUCAACCAGAAUCUGGUAAGAAAUAUGUUCUAUAUAGCAAUGCUUCGCAUGUUGGACUUGGUUGCAUCUUGAUGCAUGAUGGUAAAGUGGUAGGCUAUGCUUCGAGGCAACUUGGGCCACAUGAAGGUAAUUACCCCACUCAUGAUUUGGAGUUGGUUGCUGCUGUGUUCGCUCUCAAAAUUUGGAGACGUUACUUGUAUAAUGAGAUGUGUAUUAUUUACACCGAUCACAAGAGUCUCAAAUAUCUCCUCACCUAGAAGGAAAUUAAUUUGAGGCAACAGAGAUGGAUUGAGUUGUUAAAAAACUAUGACUAUACAAUCGAGUAUCAUCCUGGGAAGGCCAAUGUUGUGGUUGAUGCCUUAAGCAGAAAGGCAAUGUCUGACUUGAGGACCAUGUUUGCUCGCUUGAGUCUCUUUGAUGAUGGUGGUAUUUUGGAAGAAUUACAAGUAAAGGUUGCUUGGGUUUAGGAAAUUAAGGAUGAGCAUAGUUUGGAUGGAACUCUAACACCUCGACUUAAACAGGUUGAGGAUGGAUCGACCGAGGACUUUGGUAUUAACUCUGAUGGAAUCUUGUGCAAUAGAGGGAGGUAUUGUGUGCCUAAUGAUUAGAAUUUGAGACAAUCUAUACUUCAGGAAGCACAUAGCAGCCCUUAUGCUAUGCAUCUUGGAAGUACUAAGAUGUAUCGAGAUUUGAGGGAAGUGUAUUGGUGGCUAGGUCUUAAACGUGAACUGACCAAAUUCGUAUCUAAAUAUUUUACUUGCCAACAAGUUAAAGCUAAGCAUCAGUAUCCAUCAAUGUUUCUCUAACUGAUUCGAAUACCACAGUGGAAGUGGGAAAGAGUGACAAUAGAUUUUGUUAGUGGGUUGCCCUUGACACCUACCAAGAAGGAUUCGAUUUGGGUUGUGAUGGAUAGGUUGACUAAGUCCUCUCAUUUUAUUCCUGUUUGCAUUGAUUAUUCUUUCCAAAAUUUAGCUAAGCUUUAUGUUUCCAAGAUAGUGAGAUUGCAUGGUGUGCUAGUGUCGAUUGAUUAUUUCAAAUUGGGAUCCUAGAUUCACAUCUCGAUUUUGGAAAAAAUUACACGAGGUUUUGGGUACUCGGUUGGAUUUCAAUACGGCUUUUCAUCCACAAUUUGAUAGUCAAUCGAAAAGGGUCAUUCAGAUAUUGGAGGAUAUGUUGAGGAGUUGUGAAAUAGACUUCCAAGGUAAUUGGGAAGAACAUUUACCUAUUGCUGAGUUCGCCUAUAAUAACAAUUAUCAGUCAAGUCUCCAAAUGGCACCUUACAAAGUUCUUUUUGGUUUUAAGUGUCGUUUGCCUUUAUGUUGGACUAAAGUGGGUGAUAGAAAUUUGAUUGGCCUAGAAUUGGUCAUUGAAGUCGAAGUUAAGAUUCGGGUAAUUGAAGAAAGACUGAAGGUAGCUUCGGAUAAACAAAAUUCGUAUGCCGAUUUGAAGUGCAAGGACAUUGAGUUCAAUGUGGGAGAUUUGGUUUUUCUUAAAGUCUCGCCAUAGAAGAAAAUCCUAAGGUUUGGUCGAAAGGGUAAGUUGAGCCCUAGGUUUAUUGGUCCUUAUCGAGUGCUUAAGAGGGUGGGUUUGGUGGCUUACAAACUCGAAUUACCUCUUAAUUUAGAUUGGAUUCACGAUGUAUUUCACGUUUCAAUGUUGAGACGGUAUCAAUCUAAUCCCUCGCAUAUUGUUCCACUUGAGGAGAUUAAGGUUAGACUGGAUUUUUCAUUUGAGGAGGAACCAAUUUGAAUAUUAGAGCGUGAGAUCAAAGUGUUAAGACGAAAACAAAUGUCACUAGUUAAGGUACUGUGGAGAAAUCAUGGCAUUGAAGAGGCUACGUGGGAGCCGGAGGACUCAAUUCGGCUUCAAUACCCUCAUCUUUUCAAACCAGGUAAUUUCGAGGACAAAAUUUCUUUAAUGGGGGUAGAGCUAUAACAUCUCAAAAUUUAACUCAAUAAAAAUGUAGAAAAAUAUCAAAAAUAGGAAAUUGACCCAAUGGUUAAUCAUUAAAUGUGAAAUCUUGAAAGUUAGUUAAAGGUCACAAGUUUAAGUCCUAUCUUUUAUAAAAUAAAUAUUUUUUUGCAAAAAUUCCCUCAUUUUUAAUGUAUUGCCGCCCAAGCCUAGUAAACCUAGGUAUAAAUACAAUUUUUACUCAAAAUAAUCAGUCUCUAACUCUCUUUUCUUCUACCUUAGUCGUCCCUAACCUCCUCUCCCUCCCUUGAUCUUUAUUUUUUUUCUUUUCUCCUUCUCCCACCAUUGUUGCCAUCGCACCUAUCACCACCAUUCACCUUUGAUUUUUCUUUCUAUUGUCUUCACGAUUGAGAAUUAUCUCCAUCCUUAUCUUGCUACCAUUUUUCUUCAAUUAGAACAGCCCAAAUUUGAAAUCUUAAUUCUCCAAGAUCAACUCCAACCUUGCCAAGAAAGUGACAUUGUCGCCCGUCUCCAUUAGCUUGUGUAAGAUCUCUAUUUCUUUUAAUAUCUUUGGUAAUCUUGCAAUUAAAAAUCUAAAUUUUUAUAUAUGGAAUUUGGGGAAUUUUAAAUUUUUUUAAAGUUAUUUUUCCAGCUUUUAAUUAGAUCUCAAAUCGUUUUAAAAUUCAACCCCAAUUCUAACCACCAUGGGUGGUGGUGCGUGCGCCUAGGUAUGGGAAAAGGGGGUUGUUUUAUUUCUUGAAUUUUUCCCAUUAAAUUUAGCCUUAAUUUGAGUUCUUGAACCCUCCUAAUCAGAUAUUAAACCCAUGUCAAUUAGGGAAAAAUGUUCUUGGUCGAUUGGACAUUCAAAACUUACAAAUUGGGAAGCAUAAGUACAAUUAAACGUAAACUAGUUUAUUGUUUCGGCAUUUUUGUUGGGUAAAGGUUAUGGAUUGAUUAGAUGAAGGAAUUUAAUCAUUAUUAGCUACUAAUUUUUCGGUAUAUUAUUGAAUUAGGUGUUGACCUAAACAUCCCAAAUCAACCGUAAAGCCGAAGAACAAUCGUACGUACAGUUCGCAUCGAUACAGUGUAAGAAAUCUAACUAGUUUGAAUUCAUAAAAUAAUUAUAAAUUCGACGAUUGGUUUGAACCCAUAAGUGGGUAAUUUGGGGCUGGUUAAAAGGUAAAAAAUAUUUAAUUUAUACUGAAUUUUGGUUUAGGAUCAUACAAAGGUUUAUUAAGGAAAAUUAGAAGUUUCACUAGUGUGCUGCAAGAAAGUGAAAAAUAAAGUGUGGGUCCUAAACUCGUAAAUUUUUUUGAUAUUGAUAAUUUUCAUAUUAUAUUUGAUAAAUUAGGUUGUUGAUUGGAUUGGCUUAAUAGCAAAAAUAUUAGUUUUGUGAGUGGCCAAACCAAGUACAUUUCGAGCCCUAAAAGAUUAAUGUAUUGGUAACAUUUCUAGUUUGACGGUAUGAAUGUGUGAUUGAGAUUGCCAUGCAUAAUUGUAUUAUGUGAUAUGAGAAUAUUUGAUUGAAUGGUAUGAAUAAUUGGAAAUAUUAAGUUUAUGCGUGAUUUAAAUGCAUGAGGAAUGUGCUAUUAUGUAUAUUGGAAAGGUUGCUAUUUAUGCACAAUAAAAUUCGUGAAGUAUGUGAAGUUAAACGAUAUUGAUAGAUACCAUCAUAAUGGAAAUUUGAAAGUUGGAACUCUGUUUCUAUUUACUAAAAGUAUGUGAUUAUUGAGGGCAUGUUGAACAUGUCAAAUUAAAUUUGAGAAGUAUUGAAAUAUGAUUAUGUGUGAAUUUGUAUGACAUGGUGCAUAUGCAUUAGGAUGGGAUUUUGUGGUUGACGAAGAAGUCCCGUGGAGUACCGGUGGCAUAUGAAGUCUGCAUAUAUUUGUAGUCAGUGCACUGCAUUUGGAGUAUUGAGGGGAUUUUUUAUUAUAUUACAUUAUUUUUUAUUUGGCAGUUUCACUGCAUUAUUGAUUAUUGGUGGUUUUAUCACAUCGAGCUCUACUCAUAUACGUUGGAGUUUGGCAAACGGGUUCUGAGGAACUCGUGAUGUGUAGUAGAUGGCAUGGGAAAGAUCUCACAUGUUCAUUUGUCACGAUCAUAUGCAUUUGAAAUUAUUAUUGAUAAUGUUUGAUUGUGCUAUUGGUAUCUCUAUGAAAUUACUUGUAUGAAUGUUUAAUACUUGCUUGUUUAGCCUCACACUGAGCUUGUUAAGCUCACCCUAUUACCUAAACUUCUCAGGUAAUGAUCGAACUUAGGAUAGGAAUUGGCAUGCAGACGUACGGCGAACUCCGGACUUCACUUCGUCAUAUUAUUUUAAUUUAAUUAUAUUUUAGGUUAUUUUACCAUUAUUAUUUGAUUUUGGAUUGUAAAGUUUCUUUAAAUUGUGGUGAGACUGUUUGGGACUUUUGAGGUUUUUCAUGCAUGCAUGACACUCAUAUUUGGUAUAGAUACACGGUUUAUAUAUAUAUAAAUAGACUAUGCAUGAUAUAUGGCUACGUUAAUAAUUUGACUAGUAAUGGUAUAUUUCAGUUGCUAAAAAAGAUAACAAACUAAUUUUUCUAAAACAAUGCCGACAAUUGAGUUUUAUAAAAGUUCACCUUAUUUGCUAAUUUGGCUAAAGCAUAGUUGGACUAAGUAAAGGGACGUUUUCCAAAGUUAACAAUAGAAACCAUGAUUUUAUAAAAGAGAGUACUUGAAGGUUUUAAACUAUCGUUAAAGUAGGUUCGACACUAAAGUGCCUAAUGUGGCCUUUACGAUUCGGUUGUAAUGUCUAGGCCGGGUUUGAGAGGUUACAUGUUGGGUAGCCAUACCGCCAUGUUUGAGGCCACACAGGUUGGUCUUUUUCACACUACCUGGCCACACAACCGUGUGACCCCUAUUUUUAAAAUUUUCAAAAUUUUUCAUGUUUUUCUGUUUUGAUUCAAAUUAGUCCCUGAUUAUUCUCAAACUAUUUAUAGGGCCCCACAAGCUCGUUUUAGGCUCGUAAAUGUUAUUUUGCUAUGAAUGAAAUGCAUAUUUGAAUGUUUUUAUUUAAAUUAAUAAAUGAAUAGUUUAAUGAUGUAAUUUUUUUAUAUGUGUCGUAAUACUCUAUAACCCUAAUCUGGUGACGGUGAUGGUUAGGGGUGUUACAUUUUCAAAGAAGAAAAAAAAUAUUUCUAAUGUAAGUGAUCAAAUCUCUUAUACUUCAUUAAUUGAAGCUACCACGUUAUUGGGGAAAAACAUACGUAUUGUUGGUCUUGAAAUAAGUAAGCAUUGCCUCCGAAGUGCUAAUUCAAAAAAAGUCAGAAAUGGUCAUUCAAGAAAGUGCCCAAAAAUUAUAUCAGACCUUAUCUGAAGUAGAAGGAUUACUCAGGAUAAGCACUUUCAUAUGUUGAGCAAAAUUCCAAAGUAUCCAAUGCACAUGCUCGUUUUCUUCAAUCUAUCCUCUUCUGUGCGAUUGGAAUGGGUGAGAAGAUUUAUUUCUACCCAUUAAAAAUCAUGGUUGUGUUGAUGGUGUUGAUGAUGUUUUGAUAAUUUUUUGUAUAUGUAAAUAUUUGGAUGGUAUGAUGACAUGAGCUGGAAUGGGUGAGAAUGUCACGAAUUGUUGUAACUUUUUUAUGCUAUAGAAUUUAACAUAUAGAUUACGGCAUAUAAGCUAAUGACAUUAUCCAACUUUUUUAUGCUAUAAAAUUUAACAUAUAGAUUAUAGCAUAUAAGCUAACAACAUCAUGUAACUUUUUGUUAAUGUAUGAACAUUAUGUUUGGAUGUAAAAUACAAUUCUCAAGCUAUUAAUUACUUCUAAUCUUUUGCUUUUUAGUUUAGAGGAUAAUUAAUUAUUUUUUUUUUGCUAAUGAUAUUCUAUUACAUUAAAUAUGCAUUGAAGUUUAAAAAUAAUAAAGUAGGUUAUAUUUGUUUUUCUAAUAUUAUAUAUUAUUUUUAUUAAUUCAUAUUUUAAUAAUAAUCAUAUUAAGAAUGUUAUUAAAUUAUAUAUUAUUUUUUAAAAAUUAUAUUUAAUAAUAAUUGUAUUAAAUAUAUGAUUAAAUUAUUUAUUUUUAUUAAAUUAUAUUUAAUUAUAAUCCUAUUAAAAUUUAAUAACAAUAACAAUAAGUAUCUAUCUAAACAAAAUUGUACUAAGGGUACUUGGUCAUUUCAUUUUCUUUCUUAUGCUAUUAGAGCUCUAUUCCAUUCAACCGAACACAAGAAAACUAUUACAGUUCUAUUCCAUCCCAUUCAACCAAACAAUUUAAUUAUUAAUUGUUGUUCUAUUCCAUUACAGUUCUAUUCCAUUACAGUGAACCAAACAUGGUGAAAUAGUUUUGAUUUUAUGACGUGACUUAAUAUAAUUAGUUGCAACUAUAGCUUAUGUGGUAGGAAAGGCUUAUAUAAUAAUUUUUUUUUCUAUUAGUUAUAGGUACCACAUUGACAAAUAGUGUUAAAGUAUAUGUACUAAAAUAGACUUUUCAAAGAAAAGAUAUCACAUUGGAAGAUUUGAUAAGGUCUGAGAGUCAAAUAUGAAAUUAUCCCCUUUUUUCCCUGUUCUUAUAAUUAGUUGCAUUUAUCAGUUCUUAUAAGACGAGUUUCCUUCAAGAGUUUUCAGGUAGUAAUAGGUUAAGCUUUUAUGGCUAUUGAUGAUGCCAUAACAGCAGUGAGUGAGAACCCAUAAGAUCGGGUUUAUGAAAUAAAGUGCUUGAACUGUAAGUAGAUGAGAGUCCCUUAGAACACCUAUUUGCAGUCUAGUUGUUGCAAGGCACAUGAACUUGUAAAAAAAUAUAUUUCUAUUUGUUUUCAAUUAAGAUAAUGAUUAAAAAAAAAAGGGUAGAGAAGUUGUAGUGAAUCAUGCACAAUCGCUUGUGCUUGUUGACGAACCCCUGUAGGUAGGUAGGUAGGUAGGUAGGUAGGUAGGUAGGUAGGUGUAAUCCGGAUAUGGACAUGGGCAAAACCAAAGGGAAUAUGCUCUUAUAUGUGCCAUCUAACUUUGCUAGUACCAUUGUUAAUGUACCCUGAGCCCUUGGUAAGCCAACAAAUAAAGUUCAGGAGACUUGAGUCUUCAAAAUCGUUCUCAACUUUAGUGGGCCUCUCUCUUUGGGCUUCCAUGGUGUAACCCCUCCUUAUCAACAAAAGAGGUUAGUUGAGGAGAAAAAAAAUGAUAAAGAAACAUCCAAAACAUCAUCGAAAGUUACACUUGGGAUGAAGCAAAUGAAAAUGAUAGUUUAUCAUCAGAGGAAGCUAAGGGAUCAAAUAUUACAGGCAAUUGGGAUACUGAACUGAAAAGCAAAACGAGUGAGAAAAGGAGUUUACCAAGAAUCAAAGGGGUGGCUUGCAUCAAAGCUCGGAAGGAACAUAAGUAUCUAGAGCCGCUCAAAGCCUGCGCCUACCUCACACUAGAAUUGGAGCAGCUCUUGCGGGGAGCAAUCAAAAGGAUACUGCGAGAGCCACUCAAGCAUCCAUAUAUUAAGACACUUUGGACUGGGAGGCGCAGUCAGCAUGGGUAACUCUAUUGUUGUUAGAGGUAUGUAGAAAUCGAUCCGAAUAAAUUAAAAAAAUAAAUUGUGUUAAUCAAAUCGAGUUAUUGAAGUUAUUCAAUUUUUUCGAGUCAAUUCUAAAAAAUAAUUAAAAUUUUGAAUUCGAGUCAAGUGAAAUUUUACAAUUCAAAUAACUCGAAUAAUUUAAAUAACAUAGGUGAAAAUGUCUCUUUUGUCACUAUCAAUCUUAAAAUGAGUAAAUUGACCUCUCAACAAAAAUUUGAAAAUCAAAAUAAUUUUUCGAAGUUCAAAAUUUUAAAAAAAAUUCAAAUUUUAUUUUUUAAAAAAUAUAAAAUUGUAAAAAAUAAAAUAUAUAAACUUAAAAUUUUUUUAAAAAUUAAAAUAAUAAUUUUAAAAACUUAAAUAAGUUCAUAAUUUAAAUUUAUCAUACCAAAGUAUUUGUUUCUUAUUUUGCUUUGAUAAGAAAAUACUUAAAUUUUUUCACUCAAUCCAAAUACUCACCCUAUCGAAUACUCACCCUUAAUUGCUGCUGUGGACUCAUUUGUGUCUGGUUUGCAGGUUUUUUUUUUUUUGGUUUGACUGUAGGUAGCACUGUUCUCUUCUAUAACAAAUACUGAUGCAAACCCUGAUGGAGCAGGAGCCUUACACUGCAACCAGAUUGUAACAAGUUGACUCCCCAAUCUAUGCUGAAAUCCUUAGCCAGCUGACUCCUAUCUCUUGAUUGUUCACUGGUAUCAUUUUUUCACUAAAAAUGCUUGGACUUAUAUUUUUCAGGUCCUGUUUUUAUCCAAGGGGCUUUAGCAAUUCCCGCAGCACUAACGGCAGUGAAGUUACUUGGCUGGCUAUAAAUUGGAGCUCCUCAAAUAGUAGGAUUACGAUUAAUGAAUCAAGAAACGCAAAACAAUUAAAAAGUGCAAAGCACACUCAGUUGUAUAUGCAGAAAAUAUUGUUUUAAACUGAAGCAAACAAAAAACCAUGAACACUCAGCGAGAACUAAGGCCCCCCAAGCUUAUUUGAGUCUGAUUUCACAACCUAAAUUCCAUGAGAAGAAACGGUCUGAUUUCACAACCUAAAUUCCAUGAGAAGAAACGGAAAACCCCAAAAUCAUCAAUACAGAAAAUUUCUCUGAUACACAGACCACAAGACAAUUCUUAGUAUUUGUAGUCCUUAACAUGAAGGCUCUCUGCAGCACCCUCACUAAUCUUUGCGUCACCCUUGUAUGUACCCAAGGUGGCCUCCGAGUUAGCCUUGCACCUAACAAGGAAAGCAUCUUGUGCUUUCUUCACGUUUUCCUCCUUUCCAGCCCAGGCCUUGAGAGUGCUCUGCUGAAGGGCACGUCCAAAUGAGAAUGAGAGUGACCAUGGUUUCUUGGUCUGGAGCUUGUUCAUGGCAUUAAGGUUAAGGGUAGCCUCCUCCUCACUUUGCCCACCAGACAAGAACACAAUAGCAGGGACUGCAGCAGGGACGGUACGCUGCAAGGCACGGACAGUGUACUCAGCAAUAACCUCUGGGGCAACCUUCGGGGAGUCGGAACCAGGGGUCACCAUGUUAGGCUUCAAAAGAGUACCUUCUAGCAUGACAUGGUGAUCAUUCAAAGCCUUGUAGCAAGCAGCAAGAACACGCUCUGUCACCGCAGCACACUUUUUAAUGUCAUGUGAUCCGUCAACAAGAAUUUCAGGCUCAACAAUGGGGACAAGGCCACAUUGCUGGCAGAUGGCAGCAUACAUAGCUAGCCCGUUGGCAUUUUCUUGGAUUGCAAGCUCGGUUGGCUCAUUAGCACUAAUCUUAAGGACAGCACGCCAUUUAGCAAAGCGGGCACCAGCUUCAUAGUACUUCUGGCAUCGCUGUGCAAGGCCAUCUAGA